AAAUAUUCACAUAUCAUAUAUAUAUAUGAAAAAAAUAUGGCUAAAUUACAGAAAAUCCCCCUGUAAUAACCCGCUUUUUCACUUUUCCCCCCUGACAUCUAAAAACCUAUACUUUGCCCCCCUGUAAAAUAAAAAAUAUUCACAGGAGGGUUACGGUGUGUAAAAUGACCAUUUUACCCCUUGUCAUUGUCGUCUUCUUCCCUAUCUUCGUCAGCCGUCCUUUUGUUCGACCGCGAUUCCCACCUCAAUCAGCCGCGAUUUCUCUCCAUUUCCUUUCUCCACCUGCUCCCCUUCUCCUCCUGCACUAUCGCCGCCCUCGAUUUCGGCGACAGUAGGAGAAACCGAGGUCGGCGACAGUAGGAGAAGGGCAAAGAAGGCGAAGGCGAGGCGGCGGAGGACGGCGAAGGAGAUGUGGGUGAGGGCGAGGCAGUGGAGGACGGCGAGGCGGCUAAGCGGUGAGGCGGCGAGGCGGCGGCGAGGUGGCGAGCCGGAGGGAGGCGAAGCAACAGGGAGAUGGCGGAGGGGUAUUUUCGGCAUAAAAAUAUAUUUUUUAACGGAACUCUAAUGGUAGGGGGUGAAGUGCAUAUUUUUUAUUUUAAAGGGAGGCAAAGUGUAGGUUUUUAAAUAUCAGGAAGGAAAAGUGAAAAAGCGGGUUAUUAUAAUGGGAUUUUCUGUAAUUUAGCCAAAAAAUAUUACUAUACCAUAAAUAGCAUAAACCUUUUUUGAGUAUGCAUUCGGUUUUUGAUUAUCAAGCUUACAUAUUGUUGAUCGACACGGUUAACAUGAUUAAGAGUAUUAGAACAAUCUAUCAAUCAAAUUUUAAAAUAUUUUAACAUAAAUUACAUACUAAUUGAACGAUUGAUAAUUUAACAAUUUAAUGACCGAUAUGAAGUGUUCGUUAGUUUAACGGUGUUAAGAUAACCGAAUUUGGUUGAAUUCCUAAUAAAACGUUAUAUGCAAUAUUUAAAUCAAGAUGAAAAACUAUGAUUUUUAAUCUCAAAUUUUGAUUUUUUAUUUUUAGAAUUUAUUUUAUUUUGACCGUUCAUUUUGUUGAUAGCUUAUAUAGAUAAAUACUAUUCAAGAAUCAUAAAAUUUGUUUACUAAACUAUUCCAUUACUUUAUGUCAUAUUUAAUAGUAUCAAUUAGCCAUUCGGAAGUUUAAUUAUCCUAUCUACAAUAUUGUAAUAUUUUUCAUGCAUAUAUACAUACAUACAUACAUGCAUAUAUAUAUAUAUAGAGAGAGAGGGAGAGAGAGAGUCAGACUACUAUACUCUUAUGAAUACAAAUUUUUUUGUACUUAUAAAUUUUCAGCCAUUAAAUCUAUUUCACCCAUUAGAUUUUACUAUUCAACCAUAGAUUUUACUAUUCAACCACUGGGAACCACUAUCAUCCUAACGGCCCAUCUUUUUAUCUAAUAAGUAAAAAGGGUUUGUACUCAUAAAAGUAUAGUAGCUUUACUAUAUACAUAUUGUACAAGACUGGAAUACUAUUAAUAACACCAAUAACUUGGUGCUAUUAAGUUUUCUGCAUUUGGAUUAAAAGAUGUGUGGUUUGGAUGAUGUGGGCCCCCUAAGGUCACGUGGGCAGUUAGCUAAAUGGUACAAUCGAACGGAUGAAAAUGAUAAAGUAGAUAAAUCUUAUGGCAGAAAACUUGAUAGCACCAAAACAUUCGUGCUAUCAUAGUAUCUCAGUCGGACUCUCUCAUCUCCUCCUUCUCUCCUCUCUUCGACCACACUCUACGUCCAACUCCUUCCUCUCGUCCCCUCCUUCCGUAAUGGAGGUCUCUCUCUCUCUCUAUCUAUAUAUAUAUAUAUAUGACAGAGCUGCUGUGCUCUCAGGAGCACGGAGCCUCCGUGCUCCUGAGCAUUUUUGAUGAUAGAAUUUUCAAAUGACGAUCGGCUCGUUAGAUUUGAUCUAGCGUAUUUAAAGUUUCUAGAAAAUAAUUUUUUGCAAUUGUUUGAUAUCAUUUACCUAGUGAUCGAAAGGAUUCAAAUCAAUAAUUUAAUAGUUGAUAUCUGCCGUUUUCAAGUUUAACGGUGUAGAAGCAUUCAAAUCAGAUGAAAUUUUGAUACAAAAUUCUUUAUACUAUUUACAACAAGAUCAAUAUUUCUGAUCAAAAUUUUAAUACUAUAUCACCACUUUUUAUAGGAUUUUUAUUUUCAGCCUUAAAAUUAUUGAUUUUGAUCUUUUCGAUUGUUAGAAAAUGAUAUCGAAAAAUCGUAAAAAUUAUUUUCUAUAAACUUCAAAUACACUAGAUCAAGUCUAACGAGCCGAUCGUCGAUUCGAAAAUUCUAUGAUCGAAAACGACUUAGGAGCACGGAGGCCUCUGUGCUCCUGAGAGCAGAGCAGUCCUGCUCUCUCUCUCUCUCCUUCCUCCGGCACAUCUCCCCCCCCCCUCCCUGAUUCAGCACUCAUCUUUACUCUCUCUAUAUAUAUAUAUAUAUAUAUAUAUGGGAUUAUAUAUAUAUAAAACCCUCACAUGUUCAUUUAUGUAGCUUAUAGGAAAGGAUCAUUCCUCCAUUUCUAGGAGAGGGGAAACGACAAUCAAAGCAAGUUGACAUCAUCCACAAGAAAUUGGAAAUAGGGAAUAAAAAAAAAGUUUUCUUUUGAAGUUAAUUAUUUUAACUAUUAAUUAAUUAAAAUUUAUAUCAUAUAUAUAUAUAAUACAAACCUAAUUUUUACUAACUCACGCGAUGCUGCAGAUAUAAAAAUAUUCUAAGAAUAAAUUUUAGUUUAUAUAUAUUUUUUAUUUUUAUGUAAUUUUAUUAGUCUAUGAAUUAAGUAAAAUUAUAUAAAAGGAAUUUAGUAAUUAAAUCUAUUCAAAUAAAAAUAAUUAAAAUUGGUAUACGUGCGACAAAAAUUUAUAUAACAACUUAUUAGUAAUUAGAUUAUUUUAUAAAGACUUAUGUGAAAAAGAUUUGGAAGAAAUCUAUUAAAGUAAUAUAAGUAAAUCAAUUAAAGUAAUAUAAGUAAAUCAAUAAAUAAUUGAAAGAAAAAUAGUAGGAAGAAAUUGUUUCAUGCACCGGGUGUAUGAAUAAACCUUGUAUACCAAAUUUCUAAAAUUCUAUUAUAAAAAUAUAAACUCUGUAAUUUUUUUAUACAUAAAAUUUUUAUAUGGUGUAGAUCACAUAUAUUAUAUUAGAUUUUAAUUUUACAUUAUUAAUAUUCAAAAUUUACAUUCCAUGUAUGCAGUGUAGUGCACGCAAUAAUUAUUAAUCAUAGUUAAGAUAAGUAAGAAGGGACCGUGGGAGAGAAAUUAUUAUGUGCACUUGGUGUAUAAGUAAAUACUAUACCCUACAUACAUUUCUAAUAUUCUAUGAUAAAAAUUUAAAGGGCUUUUUUUUUGCAAUUAGCCCUCUGAAAAAAAAAAAAAAAAAUAAAAAUAGUUCCAGCAAAUUUAAAUUUGCAAAAAUGGUCAUGAACUUACCAUGUAGGCGUCACAUCAGCGCCACAUGGACUGAUUGGGGUGUUAAGUUGAACAUGAUAAACCAUUUACCGUGUUUAAAUACGGUGAAUGAUUCACCGUGUUCCAGUGUUUAGAUACAGUGAAUGAUUCACUGUAUUUAACUUAAUCAACUAGCCUCACCCGGCACACAUGGCGCUAACGUAGCGCCUACAUGGCAGGGGCAGGACUAGUUUUGCAAAUUUAAAUUUACUGAGGCUAUUUUUAAAAUAAAUUUUUUUCAUGGGGCUAAUUGCAAAAAAAGCUCAAAUUUUAAAUUUUAAAUUUUUUUCAGGGGGCUAACGUAGCGCCUACAUGGCAGGGGCAGGACUAGUUUGGCAAAUUUAAAUUUUUUUCAGGGGGCUAAUUGCAAAAAAAGCUCAAAUAUUUUUCAGCGCCACGUGGACGGAUUGGGGUGUUAAGUUGAACAUGGUAAACCAUUUACCGUGUUUAAAUACGGUGAAUGAUUCACCGUGUUCCAGUGUUUAGACACGGUAAUGAUUCACUGUAUUUAACAUAAUCAACUGGCCUCACUCGGCACACAUGGAGCUAACGUCGCACCUACAUGGCAGGGGCAGGACUAGUUUUGCAAAUUUAAAUUUACUGAGGCUAUUUUUAAAAUAAAUUUUUUUCAUGAGACUAAUUGCAAAAAAAGCCCAAAUUUAAAUUUUGUAUUUUUUUAAUAUGUAGGCAUUAAUUGUGCGACUUAAAUUGCAUCUAUCGGAACAGAUUUUAUUACAAUAUUAAUUAGUAAAAUUAAUUUAAAAUUUUGUUCAGUAGAUGCAAUUUAUUAGCGGAAUGCUCGCGUGCAAUAUUUUCUCUCUCAAUCGAAGUGGAGAGUUGGGAGACACGUCUAAUUACGCACCCGCCCCAGCACUCUUUUCAUGUAGUAAAAAAAUAAAAUAAAAAAGAAUAAAAGAAUAGAUUUUCCACUUCAGAUUUGAUAUUUCGUACACAUAUUUAUUAAAAAAAGACUUUAGCAUCAGAAUCACGGCUAAGUAGGCAUUAACAGAAUUUUGACAAGGAGAAUAGGCUAUUUUUCAAAUGCAUGCGAUGUUGUCAAAAUCUUCGGUACAAGAAUAGUUUUUUUUUUUUUUUUUGAGAUAUAGAUAGUACGCUAUCUGUUUCGUUUAUUUCAUUUAGAAAUAAACUUAGCUGGAAAAUAAACUUAACUGAAAAUGUGAAUCAACUAGAAUUCGAAUUUGGAUCUCGAAUACCAACCACGAAGCCUUUUGCCACUUGCUCUAAAGACAGUCGGUUACAAAAAUAGGUAGUGUUUUAGUUUUGAGGGUAUCUUGAUCUUUCCCAUUUCAUCUCAAAUUUGUACUUGUGUGGCAACGGCAUGGAUCUGCUACUCAACUAGUAGAUGCCAAAUUAAGCUUUUCAUUGUAAACGCCACAAUAAAGUGGCUUACAGUUAUAGCCUUAUAGGUCUUCAAAAUCAACAGUUGACUUUUUUCUACAGUACAAAGUUUUUAUUUAUUUAUUUAUUUAAGCAUUACUCUAGAGUUAUUACAAAGUUGUACAAAAAAAAAACUACUUUGAGUUUAUUUUUGUGUAGUUACGUAGCGAUUUUCAAUCGGUUUAACAUUUGUACUUAACUAUUAUGUAAUUUUAUUUCUUAUACUUAACUAGUUUAAGUUUAAUGUGUUGGAUCGUUGGCACUAGUCAUUAAUUUUCAAAACUCGAACUGUCAGAAAUACGCAACCAAUUUAUUUAAAGUAUACAGAUACAGCGCCCACAGGAUACUGGCCCAUUUAAGCCAACAAAUACCCCUGUAUACAGCGCCCACAGGAUACUGGCCCAUUUAAGCCAACAAUCACCCCUCCAGCUGCAUGCGGGAAUCGAACCCGUGACCCUCCAACUCUGAUACCACUUGUCGGAUCGUUGGCGCUAACCAUUAAUCUCAAAAACUCGAGUUGUUAGAAAUACGGAACCAAUUCACUUAAAGCGUACAGAUACAGCGCCCACGGAUCUCGAUUGUGACUCGGGCCAAUCAGUCUCAUGCCAUUUCGAACAUGACUCGGCCUACCUAGCCUCACGCCACCUUGAACAUGACUCGGCCCAACAUAGCCUCCCGCCACAUGGCAGGAUGUUGGCCCAUUUAAAUUAACAUAAUGUUUUUAGCCAUUGGUUCCCAAUAUAUACUUAGUUCUUUUCUUUGGUCAUUGAACUUUUUAUUAUUUAUUUUGAUUAAAUUUUGCUGUUAAAAAUGCCGUUAAUUUUUAUGCCGUUAAAAUAUUUAUUAAAAUUAAUAGUAUUUUUAACUAUAAAGAUUUAGUUAAAAAAAUACUAAGAAUUAAAGAGCAAAACAACAGCUACCACUUUGUCAUUGCAAACUAAUUAUCCACGAUAGAUCUUUACAGUAUAACAAAAUAGUUAUCAUAAAAAUGUCGAGCGAAAAUAAAUAAAAUGACGUGAUUGUGGAGCACCAUGUGCUAAAUUGUGCGAAAAAUUCUAUAAUUUUUUUUCUCAUUUUAUAUCUUUAGAUUAAUGGAAAACUUAAGAUAGUCAAUGCAAGAUUUGGACUGUUCUCUAAUUCUCGCAAAGCACGAGGAAGAAAUUAACUGGGACACAAUAGAGUAAUUAGUAAUUUUUGGAGGACCUAAUUGCUAGAUUUAUUAAGGAUGAACUUUAAUUCUGCGUAAUAAUUAAUGAAUUCGCAUAUAUAGUAACAUAAAAAUAUAAAAUUUACAAAUAAUAAAAUAUAACAUUUUAAUAAGGGGUAAUAAGGUGCAAUGUGUAAAUGCUAAAGAAUUAAAAUUUUCCUGUAGCUUUUUGAAUAAAAAAUUUAGGGGCUAAAUUGUCAUUUCAUAGAAAUAGUUGUACGUUUCCAACAUUUCUCUCAACCAACAACUACCCAGAUUUUAAAGCCGACGUUGGAAGUAUCCGUCACCGUCCGUGGUUUGCGUUGGCCACCGAAUAACGGUGCCCAAAUAUGCAUAGGAAACCAUUUUUGCCGUGGACCUGGUCCACCACAUCAUUAAAGAAAAAUUUCAAUAUAAGAAGGUUUUUCAAGAGGAAAAAACGUCCCUACAAUAUAGAAAUUAAAUACUAGUGCCUCAAAAAAUAUCGCCAUAUAAAUUUUCUAUUGUUUCACACUAAUUUAUUAAAUGAUAAAUUUUACUAUUAUUUUUAGGGUUAAUUUUAUACAAUUUUUCAUAAAUAUACCAAAUAGCAGAUAUAUCCUUACAAAGUUUAAAUUAUCAGAUUUAUUCCUUCAAAAGUUCAGUAAUUAAACUGACUAUCCCUAGAGCAAGUGACAAAAGGUUUAGUGGUUGGUAUCCGAGAUCCCAAGUUCGAAUCCUUGAUUCACAUUUCCAGCUAAGUUUAUUUCUAAAUAAAAUAAAUAAAACGGGUAGCGUGCUGCCUAUCUCUAAAAAAAAAAAAAAUAACGUUCAUAUUUACUCAUCUGAUUUAUUACCAUUAGUUUUUUUAACAACAUGUGCGUAACAUGAUAAUUUUGCCCUUACAAAUUUCUCUUUAUAAAAAACUUUUUCUCUCUAUAUAGAAGCUUUCUUUCUUUUUUUCUCUUUCCUCAUCUUUGCCAUGGAAUGUGUGGCGUAUUUUAUUUUUGCUGCAAGCGAAGAUCUCGCCUUUGACAUCACCACCGCUAUAAAUCUUGCCGUCGUUUUGAAUAAAAAACGAGAGGGUGAGAAAGAUGACGAAACUCAACAUUGCAAUACAAAUUAUAUAUACAAAAGGUGAAAAAUUCAUUUUAUCUUUUAGCUAAUUAUGGUUAGUUUUUUUAACUUAUGAUUAUCUAAAUUUAUAUUUACAAACGGUAGAAUUGUUGGAGGAUAAAUCUGAUAACUUAAACUAAUGUAGGAAUAUAUUUACUAUUUGAUAUCUUUACAGAAAGCUAUAUGCAAAAAUUUCUUUAUUUUUAAUUUUCGUACACUUUAUUUGCCGAAUUUUAACCGACGCUUUCAAAUACGAUGCUAGACUAUAUUGAAACGCUUUUAAGCAUCGCUAAAUAUUUAAAAAAAAUCUCUUUUUUUUUUUGUGGUCAGUCACUGUUGUGGUUGAAUCUGUAGUUCAUCAUGUGAAAUACACGAAUCGCAAAACAAUAAAACCGUGCAUUUGCAUCUUCUACUUUGUGCUUUUAUAAUUAAGUUGUGUUUUUUUUUUUUCUUCUUUUUGUUACUUUAUUUUUAUUUUUCUAUAAAAAUUUCGACACUGAAUAGAAUACGAUGAUACCAAUUAACAACAUAGCACACAAACAACACGCGCUCAUCAUUUUAGUUGACUUAGAAUUAACGUACCACUAACCUGUAGCCAACUCAUCUCCUCUUCACCUGAACACACAUAUCAUUAUUUUUUAAUAUUUUUUAUUGAAGUGUGAAUAAAAUUUUAACUUUAUUUUUAUUUUAAAAUAAAUGAUAACAAAAUGUGUAAGAUAAACAAUUUAUGCAUUUAGAUAGAGCCAAAGAACCAGCGAUUAUCAUAUCUAAUAAGAGAAGAUUUUGAAAUCUAUGUUGGGGAAUAAACUCAGUACAUAAUGUACAUUAGCUUUAAGUUGUAUUAAAUGCAGUGCCCCCGAAUCCCCGAUCACAAUUGAAGAAGCACCCUUAAAUUACUUCCAUGUGGACACAAAUUCCUUUACUACAAUGGGUACCAACAUAUAGAUUUUAGCGCUUAUAGAUUUUAGCGAAAUUAAUCUGCACCAUCUAUAUCAGACGACACGAAUUAAUUAUACUAAAAAUUAGCAGAUGGAUGAAACUACGUGCCCGUAAAAAAUUCUAUACACGGAGUAGUAAGAAAUUUGCUUCUUACUACAAUAGAAGAGUACAUAUUUUUAUCACAUCCCGGAUUGCAGCGGAAGUUCCGGGUUUAUAUCAAUAGACCCACCGUAUGCACAAGGUUACACCUUAUAUAUACGAAGCGUCAACAAAUUCUGUCGAAAAAGAUUACGAAAAUUCAACUACAGUAGAUUUACUAAAAGAGUACAAUAAAAAUUAUAUACUAUAAUAACACUGUAGAUAUAUAUAUAUAAUCAUCACCACACCAAAUUCUUAAAAUGGUACAAUAUUUCUGGCCACUCCAAAUAUCAAAAUACUGCAUAGACUGCUAUAUAUAUAUAUAUAUAUUGAUAGAUGGCCCAGCUACACAUAUACAUACCCCAAUUAAAAACAUUCGUAUGUUUAAAUAAGCAUUUGAUUAAUGUUCUAAAAAUAACGAGGAUGGUUAGCACUAAGCCACUAAUUAACUCAGUUGUCGUUUUACAAGCGAUAUCUAAGUCAAUAAUACUCUAUCAAAAUAUUUUUAUAGUUCCUCACUUUGCCCCCCCAUGGUUUCGUAGUUUCUCAUUUCAAAAACCCCCCUGUGGUUUCGUAGUUUCUUACUUUGCCCUCCCGUGGUUUAAAAUGUAUCAAUUUGCUCCCCUGUGGUUUCUUUUUUCUCUUUUUUUUAUCAAUUUUAUUAUAUUUUUUUCUUAAAUCAGUGAUAAAGUUAAAAUUAAAAUGUACUAAAAUGAAUAUUUGAUAAAUCUAGAUAGGUAUCUGAAGUUUUUUGUAUAUAAUUUAAUAAAAUAUUAACGAAAAAGCUACCGGAAAGAUAAAAACAAAACCACAGGGGGGCAAUUUGAUACAUUUUAAACCACAGGAGGGCAAAGUGAGAAACUACGAAACCACAGGGGGGUUUUUUGAAAUUUUUCCUAAAUUUAAUCACGAGCUAUACUAUAUUUUUACAGUAUUUUAUUAAUAUGAUGAUUUGAAGUAUAGUUAUUGAACAGUUCAUGCAAUUCGCGAGACUGAUAAUUAUAGUACACCAAAGGCUAAUUUGCAUUAAAAAAUUUAUUGAUUUUAUAUUUUUAUAAAAACAAAUCUUUUCUAUUUUUAGUUUUUAAAGAUUCGACCUGAAUUUUUAGUGAACAUAUCAAAUUAUUUAUAUUUCUUUUUCUAUUCUCUCUCGAUCGUCCCUCUCCUCUUAAUUUAGUCCUAACACAUUUAAUCUUCUUAAUUUUUUAGAUAUAACUGUCAUUCAAAAUAUUAUUAUUGUUGGGUUAAGAAAUUUAGUACUAUUAUAUUUUAUAUUUAUAUAUAGUAUUAUUCCAAAUUUUAGGAAUGUCAUAUGUAGUGGCACUUUUGGAGGCUGUAAAAUUUUAUUUUAUUCAAUUUAAUUCUAAACACCAAAUAGAAUAUUCCAUGCAUCUAAACGUUGCAUUGAGAUGGUUUAGCCCAACCAACUCAAGCUCGGAAUUGACUUGAACUUUGGGCUGGGCCGAUUACGCUGGGCUCAGCCCUCGAAUACUUGUUAAUUAUAAAAAAAAUAACCCACAAUUCACUAAAAAAAAAAAAAUUGGUGAGGAAUUCUAAGAAAAAGUUUUCCUUGAAAAUUCAAUUUUUCAAUUUUCCGUCCAAUUUGGUACUAAAGAAAGCAAGCUUUUAUGAAAUAUUUUGUUUCAUAUUUCCAUAAAACUAAUUUUGGGUCAAUUUCUAUAAUUAAGUUGAUAUUUUGAGUAACAUGGUAUUAGAACUAGUUUUGAGUCUCUUUUGUUAUUAGAGGUUUUAAGUUUGAUUCCAAAUUUCACAGCAUAUUUCAUAUCUGUUAUUCCAAAUAUUCUUGACCUAGUCGUUUUUUUAACUUAUAAAACUUAUUUUAUGAACGAGGUUAUGUACAUAUCCAUGUGAAUAUACCAUAAAUCUAAUCUAAAUAAUUAAAAAUUGAUUAAUCUGCAAAACUUGUCUUAUUGAUCUCUUUUCACAAGAGACAAAUAUUCAACUCCAUGCAACCAAUCAAGUUUGCAUGCAUGCUUAUACAUAAGCUUCUAAACACCUCCUACGUACGUACGUGAACCCAAAUGGAGAUUUAUAGCUUGGGAACACAUAAUUAAAUCCCCUAAAUUAUUUAAAAAAAAAAAAAAACACACACACUAAUUACUAAUAAAUAAAUUCAAUCAGAGAACACCACCAAGCGCAGCAACAAAGGCCACCACAAUGCCAAUUCUCCCGGCCACCUCACGCGUCGUCAUCGCCGCCGCAUCGCCCCCUGCAACCGGGCCGGGCGCAUUCGCCGGAGAGACGCGGUAAGCGACCGGCGCGGGAGGUGAAGCGAUCGGCGCCUUCGGAAUCGGGGGGCUCCCGAUCGGCGACGGUAUCGGUCCCCCGCUCACGGGCGCCGGCGUCGGCGGCAUCGUAGGCGCCCUCGGCUUCGGCCUCGACGGCGCAGGGGCCGGCACGGGGGCGGCGUUCGGUGAGGGAGUCGGCGCGCUUUGCGUGUUAUUGGUCCCGGCGGAGACCCCCGGGGGGACUAUGACGCUGCUCAGCUGGAGCACGGAGAUGCUGUAGGGGUGCGUGACGAGCACCUUCACAAACUUGGAGGAGAGGGGGGCGCCGGGCACGGCGGAGCCGAAGGCGACGUCGCCGUUGGGCAUGUCGGUCACGUUCAAGAAGCCGGCGAGGCCCGACGCCAGGCCGGAGGCCUGGAAGAGGGUGGGGAGGGCGGCGGUGCGGUUCGUCAUCUUGCGCAGCUUCGCAUCGUCGUAGUAGUCGAGGACGACGUGGAGGCUGAGGACCUUCUUGAUGAGGUCCAGCGGCCGGCCCGCGGCCGCGGAGACCGCCGCGUUGUCGGCCGCGAGCACCGUGAGGGUGUCACGGCGGUUGAUCUCCGCGGCGAGGCCGGUCCGCGAGAGGAGGUUAUUGAGGGCCGAGAAGUCGGGGAAUUGCGAGAGGAUCGUGGUGAUGUUGAAUGCGCCGGCGAAGGCGGGGACGAGGAGGAGGAGCAGGAGCAUGAAGGGGAGGGUUGAAGCCAUGGUUGAUAUAGAGAGAGAGAGAGAGAGAGAGAGAGAGAGAGAGAGAGAUGGAUGGAUGAGGAGAGAUUAAGGGAUGAGGAAGGGGGUUAAGUAUAUAUAAAGAAGGUUUAAGUAGUGUAUGAUAGAUAUAUUUGAGUGAUUGGUUAGGAGGGAAAGAGGGAGGGGAGGGCAAUUUGGAUGGAACAAUUGGAGGGGGUGUCUAAAGUUUAGGACAAAUUAUUGCAUGAACACCAACAUUCCAGCAUCUACACAAAUUUACGCAACAAACAAAACUCGUAAAAAUUAAGAAGAUAACUAAUUCACAAAUCUCGAUUGUGAUUUGACACGAAAAAUCAAUCUUCUGUGUAUGAAUAAAGCACAGUAUAAUCAGAGUCAAUAUAAUAACUAUAAUAUUAAAAUAAUAAUUUAAAAUUCUUGUUUGUAUCUUUUAUAUAAUGUAUAAUAUGAAUGUACUUGAUUGGAUACUUUAAAUAUUUGGUGAAAUUACUCUAAAAAAAAAACAACAAAAAACUUUAUGAACACCUUCGUAAGAGGUCAUUGGGUGGUUAGUGGGCCAAACCUGGCCUAGCCCAAUUAAAAAUGGGUCCAAGAUUACGUUUAUGGCCUACGUGGGACCACAUUUUGCGAAAUGGGGGAUGCGCAACGAGAGGAGUGAAAAUGGGCCCAUUUUCUCCCUCUAUUUCUCUCUUUUUAUUUUUUAUUUUUUUGUGUGAUCUAAGUUAUUUGGGACCAGAGAAAAUUUUCUGUUUAACCGCCACACCACGUCAGCAAUAUAUAACCAAUCAAAUACAUACUUUCGAGAGAAAAGUAUAACAAAUUUUUUUUUUUAUAAACCAUAAUAAUGGGAUGGGUGAAUUUUAGGAGACAGUUGUGAUUUUUUUUUUGAGAAAUAGGUAGCACAUUAUCUGCUUCAUUUAUUAAGCAAAAUGAACUAAGUGUACAAGAUGGAAGCAGUUAAGGCCUCCAUACGUAGAACCAGCAAAAAGAGAUAAAAUUAAAAAGCAAAAAAGAAGAGGUAAGGUGAGAAAAGAAAGAGGGAAAGAGGGUCUAAUGGCACAUCAGAGCAGUGCGGUCCAGUUGUAGAUCAGUAAUUUAACACGUUUAAGAGACCGGAAAGCAUCGGGCCGCUUUCCUCGGAAAACGGAGAUGUUUCUAUCCGUUCAAACCACCCACCAAAUCGCCGCUAGAAGAGUCAAACGUUGUUUUCUCAGCGAAUCAACUGGGUUGUUGGAAAUUUCGGCCCAAAGACUUGUGACGUCGCUCGUGAAGUCGUCAGUUGCGUCCAAUCCUUCCACACUGAGGAGGAGGUGAUGGGUCAGUUGCGUUGGUCGUGACGUCGCCCGUAAAGUCGUCAAUUGCGUCAGUUGUGAUUGGUUGAGCCACGCCACAUAGGAUAUAUGAUGAAAAACUUGCUUGUGGGCCUUAGCCUCGAUUGUAAAUUUGUAACCCCUUUGUAGACCCAUUUCUCAACACCCAAUAAGUUAACAAGGCGACAAUCUGCAUAUUAAUAACUAGCUACACUUAGUUUGGUAAUGUGGUGAUUAAAAUUAUUAUUUAAUUUUAUAUUUUUGGAUGGUCCAAAAAAAAAUUUAAAAAUACAUUUCACUUUUUGCCUCAUUUUAUAUUAUAAAAUUAUAGUGGCAACGACUUCGGAAAAAGCACGUGAUGGACUACAUUUUUUUUUAUGGUUGUUGUCACCAUAAUUUUAUAGCAUUAGAUGAGGAAAACUCCGUAGCUCUUUUAAUUUUUUUAGACCUCCCAAAUUAUAAAAAUAAUAUUUUUAGCCGCCAUGUAUAUUACCAAGUUAGGCCUCAGACAAGUGAUUUUUUUCUACCUAACCAGUUUUUGCUUUAAUUCGUGUGAUUUGCACAUAGAUUUUUUUUUUUUUUUUUUUAAUACUCAACGUCCAGUUUUUGCUCGGAACCUACGAGAAUUUCAUGCUUACUCCGAUACCAUAUGAAGCAAUCAUUUUUUCUAAAAUCUUAAUCUAUUAGAAAAUAAUAUUUUAAGGUGAGGUGUAUGAAUUAAAGACCAAGUUAUCCGAAUGUGAAAUGACUUGACCUAAAAAGUGUGACAAAAAAUCGCAUAAAUGUACUCUACUAUGUGCGUGUAACACAUGCAAAGCUGUAUAUCCUGUAUCUACUUAGGAAUACAUAAAUAUUCAACUCCCUGAAGAAUAAUCUAUAAUAUCAGCAUGGGAUGUGCAUAUGAUGGUGAUCUUUUUGUUAAGCUUUUUCUCAUGUAGGAACAACGUGGGGGAAUGAUCCUCCACACAAAGAUUAUCUACUUUCUAUAUAUUUUUGGUUUGACUCACCACCAGCCACCAAAUGUAUAGUUUUCUACGCAUAUCCCGUAGCAACAAAUGUUGUGAAUCGCAAAAGACCUAAAUUUUUGUAGUAUGUAGUUUAGAAAACAAGAUACACAUGCUACCUAUUGAACAAACUAUAAGUAGCCAUGCUUGAGUUUGCUUAAAUUAUGAUUAUUAGACCGAGCGACUAAGCCAUGAAUUAGAACUCAAAGAGGAGGAAAAAAGUUUGUCGGGUUCGUCGGCCAGCUAUUGCCGAUGACGGCAGAAAAGAUGUGCUCGAGGAAUAAGACUAGAGAUCACAAUGGAGCGAAAGGGCCCGAGGGUUCAAGAAAAGAUUGGGAGCGCAAAUUCUAGAGCAAUACUGCUGGUACGUUCCAAAGUGGGGUAUAGAUCUUCAACCACUUUAUCCAAAAGUCAUUAAUUCUCGAUUUAUCGCAUCAACUUUUUUUAUUUUUAUUAAAAAUUAUUUGAAUUUUUAUAAACCCUAGAAUAUGAGUAUAAGAUCUAAACUCUCUUUGAUGGUGUAUAAGUAGAAUUUCUCCAAAAUUUGUAAAAGAAAUUUCAAUUUGGCCCGCCCUAAAAAAUAAAAUUUAUAAUAUUUUGAUUUUUACUAUAAAAGACUUGUAUACAAUUUUAAGAGUUGAGAAAGGCCAUGGUCACUGUGAGACUCAUAAUGUCUCCAUGAUAGACCUUCAUUAAUCUUAGCUUUGUAAUAAAGUUACUGUACGUGUUGUUUGAUGUAGUGAUAUUUACUUACUGGUUUUGAGCAAUACUUUAUUGAAAAUUUCAAACAAUUUUAUAUUAUAUUUUUGAGAGUUAAAAUCGAGCAUGUCACUCAUUUGUAAACUUAUGCGUGCAAUGUCAAAAAAAAAAAAAAAAAAACUCAUGAUUUGCAGAAUUAGUUUCUUAUUCAUAAGCCCUUAUAAAUUUUGAUGAAUUAGAAGGAUUAUAACACAUUGUUGUUGUUAGAAAUAUUAAUUAUAAGCUUAUAUUGACUUAUAUAACAUGUCCUGUUAAAUUUUUAUCACUUAAUUUCGAAGUAGAAAGCAAAUAGCUAGAAGAGUAUUUUAAAAGUUUGAGUGCUAUAAUGCAAUAAAACAAAAAAUAAUCAGAGUAAAACUCAAGCAAUAAUUUAGAAACUAAGAUUUAAUCUAGAAAUUAUACAUCAUUCUAUACGAUGUAUGUACGUAGAAUCCUGAAUUACCGCCAUUAUUGAUAAGGAUAUAGAUCCAAGCUCUUCGCUAUAUAUAACACUAGAGUUAAUAUUAAUCAACGUAGUAAUGCAUGCAUGAAGCUGAUCAGUAUAUACCAUAUAUAUAUACACACACUAACAAAUUAACUAGAGCAUAUAUAGGUUGUCGGAUCGCUGACGCUAGCCACUAAUCCUAAAAGUUCGAGCAGUUAGAAAUACGCAACCAAUUCACUUAAAACAUAUAGAUACAGCACUCUACUAGUCUCGAUUGUGACUCGGCCCAACCAAUCUCACGCCACUUUGAACAUAACUUAGUCCAAUCCAGCCUCAUGUCAUUUCGAACAUAACUCGAUCUAAUCUGACCUCCUACUACAGAACAAGAUACUGACCCUUUUAAGCCAAUAUAUCUAGGUGCUAUACAGGAUCACUUCGUAGAUCAUCAGCUUCAAAGCACGCACACAGAGCUCUCGCUAUCACCAUGUGAUUUUGAUCAGACGCUGUCGACCCACCGUGGGAUCCACCGCGACUUGCAUGCAUGUAUCCUCUCCUUUCGCUCCCAUCUCUAGACCCCAACUAAUUAAUACAAAUUAAAAUAAUCAUAACUUAUAUCCAUUAAUUAGCUUAAAAUUUUGAGUUCAGAAUAUAUUUUAACAUGGUAUCAAAGGUUGCUUCACACACACUUCUUUUAUGUACGUACAGUCCAGUUUCUUUACUGGUUCGUCUAUCUAAUUCUCGUACAACUGUUUUAAAUACAAAGAAUAUUUUCUCUACCUAUCAGGUUAAGCUUCUGCGUUGGACCUUUUGUCUUGGAGAUUAUAAGAGGUAACACACUCAUUGAAUUAAUUGUAAUGGAUUCUCUAAAAAGUUAAUUAGUUCGUACGUGUAUUGAAGGGAAUUUAUAAGUGAUUAGGGAGAGAACAAAGGGGAACAGAGAGGAUGAAGGAAAAAAGAAACGCUGUGGCCCCAUUCAAACGACACUUGUUCCCUCCUUUUCUCUCGUGGUUCCCGUGCUCGGUACAUCUAAAUUAACUCCUAAAUUAACUUACUUGUAGGCUCGAUCUCCUUUUCUCCCGUGUUUAAUAUUAUAUUCAAUACUCUUCUUAACGCGCGACUGAGUUCGAAACAUGCAUUUUGAUAAGUCCAAAACAUAAAUUUAAAUUAAAUAAGAGGAAGUUAGUAAUGAUAAGAGUUUGGUACGACGCAAGCUUAGGAUCUCCUGUUUGAUACCAUGUUAACUUAAAUAAAAUAAUCGUUAUUAUCUAAAAACGUAAACUGCUAGAGAACAAUGUUUAUAUAUAUAUAUAUAUAUAUAUAUAUAUAUAUAACAGGUGCUACAAAAGGCUAAGAAAUAAAAAAAAUAAAAGCAUAUAUGCUUAAUUUGUAAAAGAAAAGUUUUUAUGAGAAUAAAAUUUAUUUUAAUUUAUUGAGGUUUUGGUAUAGGAUGAAAAUGUAUAGUUUGUAGGACAUGCAUAUAUUUUAUUUAAAGUAUUGAAUAUAAAAUUAUAAUAAUAAUAUUUUUUAAUAGUUUAAAUUUUUAGAGUAAUCGAUUUUUUGCAUGAAGCAUAGAUACUGAGUUUAUUUCCUCCUAUGCAUUUCAAAUACACGCAAUUGAUAGUAUAUGUUGAAUAUAAUUAUCGUUUCAUUUAUUAUAACUAAAGCUAAGGCUAAUUAAUAGUUAUAUAUAUUUUUAUACGUAAUAUAGUUUUUUCUAUAUGUGAAACCAACCAUUCUAAAAAGAGAAAUGCUAAAGUCCACAACCCAAAGAGGAUUGUAACGUUACAACUCUUAAUCCAAAAUUUGUAAUCUUAUCCUUCAGUUUUUUUUUUUUUUUUUUUUUAGAAUUUGCUAUAUAAAAAGAGGGUUGAUGAAACGAGUAGAGAAACAUGAACCGUUGGAUGAUAUAAAGUUGUAUGAUUAUAACCAAAAAGUGAUCGAUUGUGGGUUAGUUUUCGGCCCAAGAUUCUUUUCAGAUCUCUUUUACAUGCAUCCAAACACCUCCAAACUUAAUUUAUUAUUGUAGAUCUCUUUUAUAAGUUUUUCACUAUUAGAUCUAUUUUUUUUUAUCAUAUCUAUCUCUUAAAUUAUACUAUUCUGCCAACCACACCCACUCAACUCUAGGAGAUUACUAUUAUUUUAACCCUAUGAAUCUUCAUUCAAAUACCAAAAAUCUAUAAACACCAAUGAUUUGAUACUUUUAAAAAUAUAGAAACUUAAUUUUCUGUACAUAACCUAUGGUAAAUUAUAACACCUACAAGGUGCUAAAUCCUUCUCUUAGAUAUGAUUUUAAUAUUAGAGAAUUUAUAAAUACUUAUAAAUUAUUUAUUUAUUUACUGAACUUGACCAAAUUCAAUGAAUCUAAUGACGCCUACAAUCCUCAAAAAAACACUGCAGUAGGAAGUUAUCUAACGAUGCCUUAUCUAGGAUUCAAAUUUUAUUUUUUAGAUUUUAGUAUUAAAAUACGUUCAAUGAAAGAUUGGAAUGAGGCAAAACUAAUUAUAGCUGGGGGAUCAAGAGAUCUCCAAUAAAAUAUCUUUUGAGAGCUCCCUACUGAAAUUUUAUCCACGAUGCUCGUCCUUGGUGCGUGGCGAGAACAUAAUUACCAAAAGUGCUUCGCAGGCGCAUGGGAACGAUUGCAAACCCUAAUUUCGGUCAAGCGGACCGACCAGGCGCUCCCGUGAAAAGCUUCCAGUUGUCCCCCCCAUCCCCACCCCCACCCCAUCUUCUAAUCCCCCUCUCCCUCUUAUCUUAUUCUUAAAUAAACUCACUAAUUAACUAUUUCUCUCUCUCUCUCUCUCUCUCUCUCUCUCUCUCUCUCUUAUAUUAAUACUCUUUUAUUUGUUUAUGUAUACAAUAAUCCUCGCCGUGCUCUCUUUCUCUCUCAUCUUCAUAUUCAUCUUCUUCUUCUUCUUCUCCUUCCACUCUCCGCUUUCUAUAACACCAUCCUCACCCUCAACUCUUCUUCUUCGCUCUUCUUCUUCUUCUUCUUCUUUCGCUUUGUUUGCUCUCUCAGCUGUGAGAAAACAGUAAGCUUAGUGCGGAGUAAAUUAAGAGGCUCGAAUGGAGGGCUCCGCGCACAACUGGCUCUCUUUCUCCCUCUCUCACCAUCAUGGCCUCUUCGAAGCCUUCUCCACUCCGCCGCCGCGGCGGAGCCGAGGAGGGUGGCGGAGGAGUCAACUUUCGGUCAACGCACCUCCAUUUACCGUGGGGUUACGAGGUGAGCACGCGUACGUGUGCGCGCGUACGUACGUAGCUUCGUUUGGCUAAAAUAUUAAGAGGGGUAUAACCGGAAGAGAAAAGUCGCAGGGGCGUAUUUUGGGAAUUUGCUGAUUGGGUGGGGCUAUUUUGGUAAAUAGGCACAGGUGGACGGGCCGGUAUGAGGCGCACCUCUGGGACAAUAGCUGUCGCCGGGAGGGUCAAAGCCGAAAAGGGCGCCAAGGUAGCGUGUAAAGAUCACACUAACCUGCGCCGGUCCCUGCGCAUUUUAGAUUUGAUCCUUUACUUUUCACUAACGUGCGCACCCUUUUGCUCUUUUUUUUUUUCCUGGUUUCAUCUACGUGGCGCGUUCUGAUUGGGCGGCUCCUGACCAUGCAUCUCUCUCAGUCUACUUAGGUAAAAUUUCAUCUAAGAUUAUAAUUUGAGUUACGCAAUUAAUUAAAAGAGAGCAUGAUAUAAAGUAAAAGUUUAAUUUACAGUGAAGCUUUUGUAUUUAGAGCUUAAAAUCUUAGCUCAGCUUUUAGUUAUAUAUAAAGAAAGUUUUUGAAGCGAUCUAUUUGCAAAAUGUUAUAUACACAAAAAAUAUCAAUGACCGAAAGUAUAAAUGAGAUCCAACAUACACUAAAAAGCUUUAUUCAGGAUACUCGCGAAUGGCGAUCCAAUUAGAAUUAGCACAGAUUUUAAAAAGGCUCUUCCAUAUGAUUCACAAUGUUAUACAUUUGAUAUAAAUUUCAAUAUUUGAUCUCUUGCAAAAAAAAAAAAAAGAGUAGUUCUUAAACAUUUUUUGAACUUGAAAAUAUUUUAGGUGGCUAUGACAAAGAGGAAAAGGCGGCGAGAGCGUACGACCUCGCGGCGCUCAAAUACUGGGGUCCAAACGCGACCACGAACUUCCCUGUAAGCGACCACACCACGCUCCCUCUAGAGACUAAAAUCAAAAUCUCAACAUAUAGAAAAGUGUAUUAAUACGUAUUUCGUAUCGUAUAUAGGUGUCGAAUUACGAGAAGGAGUUGGAGGAGAUGAAGACCAUGACGCGCCAAGAGUUUGUGGCCUCUCUGCGAAGGUACGCAAACCCUUGCAUGCAUACAUGCAUGUAACAUGCAAAUGCAGCACGUCCAUAGAGGAGUCUUUGGAUAUGUGGGUUUAUUUGUGACCUCAUCUUUUUCUUUUUUUUUUUCCUAUACAGAAAGAGUAGUGGGUUCUCUAGAGGAGCUUCCAUAUAUAGAGGAGUAACAAGGUUAGAACAUCCAUCUCUUUCAAUAUGUUUUUGAAUAUUAGUUGAUGCUUAACGUAGUUUCUUUCUUAUGCAUAAAUUUUAUGAAUACAUAUAUGAUUCGACAGGCACCACCAACAUGGCCGUUGGCAGGCGAGGAUCGGCCGAGUAGCCGGCAACAAGGACCUCUAUCUAGGCACUUUCAGUAAGUGAUCGAUCCGCUUGACAAUUGAAAAAAUAUUUUAGCUUGUUAACUUGGUUAUGCUUUGCAUUGUCUUUGUUCUAAAUUUUUAUUUUAUUUAAUGCACCAAAGGAUGGUUAGUUGUUUCCAAUCUAUAAAUCUCUUUGGUUUUCUUGGUACCAAUGAAAAUUAAAAUUUAGUAGCAAACUUUUCUACAUUUGUGCCUUAUUAAUUAAAGAAGUUAAAUGAGCUUGCAAGCUAUUGAGACUGGUAAAAUUUGAGUUCAAACAUAAAAUAAAGGGGAAAAAAAAUAGUGUAACCAAGCAAUGCCUUAGCAUUUUCAUUAACUUUACAAUUAAGUAAAUCGAAAUUUUACAAUUAAAUUUGUGUUCGUAGGCACACAGGAGGAAGCGGCGGAGGCCUACGACAUAGCAGCGAUCAAAUUUCGGGGCCUCAAUGCGGUGACCAACUUCGACAUGAGCCGCUACGAUGUGGAGGCCAUACUCAACAGCGACCUGCCGAUCGGGAGUCUAUCUUCCAAGGCAUCGAAGGUCUCAUCGGACGCAUCCUCGAUGACAUCCGCAUCCGAACUCAGGCCCGGGAGAAGCGCGGAGGCGCCAUCGCAAGGUGGCCAAGACUACUGGUCUCUCCUCGCGCACCACUACCACCAACAAGAGCUCUACAACGCAUCAUCGGGCUUCGAAGUGUUCGGUUCCGGGGUUAAUGUGGAUUUUUCAGCUAGUAGUGGUGGUGGUGGUGGUGGUGGCAACAGUUAUGGUGGUGGGGUUAUGUGGAGUGGUGGUGGUGCAAUGGCUCACCAAAUGCAUGAUAAUAGGGGGAGUAGUAGUAGUAGCAGUGCAUGUUCAAACAUUCCUUAUGCCACACCUAUUGUUAUGGGAGGGAACUAUGAGAGCUCAAAUAGUAAUGUGGGGAGCUGGGGUACUGCACCUUCUUACUUCUAUAAUUACCAGGGUGCAACCUCUAAUGCUUCAGCUAUGCACACAGCUCUUUAUGGAAUGGAAUGAUGAGAAUGAUAAAGGAAAAGUAGAGAGAGAGAGAGAGAGAGAGAGAGAGAGAGAGAGAGAGAGGUGACAGUGACCUCAGGAGGAGAGAAUGCUACAGGGGAGCAGAGAAAGAGAGGGGUGAUAGGGGACUAACAUGGGAUACAAAGUUUUGCUAGUUGUCAUGCUCUUUUACUUUGUGUUAUUCUUUUGCUGACACAAUUCUGUACUAAUCAUUAGGGUAGCAGAGUAGCAGUAACAUGAAAACCCUUUAAGCAUCUUUUUUUGUAUCUUGACUUAAAUUUGUUUCUUCUGAGCUUGCAUAACAAUCAUGCCAAAAAUGACUUGCUUUAAAUGUUAAUUACUCUACAAUUUUUUUUUUUUUGAGAAAUUAAGUUAGCAAACUAUUCGCUUCGUUUAUUAUUUUUUCUUUUAGAAAAAAGUUCAUCUAGAAAUAGAAAUCAGCUAAACUCGGAACUUCCGCGAGUACCAACUAUUAAGUUAUUAGCCAAGUGCUUGUUUUAGGUACUCUACAAUGUUGAAUGCAACAAACACUAGUUAUGUUACAAUGUGCAUAUAUGGUCAUGCAUGUUUUGUAUUUCUGUAAACUAAAUCUCUGGACAUUAAAUGUGAAUCUUGCUAUUAAUUAGUACUUAUGAAUCAAAGAAAGGAAGGUCAUCUUCUUAGAAGAUUUGAUCUUUCCUUUUCUUCCUAGACUAGGAUCUAAAAAGAAGGCUCCAUUUUUCUAGCCCCUAUAAUAGAAAUGCUAAUUAUAUAAUAUACAUUACAAUUUUUCCUAAAAAAACAUAGCAUAGCAUUUGAUCUAGUCAAUAAAGGAUAUUUUGAGUUUAAUCCGGAAGGUGUUUAGCCAAUGUAAUCAAUACUUAAUGAGUGGAGCAAGAGACGUAUCUCUAAAGAAAGUAAGAAACUAUGUACAUAAUAUAUAUACACGAAUCAAACCAAAACAGGUUAAAGGUGAACAAUGUUCAUAUCAUUGACAAACUUUUUAAGCGCAUGCAUGAAUAUCAAAGAAGAUAUAUAUGGAAUCUCAACAUAGAAUGAUCGUUUUAUAUAUACUAUAUCAUAGGUUUAAUUAUAAUAAUUAACAUUCUUAGUGCAAGUGGCAUAGGACUUUAAUGGUUGGUACCUGAGCUCACAUUUUCGAAAAAAAGGUUUAUAAUUAACUAGAGCGCUAUACGUAUCUGCAUAACAAUUUUUCUUGAUAAUUGAAAUUGAUGUUUCUAGUUUUUUAUUAGAGAAUUUGUGAUUUAACUGGCUCAUGGGCUUAAUAUAAACAUCGGUUUAGUUCUUUUUUCUUCUAUUUCAUUGAAAAUAUAAUGAAUAGUUAUUACUGAUGAUCGAAUUUGCUACCGAAUGAAUUGUUGCACUUUCGUUUAAGUUUAGCUACUUUAAGAUCGAUCAGUUUAUAUAUACAAGGAGCAAAAGUCUCUUUGAUUAACCAUAAUACACUUAUAUAUAUAUAUAUAUGUGCACUGUGUUUUAGAUCUUAAAUAUAUAGUACGUGAAUACUUUUGAGGCAGUGAUAUUCCCUGCGUCAAAUUAGAUAUUCUCUACAUCAAUCAGUUUGGGUUGACAAUAACUAUACUAUAAGGCAUGUCAAAGUAAAGAAACAAAAUGUUCAUGUUUUUCUAUAUCUUCACAUGUUGCAUACAAUUAAGUACUUGAAAAUUAUAUGGCAUGGUAUAUACAUAACCAGUUGUAGAGAUAUCGCUAUAUUCUAAAAGUGACAAAUGAUCCCUUAUAUCUGCAAAGAUGGAGAAGAUUAAUACAAUUAAUAGUGGAUGCAUAGACUUAGCAAGAGUAAGUAUAAAUCGAAGCAAUAUUAAUCUAUGGAAAAGAAUAUAAUAGGUAGAACAGAUAAUUAUAAUAUUAUACAUUAAGUUAGGAUGGAAAAAAUACAAUUAGAAAUCAUAUAAAAAAGGAGAUUGAGGCAUGCAUGCAUAUAUAUAUAUGAUUACUUGGAAUGUAGCUUAGUAGGUGUCUUAGGGCAUGGAAAGAACCUUAAAUGCAUGGGGAUCAAUAAUCAUACAUACUCUUUAACAAAUAUUAAUAACAAUUAAUGAGUAGUUAUUAUUACUCGAUCGUAGCAAUCAAGAUUCUAAUUACUUGCGUUUAAUUUGCAUUUAGACUAGUAGCUAUUAUAUAUAUAGCCUAGUCUUGUGGCUAGUAUUAAGCACCAUAAUUUUCCUUUUUUUCUUUUUUUUUUUGUUGUCACUUCUUUUGAUAAGCUUCCACUGGGUCUGUCUCAUGAAACCACAACAUGAUAUGCUUAGUUUCUCCCUCCCCCAACCUUAUAAGUUACAAUGGACACAUAAAAAGAAAUAAAUAGUUAAUUACUACUAUUUUGUUCAUCCCUUCGAGAAGGGCCUCUCCAGCUAUUGUUGACCAGAGGACACCCCAGUCAACAAAUGUGGCACUGAGGGCUUCUUUUAAAAAAAAAAAAAAAAAGGGAUUAGGGUUACUUCAUUCCCAUUUGCCACUUUGGGAGGCACACUAGUUUGUUUCCCUUCACAUUUCUCCAUGUAUCCAAUGCUUAUCCUAAUAGUAUAAUAAGAUACAACUGAGAUUCUCUUUCUCCUUCUCUGGUUGAGGUUUAUUUUGCUCCACUCUUGUCACUAUUCACAAAGAGGGUCCAUGUUAUAGGAGGGUCUUUUAUUGAGGUGGAUGUAGAGACAAAAAGGGGAGUAUUAUAAAUGAUUAAUGUGUGGUCCUCUUCAUCUAAAGAGUAGGUAUUAAGUAGUUUAAAAUUUUUAAUAAAUAUAUUGCACCAAAAUGCAGUUUGUCCCCUUUGUUACAAUUCAAAUCCAGUCUUCUGAUGCCCACACUAAAAUAUUUAGCAAAAUCUGACAAGGUUUAAAAAAAUAACCACCCCUUUCUCUCUCUCAAUCUCUCUCUCUCUUCCCCCACUACAACAAAAACGGUAUAUAGCGAUAUUUUUAAAUAUCGGUACAAAUAAAAAAAAUGCCGCAAGCUAAAUUACCGAUACUUUUUAAAAGUAUUACUAUAUGUGGGGUCGCCUUGAUAUUUGACACUCACUCCUCCAGCGACCUGUGGCGGAGGGACACGUACGUGGCGAUCAUAGCCCUCUACGGCUCCUGCGAGAUUCUCGCGGCCGAACUUCAACUGCCGGAAUCUUACCUCGUCGGCUGCGACAGCGGAGGAGAAGGGAAGAUGGUGAUCAAAUUUUUUUUUUUUCUAUUUGUAAUCGAGCCGAAUAGGCUAGAGAUGGGAUUGAUUGAAUAAAGAAAUUUUUUAUUUUUGGUUGGAUUAAACUUUAUAUUUAGACCUUAGUAGAUUUUUUAAAAAAUUUUUGACAUAAAUGAAACACUAAUACAAAAGUGUUUCAAAAAUAUAUUCCUAUUCCCCAAACAAAAAAAAAAAAAAAAAUCUUUAUGUCCAUGUUGAAAUUUUAUAACCGUGUUUAACUUGUAUGCAUCGCUGCAUUAUUAUAUGAAGUACAGCUCAGAUUGAAAGACGUGCCGAUAAAUUACAUAUCAAAGGCUCAAUCUUAGUUACCAGUAUCACUCUCCUUAUUACAUUUGUAUUCAAAUUUGAAACGUUUUUCCACCAUCAAUUCACUGCCUCUAUUUACUACUCCUUUAACUCAAGGUUUAGUAUAUAAAAUUACAAACUGAGAUUUGUUAAAGCAUCUUUUGAUGAUCACCUGAGUCAAACUCGUGCAUCAUGAGGUAUAUAUAUAUAUGUAAGUGAGAGGUCGAACAAUUCAAAUGCACAAGUACUUGUACACAUUGCAUAUAUAUAUAUAUAUUAUUGUAUCUAUGCUAGUUGUAUAUAAGUAAUUAACAUUUAGUGCUUUCCUUCUCUCUAGAUCUUUCUCUCUCUCUCUCUCAUAUCAACUCCACCUGUGGUGUGUCUUAUUCGAUUUAAACACAUGCCCAUGAGAGAUUCUUAUUGCACACAAGCUUGAUCCUUCAAACAAAUAAAGGGUGUGAGUCACUUUUCAAAUGGGCAAAUGCAAAGUGGGUCAUAGUCAAAUUCCAUGCUGUGAAAAGGGCCCUUCUUUGGGUUUUGAGGAGGGGGGGGGGGUGUCUCUCCCUUGGUUUUAGAAAAGGUUGUUUGGAUGUUCCCCUUCUUUGAUGUUUAAACCUAGAAACUGUGUCGGCCACCAAACCCCUCCACCUACCCUACAUGCAUCUUGUAGUUUUCUCCUUAUACUGUGCCAUGAUAUGUACAAACAUAUGUAGCAUGCAUAUAAAGGGAGCUUUAUAUUUUCUCCAUAUAUACAUAUAUGUACAUGCAUAUAGGUGUUUGCCUUUUUCACUAAUUAUUUUCCCUUUUUUCUGGGGCCUUGUAUGAUUGAAAAUAUAUUUUAUGAUUUUUAUAAGAUUAAGUCGUUAAUUAAAAUAUUUGAUUGGUAAUAUAUAUGCACUUUUACCAAAUCAUUUACAGCAAACUUGGAUUCUCUAAUAAAGCAUAUAUACUCUUGUUCCUAUGCAACCGUUAUCUAAUUAAACGUGCUUAUACGAGAAUAUUUAGUCGCUGUAAUGCGAACAAUCACUAAGGUCAAAAUUUAAAGCUAUGCUUAUUUAUGGGACAAGACAAAUUCUAAAGCCUUGUUUAUGCUAGGAGUUAAAUAAUAAUAAUAAUGCUACUUAAUUAGCAUUGGAUCAUGGGGAUCUAGUCAAUGAUCCAACCUGAUUAGUUUGAUGAAACUCGAUGCAAGGAUUUGAAAGAUUUGGAGUGUUGCCAUAGCUUUGUUUCUUCAAAUUUUAAACUCCAUAUCCCUUUUGACAACCCCAAAUAAAAGAAGUACAAAAAAAAAAUUCUAUCAAUGGUUUAGCAUAGAAAAACAUAUGGUACUACAACAUAAUUAGGUUAUAGCGACACAUGUUUGGGAUACUUUUGAGUAAGUGUCCAAUUUAUGCUAAAACUUAAAAAAACAUCUGCUAAUGCCUAAAUAUAAAGCCCAAUCCAACCAAAAAUAAAAGAUUACUCUAUUCAACCCACCACACCCAGUCCAUUUGGUCCGAUUACAAACAGAAAAUAAAAAAAAAAGAAAAAUCAAUUACCAUCUUUUCUUCUCUCCUCACUCAAUCCACUGAAAUUCUAGACGAAGAUCCUUUCCUGUCGUCCUCCUCCGCCACCGCAGCCAACGAGAUAGAGUUUCGGCGGUUGCUAAAUACUUAAAUAAGUGUUGAUAAAUUAGCAGCACUCUUUUAGGUUAUAGCGACACUCUUUAACUGUCACUAUAUACCUAGCGACCCCACAUAUAGCAACACUUUUUAAAAGUGUCGGUAAUUUUAGCUAGCAGCACUUUUUUGACAUGUACCUAUAUUUAAAAGUAUCGCUAUAGACCGUUUUUGUUGUAGGGAGUUAUGUUACGCUUAUAAAUAUUUUUUAAAACAUUUUGCAGAUCUACUUAGGUGGUUAUGCGCGCAUUAGGGAUUGGUGUUCACAAAUCAAGAAACUCUAGAAUAAAUUUAUGACAUUGUAAAAAGUCUUGUAAGAUGUUUAAAAGCAUAGCAUUAUUCUUAUAUAUAUAUAACGGCCUCUUAAUUAGGGAAUAGGAUUCAAUAAGAUGUAAAACUCGUGGGAGUUACAGCAAACCACUAUUUAGAUAAAUUGAUUGUAUAUAUAUAGAAAAUUAUGUAGGUGGUCAGAGAUUCGAACCUUUGCAAUGGGUUCGAACCCUAGCAACAAAAUAUCUACUCUUCCGAGAUCCAAAGACAAUGUAACUCUUCGAGGCUGGAUGCAAAGUAGGAUUAUUUAUGCUGAACCUACCCAGCCAAAUUUGAAACAGAAGCGAUUGCUUACAACUCCACGCGAAAGAUAUUUUGCGCGCCUUUAAUACUGGUUUUAGAUUGAUUUUUUAGAUAACACAGUUUCAGAACCGGUACUAAACCUCUUUUACUCUAAUAAAAAGCCAAAUCCAUAGUAACAUCACUCCACAGUACAAACUCUAUUGUAUAUAUGCAAAAUUCGCUGCAGCUUUGCUACUCAAGACCAGCAAAACAUAGUACAUUUUUGCUAAUUUUCGAAUAAUUUUACCGACAGUAUGAUAACGCGAAUAACAUGAACAAAAUCAUCAACUAUUUAAUGCAGUGGUUUGGCAUCUGAGAGCAGGCCUUGAGGCCGGGGAUUUGAACCCCGCAUGUGCUUUUAUCUGAUGCUCGGGUCCCUAACUUCGGGUACGAAAAGAUGUAGAUUUUCUUGGUGUGGGGUCAAUACGCAAGAAUGCAUUGUCUCAGAACAUUGUGUUUGCCAAAACUGAAAAGAAAUGCCAAAACUGAAAAGAAAAAAACACCUGGGACUGCUACAGAGGAUCUUAAGACUCCAAGAACUUCGUAUUUAAUAACUUGAUUUUUCGUAAUUUGCUGUAUUUACCUGGUAGUGUAGCUUCCCAGCAAGAAAAAGUAUAGGCCUAGUUGCCUAACAGCGUCAAAAUAAGAGUGUCCACAAAAUAGAUCCUAAAAAGUCAUCGGGAGCACGAUAAUUAAAGUGAAAAAUCUAUCAUAUCUUAAUAUGGGACACUGAGACUCAAAAGUCCUAUUAGCAAUAAAAAUUUGCUAAUGAGUAUAUACGUAGCAGCUUGCGAGCAUGGAAUUACAUAUAAAUAUCCGCUUAUUCACAAUACCACAGUGUGCAGAGGUUAUUAGCAACUAGAGAAGCAACAAAUAUUGAAAUAUUCGCUACAGAACAUAUGUUACUAACCACCGAUGUCUAUGGGUCCUGGAAGCGAGAUCGGCGUCUUCGAUAGCUGCAAUACAGAGAAGAAACAUCAGCCCGAGUCGAUAAAAUAUAGCCAUCUAUAAUAAAAAGGAUAAGAAAGAUGCUUUUCCUGACACUGUUGUCUGCAACCUCAUAAACUAUGUUUUUGAUUCAAAUCAAAUAGGUGAGUAUUCGAAGUAUUGGUUUACAAAACAUGAAUAGUAAAUGGAAAAUAAAUGAGGCAUAAAUAGUUAACGUUGCACCACAACAAGAUUAUAAUUCUUUCAUAGAAAGAGCCUAUCACUUAUAGUCAAACAACAGAGGAAUCAAUCUCCCCAAUGUCAUUCAAUUGAGUAAAUGGUUACCAUGCAAACAUAUAGCAAGCAUUUUCCAAAACAUUUUAUAGGGUUAACUAGAACAAGAUCAAAGUUGGGAAGCUCUUAGGAGAAUUGGAACAUUUUAUUGGAGAAUGUCAACCAACAUAAAAUUUCCAAAACUAGAUAAAAGAAAAUUAAAGAUGAACAGAGCUUACCAUGAAAGUGUAAAUGCCCAGCAAAUAAUCUAGACAAAUGAGAAAGAUAAUAGCAUUUAGUGCAGGAAAUUUUCCUCUUCAAGGAGGCACAAUUAGCCAUAGAGUUGACUAUUCAAGUUUGCAAAUCCAUUUCACUAGUUAUUUAAUUAAAAACAAAUCAUGAAAACUUCUACCACAACAGCCAAGUUAAAAAAAAAAAACCCACUUCAAGUAGCAUUAAAGGAUAAGAGGAUGAAAUCAGAAAUAAUCAACACGGACCUGCGCUGGCUCUCACUUCUCAAUGCCACUCCACCCCCGGUAGCUGCACCUCCAAACUCGUCAUCACUUUCGUCAAGAUUGUACUCCAACACAUCCAUUGGCGACACAGAUCCUCUCCCAUCAACCGAACCAUCAUAGCUGGACAUGUGGCGCCUUCUCCUCCUCUCACUAACUGCUGACCUUCGUCUAUUUCUAGAAGCCCUAAAGUUAUCAAAGACAUGAUACAAAAUACAUGAGGUCCACCAAUUGCCAUCAUCACCAGGGAAAUCAUCGAACUCAUCAUGACUGUCGUCCCCAUACUCGAUAACAUAAUCCCCCAAUACUACACCAUUCGGUACUUCUGAAUGGAUAGUACUCAACACAUCAAUUAUCUCUGAGGAUUGCUGGAAGUUAUCCCAGUCUAGUUGUUGUGCAGGGUCUAUCUCUGAAGGGCGCGCGUGGGGGUGCUCAUUCUUGGCAUGUUGCUCCAGUUCCAUGUAGUUGCCCACAUACGAGCAGCGUUUCUCUUCACAACAUCGUCUCUUCAUGUUCAGAUAAUGGCGGGCCUCAUCAACUACUACCCAUCCUGUUACCUCUCCUCUGCACAAUGGACAAGUAGGGCAGUUCUCAGGGUUUGAAGAAAUUACUUGAAUGCCCUCAGAAAUUGCCUCGCUUUGAUCUGCAGAAACCUUCGCAGCAGCACGAAAUCCAUGGACGGUUUUGAAUCGAUCGAGGCAGUUUGAAUGGUUUUGAUCAGUAUCACACAUGAAUGGCCUACACCCUUUCUUGUAAGAAGAGCACAGGAGAAGAAUGCCAUUAUGUGGAAAAUCCAAGCAUAUAGGGCAGAUCACAUCAUCCCAGCUGUUGUUCAACUUUAUGUCCUCUAACUUCGAAGAGGUAGAGUCGAAUGCUCUUUUAUGAGAGGAAUUAGAAGCCAUAACACGCUACUCUAAAGUAGCAUCAUAUGAGGGAUUUAAGCUGCCUUGAAAGUGAUUCUGCCUGCCUGUUAUCAAACAAAGAAUGUAUGUGUAUGUACAGCAUAUAAAAUAUUCUAUAAAACAAUACAUGUCAAUUUUAUCAUACGUGAGGAUUACUCAACAAGAUCUUCCAAUACUUAAAACAAAGAUUGAGAAAUGAUUGCAGUGGCUUUUCAUAAAUGCUACAUUUUAAGAUUUUUUUCGAAAAAGCUCAUCAAACGGUAUUAUCUAGUAUGGCAUUCCCGUAAAUCAUGGACAUUGCACUUCAUAGUUACAUAGUAAACAUAACGAUGAUUCUAACAAUUUUAUUGCUAAUGUUGUCAUAAUAUAUAAAGCCAUUGCCACAUGAUCGAUUUAUCCUUUUUCUAACUCUGUAAGGAAACUGCUAGUUCCUGUGGCAAUGGAACCUAUUCACACAAAAAAAAAAAGAUAUAUUUUCUCCAAGGCAGGGUCGGAAGAUAACCAAAUUAGAAUACUGCCUCAGUGCCUUGACUAUCCAUUUAUAAGAAUCCGCUAAAAGUUGUAUUGUCCUUUACCGAAAGCAUCAAAACUUUCCACCAAAUUUAGUGUUCAACUUUUCAUAAUCUUAUAUGACAUACAAUAUGGUACCUUCCUAUAACCUAGUUCCAUUCCUACUGCAUUUGGGGAUCAAAAAUUUGCAGAGCAAUUCAAUGCAGAAGUGAAAUACAGAAUGAGCAGACCAUGGAACCAAAUUAUAUCUGCCGAUCUGGGAGGAGACCCAUGAGAGAUCAAAAAACCUCCACCUCAACAGCAAAUUACAUUGACAAGGAACUAUAGAUCGAACAGCGUGAGUAGUUUACUGUUAUCGAGGUAGUGUGCAUGUGCAUGGGUUUCCUUCUACAUCAUCAAGCUACAUAUGUAAGUAAGAUCACAAAGGUGAUUACAAACCAGGCUCAUCCUGAUUCGGGUGCACAUGUGGAUCCGACGCUUGAACUAUCUGUGUGAUGCCAGGCAUAGCAAGAAUUCUGUAAUGACCAUUUGCCCUAAUUUACAUGUCCAAAAGAAAAGUAGCAAAAGAGGUGAAAACUAAAGCCUGCUAGCAGCAUAUAACCUUAAUAUUUCACUUCAAUACCCAAAAAAUAGAAAACAAUUACCACCAAUUAUAAUAUGCCAUGCUGAUGUUGUCUAGAUUUUCUUUGGACCAAGAGAACCAAUGACCUUACUGCUAACAUAACUUGUGAUUAGCACCCAAAUUUUGAAAAUGAUAUAAAACGGCCUGGAAAUUAAGAUCUGGUGACAAAACACCAACUCUAGAGGAGAUUAUACAACAGAAACAUGUUUUUCAGAUGGAUUUAUACGGUUUUCAACAAUCACUACUUACAUUUAACUUGUGAUUGCCACCUAUAUUAUGAAAAGAGCAUAAAACCACUUGAAAAACAUGAUUUCGCAACAAAAACCCAAGUCUAAAGAGAUUAUAUGCCACAUAGACGUACUUUUCAGAUGGUAUUAUACUGUUUUCAAACUUCGGUAGUGUAGCGUGUGAUAACCACCCAAACUUGGAAAACGAUAUAGAACCACAUGAAAAAUAUGAUUUUCUACAGUAAAAAAAACGACUUUUGACAAAACACCAACUCCAGAGGGGAUUAUAUGCCACAAAACAGAUCUUUCACAUGGUUCUAUACGAUUUUCAAACUUUAGGUAUUGAUCUCAAAUUUAAACUAAAUUUCACAGGGGUCUAGAGCUCCUUUUUCCCCAAAUAAUUCCAGCAAACCCUAAAUUCGCCAUCAGAAAGUAAACAAAUCAUUAUCAGACCACUUAUUGCCAUCGAAUUCCAUUCGAGAACCCCUCGAUCAAUCAUCAAGCGACCAACCAAAACGACACGCAACCAACCGCAAAAAGAGACGAAAUCGGGCGCGGGAAAAAGCGAUUUUGACCGGAGGAGGAAGAGUCCAAACCUCGGUUCGAUUCGAUUCGGCGUCGAUCGGAGGGGGGAUUCGAAACCCUAACCCUAGGUGGAGAGCGGGCCGGUGCGGUGGAUGUCUCGGGGGUUCAGAGGAUGUGGCAGAGGAGGAGAGAGAGAAAGAGAGAGAGAGAGAGAGAGAGGAGACCGAAGGGACGGAGAAAAGAGUUCUCUACGGACAUGAGCCGUUUCUGUCGACCAAUCAAUAGGCCCCACGUGGUGGGCUUUUUCAACCAUAAGGAAGUGUGGAUGGAUUAGUGACCCACAAUAAUCCGGGCCAAAUUGGGCCGGAUCCGGCCCAGCAAUGACAAUCCACAUCUCGUGUUCGGCUCAAAAUGAGCUUGAGACUACCGAUGACACGUUUAAUAGACGAGCCGAACACAAGCUUAAUUUUUUAGCUCGAAAUCUUAACAAAUCGGACACGAGUUAGAAUCAGUUCGCUCAUAUUUCGGCUCAAUAUAGCUCGAUAUAGAUAUUACAAAUUUUUACUAUUUAGAUUCUAGUCCAAUUCAAAUGUAAAGAGAUCUAUAUUUUAGUUUUUUAUUUUAUUUUUUUCAAUUUUUCAUGCAGUAGGAGGGAUGAGGGUCUAACAUGCUGUUUGCAACUUUUUAUAUCGUUAAAUGAGAAAAUGACUUUUAUCGAGCGUUAAAAUUAUAAAACUUUACAACUUUUUAAUCAUUAGGUCAACGAUGCUCAAAACGUGUGAAAUUUAGUUUUCAGAUAUUUUAAAUAAUCGAAAUUAUAUUCAAUAAUGUCAAUCGUUGAUUUUGAAGCUCUGUCAUUGAAAAUAAAUUAGUAGCAGUGGAACUUAUUUGCUACUAACAGUAUUCUGGUUAAAUUUACAUGAUAAAUUACUUUGUACGCAAAAUAUAUAUAUGUUCUCAAAUUUUUGAUCAUAUAAAUUUUUUUUUAUUUAAAGCAGUUGGCUAAGAAUUUAAUUAUUGACAUCUAAAAUUUGAGAACAUAUAUAUAUUUUGCGUACAAAGUAAUUUAUCAUGUAAAUUUAACCAGAAUACUGUUANGCAAAAUAUAUAUAUGUUCUCAAAUUUUUGAUCAUAUAAAUUUUUUUUUAUUUAAAGCAGUUGGCUAAGAAUUUAAUUAUUGACAUCUAAAAUUUUAAUUCCGAAAUAUAACUAUUUCACAUUUCUAGUUGAAAUUAUGAGUGGUGUAAAGUUUUUAUUUUUUAUUUUUUUUAAUUAUUAUUUGUUUUACUCCUAUGGGUUUCACAGGGAUAAGGAUCCGCAACCCCAAUGGAAUAUUCGUAUCCAAUUAUUCCAUGUAAAAUGAAUAAACUUACACAUACUCAACAACUUGUUUUAAAAAGUUUUUAUGCAUAUCUUUAUGGACCCCUUCAACACUACAAUCUACGAAUUUUAGCAAUUUUAAAAAAAAGCUACAAAUUUGACUCACAGCUUAAAUUUUAUAUUCCACGGUUUAAGUAUUGCUAUAUAGAGUGGGACUACAAUACUCUUAUGAGUAUAGAGCCCUUCGUAUUCAUAAAUUAUUUUGUCAUUAUCUCACUAGAGCCAGCUAUAUAGGAUAAUUAUUAAAUUCAGAUAUAAAAAAAAUAAAUUUACAGAUAAAGUUAUCUAUAUGCGCAAUAUAAUCAUAUAAAUUUAAUAAAUUGCUCACUAAAUCAUCAAUUUUGAUAGUAUUCGCAAAGCAGGAGAUAUGCUUUCUCUAAAUUUUUUAAUUUAUUUCUUGAGGUGUAAAUUAGAUAUAUGUUGAGAUAUAAAAUAAUGUGAUAUGUCAAUUUAUUUUAAUAAAAUUUUUCAGCUGAUUUGUUAUUUUUUUAUUAUUUUUUGGAUUUAUUUGAGAUUAUGAUAAAAUGCAUAGGGAUAAUUGAAGUAAUGUUAAAUACAAGAAAGCAAUUGAGACUCGGUCAAAAAUGUAAGGUAGUUUUUUGUUUAUAAUUUAGCCGAUACAAAUAAAUAACUCUAUAGUAUAGAUAGUAGUGUAGUAAUCCUUUCGAUGCGACAGCUAGAUAAUUAGAGAAAAAAUAAAAAAUGGCAACAAAGAAAGAAAAAACUGCGAUAAAAAAAGUGACGAUGAGGGGCGGGAUUCAUCUUGCCGAUAAAGGAAGGUAAGAGCCGAAGAAAGUGGAAGAGGAACAGUUCGGCUCAAUGCAGAGAUAUGAUCCGGUUCAGUUCAAUCAAAAAAAGAAAAACAAAUCCGGGUUGGUUUAAGAAAAGAAAGAGAAAAAUAUGUGGAGGAUUUAAGACGGUUCGGAAGAGCCCAUACUCAAUAAUAAUUGGUUCAGUUCAAGCAAAGAAAGAUAAAAAUAUGUUAGGCAUUUAAGCCGGUUCGGAAUAAAGCCCACAUCCAACAAUAACGGUAAUGUUGCCCAAUGACAAAUUUAGGGAGAAUAAUGUAAAGAUAUAGAUAUAGAUAUAAAUUUGUAUUUCUACAAAUGGAUACACUCCAAGCCAAAAUUAAAAUAUAAAAAAUAAAAAAAAGGAAAAAAAUAAAAUAGAAAGAGGGAAUGAGAGAGGGUCCAAUACUGGGUGUGUCUAUCCAAUGGAUUCUUGUUGCCACUUGUCCAAAACAAUGUCCAGAGAUAUCACAAGUGGCUUUUUAUUUAGGGGCUCAAAAGCACUACAACAGGAGUUGCAGGUUUUUACUACUUCCACAAUCACUCAACAUAAAAGAUAAAAGAAAGAAUUAAAUUUAAACUGCACAAAAAGUGCUCAACCACAUCUGCCAUGCUGUGGUAUGAGUACGUUAAUGUGUUACAUGCAGAUUGACUUGAGAUAAACAAAUAGAUAUUUUGACGGACGUACAGGAUACAUUAAAUAAUUUGUUUGAACUGUUCAACCAUUCAUAAUUUUUUCAUUAAUUUAUUUGUAAACUUUAAAUGUUUACUAGUCACAUAAAUUUCUCUACUUUUUGCUAAAAGAUUUUUUUUAAAAAAAAGUCAAAUCUUAUGCUACAGUGGAAAGUAAAAUAAAAUACUAUAUGGGCAUGUGACUGUGCGAUCGCACAAAGUUUUCUCAAAAAGGCGCACAAUGCGAUCGCGCAGCCAAAUUCACCCUAACUCUGAAAACAAAAUCUCUAACUUUUUUAAAAUUUUAUUAUAAUAAAAAAGCUAUCAAGAGUAUACUAACACGAACAAUUUAUCUUCGAAUUUUUCUGACAAUAUUAUAAGAUAUAGCACUUGAUGAAAUAUUAUCUAUGACGGUUCGAAUAGUAAUAUAGAGCAUAUAAAAGAACUGAGCUCCGAUGCUUUUAAAAAUACUAAGUCAUUGAUACUUAUAGAUUUUCGAUUCUUGGAUGAAGGAAUUUGUGGCUAGGAUAGUGGUUCUCUAUGGUUGAGUGGAUGAUUGAUUAAAUAGUAUGAUCUAACGGAUUGAAAUAGUGAAAAGGAUAAAUUUAACAGUAAAAAAUACGAUACGCCUAGUAUUAUUAGAAGCGUCUUAGUCGCUAUAUAUAUAUAAAAGUUCCCCAAUCUUAUUAAUCAAUCAUCAGCAUGAAUCACGUGAAAGAUAACAAUUUUUAUGCGGCAGAGAGUCCACUGGAACCCUCUUACUGAGAUUUGUGGCUUUUCCAAGAAGCAAAGGUAGAAAAACAUGUAUAGGUAGUACCAAUCCCUUUCAUCUUACCUUCCAGAGAUGAUUGGUUAGAAGAAAUACAUUUAUUAUGGCUAAAUUAUAAAAAACUUUCUAUAAAUACUUUUUUUUAUUUUUUAUUUUACUUUAUCUCUUUAAUAAUUUAAAUUGUUGUAUUUAACCCCCCUCUGUCACGGUUCCAUUAUUUUUUCGUUCAUUUAUUAUAACUAGUCAUAGUGUACGUGUAAUGCACAUCACAUUAAAUCAAAUAAAAUUUAUAUUUAUAUUUUAAAUUUAAAUAGUUAUUGGUGGUAUGAGUCUAUUUAUCAAAUUUUAACUUUAAUUUAUCUUCGGAUAAGUUUUAUAUAUUUUAAAUUUAGUUACACUAUAAAUACUUUUCAUAUUUAUUUUAUAAUAAUAUACAAUUAUUUUUAACAUAUAUACAAAUUUUAAAAUUUGAAUUAAUUCUAAAUUUUAAGUUAAUAAAUUCACAUUAAAAUUUUUGAACAAAAUUUAAAAUUUAAAAUUAAUUUUGACAAUGUGCUAGCGCCGGUGAUGUCGAGGUGACAAUGUGCCGGCGCCGGUGAUGUUGAUGAGGAGAACGAUGACGAUGCGCCGGUGCCGGCAACGGGGACAAAUGAAAAAAGAUAUUACUAAAAAAUAUUUGGAAUAUUUGAGAAAAAUAUAGAUGAAAAUGAAAAAAAUAUAUUACUAACAAAAUAUAUAUUUUAUAUUUGAUAAAUGUAUAAAUGUAAAUGAGAAAAUACUAAAAAAAAAUAUGCUAAAAUAGUAUAAAAGCAUAUUAAAAAAAAUAGUUUAGAUCAAAAUACCUUUCCAAAUGUGGCAAAGGUGGCGAAUGCGACAAUAUGCCGUCGUUGGCGAUGACGAUGACGAUAUGCCGGUGCCAAUGUAUAAAUGUAAAUGAGAAAAUACUAAAAAAUAGAUAUACUAAAAUAGUAUAAAAGCAUAUUAAAAAAAAUUCAGUUUAGAUCAAAAUGCCUCUCCAAAUGUGGCAAAGGUGGCGAAGGCGACAACAUGCCGGUGUCGGCGAUGACGAUGACGAUAUGCCGGUGCUAGCGACGGGGACUAAUGAGAAAGGAUAUUAGUAAAAAAAAUAUUUGACAAUAUUUGAAAAAAAUACAGGUGAAAAUGAAAAAAGAUAUUACUAAAAAUAAUAUACUGAUGAUUUGCGCAAUUAAUGUGAGAGAUAAAAAGUCAUGAAGAUGCACACUUAUUAGCAUUUAAAAAUCUUAAAAAGUAAAACAAAGUAUACGAAAGACGAAUUGGGUAGGAAAUUAUAUUAUGACACAUUAAAAUGAAUUAGGUGUAGCAAAAUACCUUUCUAACUGUGGCGAAGGUGAUCGAGAACGACGAUGAGGAAUGAAUAAAAUAUUACUAAAAUAAUAUAUUUGAGAAAACAUAUAGUGAAAAUGAAAAAGGUUAUAUUUUAUUAUAUUUAAGAAACGUAUAGAUAGAGAUGAGAAAGUAUUAAAAUAAGAUAUAUUUUAUGUAUGGAUAAGUAUUAUGAUGAGAUAAAAAUUAUGUAUGGAUAAGUAUUAAGAUAUUUUCUAUAUAAUUAAAAUUUUAAUUAUGUUUAAUUUUAAAAUUUAAAAUUUAAUUUCGAUCCACUUUAAGUUUGUAAAUUCAAAAAUUUUAAAAUUUUUAAACUUAAUUUUGAUUCCACUUAAGAUUUAAAUUCAAAUACGUGGGUAGUGAAGAUAUUAUAUAUUUUUGAGAAAUCAAAAAUUUAAUGAAUAUUUAAAAUAAAUGGUUAAAAUUUCUGACGAUGAAAAAAUUAGUAAAAAAUAGAGACAUUUCGGAAAGAAAUUCAUGUUUUAUUCAAAAUUUCAAAAUUUUAAUUUAUCUACUUUAAGAUUUAAGUUUAAAUGCGAAGAUAAUGGAGAUAAAAAAACUUCUGAGAAACGAAAGAAAAAAGAUUAAAAUUUUGAUUAGAUAUUUGAAAAAUGCGUGGAUAUUAUGUGUGAGAAAGGUUAACGGUAUAUUAUGUAGAUAGUUUUUUUUUUUUUUUUUAUUUUAUAGAAGAUAGGUAGCACGCUAUCGCUUCGUUUAUUUCAUUUAGAAUGAAACUUAGCUAGAAAUGUGAAUCAACUAGGGUUCGAACUUGGGUCUCGGGUACCAACCGUCAAGCUCUUUGCCACUUGCUCUAGGGACGGUCGGUAUAUUAUGUAGAUAGUUGACGUAUAUGAUAGGUAGAUUAAUAAGAUAUUUGAAAAUUUUAUAAAUAUUACGUUGAGAAUGGAUUGACGGGUACGUAUAUUAUGCGUUAGAAGAAAAAUAUUUAAGAAACGCGUAGAUAGAAAAUAUGAUAUAAAUGUAAAGGUAUUAUUGUCACAAAAAGUGACAAAUACUUUUAUUUUCAAUUAUUAGAUAAGAUCUAAUGACAAAAAAUUAAUAUCUUUAUUUGAGAAUAAAUUAUUAUUUAGUAAAUUAUUUAAAAUAUUUGGUAAAAAAUUACUGAACAUAAAAAUAUUAGUAAAAAAAAUAAAAGUAUUUUUUAAAAAAAAAAAAUUUAAAACUCACGCUUUUAUAAGUAAUAUAGAUAUAGCCCACUAAAAUACGCAGGUAACUCCACUAGAUUAUCGAUACAGAAAGAAAUGGUGGGUGUUGGUUUCUCCUACACACCACACCACACCACACCAAAAUAUACCACACCCAUUGUAAAGCAGUUGGGUUUGGGACAGAGACAGGUAAGGUGAGGUAUCCUCCGCCUCUUCCCUCUCCCCACAACCCACCCAACUCCCAUUCUAUUCUAUGGAUAACGAGGAGAUAUAGAUAGUCCCCUUUUCUCCUCCCCACCAUCUCCAUUCAUUCAUGGCCCCUCCCCCAUUGCUGUGCACUUUGUAGCACCCCUGAAACCAAGCAAAAGAGGAGCUUUUUCCCACAAGCGCUUCUGGGCUCUUCUUCUCCUCCUCCUCUGCUCUAAAGGAGGGGGGAAACAUGGCCGUGGCCGUCGCCGUGGCUUCUGGGAGCCGCGGGAUUUGCUCCGGGCUGAAGCAGGUGGACAACAAUGGCGUGGCGCCCCUCAAGUGCUGCGCUUACAGGGGAUUGCGCUCCUGCGUCGUCCCGGUUUCGGCCAAGGCCAGGUUGGGGGUUUGCUCAAAAUUUGAUCUUUUUUGGUACUUUUGGUUGAGUUUGGAUUGUUGGUGAUUUGGAUUCCUAAUCUUUUGGAUACUGUAGCAAGUUUCUGUCUACUGGAUUGAUUUGAAUUGCUUAUUUAGAUAUCUGGGGUUCCGAUUUCGUCGAAGGUGAGAUUGGGGUAUUUGAUCUUUUUUGGUCUGUGGUUGAGCUUGGAUCCGACAUAUUGAUGGAAUGAUAAGUUUCUGUUGUUACUGAUUUGAUUUGAAUUGCUGUUGAGCAAUUUGGAUUCCUUCUUCUGGGAAUACACCUUUCACUGAGGCAGAAACAGUAGUAAUCUAUUUUACCCUGUUAAUCAAUAUCUUAAAUUUGAUGUUUCAAUUGUUCAUUAGGUUCUGUUUGUGACCUGAUCAUGUCUUAGGCUGAAUUAACAAAUCAUAAUUAGUAAAUAAACUAUUUCCCCCUUUCUUAUGAGAUAUUGUCCCUCAGAUCCAUUUUGCUUAACUGUUAAAAUGUAGAUUAUUUGUUUGUUCUUCUAAAAUAAUGAUUGUUAUUUAUGCAUCUAUCUGUUUGUUUAUUUGCUUACCAAUUCUGAUUGCUGACAAUCUAUGCUCAUGUUAAAUUCAUGGUUUUUUUACAGGUUAUCUUCCUUUUUCGCUAUAAGCAUUCCUCGAGCCACAUCCCCAACAGCUGUGGAGGUAUUGAACAAUGUUAGCUCUUGUGCAUUUGAUUGGAGUUAUAUUCAUAGUUGCUUAUAUUUUUUCGGUUUAACAGGAUGGGAGCUCUAAUGUCACCGACACAGUUCCGACGCCCAAAGUUAUAAUAGAUCAGGACUCGGACCCAGAUGCAACUAUCGUCGAAAUAACCUUCGGUGAUCGUCUCGGGAGUCUUCUUGACACUGUAUGCAUCAAAAACACCAACUUUUUUUUUUGGAUAAUCUGCGUUUUCCUGCUUUUAGGUGGGUCAAAUUUAGCUGAUAAAUUUGUAUCUUUUCUUAUUGUGAAGAUGAAUGCGCUUAAGAAUCUAGGGCUCAAUGUUGUGAAGGCUAAUGUCUAUCUCGAUUCUUCUGGAAAGCACAAUAAGUUUGCUAUCACAAAAGCGUAAGUAAUUAUGCUCCAAUCAACUCGUUACUUUGAGACAAAUUUCUAGAUUCUUUCGUACGCUACAAGAAAGCUUUUCUACGACACUAACUUCUAUCUGUUUAUUGUUGCUCACACUAAAGAUUAUAACAUUACAGGUAUACCGGCCGCAAAGUUGAUGAUCCUGAGUUGUUAGAAGCAAUACGAUUGACAAUAAUUAAUAAUCUGCUGCAGUAUCAUCCGGUAAUGAGACCUCCGUGUUUAACACCUUAUGUUCUGUGAAGUAAUUUGCAUAAGUCUACUUAAAAGCUCUUUUUGUUGUGUUAAUUGGAUGAUCAGGAAUCUAGCAGCCAAUUGGCUCUGGGAGCGACAUUUGGAGUUGAACCGCCUGCACAACAGGUGCUUAUUCUUGGCCUUGUCAAUAAAUUGAACAGCUAUACUUCGUUUUAUGGCUAUUAAGUGGUGUUGUUUCUCUGGGUUUAUAAGAAAAAUGCUAUUUAGUAGGAAAACGAAGAGUUUUGAUUGUUUUUUCCCCCUUUUUAAAGAAAUUCAGAUGCUAUUCUUGAUUUUACAUGUUCAGAUUGAUGUGGAUAUUGCGACCCAUAUAGAUAUAUAUGAUGAUGGCCCUGAUAGAAGGUAUGGAUAAUUCGCUCAAUGCACAAUUCCAACCUCUUAUGAACUCAUAAUCAAACUAUUAAGGCGUGCAUUGUUUAUGCCUUAUACUUCUUACUUUUUAUAAGCUCCACUUGAUUAAGUGUCACAAGAAUUCUAGAAAUACUUAUCUUGUAUAAGAUAAUAUUUGUUAACUUCUGCAAGUUGUGAUAUCAUUAGACAUUUUGUAACAUAUAUUGUACUUGAAUUGUAUUCUUUUCCGCUUCCUGUGAAGUGAAUAUCGAUACAAAUAUGGAAAUCUUUGUAACUUCUGUAGUCUCAGCUCAAAAUGAUCAUCAGCAAUUCAUGUCUAAUGAGCCUUCUGUUUGCCCAAGAUCUUUUAUACCUCAUCUGAGGUCAACUGGUGAUAAUCUACUUGAUUAAAUUAAACAUUGCAUUCAGAUGGAGUUGGAACUAUCUUAUGUGGUGUUUAGUUUUAUACUUAAUAUUUAUUAAGUUGAAUCACUAAUUGUAAAUUAACGGGUUAAAGUAGAAGGGUACUGCACAAGAUUUCUAUUGCUUGGGUUAAAAAUUUUGCAAAACACCCACUUGAUCAUUUUAUCAGCUAAUUUGUUUUGAUAUCAUUGAUGCAAGUGAUUUAAAUAAGCUUAACAUUCUGGGAUUUCAGAAGCUGAAUAUGCUUUUCAACAUACUAUUGUUAAUAAAUUUCAAAUUCGCCAACCAAGUGUAGCAUUACUGAACUAAAUAGGUAAUUGGUGAGAAGCAACCUAUAAAGUGUUUCACGUCACAUACAAAAUAGAAAUCGAUACAAGUGCUUUGAGGUCAAUGUCAAAUUCGUGUCAGGAGGUUCAAUCAUCAAAUCUUGUUCGGCUAUACUAUAUUGUCCUUAACAUUGAUGAUAAGGUCCCUUACUUGGUUGUUUUCCUCUUUAGCUUGCUCGUGGUCGAAACAGCGGACCGUCCCGGGUUGCUGGUUGAUCUUGUUAAGAUUAUUACUGACAUAAACAUCACAGUGCAAUCUGGAGAAUUUGACACCGAAGUAAACAUUAAUGUUCUUUCCAAGAUUAGUUUCUCCCUGCUAAGAGAUUUUUUACUGAAACACUUCUUUGUUACAGGGAUUAUUGGCCAAAGCGAAAUUCCAUGUCAGUUAUCGGGGUAAACCGCUGAUCAAGGCUCUCCAACUAGUAAGCUCUCUCCUGCUUUGAGGUUCUCCGUAGUUAUUAAAUGUAGUCCGACUUGGGUGCUGAAUAGAUUUAGAUCUAACAAAGUAGUAGCUUGGGGAUUGUCCAAAUCCCAAGUACAUUGCUAGUUGGUUUCAGUUGGUUGUUCUUUAACCAUCUCAAGAUUUUAGAAUCUGUUUUGGCCUGGCUUCAGCUUGUGGCUUCUGCAAAAGUGCUGUUUGAAUAAAACUGCUAAAAAAAGCACUAUAUUAGUACACGAGAUAAAGAUCUAAUCGAACUAGUUUCUAUUGCUUACCAUAAUGGUUGCUAGUUCACCACUCUUGCUGAUACAUUACACCAGGGUCCUCAAUCUCUGCAUUUCAUUACAAUCUUUACUCUGUCUGUCAAAUUCCUUCAUCAAAUUAGAUGGGGAUGUCUACGUAGGCGUCAUGUAUCUACGUUAGGGUUGAUACCGCAUGCAUGGUGCUCGCAUGGACAUUUACCAUCAAAAUGUAAUCCGAGAAUUUUAACAGGUCUAAGAAUGUGAUGUGACAUAAAAGGUUAGGAACCAUGAUAACUAUUUGCAUGUUGAUAAUCAAAACUGACACUACGCCAAAUUUGUUGGAAAUAAAUAAAAAAACACGCUGAAAUUUUACCUUACCAACUUGAUCAAGUCGUUCUAAUAUAUAGCUCGUGUGUUUGUAGGUUCUUAUAAAUAGCUUGCGCUACUUCUUGAGGAGGCCAACGACGGAGGAAGCGAGUUUUUAGGGCUCUACUUAAAAGGACAGUUCAAGGUCGCAUAGUGUUCCAACGCAAUUUAAGAUUUUUCUUUCCACAUUACAGCAUCUGGCUGUGUUCCGAAUAAUGUUCUUACUCAUCUACUUUAGUACUCCGUUGCCCGAAAGCUAACUAGUCUGUAUCGAUGGGAUCACACCGUUGAGCCGAAUGAAAUCUUUGCAUGCUUGAAGAAGCACUCUUCUGCUUCUUGUGUUGUAUGCCUUUCUUAUAGUCUGUCGACUGCGAAGUGUUCGAACAAGAUAUUGAGAAUAAUCACUUUAUGCAAAAUUGUUGAAAGAUGGAACUUCUGGUGCUUCUGCAAUUGGGACAAAGUUGCAGAAAUGAGCUUACCAGUGUGUUUCUACUGCAGCAGAAGGCCGUCAGAACAUCAUUAAAGAAAACUUUAUCGAGUAUUUCUUAAAAUAGCUUUAUUCAAACAACAUUUGAUUUUCUGAGCCGAGCGUAGAGAUGCAAAAAAGUCGUGUUUUUUUGGAUCUUAUCGCUUUCUUCUGCUGCAGUUGGGCUGAAGCAGCUUAGAUCAGCAGAUCUGCAGUCUGCCUGCAAGGAUACGAAAUGUUAAUGGAGAGCAGAACAUUCUUGCAUUCCAUUGUGUAAUAUUUGAAUUACAACGUUGUUACUAGGGAUGUCAAUGGGUCGGAUUCGGGACGGAUUUUUAAAAACCCGAUCCCAAACCCGACUCCAAAUCCGAAACCCAAACCCGAACCCGACGGAUUUUGAAAAUCCAUAUCCAAACCCGAACCUGACCAAAUAUUCAAAAUCCCAAUCCGAAAAUCCGAACCCGAAAGAAUUAUUUCUCUUUUCAAUAUUUCAAAAUAUAUUACAUUAAAUCUAAAUUUUUAAAAUAGAAAUUCAAAUAUAAUAUCAAAUUUUUAUAUACAAAUUAUAUAUAAUGUAAAAUAAAUUUGGGUUCGUACCGGGUUCAGAUCGGGUACAGUCAAAAUUUAUAUCUGAAUCCAUAUCUAUCAACUUUUUGUUUUUGAUAUCUAUAUCCGAAAUCAUUUUCGUUUAGCAUCAGAUAAAUUUGCUCAGUUCGGAUUCGGAUUCGGAUAAAAUUUCGGGUAUCCGUAGGACCGUAUCCGUACCCAUCGACAUCCCUAGUUGUUACUUGAUCAACUGAGGCCCAGUUUGGAAUGAAGAGCUAUGCAACAUUGUUGGUCCAAAAGAAGCAAGGAAAACACUCUGAUAUGAUCGGCCAUAUUUUUUUUUUAUUAUUUUUGAAUACAAAUUCAUAUACAAAUUUAUAUCGAAUAUUAAAUUUUAAUAUCUAUAUUCAAACUCUAUCGAAUACAAAUUUGAUUGGAGUAUACUGCUUGUUUGGUUCGACGUAAAGUAAUUUUUCCGUAAAAAUAUAAUUUUACGGAUUUUGAAAAAACUGGAAGUUUUCAUUUUCUGUUGUUUUUCAGUGAAAAACAAAAACUCUCUGAAAGAAAGUCACUUACACUCUCUCUCUCUUAAUAUUAAUAAAUAUAUAUUAUGUAAUAUUUUAUUUAUAAAUAUAAAUUAUAUAUUAUACAUUAUAUAUGUGUUAUUAUAUAUUAUAUAAUAUAAUUUUGGAUAUAUAGUAAAAUUUUGAAUAUAUUUAAAUUAUAAAUAUAGGUGAUAAUGAUGAUAAUAAUAAUAUAUAGAGAUAUAAAUUGUAAUUAUAAUAUAUAUAACAUGAAAGUUAUUCAUAUAUAAUAUACAAUAAUAUAUAAUAAAAGAAAAUUUUAUAAAAUUACUUUUAUUCUAAUUUUUUCUUUCAAUCAAACAAGUAUGGUUGAAAUUUUAUUUUUCUUUUUUCUACAAAUCAAGCAUUAAAGAACGUAAAAAAAAUUUUAUAAAAUUUUUUUUAUUGAAAAUUAUUUUUUAUAAUUUUAUGAUGAACUAAAUAGACCCUUAGUUGAGCCACUCUGUGCUCAUCAAUUUGGAUUUUUUUUUUCAAAUAAUCCUAUGAAAUUUUUUAAUUGGAUAAAUAAUUCUAUAAAAAAAUAAUUGGAAAACUAAUCCUUCUUUUGUUAUGUACGAGUCACGAAAGAAUUUUCUCUUAAAAGACAGUAAAUUAUUCACCACCUUCUUAAUUUUCUACAAAAUGGGUGAAUCAUUCACCAUUUUCUUGAAAAUUAUUUGUUAUGAUUUUUUAAGUUGUUAAGAUUAUAUGUAAUUUGUUAAAAUUUGUAUAUGGUUGUCAGAAUUAUAUAUAAAAAAUUAAAAAAAUGAGAUGGUUAGGAUUAUAUGUAGAUUAUUCGAAUUUUUGUUAGAUUAUUAGGAUUGUAUGAAUAGAUUAUUAUGAUAUUUUUUAUUAUUAAGAUUAUAUAUGGUUUGUUAAAAUUUUUAUAUAAUUUUUAGAAUUAUAUGAAAAAUAAAAAAAAAACAACAAAAGAGAAAGACAGUGAGUAAUUCGAGUAAUUCAUUACUUUUAUGAGAAGUUAAAUAGGAAUUGUUUACUGGUUAUGAAAACGGUAAAUAAUUCACCGUUUUUUGGAUAAAAUUUUAUUCUAUCACUAUUUAGUUAAAUAUAUUUUUUUAGUAGGGUCGUUUGGCUAAUUAUAAUAAUUUUAAGUGUUAUUUAGGAAAAAAAAAUCCCAUCAAAUCUGUAGUGCCACGUGGCCCUAUUAAAUUGUGCCAUUUGUGGGCCUGUACAAGCUGCUCCAUCAAGGGGGUAGGUAACCUUUGGGACCACCAAUUAUCACAUGCUUCGCCAGUUGCCACGUGGGCCCCAUCUGAUCCGUCCGUAACCCCCCAAGGGCUUCGCUUGCCGUUGGAUUGAGUCCUGGUGGAGUGUGGGACCACAAGCUUUCACUCUCAGCGAACCACGCGUUGCCACGUUGACACGUUGACAAAGUCCAACUGUACUCUCUCCCACUCGCUUUUGUCGUUUUCUCAACAUUCUUGUCGCGUUUGGUGUGUACUCGUCGGUACGUUCCACUGGUACAUCACAAGAUCAUCAAAAUUAUAAAAAACAAAAAAUUUAAAUCACAUUUUGGCCCCACAAUUUUUUGUUAUUUAUUUAUUUAUUUUGAACUGUUGAUAAAUUUAUAUACUCGUUUUUUUUUUUUUUUUGAGAAAGUUAGUAUAUUAUUUGUUUCGUUUAUUUUUUAAAAAAAUAAAUUUAGCUGAAAAUGUGAAUCAGUCAGGAUUUGAACUUAAAAUUUCGAAUACCAACCAUCAAGUCUUUUGAUAAAUUUAUAUACUUUUUAUUGCAUGUAGAAUGAACAAAUAAGAGUCUUUCAGAUUACAUACUUGAACAUAGAAAUAAAGCAUUGUUUUACUAUAAAAAAUAACACUUAACUGUUGUGCAAAUUUUAUGUUUAUUUUAUCAAAAAAAAAUCUGCCGUUAAAUAAAUAGCAAAUUAAAAUUCUAUGAAAUCACAGAAUAAUACGCUGUUUAGUAAUAUGCUAUUAUAAUAAAAUCACAUGAUAGUUAAGCGUAACUUUUUAACCGCACAGUGAAAAAUAUAAGCAUGCAUGCUACAUGACAUAAUAGAUAGUUGAGUCCAACUUUUUUAAUCAUGUGAUGGUAAAGUAAAACAAUCCUAAUUCACAAGAGGAUAAGCUGAAGUUUACCUUAUUGUAACAUAUUAAUAAUUUACAAAGAUAAUAUUCCAUGGGAGGAAAAAAAAAACUUUUUAUCAUUCUUUUUAUUGUAGAGAAUUGUAUUUUGUCCACAAUAUAUCUCAAAUAAAAUCUUAAAAUGUAUGUAUAUACGAAUUAAAAUAUGUAUAUUAUGUUAUACAUGUGAUCGAGCUGUCCAUCUUGUUUUGAGUAUAAAAGAAUCAACUUCUUAUUUGUGGGGAAUAUACUGUUGCUAAACUGCAAAUUGGAUCAGUGCUAUUAUUUUAUUAUUAUUAUUAUUAUAUUUUUUGGAUAAUUUGAAUGUAGUUGAUGUCGCGUUAUGCAUGCUUUUAACAUCCUUCUUGAGUUAACAACUUAAGGUUUUAAAAGAAUAACGAUUAUUUAAUAUUUUUAACACAGUAUAUAAGUAGGAAGUUUUUAAUUUGAGUUUCGUCAGUCUCCUAUUAUUGCUUAGUUUUUUCUUAUUUAAUUUAAAUUUAUAUUUUAGAAUUAUUAUUCUUAAUUUUAAAUAUAAAAAAAUAAAUAUGAAUAUUAAAAAUAUCGUAUUCUUUGACACCCUGUGGCUUGUACUUUUCCCAGUUAGAACAGUAGUUAAUUAGUUUUUUAUUAUGUGGGAAAGUGGAGGGUUUGUUUGGUUUAUUCCAAGUUUUCAAUAAUUGGCCCGAAAUUAAUACGCGCACACAAGCACUGUUUAGCAACAGUUAUUUCGAACACGCAUUUAUUGUUUUUUUUUUUUCUAAUGGAUAAAUUUUAUUUUUUUAAUAAUUUAUCUUAUUUUUUAUUUUACUAUUUUGCAUGGUAAAAAAAAUUAUAUUUAAUUAUCAUAAAAUUUAGGUCCUAGAAAUUAUACUCAAUUACUUUGUAAUUAUUGUUACAACAAACGCACAAACGGAAAUAAAAUGACGUAUACGAAACAAUCAAACCACAAACAGAAAAUAAAGAGAACGCACAGAUUUAAGUGAAAAAUCAUAUGCAGAGAAAAACCACGGGCGAGGCAGAAGAGAGCUUCACAAUCAAACGAAAAAGGGAAUACAAUGUUCAGAAGAUUACAACCAAUCACAAUCUCACGCCUCUAGGGCAAAAACGAAAAGGAAACCCAUAACAGCUUUCGGAUCUGAUCCGAUCCGAUCCGAUCUGAUCCUGUUGGCCCGAGCCCUCCGCUACCCACCACAGACAUUUAUUUUUUCUUCACAAAUUUAUUUUUCCAAUUUUGGUCGCACCGCGAAACUGUUGACGACUCAGAAACCUGAAUUUGAGUCGAUUAUCAAUUUCGAGUCAUAUCUAAUAGUUAUAAAAUUAUUGUGUCAUUCUAUUUGAUAAUAAAUAUUUUGUAUAAUAAUAGAUAAUAUAUUAUAUAAUAGUUAAGUAUAACUUUUUAAAUCACAUAAUCACAAAAUAAAAAUAUAAAUUAAAAGUUAUCUUUUUUAAUUACAGUAUUUUUGAAUUUUGAUAGUAAAUAUUUGGUUUUGGAAAGUGCUCCCUAAGUAAUUAGCAGUUCAAAGUUUAUGUAUCCUCUUCAGUAAAAUAUUAGAUGGCGUUGAAUAAAGAAAAUGUGUAAAUUGUUGCAUGCUUUUUCGUUGACAAGUGUGAUUAUAAGUAUUUUUAAAAUUUUUGGAUCGUUCAAAAUAUAAGAACACGUACAUUUAGCUAUCGCAAUACCAAAUUAGGUUUUAGAAUAACUUUCUAAAAUUGACUCUUCUGAGAAUCUUUUUGGCCCAGAUUUUAGUUUAGUUCAUUCAUAUGUUCGCAAAAUAAUAUUUGAUAAAUAAAAAUAUUUGAAAUAUCUUAGCAGUGGAAAACGAAAAAUAAAAUUCUAUGUAUCAAAAGUAAAAAGAAAAAUUGUUGGCAUUUCUAAUUUACUUAAAAUAUUGUUGGAUGGACGCGAAUAUAAAUAUAUAAUACAUUUUCUAAUAGUAUAACCAUUUAAUAGUAUUUUAUUAAAUAUUAAAUAAUAUAUAAUAUUGUAGUUAUAUGCUUGCCGACGCAUAACAACGGGAGGCCAUUUAAUUUAAAUGUGUGAACAAUAUCAAACUUAGCCCUUUGAAACUUCAAAAUAUUAUAUUUGUCCCUUUCAAAAUCUAAAAUAUCAUUCGUGGCCCUCUACUAUUUGUAUAAAUCUAUCACAAACGUCUCUGUGAACUCCAAACCUAAAGCCUAAAUGCUAAAGCUAAACCCUUUAAUGUUUAUAAGGUAAAAAUUUACAUAAUUUAUCUAAAAUAUGAAUUAUUUUGAAUUAGCCACCCAAUCUUUCAAAAUUUUGUUAUUUUACUAUCAGAUAUUUCAAUUUGUUUGAUUUGAAUCAGCCAACGGCACUUACUCUUUAAAAUUGAAUAUAUCAUUUAACUUUACAGGUAUAAUAGUAUGCUUCAUAUAAUUUUCAUAACUAUAAAUUUAUUAAAAUAAAUAAUUAGCUUAAAUUUUAAAAGCAAAGCAUCGUUGACUGAGUCAAACUAAAUAAAUUGAAAGGUUGGAUAGUAAAAAUAAAAUUUAAAAGAGUCGGAUACCCGAAUAAAAAUGGCACAUAGUUUAGAUAAGUUCAGAAUGUUUUUGCCUAUUCGAAGAACACUAAUGACAUUUUACAAUUUGAAGGAAUUUUAACAAAAUUAGAAUCCGUCGAAGGAGUACUGAAGAAAUCAAGCGUUGAAAUGUCUGUAGCGAUGCUGAUCGUCCAUAACACAGAUAUGACAAAGAGCCGACUGGUUGGGUACUCAAGAGCCAAAGUUCGAAAUCUAAUUGCUCCACAUUUCUACUGAAUUUAUUUUUUAAAUAAUUUUUCAGUGGCGGAUACACUAUAAAUAGAAUGAACUUAAAAUAGGAAACAAGAUUAUGGAGCAGGACCAUCAUCAUUAUUGUCUCAUGGGCCACACUACACAACAACUACAAUAUUGUCUCGUGGGCCUACACUUCCAUGUGGGCCCAAUGAGAAACCCUAAUUUUUUUUAAAAAAAAUAAAAUAUUAGUAGAAGAAUCCGACUAUAGUACUUUCGGGAGCACCACACAUGUGGUGCAGUUUAAUAUUAUUGUCUUGGAAGAACCACUAUCGUGCUGCUUUUACAAUUCUUAAUAUUAGAGUUAAAAAGUCGAAAAUACCAAAUUUUUUUAUAUUUUUGGAAGCAUAAUAGCUCUAUACAUGAAUAGAAUCAAAAUUUUCAAAAAACAAUUUUGUGUUUCUGUAAUAUUAAUAACUACUUUUUUAUGUUUUUUUACAUUUUAUAUAUAAAUAUUUAUCUUAUUGUGAAUUUUUUUUGGAUCUGCGGUUGGUUAUCUUACUAUAUGUAUGAUGCCAUUACUCUCUCGCUCUCUUUCUCUUUCUCUCUGGGAGAAAGAAAAAAAAAGGGUUAAAUAAAUAGCAAAGUAAAAUUUUGUGAAAUCACGGGAUAGUACUUUUUCUAACAAUAUAUCUUUACACCUAAGGAUUUAAGUGCUGUAGUACAGGAUUGUGAUGAAUCUUGCCGACACGGUAUGACACGGUGCGUGCCGAACCGUGUCGAUACUUGCUGGUCAAAAAAAUUUAUGUGUGCCGACACAUAAUAGCAUGAAAUAUUUAUUUUCUUUAGCAACAAAAUAUUCUAACUAUUUAUUAUAUUUUCUUAUCACAUAUUUUAAACUUUAUUGAAAAAAUUACUUACUAAUUUAAAGAAUAGAGGGUUAAGAGUUGUGCCAUUGAUACGGAGUUUGUAUCGUGCCGAUGUCUUAUUGGUAUGGUACGGCACGGUGGAUACGGCCCGUGCCGAUGGACACUUAAAACCUUAUUUACACUAAAAUAAAAAUAAAAUAAACUGAUAGUUAAGCGUAACUUUUUAAUACGAAAAAUCUCUACGGAGCAUCCGGGCCAAGCUACACUACUUAUGAGUGGGGGAUGGAUAUAAUUUUUUUUUUUUUCAUACUGUAGCUAAUGGCAAAAGGAGAGCUAACAUGAUUGGUAUGAUUGAUGAGGAUAGUGAAGUGUACUGAUCCGAAGAGGAUAUAAAGAGCUAUUUCUAUCAUAAAUUUAAGGAGCGCUUCAUAUAUGAAGAGAUGGCCCCGACUUCCUUUGGCGAGUGGAGCGGCUUCUUCAAAUCGUUAACGACCCCUAACCUUGCUCGACUAAUUGGACCUUUCAGUCUAGAUGAAAUAAAAACAAGCAGUUCUUCAACUCGAGAGAGAUAAGGCAUCGGGCCUCGAUAGUUUUCCGUGAGUUUCUACCAAACUUUCUGGAAUACCCUAAAGGAGAAUAUUUUGAACCUAUUCCAGAAAAUGUUUAAGGGGAGGAUGACCACCAGCCCCAUUGAUUACGCCUUCAUCUGUUUAGUCCCUAAGAAGGAAGGGGCUAAGAGCGCGAACGACUUUCGACCUAUAAACCUAUUGAAUGGGAUUCAAAAAAUUUUAUCAAAGGUUCUGGCCAACAAUCUAUAGCUGCUUAUAAACGAUCUAAUAUCUCCCUCCUAGUCGGCAUUUCUGAAUGAGAGAAAUAUCACUGAUACUUUUGCAGCACUUUGUGAACUAAUGGGUUGGGAAAGUGAGAAGGUUGUAGAAUGAGUCGGGGCAAAGGUGGACUUCGAAAAGAUGUAUGAUAAAAUCUAUUGGCAAUUCCUUUUUAGUAUUUUAGAAUGGUGGGAUUUCGACGAAAAGUGAUGUGGAUGAAUCAAACUCUGUGUGUGUUAUGCCAAGAUUGCAGUUUUGGUUAAUGGCGAGACUAUCAAAUGGAUAAAAAUGAAGAGGGGCGUGAGAUAGGGGGACUUACUCUCUCAUUUCCUCUUUCCUUUGGUGGCAGAGUGUCUUGCCCGGAUGACAAAUGAAGCAAUUACAAGUAAUCUUAUUAAAGGACUUGGACCCUUCGAUGUGACUAGGAUUACUCUUAUUUAAUUUGCGGAUGAUAUAUUUUUUUCUAUGAGGGUAAGAAAAGGUAUUUGAGAAAUCUCAAGUUCUUGUGAUACCUCUUUGAAUGGGCAUCCGGAUUGAAGGUCAACAGGAAGAAGUCAGAACUGUUCUACAAUGGACAGGCUGAAGGAAAAGCGAUAAAACUUGCGAAUAUACUUGAGUGUUGAAUAGGCAUCCUCCCUACCAAGUACCUAGGAUUGUCUCUUUCUACCGAGCCCCCUAGCUUUGAAGGAGGAUUAGAAUAGGAUCAUCUUGAAAAUAUAAAGAAAAAUUGACUGUUAGCAAACGAAACUCCUAUCAAGAGGGGGUAGAUUAAUUUUGACAAAUGCGGUUCUAACCAACCUACCUAUAUACUUCUUGUUUAUAUUCAAGGCAUCUAAAUGGAUGAUCGCGCAUACUGAGUCUUUGUAUAGAGACUUCUUCUGGAACGGAGGAAGCAACUCACCAGAUAAGGGUUGUCUGAUAGCUUGGAAGAAUGUAUGUAAGGAUAAGAAAGAAGGAGGACUUGGCAUCUUAGACUUAGCUACGAUGAAUAAGCUCUCCUGACCAAAUGGUGGUGGAAAUUCCACUGGCGCCCCAAUUACAAUGGAGCAAGAUUAUUCAUACUUUAUACUAUCAUAGAAGAAGAUCUUUAAAGAAGAAAUUUUUUUUUUAAACCUUACUCAUAUUGGUGAAAGGGAGUACUUAAUCAGAAUAAAAUCUCCAAAUAUGGUGUAUUAUACAAGUUGGGGAACACGAGUAAUAUCCAUUUUUGGUAGGACCGCUGGCGUGGAAAAACCACAUUGCAAUUGUCAAUAGCCUAGUCGCAUUCCAAGAGACCCAUUGAGCUGUCCAUCUUGCUUUUGAGUAUCCAAAAAGAAUCAAACUCUUAUUUUGUGGGGAAUACACUGGUGCUAAACUGCAACUUGGAGUAGUACUUUAAUUCUAUUAUUAUUAUAUUUUUAAGUUAACUUGAGUGCAGUUAAUGUAUUUUUAUGCUUUUUACUAUUAGUAACGGAGUCGGCACAUUAAUUUCCAUAUACAAAAAAAAUUUUAUGCGUGAGGUUGUAACGGUGAUCUCGUUACUAACUAGCAAAGAUGCUAACGCAUGCUGUAAACAUUAAUCUCAUUUUUCGCACUCUCUUUGUGUUGAUCAAAUUUAAGUUUUUGAAAAAAAAUGAUUAUUUAAUAUUUGUAACAUGAUAUCAAAGUUAGAUGUUUUUAGUCCGGAUUUUCUAAGAUUUUUAUUGUUACUUAAUUUUUUCUUCUUCAAUUUAAAUUCGUGUGUUUAAAAUUAUCAAAAACAUCUCGAUCUUAAAUAAUAAAAAAAUAUUAAAUAUAAAUAUUAAAAAUAUCUUCAUCUUGUAUGCUAGUUUAACUAUCGUCGUGCUCUGUAGCACCUUGUGGCUGGUACUGUCCCCAGUUAGAAAAGUUGCUAAUCAGUUUUAUUUUAUUCCGUGGGAAAGUGAAGGGUUUGUUUGGUUUAUUCCAAGUUUUCAAUAAUUGGCCAGAAAUUAAUGCUUGCACGCAAGCACUGUUUCAAACUCGCAUUUAUUUUUUUUUUUUUGUCGUGGAUAAAUUUUAAGCUAAAUUACAGAAGAUUCUCCGUCAAUAAUUUUUUUUUUUUUUGUUCUUUUCGGUCAUUCAAAAAUCUAUAUUUGUCCCUUUAAAAAAUAAAAAUAUUCGAUUUGACUCCCGCCGUCAAUGUUUUAUUAAGAUUCUGUUUAUAUUUUAUUUUUUAUAUUCAAAAUAUCCCUCAAACCCCCCUCCUUCCGCAUCCUCAGCCGUGCCGCCUCGCCCUCGUCCAUAUAUCUCUCCAUGCCGACACACACACCCUUGUCCGCCUCCACCGCCUCACCCUCGUCCACCUCGAGGAAGUUGAGAAAUAAUUUGGUCAUUUUGUCACAGCGUAUUUCUCUAUGAAUAUUUUUUAUUUUUUAAGAGGGUAAAGUGUAGAUUUUUGAAUGACAGAAAAAAAGUAAAAAAAAACUGAUAUUGAUAGGAAAGUUUUCUGUAAUUUAGCCUAAAUUCUAAUCUUUUUUAAUAAUUCAUCUUAUUUUUAUUUUGUUAUUCUGUUUGUGGGUAAAAAAAAUUAUAUUUAAUUAUUAUAAAAUUUAGGCCUAAAAAAUUUUACUUAACUGCUAUGUGGUUAUAAAGUUACUGUGCCAUUCUAUUUGAUAGUAGAUAUUUUGAAUAACAAUAAUGAUAAUAUCAUAAAAUAGUUAAGUGUAAUUUUUUAAAUCACAAAAUCGCAAAAUAAAAAUAUAAAUUGAAGUUUUUUUUUUUUUAAUUACAGUAUUUUUAAGUAGCUUCUAAUUGUAGGAAAAAUAAGAGCUUUAAAUUGAAACAUUUGGUGUUGACACGUGCUCCCUAAAUUAUAUAAGCAGUUCAAAGUUUCUGUAUCCACUACAGUGAAAUAUUAAAGAAAAUGUGUAAAUUGUUAUAUGCUUUUUCUCGGACAAUUGUGAUUAUAAAUAUUUUUAAGGUUUUGGAUGGGUCAAAAUAUAAAAAUAAAUACAUUUAGCCGCCGCAAUACCAAAUUAGGUUUUAGAAUAGCUUUUCAAAAACAACUCCUCUGAAAACAAAAAAAAAAACUUCUAUAUAUCAAAAGUAAAAGAAUCAUUAGAAUUUCUAAUUCUAUUACUCAAAACAUUGUUGGAUAAACGCGAACAUAGUAUAAUUUUUAAGAGUAUAAUCAUUUAAUAGUAUUUUCUUAAAAGAAAACUUAAAAUACCGCUUAUUUGGUUUCACAUUUUUUCACUUUAGUAUCCUGUGAUUUAAAGUGUAUCAAUUUAAUACCUUAUGAUUUUAUUUUUAUUUUUUUAUUAUCAAUUCUACUAAUUUUUUUUUGUUAAAUCAGUGACAAAGUUAAAACUAAAGGGUACUAAAGUGAAUAUUCGAUAAAUCUAGAUAGAGUAUCUAAAAUUUUGUAUAUAAUUUAACAAAAUAUUAAUGGAGAAGCUGACGAAAAGCUAAAAAUAAAACCAAAGUACACUAACUUAAUACACUUUAAAAUAUAGGGUAUUGAAAUGAGAAUGCAUGAAACCACAAGGGUGAUAUUUAAAAUUUACCCUUUAUUAAAUAAUACUAUACACCUUAGGAUGGCCUAGUUGUCUUGGUAGUUAUAUGCUUGCCAACGCAUAACAACUGCAGGCCAUUUGAACGUGGUAUCAAUUUCAAACAUAGUCCUCAAAAACUUCAAAAUGUUAUAUAUGCCCCUUUGAAAAUAUAAAAUUUUAUUCAUGGCCCUCUAAUAUUUGUAUAAAUCUAUCACAAAUGUCUCUCAGAAUCAUAAUUAGUUAAUUCGCGAAUUAUUCGCGAAUUAUUGAAAAUUCGAAUAAAACAAUCUGUAUACGAUUUAUUUUCAAAAAAAUAGAAUAAUACGCAAAUUUUUUGAUUAGAUUUAUUAUUCGCGAAUAAUUUGUGUACUACGAAAUAUUCGGCCAAAAAAACUCGCAAAUUUUUUGGAUAAAAUUUCUUUCCGAAUUAUUGUCGAAGUAUUGCCAAAUUAUUCACGAAUUAUUGAAAAACCUCAUGAACUUCCGAAAUAUAUGGACCAUGAAAAAGAUGAAGAUGGAGACAAUAAACUUUGCUGUUGCUUUUUUUACUUAAUCUAUUUUAUUUUGUAGCUCUCUUCUUUUUAUAUUUUUAAGAAUUAUAACUAUACAUACUAGUAGCAUAAAUCUAGAGAAAAAAAGUUUAGUUUAAUAGCAGAAUUUUUGAUCCCGAAUUGUUAAUCGGUGAAUGUAUAAUAUCCGUAUAAAUCGAGUAUCCGAAUGAUUGGUGAAUCCAUUUUUUAAGCCGUAUUUUUCAACGAAUUUAAAAAUUGAGAUAUGAAUUUUAUUCGAAUUAUAUCCGUUUCGAAUUUUUGCUGAAUCCGAAUUAACUAAUUAUUCUCUGAACUCCAAACCCAAAGCCUAAACCCUAAACCCUAAACCCUAAACCCUUUAUUAAUAUUUAUAAGGUAAAAAUUUACAUAACUUAUCUGAACUAGAAUUAUUUUGAAUUAGCUACCCAAUCUUUCGAAAUUUUGUUAUUUUACUAUCCAAUAUUUCAAUUUGUUUAAUUUGAAUACUCAACAACACUUUGUUUUUAAAAUUUGAAUGUGUCGUUUAUUUUUAUAUAUUUAAUUAGUAUGCUUUACACAAUUCUCAUAAUUAUAAAUUAUUAAAAUAGGUACUUAACUUAAAUUUUAAAAUUAAAGUACCAUUGAUUGGCUCAAAUUAAACAAGUGAAAGAUUGGAUAGUAAAAUUAAAAUUUUUAAAAAAUUAGACAAUCAAAUCAAAAUGAUCCACAAUUCAUGUAAGUUAUGUACGUUUACAAGCGUUCAAAGUUCAAAUAUCUGCAGUGGGACCGACCAUCAAGUGAUAAAGAGCUAACUAGUUGGUAGCCAAGGGUAGGGAUGUCAACGGUUUGGAUUCGGGGCGGAUUUCCAAAAAUUCGAACCCGAACCCGACUCCAAACUUGAAAAUCGAACCCGAACCCAAGCCCGAACUAGACAGAUUUUAAAAAUCCAUAUUCAAACCAGAACCCGACAAAAAAUCCGAAGCCCGAACCCGAACCCGAAUCCGAACCCGAAAAUUUGACCCAAAACAAUUAUUUCUCUUUUAAAUAUUUCAAAAUAUAUUAUAUUAAAUCUAAAUUUUUAUAAUACAAAUUUAAAUAUAACAUCAAAUUUUUAUAUACAUAUUAUAUAUAAUGUAAAAUAAAUUCGGAUUCAGGUCAGGUUCGGAUUCAAGUCGGGUACAGUCAAAAUCCAUAUCUGUAUCUACAUCUGUCGGGUUUUUAUUUUUGAUAUACAUAUCCGAAAUUAUAUCCAUUUAGCAUCGGAUAAUUCCGCUCCGUUCGAAUUCGGAUUCAGUUACAUAUAAAAAUAUUUAAACACCGUUUUUUAACACCUUAACUUUUAGAGUACAACGAUUAUUUUACAUGGUAUCAGAGCUGGAGGUCCUGAGUUCGAGUCACGCCAGGCUCCUAGUAUGUUAAUUUCCUCCCAUUUAAUUCAAGUCCACGUAAUGGGACGUAAGGGGGGGUGUUAAAUAUAAAAAUGUUUAAAUACCGUUUUCUAACAGUUUAAGUUUUUAGAGUACAACGGUUAUUUGGGCCAAAUUUGGAAGUGAAGUUGCUCUACAUUUUUAGCAAAAUAUAUGUUUUAAAUAAAUUUUCAGUGGGGGAGACACUAUGAUCAAGUACAAUGAUCUAAAAAUAGGAACAAGGAUGAUAGAGCAGGACCAUCCUCUUUAUUGUCUCAGCGGCGGAUCACUACGACAACAGUACAAGUAGGAUAGAGCAGGGCCCUCCUCUUUAUUGUCUCGUGGGCCCAACGCUCCCAUGUGGGCCCAAUGAUAACGCGCCUAAUUUUUUUUUUAAAAACAAAUAUUAUUAAUUAAUAGAAGAUUCCGAUUAUGAUGUUUCCAAAAGCACCUUUCACCUUGUGCGUAUUAAUAAUAAUAAUAUUAUUAUUAUUAUUAUCUCAGAAGAACCCCUAAAUUCUACGGAGUUCAUUAUCAUUCCAAUCCUAAAAAGUCAAAAAUACCUAACUCUUUGAUAGUUUCGAGUGUACAGUAACUCUAUGUAUUAAUAGAGUAAUUUUCAAAGAACAUUAAAAUAAUAUUUUUACCGUCACAAAUAUGCUCAUUCAAAUUUUUUUUCUAAUUGUUGGAAUUAUAUAGAUAUUUCAUUUCAGAAAUUUCCAACAGUCAUUUUCUUUUUUUUUAUCAUCACAAAUAAUAUAAGAGAGAUAAAAAAAUCAAUUUAUUUCAUUCAAUAAUUAGGAUUAAGUAUUUUACCUAAUAAUUAACUAUAUUCUUUAGGGUAUAUUUGAAAAUAUUAGAUUUUUUUAAAAAAUAAAUAUAAAAAAAUAAAUUUUGUAAACAUAUAUCUGGUAUUCGAUAUAUUUGUAAGGACCAUUAUGCAAUUAACCUAAAAAAAAUAUGGUGUGUCGUGAUAAACCGUAAAAGAGUAUCCGCGAGUAACCCCACCGCAUUCUCCUCGACGCUUCGUUCUCCCCAUGGUGCGCGACUUUUAACGUACUCCCACUCCCCGGUCUCAGUUUCCACUCUGCGAGUUCUCUCUCUCUCUCUCUCUCUCUCUCUCUCUCUCUCACUCUCCAUCGAUCUCGGAUCUCCUCACCGACCUUCUCUCGAUUCGCCAUGGAUUCGCUUCUUCUCCGGCCAUCUCCCCUCCCUCCGCGGCCCUUCGCCGCCGCCGCCGCCGCCUCUCGGCGAGGUACGCGCUCCCCACUCGAUUCGAGCUCUUGAUGGGUUGCAUGAGGGAAGAUGCCUCUGAAUCGAGCUGAUUGAUCUACUAUCUAGGGUUUAGAGCGUCAAAGUAGUUGAAUCGCGAUUAAUUUUAUGGCAUUGAUCUUAGGAUUGCUAGUUUUCUCCUUGUCUAGGGCGAGAGUGUGAGUAUGUGGUGAAUGAAUAGCCUUGGAUUGAGUUCUGGAGUUCCGGAUCGUAAGUAUAAGAAGCUAUGUAUCAAGAUACUUCUAUAAGCCUCGCGUGUCCAGUGUGGACACUUUUUGGAUACGUGUUCAAUGCUGAUCCAUAGCUCAGACAAUUAAGAAAACAUAUACAUAUUUUUAUUUUAUUUUAUAUAUGCAUAUAUAAUGAUGAUAAAUAUGAUGGAUGCAUACAAUUUAUUUUUGACAAUGUAAAUAAAUUAUGUAUGGUGGAGAAUUUUUUUUAAAAAAAUAUAUGAACUAUAAUGAAAAUUUUACUAACAUUCAUUCGUAUAAGAUAACAAUAUUUUUUCAAAAUUGAUAAUUUAUAUAUAAUAUAUAUAUAUAUAUUAAUAAUAUUAUAUUUUAUUAGCGGUAUUCAUGCCGUGUUCGUGUCCUAAUUUUUUAAAAACUAUCGAGUCACCGUGUCCGAGUCGUGUCGCAUCCCGUAUCCCGUGUCAGUGUCUUUGUCAUCUAGAUAAGAAACGAUUGGUAGAUAAGUUUCAUAUUAUCCUGCUUCUUCCUUUUCUUUUAUUAGAUAUGUUGAGAGAGAUAAGCUUUUGUGAUUUGAGUAUGACGACGUGUCUAAAUGAGCGAUUAGCACAGCAAUUUAUGGACACUUGCGUGAGUGUUUAACUUAAGAGAAUGUGUUCUUAUUAUUAUUAUCAUUUUUCCCAACAGCUUUGUAUGCUAAAUUACAGAAAUCUGCAACUGAAGCUAUUCCCCUGUCUCAAUUUUCUCAAAAUUUGAUCACAUUUUUGACAAAGGAAAAUGUGAGGUAAACACCUUGACAAAUUAACAUUGGUAACUGAGGCAGCAGGACAAGUGUAAGAUGGUCUUUGUGAUGUAAUUCAGAAAAUCAAUUAAUGUGGGUUACUUUAGCUUCAAGUUAGAAAGGAACUUGGUAAAAAAGCUCACGUAUACAAGAAGUUGGGUGUUCAACAGUCUUCGAAGGAAGAUUGAGGUUAACUUGCCGUGCUAUAAUAAGAAAUUUAAUAAGAAGUUAUAAGGUACAAAUGUAAUUGUUCAGUUUAGACAAUUUUUAGCUCCUAGAAGAAAUCUUUUUUACUUUCUAAUGAAACUCCUUUGCUUCAUUUGUUUGGUUUCACCUUUUGCAAGUCAUAUUCAUGUCCUCUAGAUUGACGAGCUUGCUUGUUGAGUAGCUAACAGAGUCUUGGUUUUUUUUUUUUGUGGGGGUAUAUUUCUCAGAUUCUCGGGUACCAAUACUUUAUUCUACUGGCCGAGCAUGUAAUGGCCCCUCUGUAUGGUUCAGUAGAAGAGUUCAAGAGCCCCUCAGAGACCAUUAUUUCAGACAUAUUGAUGGAAAAUCUACAUGUAGUGGGAGAACUCGUGAAUCGACCACUGUGCAUGCCUCAGGGAAGCCUUUAGAACCUGGACAUGAAGCAUAUGAUUCCUCGAGCAUCUGGCGACCAAUGUUAUCUUCCCUAAAUGCUUUUUACAGAUUUUCACGGCCACAUACAGUUAUAGGAACAGUUAAGUGGUACUCUUGUAGGAUUUUAAGUUAAAAGUUGUUGUACGGUUAUAGUACUUUCCCAGAUCUCAAGAUUUUUAUCAAUAAAAUUAUAUUUUUCACUUGUCAUCGACAGUUCUAAGAAGUGCUUUAUGUCUGAGCAGGCUCUGAGUAUAGUCUCUGUUUCCCUAUUGGCUGUUGAGAACUUGUCUGAUAUCUCUCCCUUGUUUCUGACUGGGCUGUUGGAGGUAACGAGUCUCAUUUUUUGAAAAUUUUAACCAACUUUCAUGGAACUAAAUGUUUUUGUACUUUCAGGCACUUGUGGCUGCACUCUUCAUGAAUGUUUACAUUGUCGGACUAAAUCAAGUGUAUGACAUUGAAAUAGACAAGGUAUCCCUCUAUAACCAGUCUUGGAAUACCCUCGUUCUUUGCCCUGCUCUAAAAUGAUUUAGUAGGAUGUUAUCUAUUUAAAUACAACAAUUUCGUGAUCUGCAUCAAUGCAUCAUUCAGAAUGCAUGCAUCCUGGUGCCUAAAGUUUUCUUCUGGAACUCAUUUUGAAAUUUAAUCCCAUCAUUUCAGGUCAAUAAGCCAACUCUUCCACUGGCUUCGGGGGAAUAUUCUCUGUUGACUGGGGUUGUGAUCGUUUCAACUUUUGCAGUUUUGGUAAGUAAGACUGUUUAAGUUGUCAGAAUAGUUUGGAGAACCGUAUUUGCUAUCUAUUGCUUUGCAUAGAGCAUGCAAUACAUGGGAUUGAUGCUACAAGUAGUUUAGUAUGUUAGAAGUAGUCUAGUUUUUUUUAUGUCUAUUUUAGUGCUUAGAAUCUCACUUCAUAAAUGCUUGUGCACCCAAUUUCAGAGGUUUCAUUCAUACUAAGUACUGCUUCGUGCCAAAGAUGAUGUUGAUGCUAAUCUAUAGAAUACAUCAAUUGGCGGUUGGGUCACAUCAAGAAAAUGGGUCCUUAGCGAGCCAUGUUGCCAAUUAAGGCAUAAACCGAUGGGAGCUGACGCGCCCAUUGCACUGUAAACCGGCUAUAAAAUAUGCAUCAAAGAUAAAUUUUUGUAGUACAAUAAAUUAUUAAAUUAUUUGUUAUUACAUAUUAUUAUAUUUUAUUUUAUUUUAUAGUACUAAUUAUUAGGUAUUUUAUCAAUCACCUAAUAUAUUGUGCGGUGUAUGGACAUUAGUUUACACAGGUGCAAGCGAGAUUUCUUCUCUCUCUUGGAAUUAUGAGUGCACUCUAUUAAGCAUUCUCUGCAUCGGGUGUAUAUUGUACAUAUACCACAUACUUAAAACCCUUUAAUAGAGAUUUCAAAAUCUAAUUUACUAAACAGAAUUAAUUAUUAGGCUUUGUAGAUCAAAUAUAUUUAGUUAAGUUUUAAUAUUAGAAUAUUUGUAAUCUAAUAUAAGGUUCGGUGUACGGAGUGUUAAUAUACACAAGGUGCAUGUAAUAGUUUCUUCUUGCUCCGAUCAAUUUUAAUAAGGUAAAGACACCCUCACCUAUUCAACAAUUUGAAAUAAGUCCUCCAACUUUAACUUUUUAGUUAAAAAAUUAUUUAUAGAAUAACUAUCAAAACUAUUUAGUUUGAUUGAGUUUUUAAAUAAAGUUAUUACAAUAAUUUAACUCUACAAAUACUGAAAGUUAAGGUUAUUUUUUAUAAUGGCUACUUUAUAGAUUUUUUUUUUUUUUUGUAUUUCUUUGGUUACAAUUUAUUUAAUCUUAAAAUAAAAUUAUAUAUCUUAAUUAACUGAAAUACUACCUACCCGCCUCAAAACACACGGCCAACACUAGUUAGUGUUAUUUUGCCACUUACAAUGUCGUACAAUUAAAUACCAGCACCAAACAGAUGUUAAAUUUCCUCACUGAAAAUUAAUCUUGAUGCUGGUAUUUUCACUUGACAACGUUUGAAAUGGUUUAUUUUGUGUCAUGGUUGCCGCUUUUGGCUAGGAUUUCAGUCCAACAUAACAUUUUGAUAAUACAGCUGCUUUGUAGCUUACUCAUGCAUACAACAUUAUGGAAUUGUCAAAUGAUGCAACAUUGUUGCUGUUUAGGGGCUUUCACUUUCUAAGCUUUACUAUGAAUGUAUAUACAGUUAUCUUCAGCUUUAUGAUACUUAUGGCACGUCUUGUAAAUGUUUGUCUCAAUUUAGAGCACCUAUCAUAUACCACUUCUGUCAUUGGAACUACCAAAAUUUUUGACCUCUAUCAUAUACAAAUAUCUUAUUUCAAAUGAGACGAAAGCAACUUCUCAUUACGACUUGUAUUGCUAACGAAGAUGUAAAGAUCAGUGUGCCGUGAUUAAAAUUUCCUUUACCAACAUGUAAAUCAAAAUAUCUGAAUAUUGGUUAGAACAGAAUUGUUAAUCACGAGCUUUUCAUUCAGAGCUUUGGUGUUGGAUGGGCUGUCGGUUCUUGGCCAUUAUUUUGGGCUCUGUUCGUUAGCUUUGUACUUGGAACCGCAUACUCUAUCAAUGUAAGCAUUAUCCUUUUCUGCCUAAUUUACUCUAUUUUCUUCCAGUUGAUUUUUCAGAGUUUCACGACUGCUCAAUAUGCAUGCAAAUAAUGGAGGUUUUUUGACAAUGCAUCUGUGGAUUUGUUUUGAACUUCUUGUCAAUCAUAUUUUUUUAAAGGUAGAGAGAAAACAUUUCUUCUUUCAGUUGGGAAGUUUAGGCCUUUUUUACAUUUUAUCUUCUUCGCCUAUAUGAUAUUUGCCAGGUAUUUUAAUCCUGAAGCAAAAGAUAAAAAAGUUCCAUAGAUAAUAUGAGAUCGGCAGAUAAUUAGCUUGAUUUUGUUAAUUCUAAAACAAUGAAAUAAGUGAGCUAUUAUAACAGGCCAUUCCUAUUUGUUGCUCCCUUGCUUGCUUCCAGUUUGGACAAGGUAGUACCACACUGCAUUUAUUUAUUUGUAAAGGAUCCAUUCAAUUUAGAGUGCAAUUCAUGGGUGACCCAAAUUGAAGGUUAGUUAAAGCACUUCACACCCACCUUAGGGCUCUCUGUAAGCUAGCUAGAACUGAAGUGAAACUUAGUUACGCAGGAUAUUAACAAAACUAAAGAUGAUAUAUCUAAUCGAAAUUAAAAGCAUUUAUCUUGAUCUUGGCAUAAAAAAUAUCACCCACACACUCAUUAUCCAAUAAUAAGUUAGAGCAAAUAUAAAAAUAAAAGCAGUAUACAUGUUCUUUGUACCCUGAUGGCUUUUAAACUCGGAUACUUACAGAUCCCCUUUUUAAGAUGGAAGAGAUUUGCUGUUAUUGCAGCACUCUGCAUAUUGGCAGUGCGUGCAGUGAUAGUUCAGCUGGCUUUUUUUUUGCACAUUCAGGUAUAUCUUUCUAUAGCAACAUGGUAUAAGUUAUUUGAAUGCUCAAAAUGUCAUGUUUUCUGUGCUAAUAGUGCUAGGUGUUUUAUGUUGAUAAAUUUUCCAGACAUUUGUUUUCAGAAGACCAGCUAACUUUUCAAGGCCGUUGAUUUUUGCUACAGCGUUUAUGAGCUUCUUUUCUGUUGUUAUAGCAUUAUUCAAGGUAACCAUCAUGAUGGCAAUUCUAUUAUGUUCAUAUGUUCAAAUCUGCUUGGAGAUUCUAGUGUUGUGUGUGUGUGUGUGUGUGUGUGUGUGUGUGUGUGUGUGUGUACACACUAAAAAUAUAUUAAUCUUAAAGUUGAUCGUUAUGCAGGAUAUUCCUGAUAUUGAAGGGGACCGCAUAUUUGGCAUUCGGUCUUUCAGUGUCCGUCUGGGGCAAAAGCGGGUCGGUCAAAAUUAAUAAAACUUAUGACCCUGAUUGAAAUGACUGAAAAAUCUUCUUCAAAUUGCUAAUAACUGUGCAUUAAAGCAGGUGUUUUGGAUUUGUGUUUAUCUGCUUGAGAUGGCUUAUACUGUUGCCAUGGUGAUUGGGGCUACUUCUUCCUGCCUUUGGAGCAAAGUCAUAACUGUAUGUGGCCUUUUAUGUCGUUGAUUGUAGAUUUAAUUUACCUUACAUGAGCUUUUGCAAAAGUGCUGCUGAGUGAAGCUGUUUUAAGUAGAUAUCUUCCACAACCCUUCUCUCUGUAGCAGAAGCAGUUGCUUCAACUUGUAGCUUUUGCUAUUGGUCUGAAAGCUCAUAUCAAAUUUCUGGUACAAUGAAAUCUCUAGACUUUGUUUUUACCAAAUGUGCAGCUGCUGCUUUUCUGAGUAGAUUAUCUGUCUCAGAAGCCAGGUCAAAUGAUCACUCUAGGAUGAUUGUAUGCAUGACACCGAAUUCAUUUAUAAUGGACCAGACAUGAUUUUCUCAUGCAUCUUUUCUCUUAUUAUUUUAUUGUUAACAUAAAUGAAGGUCUAAAUGUUAUUUGUUAAUUAUGCUUUUGAUAAAAGUACUUUCUAUUGGAUUUUCAGGUUUCAGGCCAUGCUAUCCUUGCUUCGAUCCUUUGGAAGCGUGCAGGAUCUCUCGACUUGAUGAGCAAAGCUGCAAUAACAUCCUUUUAUAUGUUUAUUUGGAAGGUAAUCAGUAAUUUCUGUGCUUAUACGGUGAACUAAAGUUAGCUCCAUCUAAUUAUUAAUUUUAGACUCAUCCCUCUACUCGAGACUAUUUCAGACCCUUGUCAAAUGAAAUCAGGCAAAAUACGAAAAUUUCCUUGCACAUUUUGUCCCUUUAUUUUAUACAGUCAAAUUUUAACCCCUUUCUUUUUUUGCCCUCUUUGUAUUCACAGCUCUUUUAUGCCGAAUACUUGCUCAUUCCUCUUGUGAGAUGAAGACAUAUGGAGUCAGAUUAAGUGUGCUGUUGCAGUCGCAAGGGAUUCUUUUCUGAAACCCCCAAAUUAUCUUCUACUUUGCUUCUCCAAAUCUUUGCUUCCUGGCCAAGCUGCUUCUAGAAUCUGUCAUCUUCAACCUGUCCCACCACAAGAGCCAAUAUCUUAAGGUAAGUUGUAUAAUUUGUAUAUUAUUGGAGGAGUGCUUCGCAUGAUCCUAUAUUCCAUCACUCAGUGCGUUUCAAUAGGUCGCAGAUUAGAUGGAAAUUUAUUCGUAAUGAAUAGGAUAUUUCUGUACAUAUUAUUUGACACUGAUUGGUUAGUCUAAACAUGCUAACUUUUCUAGCUAUCCUUUGAUGGAUAGCUAGAAAAGUUACUUAUUUUCUUUAGGAUUUUUUUUGGAUAUUAGUAUUAAAAACAUGCAACAUACUCUUGGAUGUGCAACGGAUCAAAUGCUCUCAGAUGAGAUGUCAUUGGGGAUCUCUCCAGGGAAGUUUUCUCUAUUCUUGAGGGCCCGUGACUUCAAUUUAUUUUGGGCUGAAUUAAGUUUGAGCCCAGAACACGUCCACUUAUUGCAUAAUCUGUGGGUCAAACUGGGUCUUUUUUAAAAAAAACAGUAAAAGCCCGUAGACCAAACUGGGCCCGUUACGUAGCAAAUCUCAUUACUAUAAGGGCUUGUUUGGUUCAUCCAUUUUGGGUAUUGAAUGGGAAUCGGUUUGAUCAAAUGCAGUUAAUUUUGUUUGGUUCGCAUGAAUCGGUUUGGGAUUCCUAUUCCGGACUGGAAUGGGAAUGGCCUAUUAGCUUUCAACUUGAUUCCGGUCUUCUAGCUCGGAUUGAGAUUUCAUUCCGAAAGUCCACUAAAUUUUCGAAGCCCAUGUGACCAUCUCGCCUUCCUUCUCUUCACCCCUUUCUCAUAAAAAAAAAAAAAUCUAUCAUCUCUCAAAACCCUAUUCCUAACUCACAUCAAUAAAAGUUUUUAAAAAUAAAUUUGAUUUUUUUUUUGGAAAACUUAUUAGAGAAUAGUAUUAUAUUUUUCAUAAAUUUUAAAUAAUAUAAAUUUAUAUUUGAGAGUAAAAUUAGUAUUAUUGUAUCCUAUAAUUUUUUUAGUUUAUACGAACCAAAUAAUGAAAUGUGAAUAACUCAUUCCAAUUUCCAAUCCACAAAUAAACCAAACGUCUUGGGGGAGUGAGCCAUUCCAAUUACCAUUCCAAUUCAUUCUCAUUCCAUUAUCCAUUCCAAUUUUCCCCUUGAACCAAACAAGUCCUAAAAGUUUCAAGCGUGUUUGGUUGUGUGGUUUCCUAUUCGAUACUGAAAAUAUCUUUAAUAAUGAGCAUUUUCGUUCAUUUAUUUUAUUUUAUAUAUGUUUUUUGAUGUAUGAUAGUGAUUUGUUGGUAUAAUUUUAGCUCAUAAUAGGCUUUAUAUUUUUCUCUAGUCACUAGAAACUAAUAAUUAAUAGUUGUAUAUAUUCUCGGGCACAAACUUUGGAGCCUAGGUCACACUGCAAACUACAGAAACUGGGAACCAAAAAAAUAUUGUAAAUAGGAAAAAAGCAUAGAAAAUGUAAUCAGUUAAUCUAACUGAUGUUUAGGCUUCGUUUAGAAUCGCAAUGUGCACUUGUUGCGUUUGAUAGAAAAUUAUCGUAAGAAAAUAUUUUAUUAUUUUUGUAAGAAAUAAUUGUCACUUUUGUGCGGGGAAAAAAAAUUAGAAGUAGCAUAAUUUUACAAUUUUUUUUUAGUGCAAUAACGUUAAGCUGUUUUCCAUAAUCAAUGGGUUAUAAAUGAAAACUAGUGACACAAUUUUUAUAAAAAGGAUACCUCCUAGCCUUAAAACUAAGAGAUUUUUAAAACUACCAGUUUUUCAAAACUGGACCAUGAAAUCCAUCCGCGACUAGGGGUGUAAUGUGUGCCGUACCACAUUCGCACGGGCCGGAGGCUAGCCUGGCAUGGUCCGGCCCCAAAGUCGAGCCGUGCUGUGUCGGGCCGAAUAUCUUGACCUCUCGGCCCAGCACGCCCCCUCGGCUAGCACGGGACCGGUCGUGUGGGGCCGAGCUUUGAGCCAGCCCAUUUUUUAUUUAUUUAAUUUAUUUUUAAAAUAUAUUAAAUUUUAGAAAAUUAAAAUUUUAGAAAACCACGUGGGUGGCCUGCGGGCCGCCCAUCCCGUUUUACACCCCUGACCACAACUACAGAAUAACAAAGCAAGGCAAGACGAUUGGGAUGGCUGGUUGAAAGUUUUCCAAGGUAAAUUUGAUUUGGAAUCUAUGAUUAAUUAACCAUAUCUUGUGCAUUCUUUAUUUUAACUUUUGAAAGAGGUAAAAAAAAAAUAAAAAAAAAAAAAAGGAGUAUAAAAGGGAAGGGUGACCUAUUAGGUUUGGGUUUAGUUGUGUUACUGGGAGGAGUAGGGACGCAAAUGGAUCCAGGUUGAUGGAGCUUCCGUUCAUAAUGGGGACAGUAAGUGGAGGCCUUACUCAUUUUGAAUUCUAUCCUGAUUUGGUGUAAAAAAAAAAAUAGAGAGUGAGAGGUGAAAGACUCAUUUCUUCCCUUUUUUUUCCGUCCUAUUCGAUGUAAUUUUAUUAAAAACUUGUUCUUGUUUCAAUCCGUCCUGAUGGAAUAAUAAGUGGGGAUAAAAAAAUAGAGAUAAAAAGUAAAAAAUCAAUUCGUUCCGAAUUUAUUCGGAUUCACCAAAAAAAAAAAAGGUGGGAGGUGGGGGACCGCUAGGAUCCGUCAAGUUUGCAUCCUUAGGGAGGACUCGGCUUGAGAUACAAGAUUUCAAGCUCCCGAUUCUCAAACACCCCACAGACACACACAAAAGAAAAAGAGAAAGAGUUUUUUUUUUUUUUUUAUUUCUUUUUUUUGGAGAGAGAGAGAGAGAGAUAGGUAGCACGCUAUCUGUUUCGUUUAUUCAUUUCAUUUAGAAAUAAACUUAGCUAGAAAUAUAAUAUAAAUCAACUGAGUUCGAAUUUGAGAUCUCGGAUAUCAACUAUCAAAUUUUUUACCAUACAUCUUAAAAGUCACAUCUUAUUAAACUUUUCAGAUUCAAGUAAGUUUGGGUAAAUGAAUUUGUUCAUUGCUUUCCUCAAUGCGCUUAGUAAUUCCUAGAAAUCAAAAUGAUGGAGAGAGAGAGAGAGAGAGAGAGAGAGAGAGAGGUCAGGUACUGUAGCUUUGCAGAAGGAAUCCUAAGUGUGCUCUGCAAAAGAAUCGAUCCUUCUUUAUUUCCUCACAAGAGUCGUAUGACCCCCUCACUUGUUCCCCUCUCUCUCUCUCUCUCUCUCUCUCUCUCUCUAAAUCCUGAUCCUGUUCUCACAAUCGAAGACAUAACGUGCAACAAACAUCUUAAAACUCUCUCUCUCUCUCUCUCUCUCUCUCUCUCUCUCUCUCUCUCUCUAUUCAUUUAUGUACAACUUAGUAGCAAUCUUGUUGCUUAGUGGUCCCUAUAAUAAAGCAUGUGAUAUGCACACAAUGGCACCCACAACUCCCCAAGAUCCAUCCCCGAUCUCAUGCAGUGUUCAUAGCCUUAAAUACCAACCAACUCAGUUAAAGAACACUCUGUUAAAUUGCAUGCCCCCUUUUAUUGCCAUUUAUUAACUGUACAAACUCACUCAUCAGCUCCAUUCUAUUCUCCAAUCACUAACUCGCAUUGCUCGAUCGCACUCAAUUGUCGAUAUCUCGCCUGUACUGGUUCGCGAUACUAGGAAGUAGCAUGCAGCUCACUUAAUUUCGACAUCGUAAGAGGAAAACGGAUCGAAUGGUAGGUCGAAAAUAUGAAAAAACUUGUGCCUACUCUAGAUUACACCAAACUUGUUCCAAAAAAGCUACUAACAAUGAUAAACUGUGCUAUGAUCAAACACAAAGAGUUAUAUAUUAAUUGCCUCCUUAAUUAAAUUCCUUUUAAGCCUAUACAUGGUGAACUCUCUUGAAGGAUAUAUGCAGCGCCCCACUCUUGUAUAAAUGAGUGGACCAUGAAUGUACUAAGCUAUAGAUAUCGCCGAUCUCGUAGACGAAUCGAUUUCUCGCAUCCGUCAACCCACAUUUGAACCGAUAUCUUUGAAUUGAUGAUAUCAAACUUCAAUGAUUUUUUCUCUUUUUCCUUUUUUUGGUUUUUACUCCCAAUAUCAUACUCAGUUACUGUAGGCUUUCAAUUAUUUCAAAAGAUAUAGAUUCACUAGUUAAUGACUAAUGUAAAAAUCAUGUUUGCUACAUGCAUAUAUAUAUAUUGAAUUGUUAAAUUCUUUUUGAUGUUAGGAAACAUUGGAGCUAGUUCCUCAAAAAAUUUAAAUGAUAAAUUUGCACCAUAUUACUACUCUAGUUAAUUUUGCGUAUCGGUGCACUAUAUUAUGGAGGGUGAUAUGAAGGACAAUGAUUAGCCUCAAGUACUUAAAUUUGAUAUUAAAAAGCUUAUUUGAGUAAAUUAAGUUUAUAUUGCAAAUAAAUCUAUGUACUUCAAUGUAAUCCAGUGGAAAAACAAUAUAAUACUUUAGUACUCUUAGGUGUUAGUUGCUAUAUUUUUCUAUCUUGCUUCAUAAAAAGAAAUGUGAUCCAAGAUGAUCGAUUUGUAACCUAUCCCUUUAAUUAACCAAGUUAUACAUAUAUAUGUAAUGAAGUUGAAUUUGCGGGAUUCGCAAACAUACUUUAAGGUUUCAUAAGUCCACAAGUUUUAAAUCUUGCGCAAUUAAUGCAUCAUAGAUAAAUUGAGUAUAGUAAUUAUAUGUGCAUACAUUUUGAAAUAUCAAAAUUAUACAGUUCUAAGAGAACUGUUUACCAUUAAUAAAUAAGUGUGACCACUUAUAAGAUCAUAAGAGAGGCGCACCGAUAAAUUUUGGCGUAUGUGAAACAUGCAUAUUGCGCAAAAUCAACACAUGUUCAUAGAAUAUUGAAUAGAUUAUGUGUGGAGUGGAAUUAAUUAACCUGCGUAAAAAGUUAAACCACUUUUGCGAGAACUCGGGGACUCAUAUUCUAUAUCCACAAAAUUGAGGGACAAGCAUGUAAAACCACUCUUGAGUUGGAUUUACUAAUUCACGUUGGUUGCAUGCAUGGCCUCAGCAGCAAGAGAGUGUAAGUUCCACAAUCUACUUCAAUAUCUUCACAUUUAUUGAGAAACUAACUAUUAUAUAUAUACACAUAUAAAUCUUCUUCUUUUUUUUCCUUUUUUUUUUUUUUUUUAAUAUUCUCUCUGCUAUAGUCUCAGAUACGCAGUAACAAAAAGAAUGAGUUAAAAUCAAAGAAUAUUAUCUGGUAGUAGUAAAUUAUGGGCUUGCUUUGGAAGAUACAACUCUCUGAGCCCCAAAACUACUCACGUGUUGCUUGAGUUCAACUGUAUUUGUAGCAGAUCACUGAAACAACUAGAGUGUCAGUUCCCAUUCUUCUUAUAAUUUUAGUUUGGUUAUUCACCUACAUGAAGGGUAUAAAAUAACUGUAACUGCAUAAUCAGAGCAUAUAUGCCAGUUAAAAAAUGUUACUGGUACCUCAAAAUGUGCCACAAAGUGUAGGAUGAGUUUUUAUUCCAAUGUUUUCCGUAUAUAGGAAUUUUCGAAUCGACGAUCGGCUCUGUUAGACUUGAUCUAGGGUAUUUGAAGUUUUUAUAAAAUAAUUUUUGCGAUUUUUUGAUGUUAUUUACCUAGUGAUCGAAAGGAUUCAAAAUUAAUAAUUUUUAAUGGUUGAUAUCUGCCGUUUUCAAGUUUAACGGUAUAGAAAUAUUCAAAUCAGAUGAAAUUUUGAUACAAAAUUCUUUAUACUAUCUACAACAAGAUCAAUAUUUCUAAUCGAAAAUUUUAAUGCUAUAUCACCACUUUUUAUAGGAUUUUUAUUUUCAGCCGUUAAAAAUUAUUAAUUUUGAAUCCUUUCAAUUGCUAAGUAAAUGAUAUUGAAAAAUUGCAAAAAUUAUUUUUUAGAAACUUCAAAUACGUUAGAUCAAGUCUAACGGAGCGAUCGUCGAUUCGGAAAUUCUAUCAUCUAAAACGGCUCAAGAGCAUGAAGGCCUCCGUGCUCCUGAGAGUACAGCAGUCCUGUUAUAUAUAUAUAUAUAUAUAUAUAUAUAUAUAUAUAUAUAUAUAAUAUUAUAUAUAUAUAUAUAUAUAUAUAGAAUUAGGCUAGAAUGCUAUUAAUAGUAAAACGCUCUUUUUGCUAUCAAGUUUUUAACCCUUGGAUGAAAAAUUAUAGGGUCAGGAUGAUAUUAGUCGGUUAGAGUUGAGUGGUCCCCCUAGGGUUGAGUGGUCCCCACUGGGUUAUAGUAUUUAAUCCAAUGGUUAAAAAUAAUAAAAAGAGUUGAUCCAAAGGCUAAAAAACUAGUAGCAACAAUGGGAUUUUGCUACUAAUAGUAGCCCAGUCCAACUCUAUAUAUAUAUAUAUAUAUAUAUAUAUAUAUAUAUAUAUAUAUACACAUCCAACUUACUUAGAGCUGCAUUUGAAAUCUGACUUAUCAACUGUGCUUUGCGAUACCUCAGGAGUCAACUUACUUAGAGCUGCAUUUGAAAUCUGACUUAUCAACUGUGCUUUGCGAUACCUCAGGAGUCAGGAGCUAUCGUAUCCAAAUCAUUUUUUUUGAGAUCGACAUCUUAAGAGAGCAUGUGUUCUUAAAUUUUUGCAUGAAAAGUCAAAGUAGUUGACACAGUUGAUCAAUACGAAAAUAACACAAUCUACCACACUAUAUUUACUACUCUCGAAAGUCCACAAUGUAUUAAGAAAAUCAAGCAAUUUCAAAAGGUUUAAUUAAUUUCAGGUUGAUUAUCUAGACAUUUAAUACUGUCCAACCAUCGCAAACUUACCGUACUUAUGCGGAUCGAUAGGCUUAAUUGCUGCAAAUAAACAAAUACCGUACAAUAUAUUUCAUGUCCGUGAUGUAUUUUUUCUUUUAUGUAGCUUUAAUGCUUCGAGAAUUAAUCAUGAAAUAAGCCUGCUACAAGCUAGGCCAACUAAUUCCGACAAGCGAAAAAAUAAAAUAAAAAAUCUAUACUAUCUCUAUCUCUUGUACAAUUGUCAAAGAUUAAUGGUUAGGUAUAUAUAAUUGUUGUAGGAAAUUAAUCAGCAUUUAAUAACUAUUUCUUUUUUUAUUUUUUACAUGCCAAAUUGGUGUAAUUAACACUACAAUAUUAUAAAUAGCUACUAAUGCCACAUAUAUUUGUUUUUUCCUUUUUCCAGUGAAAUUUGACUUGUGUUUUUUCUUGUAUUUAGCAUAUAUAGAAGUUAGUUGUAAUAAAAUUUAAGAACGAUGGGAGGAGCAUAAUUUAAGACCAUUAAAUAACUCCCGUUCCUUCAUAUGCUAAAUUUGUCUAUGUUUUUUACUACAAUGGAAGCAAUCAAUGCCCACAGAGAAUAUAUAUAAUCAUAAUACAUACUACAAUGCUAUAUCUAUUUCCUUUUUUUCCCUGAAAUUUUCCUUGUGGUACAUAUAUAUAUAUAUUUAUUUAUUUAUUUAUUUUAGCAUGUUAGUUAUGUCAUUUACUUUGGAAAAGAAUGGAAUAUCCAGAUCAUAUAUAUAUAUGGUGGCAGUGUAGAUUCCAUGAAGUAUAUUUAUUGUGGCUGCGACAGUAACUGUAUAUGAAAUUGGUUGGUUCUUUGCAGGAUUUGCUAGAUAUUGUUUCUGAAACUUAGCUACUGAGGAGUAAAUUCUGCAGUAAUAUACCUGCUGGUAAUCUACUGUUCUCAGGGCAACGCAUGUGUCGUUUCGCACGUAACAUUAAAAUGCAAAUUUAUGGACUAAAAGACGAGGAAUAUCCGUCGAAUAGGAUUUCAUGAGAAGAAGCAUAAUAGUUUUAGUUUGGCUUCAAUGCUUGUUCCAGAAUAGUGGGACUAAUCAUGCUUUGCCAUUGCAGCUGUAAUUUUCAAUUCAUAUAUAUGUAUAUCAUUCUAAUCCUAUAAUUUCUCAUCCAAGGAUUAAAAACUUGAUAGCAAAAAAGAGCAAACACUAUCAAUAGUAUUCCAGCCAAACUCUCUCUCUCUCUCUCUCUCUCUCUCUCUAUAUAUAUAUAUAUAUAUAUAGCACCAAGCGCUUGGUGCUACAAAAUUUUUCGCUGUUAGGUCUACCUCUUUGAUUAUUUUCGUCCGUUCGAUCAUACGAUUCAAUCAAUCACCCACUCAAUCUUUGGAACCACUAUUAUUCUAACCACAUAUCCGUUUAUUUAAGGUCUGAAAAUCUAACAGCAUCAAUAAUUUGGUGCUAUAAUAGUACAGUAGCCUAUAUAUAUAUAUAUAUAUAUAUAUAUAUAUAUAUAUAUAGUGCCAAAAACUAAUAAAAAAUAUAUUAUUUUGCUUCUCAAGUACAUUUAAAGAUGGUGAGAAAUUGCUUACAUCUCAAUCUUAAAGCAUGCAAGAGCAUAUUAAACACACCAAUGGAAGUUUGCACAGUAAGGUGUUAAUCACUUCAAUACAACUUUAAAAAAAAUUCCAAAAAAAGGAGGAAAAGAUCUACUUGAACAUUGACAAGCUAGGUGAUCUUGCCUAGAUAUUAUCCCCUUUGUGAGCAGCAGAAACCAUUCCCAUACCAAGAUAUGAUUCUCUUUGUGCGGUUGGUGCACGGCUUCAAGAUGAAAAUUUUAUAAGAGAAUUAUAGUAUACUAUCUGCUUCGUUUAUUAUUAUUAUUUUUUUUAAAUAAACUUAACAGAACAUAUAAAGCAACUAUUAAGUUCUUUACCACCUGUGCUAGGGUCGAGGGUCGGUCCGUGCAUGGGAAUAGCAUAUGAAUGGGGGAGAUGCGCUAGUGCGGUGCACAGUUGACAUGGCGCGCGGCACAGGCAAUUUACUAUUUCUCAAUUUUAAGAGACAUAACCAACUAAACUGUGUAGCAGAUGAACCUGAGCAAAUAACAAGUACUAUGGAUUAGUAGUGUACUGGCACUUUGAUUUAUGAGGAGACUUUUCUAUUUUCCUUUGGAAGGGAGGAAAUAGGAUAUGUUCGGUACAUUAAUGAUUACCUCCUCUCUAGAAAGGUUUAGAUAUGCGUUUCAUAAAUUGGAAUAUAUAUAUAUACAAGCUAACACUGCUAGGUACAAAAUCAGAGAUUGCAUUGAACUAAUUUUGCAAUUUAGUGUAUUCACAAGGGAAUUGGGUUAUUUGUGCCCUUAUUUAUGUUUGAUAUGGUUUUUAAUAUUGUUGAAGAAGCUUAUACCAUGGCAAUUGAACCUCAAAUCAGUUGAUUAGUUUUUACAACUAAAAUCAGGCCACCCAAAUAAGUAGAAAUCAUCAUAAAUCAUGAAUUGGUGAGCAUUAAUGCAUAUGCUCAAAUUUUUUUAAAGGGUAAAAAUAUACAAAACUUAUCUAACUAUUGACUAUUUCGAAUCGAUUACUCAAUCUUUUAAAAUUUUGAUUUUUACUAUCCAACCUUUCAAUUUAUUUAAUUUGAGUCAGUCGACGAUACUUUGACUUCAAAAUUUAAGUUAAUCAAUUAGUUUAAUGAAUUUAUAGCUGCGAAAAUUAUAUAAAAUAUAAUAAUUUAACUUGUAAAUUAAAUUUUAAAGUCAAAGUGUCGUUGCUUAACUCAAAUCAAUUAAAUUGAAAGGCUGGAUACAUAGUAAAAUUAAAAUUUUAAAAGAUUGGAUUAGCAAAUUAAAAUGAUCUAUAGUUCAGGUACGUUCAGUACAUUUUUUAUCUUUAAAUUUUUUUGAGAAAAAACAUAUAGGGAUUGUCCCUGUAUUGGGUAAGCAAUUAAAUUUGAGAGAAAUGGGCCCAACUACUAGAGAUAAUUAAAUUAUGCAAUAUAUUUAAGUAACACAAGAUCCUUCUAGAGGGUGCAAGAUGUUGAUAUAUAUGGAAUAAGCAAAGCUUUGUCAAAGGCAAUUAAAGAUGAGUUUGUUGACACGGUUGCAAUUGUUAGAGGUCACCAUCUUCAGAUAUUUAUUUAUGGGAGUGCACUCCCAAAGGUCUAGAUCCAUAAACUAACAUAACAUUAUUAUACAAGUAAUUAUUAUUAUGAGAAUAAAUAUUUGGUUGUUUAACUCUUGUUUGAUCAUGAUGGGAAUGUAGAAGUGAUUGAUACAGCAGGGUUAUUACAUGGACACGAUUCCCUUUUCUUUCCUAAGGUUCCAACGCAGGAAAAUUCCAUCUAUUGGUUAGUUUCCACCAUUUUAAUUAAUAACUUAUAUGCAUAUAUCAAAUAUGUAUUAAAAGCUUAAUAUGGAGCUAUUUGUGAGCGUUUUAAGCUCAAGUUCAUAACUUAAGCUUAACCUACGCAGCUUCACUCGUGUUCAACUCGUUUACUAUAACAAAUAAAUAGAAACUUUAGGUAAGAAGAAAAAAUAUAUGAAAAGAAAAUGAAAAACAGAAAUAGGUGACACAAUGAGUCAUUGCUCUGAUCGAUUAACUAUAUGAAAAAAUUCAAAUAACCCUCCUGUAAUUUCGCACUUUUUCACUUUAGUACCCCAUGCUUUAAAAUUCAAGUUAGUACCAUGUUGUUUCGCACUUUCUCACUUUAGUACUCUGUGGUUUGAAGUGUAUCAAGUUAGUACUCAGUGGUUUUAUCUUUGUAUCAAGUUAGUACCCUGUGGUUUCAUUUUUCUCUUUUUAUUAUCCAUUUUCGGGAUAUUUUUUUCGUUAAAUCAGUGACAAAGUUAAAACUAAAAAGUAUUAAAAUGAAUAUUCAAUAAACCUAGGUAGGAUAUCUGAAGUUUUUUAUAUAUAAUUUAACGAAAUAUUAAACCACAUGGUACUAAAAUGAGAAAGUGCGAAACCAUAGAGUACUAACUUGAUAUAUUUUAAACCAUAGGAUACUAAAGUGAGAAAGUGCGAAACAACAGGGGGUAUUUGAAGUUUUCCCGUAGGGUGUGUUUGGUUUCACGUAAAACUGUGAAAAAAAAUUUUUGGUAGAAAAAUUUUUUUCGGAGGAAAAGAAGUUUUACGUUCUUUAGCGUUUGGUUUGUAGGAAAAAAAAUUAGUUUUCCGUUACGAUUGUUUGGUUGAUACAAAAAAAAAGUUAUGAAGAUAAAUUAAUAUAUUUUUUUUCUUAUUUUAUAUAUUAUAUAUUAUUAAUAAAUAAUAAUUAUCAUACUAUAUUUAUUAUUAUUCUAGUUUAUAUUUUAAAAAUAUAUAUUUAAAACAUAUUAUACAAAAAUAUGUAAUAUCAAUUAUAAUAAUAUAUAUUUAAUGCUAUAAAAUAAAUUACUAUAUAUUAUAAAUAAUAUUAUAUAUAUUUAUAUAUAAUAUUAUAUAUAUAUAUAAUAUAUAUAAUAUUAUAUAUAUUAUGAGCUAGUCUCCUAUACUAUCUAUAGUACCGGGGCCUCGGUACUAUAGUCUUGUUUUCGAUUUUAGGGUGUUCAAAUCAACGAUCCACAUCAUUAAAACUGAUUUAAGGUAUUUAAAGUUUUUAGAAAUAAAAUUUUGUAUUUUUUCGACAUAGUUUACUUUAUGAUCAAAUCAUUUCAAAAUUGUCAAUUUUAAUAGAUACUAUGGCGAGUUUGGAGUUUAACGGUGUAGAAGAAUCUAAAUUUCUUCAAAUUUUGAUAGAAAAUAUUUUAAAUUAUCUAGAUUAAAGUUAACAUUCUUGAUCUUGAAUUUAAAAGUCCUAUACUUAAAUUUUAAAGAUUAUUUAAUUUUCACCGUUCAUUUUGACAUAAUUUAUUUACUAAGUAAACGAUGUCGAAAAAAACUAAAAUUUUAUUCCUAAGAACUUCAUAUACCUAAAUCAUAUUUAACGGUGUGGAUCGUUAUUAUGAACACCCUAAGAUCGAAAACAACAUAGUACCGGAGCUCCGGUACUAUAGAUAGUAUAGUAGCUUAAUUAUAUAUAUAUAUAUUAUAUAUAAUAUAUAUAUAUAUAUAUAUAUAUAUAUAUUAUAUAUAUAUAUAUAUAUAUAUAUAGAGUGAGGUUACUAUGCUAUCGGAAGCACGGAGCCUUCGUGCUUCCAGCUCGUUUUCGAUUUUGCGACUUUCGAAUCGUCGAUCGGCUCCGUUAAACUUGAUCUAGAGUAUUUGAAGUACUAAGAAAAUAAUUUUAUGAUUUACGAUAUUAUUUGCCUAGUGAACGAAAGGGCUCAAAAUCAACGGCUGAAAAUAAAAAUUUUACAAAUAUAGUAAUAUGACAUUAAAAUUUUAAAUCAAAAAUAUUGAUCUUGUUUUAUAUAGUAUAAAGAAUUUUCUUCAAAAUUUCACGUGAUUUGGAUAUUUCUACACCGUUAAACUUGCAAACGGCUCACUACGGUCAUUGAAAUUUGUUGAUUUUGAGUUCAUUCGAUCACUAGGCAAAUGAUAUCGAAAAAUAAUAAAAUUUAUUUUCAGAUACUCCAAAUACUCUAGAUCAAGUUUAACGGAGCCGAUCGAUGAUUCGAAAGUCGCAAGAUCGAAAACAAGCUGGAAGCACGAAAGCUCCGUGCUUCUGAUAGCAUAGUAGCCUCACAUAUAUAUAUAUAUAUAUAUAUUAUAUAUAUAUAUAUAUAUAGUAGGGCUAGAAUACUUGUAAAAGUAUCAUAGGGGUGAUACUUGUGUGUUUUUAGCCUUGGAUGGAGAGAUGGUGAGGUUGAAGAUGAUGAAUGGUAAGGUGGUGGUAGGUGGUGGUAGGUGGAAUAGUAUUUUUAGCCUAAUUUUCGUUUUCCGCGGACGCCAGCUGGAAAACAAAAAUUGAUUUUUUUUCAGAGAAUCUGUGAAACAAAUUUUCCAAAAAAAAAUUUUUGUGCAAUCAAACACCGGAAAAAAAAAAAAAUUUCGGAGUUUACGUGAACCAAACAACCCCUUAACUAUAUAAACAAAAAAAUAUUUGGUGGAGCCCACAUGAGUCACUCAACUAACUGACGUUGGAGAUCUUAUUGCUCCCUCGUGUGGUCCCACGUGUCGCCAUACGUACGAGAUACACCCCGAAUUAAUAUGCACACACUCGCCACAUUCACUCCUCGGAAAUCGGGUACUAUACUAUUUAAUUCGUAAGAGUCAUUUGCAUGGACAGCGAAGCUACAUGUAUAUUGAUCUCUACAUAGUAGAUAUAAAUCUUACACUUCGCUUAUUACUUUGUUUAUUAAUGUAGGCGUAAGUCUCGUUUAGAGGGAAUCAGUAUAAAGACGAAAAAAAAGACUACAAGCUAAUUAUGUUAAUUGGAGUAUACGUAUAUAUACAGGAUUGGUACUUGAAUUCUAUUAUAAUUGAAAAUAAUAAAUUUUAAUAUAUUUCUAACGCUAACUUGAUAAAAAAUAAUCAAAUAAUUAGAUUCUAAAUAGAAAAAUAUAAAACUUUUCAAAAAUAACCUAAAAAUGCAAAAAAGUGAGACGUAAGCAGUUGAAUUUGGAUUCCAAACUCGGCGAGAAUGGCUUUGUCCUUUGAUGCGUGUAUUUCAAUAAGUGUUUUCGAAAUUAGAGUUAACAUUGAAAAUGAAUACUCGUGCAAAAAGUUAUGCCCGUUUAUUAAAGAUUUUUCAUGCUGAUCAUAAAAAUUGCCGAGGACAGCGAGAUUCUGGACCAAGCUUGAUUGGGUCAUGCUUUUUCAGAAACCUUAAUGCCAAAUUAACCUCAUUACUCGUCUAAUUAAAAAUUUAGAUUUUUUCAAUGCACUACAACAAUUUUUUUCUGUUGCAUUAAUUUAAGUGCAUCAAAAAUCAAUGCUGUUGUGAUAACACAGAUUAUAUUAUUAAGUCAUUUAUUGUCAUAAAAUUUAUAGUAAUAAUAUGCAAUGAUUCUUAUUUGCUGCAAAAAAUUGGUAUUAUAACUAAAUACGAGCUGAAGUUUUUGGCUUGAUAUUUUAACGAGCCAGCUCGUAUUCGGCUCGUUUAUGAAAUGAGCCAAACACGACCUGAUCCCAGCUUGUUCGUGUUCUGCUCGUUGACACCCCUAGUAUGGAGAGAAUUUUGUUAUCGUGAGAACGAGAACGAGAACGAGAACGAGGAUGGAGCCAGCAAAGAAAUUUACCCGGAUUGCAGCGGGGCCAUGGAUAUUAUUCACCGCCCUUAUGAAGUCAACCAUCCGAGCAAAAUAAUAAUAUAUAUAUAUUAUUAUAUAAUUCUUAAUUUAUUUAUAAAUGCAAAAAAUUUACUUUGAUAUCUUUAAUAUUUUCUAAUUUAACCAAAUAUUUUAAAUAUAUUUAAUUUUUUAUAUAGUAUAUUACUCAAAUAAUAUUUAAUUGUUACAUAUUUUAUAAUUUGAUAUAUUAUACUUAAUAAUUUGAUAAUAAAUAAAAAUAAAUUUAAUAAUUAGAUAAACUUUAAAAUAAUUUAUAUUUAAUUCAAUAUAAUUUUUAAUAAAAUAUUUAUGUAAUAUAUUUUUUAAAAAAUUUAUAGGAUAUCCGUGGGGACGGACGGAGAUAACGAAACUUUCCACCUACUAGAAGAGGAGACGGAGACGAGGAUCAUAAAAAUUUGCAAGGACGGGGAUAGGAAAGGGCUCGCUGUCCCCUGCCAGCCUCAUUGCCAUUGCUUCCACCAUCAAACUAUUAGCCAACUGUGCGAGGUACGGUCAGUAAUUUUUCUAUUUAUGUCAAAAUAAAAGAACACAACAUAAGGCCCAAGUUGGAAAUGUAUUGUUCAAAAACACUUGUUUCUGAGACGAAUAUCAACUCAAAGCCUGAGACGCUGUUUGGUUCUUCGAAAAGUGUACCAAAACAAAAAGUUGUUCGAGAAAAAAAUAUUUUAUAAAUUUUUUUUAGUUUUUUAUUCGUUUGAUUUCAAGAAGAAAUAACUUUUCCACAACCUCUUUUCCAAAUUUUAUGAAAGAUUGGAAUUUUCAUCUUCCUGAAAAAUUAAUCCAAAAAUUAAAAAUAUUAAUCUGCCAUUGUAUUUGAAAAAUAAUUAAAAAAAAAAAUCAAACUAACGAAAAACUAAAAAGAAGGUUUUUCAUGAAAAUUUAUUUCUCAAAAGAAAAAUCCAUGCUUUUCUGACGAAUCAAACACUCCCUCAUUAGCUGUUCCUAUAUAUUGUGGGUGGCAAUGAAUUUGAAACCUAAUUACUUCAAAUUUUUAAAUAAAUUUAUUUUUAAAAAAAUUAAGGGAACAAAUAACAGGUACUUUUUUUUUUCUUUCUAAAAAAAAAUAUCAACUCAAUCUUGAGGCUUUUUAUUAUCAUCAUUAUUAUUACUAUUAUUAUUGGUACUAACUCAAUCCUCUAAAUUUAUGUGUGGGAUCAUUGGGAGAUCCCCUCUCCUUCAUUCUCCAUCCCCUGUCAACCCAAUAACCAAUUAUAACGUUCUCGAUCCCCGUACUCUCUCUCUCUCUCUCUCUCUCUCUCUCUCUCUAUAUGCUACAUUUAUGACGUCGAUGAGACCAGUAAUUAAACACCUCCAAAUAUAAACUCAACAAGAGAUGGAUACGCUCCAGGGGUCCGUGUUUGCGUACGUGCAUGUGGAGUUAAGCGUGGAAGGGUGUGGAAGGUACGUAACGUACCAUGCAUGCAUGUAUUUAUGCAACCGAUCAACAGCUUACAGUUUUCUUUUUUCUUUUUUCUUUCCUUUUUUUUUUUUUUUCUCGUUGUGUGUACGUACAAAUGUAUCCGCCCCUGGAUCGAUUCCCAGGGAUCCCCGCUGUUCGCUGACCUGCUCCGGCUCCGGGCGCCAGAUCCGAUAAUCCGAUCGAUCGAUUGACCAAUAUUCGUAUAUAUAUAUUCUUAAUUUUCGAAGAAUAUUAAGACACGUAGCACGAUCAUGUGGAGGAAAAAGUCUGGAGUGUGACAGUGACACUACAUCAUGUUCCUAGCCAAGUAUAAUUUUUUUUUCUAAAAAAAUAUUAUUAUACUUUAGCCUCAAAAUGAAAAGUUUGAUUGGCUUGAGAGAUAGAUAUAUAAUACGGUGUAACUGCUACGUAAAUUUAAGCCACUUGUCUUCGUGGAAUGCUAUGUAUAUAAAUUUAGAGGGAGGGUGUUUCGGCGGUGAGUAAAUUUAGAAAAUUUCAUUUGGGAGAAACGCUUUGAGAAUAAACUUUAUAGGAUGCAAAUUGGAGCGUAAAUGAUUAAUAAGAGAUUGGUUUGGGCAUGAUAUCCUGAACAGGAUCCAUUACAAACUAAUCCCUACAGAUACUUUUUUUUUCUUUUUUUUUAAGGGAAAGAGAUCAGAUCUAGAGAGGGAGCGUACUAUUUGUUUCUUUUAUUUUUAAGAAAUAAACUCAGUUAAAAAUAUGAAGUAAUUAGACAUUCAAAUUUAGAAUCUCAGAUACUAAUCAUCAAAUUCUUCGCCAGCGAGGGACGGUCGAUAAUCUCUUUAGACUGGUGAUACAUUAAUAAAUUAAUUAAUGUAGUGCUUUAGUCUGUGUGUCACUACAACAGAAGUAGGUUAUAGGGACACAUAUUUAGGACACUUUUGAGUAAGUGUCCAAUUUAUCCUAAAACUUAAAAAAACAUCUACUAAUGCCUAAAUAUAAAGCCGAAUCCAACCAAAAAUAGAAGAUUACUUUACUCAACCCAUCACACUCAGUCCAUUUGACCCGAUUACAAACAGAAAAGAAAAAAAAAAGAAAAAUCAAUUACUAUCUUUUCUUCUCUCUUCACUCAAUCCACUGAAAUUCUAGACAAAGAGCAUUUCCUAUCAUCCUCCUCCGCCACCGCAGCCAACGAGAUAGAGUUUCGGCGUUUGCUAAAUGUUUAAAUAAGUGUUGGUAAAUUAGCAGCACUCUUUUAGGUUAUAGCGACACUCUUUAACUGUCACUAUAUACCUAGCGACCCCACAUAUAGUAACACUUUUAAAAGUGUCGGUAAUUUUAGCUAGCAGCACUUUUUUGACAUGUACCUAUAUUUAAAAGUGUCGCUAUAGACCGUUUUUGUUGUAGUGUGUACGAAACAAUCAAAGCCUAGCUUCUUCCUGUUGUUCUCUCCAAAAGAUCGUGGCUUCAUUAUUUAAUUUGUUAAAUCUCUGUGUCUAACAAGUAUAAGUUUUUUUUGAACUUUUCGAUUAUUAUUUACGCACAUGAAUGAAAGUGUAAAGACUAUUUUUAGAUUAAUGUUUUCUAUUACAUCAGUUUAUUUCAUCAAUCAUAUUAACAAUUGCGCAUGCAUUAAUUUGCCCCCACACGAGGCUCGAUCACCUCGGUUAAAAAGAGAUAAAUCUACAACCAAAUGAAGUAGUAAAAAUAGAGAAAAAGUAGUUCGUGGUUGGACGAAAAUUAUAACCAACUUUCGGUUGCGGAGUUAGUAUUAUUCGACCCGGCCCGUUUUCCUAUUUAGUGGAGCUACAAAGCCAACAAGUUAAUUACUCCUAGUAUAUAUAUAUCAACAGCAUAAGUUAUUUAUUAAUUUUAUAAUGAUUUUGCUACUUAUACGUACGUACGUACGUAGAGUGUAUGACUCCCAUGUAUCAUGUACGUACUGCACCCUGACGUAUUUUACUACCCAGGAUAUGGUAAAGAAGUGGAGAUGGAAAUUGUGCGGGGCCAUUGUCAGAGUUUUUAAAGGAAAAGCAGCGUAGCUUCGCUUUCCAAACACACAUGGAAGGUGCGUGGUUUCGCUCACCACCUGUAAUUGUAAGGAACAUAAUGCGACUGUGGCCUAAAACAUUUUCCUUUUAACUUUUUAUUUUGUUCAACCAUUAUAAAAAAAGAAUACAACAGAGUUCUCCUGAAUCCUGAUAUGUAUAAGUUCUAAGGUGUAUAAUUUUGAUAUGUGGCCGAAAAAAAUUUUUCUUUUAAUUUUUUAGAAAAAAAAUUACCAUGCAUCACAGAAAAGCAUAAUAUAUAAGGUUCGCUUGAUCUGAAAGAUUGAUUUCGUAAAAAGUCUAGCUCAUAUAGAAGAACAUACUAGAAAAUUAUAGUUUAAAUUAAGACUCUUGAUCUGCACACUUAACUUUUUCAUUCUUAUAUUAUGUUUUUUAGCUAUUCUAAAAUUGAGAUUUAGUUAGUAAGAGAUUUUAUACAAUAUAAAAUGUAUGAUUCAAAUAUAGCAUUCACCAUACAGUUUGUUAUUAAUUGCAUUAUUCAUUAAUUUGAGCUUUUCAUGAGCAAAGGCAAUUUCAUUUUUUUUAUUUAUGACUCUAUGAUGGCUAAGAGCUUUCAUAGUUUGCCUGUAAAUUAAGACAUAAUUUACAAAUGUAUAUGCAUAAAUAAAAGUAAAAAUGUUUGUACAUGUACUAGCUUUUUAGCUAAAAAAAAAGAAAGAUAUAAUCUAUUUGAUUGAGCAUUUGCCAUUUCACCUGGAACUUCAACAUUCAUGUAUCAAGGAUACGAAUGUGCUCAAGGAUCUCCAACAAUGAAAGGAGAAGUUAUGGCUAUUAGGUAUUAGCUAGGAUUCUUUAUGGCAAAUGUAAGUCCAAAGUUAAAUGCAUAUUAAACUUAACUCCAACUGCAGUACAAUUUGGACAAAUAAUUUCUUAAAGAUCGAUUGUGAUGGCUUUUUGUAUAUGAAGUCGCUAGAAUUGCCUUAUAAGAGAGCAGACCUAAAUCUUGUGAGUGGGGAUUAGAUCCUCCACCAUUCAAUUUCUAACUUAUCAUCAAGGACGAUAUUAAAAAAAAUCAACACUAAUUGACAAAAAUCCUUAGUGGUGGUUUUUUUUUUUUUUUUUUUUGGUGGAGAAUAUAACUUACACUUACUAUCAUAAAGAAAUAAAUAUAAUUGACUACUAUCAUACCUUUUUUUUAAGGAACACAAUUAUAUAGGGGGCGGUAAGGAAAAAAUCUUAAAAUUGAUGUAAUUUACACUCACUAUCGUUAAGAAAUUGAUAUAAUUGACUAUAUCUUACUUAUUUUAAGUAAGUAAUAUACUUUUAAGUUUAAAAGGACAAUAUUUUACUGUCCUUAUCAAAUCAAUUUCUCUAGUGUUUAAAAAUUAUUUGAAGCGAAAUGUGGUGAACUUUUUUCUACUGCAUUGCUUAUGAUGUAUAUUGUAGUUACCCACCUUUUUUUAUAUUGAGUCUUAUACAUUACUUACAAAAUACAACUUAUAUUGAAUAAAGUUUUUAGAUUGUAAAAAUAAGGAAUAGACGAGAUCCUUUUUUGCUACAUAGCUGUCUUUUGUCUAUCAUUUUUCUUUCCCCACCCCCUUCAAGGCCCUGCUGCCUCAUCCAUAUAGCUUAAUUUGUUCGUUUAUUAAACGAAAUGAAUAGCGUGCUACACUUUCCUCAAAAAAAAAAAAAGGAAAAAAGAAAUGGAAAAAAGGAAAGGAUGCAAAGUUUUUUUUUUUUUUUUGAAGGAGAUCUUUCAAAUAUUGUUGAAUGAAGCUAAAAGAGGAGGUGAACGUACCACUGUGGUGAGAGAAUCAAACUUUAGAAAUAUAUAACAUGGGAGAAGAAAAGGGUAACCCUUUUCUCUCUCUACGUCGUACACCCAUCACCAUCAACCCUCUGACAGAGAUUACAUGCAAAAGCCAAGAUAGCAGCGACAAGAGAGAGAGAGAGAGAGAGAGAGAAUUAUCCUCUCAAAACCAACCAUUUUUUAUAAUUAAACUGUUAAGUACAGCCCCUCCAACUUCUCAUUAUGACUUAACAUCUCUUCUUUAUUUCUUUCCUUUUCUCUAAUCUAAUUACAUGCAUGAUCAUAAAAAUCCUUCAACUCCCUCCCUAUCUAGAUCUCUCUCUCUCUCUCUCUCUCUCUCUCUACCUGUGUGUGUGUGUGUGUUAGCAAUAACUAGAAAGGGAGAGACAAUUAUCAUCUUAAACGCAACCAUUUUUCAUAAUUACAAGUUAAUUAAUGUUAAGUACACCCUUCCAACCCCUCAUUAUGACCUAAUCUUAUUAUGUAUGAACAUAAAAAGCCUUCAACUACUCUCUCUCUCUCUCUCUUUCUCUCUAGUUUCUCUGACUAACAAAACCACCACAGCCACUACUUCCCCUAUAGGGAGAAGCUCCAAAGCAUGGCAUAGCUUUCACAGUCCCACCACAAAAAGGGUAGCGCUUUUCCUUUACCACAUAUACACCACAACAGUAACAGUAAUCACAUAUAACAACAACAACAACAACAACAAAGAAGCAAACCCAAACUCCAAACACCUUCUCUCUCUCCCCUUUAUAUCCAACCCCCACUUCCCAUUGCCUUUUAAAUCCCCCCCCUCUCCACCUCCAAAUCCCCUCAACUCACUCAUCACCCAUCCAUAUUCCAUACCCCAAAAGAGAAGCAAAAAUAUAUAUAUAAAAGAAGGAGAAGAAGAAGCUAGAGAGAGAGAGAGAGAGAGAGAGAGAGAGAGAAACUGAGAAACCCACAACUUCCACUUGUUGGGUACUCUCUCUCCCCCUCCUUUCUUUGUCCCUCCUCUCCAUUACUUGGUCUUCUCUCUCUCUCUCUCUCUCUCUCUCUCUCUCUCUCUCUCUCUCUCUCUCUCUGUGAUCUAAAACUUUGUUUCUCUUUGUACACCACCCAGUAUUUGAUGGGAAGAUGAUGAACCGCGCCAACCCCAACGACCCCUACGUCCCCUCCAUGAUGAUGUCCUUCGUUGGCCUCGACCCCAACCCCAACCCUAACCCUAACCCUACUAACCCCACCCCUCAAAGACUCCACCUUUCCGACCCUUGGGACCCCUCCCCCUCCUCCGCCGCCUUCUUCCCCAACUCCGGCGUCGGCGGCGGCGUCACCUUCCUCGACUACCCACCGCCCCCUCUCCUCCCCUUCAACACCACCACCGCCGCCGCCGCCGCCAACAUUAACGCCAACCCCAACUCCCCCUUCUACCCCACUUCCCCGACGCACGACUACCCGCCCUCGGCGGGCCUCGUGAAGCGCGAGGCCGACGCCGCCGCCCUCCUCCGCCCCGCCAUCGGCCUCAACCUCGGCCACCGCACCUACUUCCCCUCCGGCGGCGAUUCCGCCGCCGUCGCCAUCGACCGCCUCUUCUCCGCCCGCCCGCCCGCCCACGCCGUCCCGAGAGGCCUGCUGUACGCCCUCGGCGGUCUCGGCGGGAGUGGCGCGCACAACCCCGGCUACCAGCACUAUCACCACCACCACCAUCACCACCAGCCCCCCCGCUGCCAGGCCGAGGGCUGCGGCGCCGACCUCUCCGGCGCCAAGCACUACCACCGCCGCCACAAGGUCUGCGAAUUCCACUCCAAGGCCGCCGUCGUCGCCGCCAAGGGACUGCAGCAGCGCUUCUGCCAGCAGUGCAGCAGGUACCUAAAGUCGAAAUUAAAGAAUCAUAUAUAUUAACAUCAUCUUAUCCUAAUCCCAGUUUUAGUAUUUUGUUCUUACUUACUUUCUAUCAUUUUCUUUCUUUUUUUUUUUUUUAGAGAAUAACGAUUGUUUCAUAUAAUUUAAUAUAGUAUAAAAAUAUAAGAUUAAUUCUGUGUUCGAGUCACGUGAGAUUCCUAAUAUUAUUAAUUUUCUCUUAUUUGAUUCAAAUUCACGUCAUGUAUAUGUAUUUGACAACCGGUCUCUAAUCCGGACGUGAGAAAGAGUGUUAAAUGUAAAAUUAUUUAAAUAUUAUUUUUUUAUCAAUUUAAGUUUUUAAAAAAUAGCUAUUGUUUCGCAUAAUUUAAUAAUUUUGUUGUUUUUUUAUAUAUAAAAUUUUUGGAGGACAGUGUGGAGUUUCUCUAGAGAGCUAGAGAACCCCCGUGUGAUAGUUUGCUCUAUAUAUGAGUGUUGUUUUGGUGUAUAAAUAUAUUAAAGUAACACAACAAGAGAUUCUAUGUUCAAAAGAAAAAUUAACUACUUGUUUAAUGCAAAAUCUAUGUUUUAGCGCUACAAAAGCUUUCCAGCUGAGGAGAGAGCACAUUAAAUUGGGCCGUGAUUAAAUGACUAUUUUUAAUGGUUGUAGCUAUUAUUAUAUAAUAUAUCUAGAAAAACAAACAGGGCCUUACUAUGUAUGGGGACCCUUGGAUCACUUCCCUUCUUAGGCCAUUCACACCCAGCUUUGUUCUUUACUGAAUGCUUUAUAUAUAAUAUAUAUAUAUAUAUAUAUAUAUAUAUAUAUAUAUAUAUAUAUAUAUAUAUAUAUAUAUNAUGUAUGGGGACCCUUGGAUCACUUCCCUUCUUAGGCCAUUCACACCCAGCUUUGUUCUUUACUGAAUGCUUUAUAUAUAUAUAUAUAUAUAUAUAUAUAUAUAUAUAUAGAAUUGAACUCUUAUGUUUACCAUAGCUAUGGACUCUAUAUAUAUAUAUUAUAUAUAUAUAUGUAUGUAGAGGGAACACUAUUUGUUAUUUUAAGUACGAAUCACUUUCUCUCUUAAAUGAUAACUUAGUAUGUUUGUUUUUGUUCUCACCCUUGUUAUUAAAAGCUUCUGUCUCUCUGGAAACAGUAGUAGGAGAAAGAGCAGCAGAUCAGAGCCUCUGCCCCGCAUACUUGUGAACAUAUCUGUUACUUAUGGCUAUCACAUCUUUAUUGUGUUUUGUUCUCUCUCUCUCUCUCUCUCUCUCUCUCUCUCUCUCUCUCUUUGUGAUUGGAGAUAACCCAGACCCCAGUAGUAUAUCACUGACACACACACACACCCUAGCUGCAAAACCCAAUGCUAUAUAGCUAGCUUUUUCCCUUGUGAUAGAACAUAAAUCGAUCAACAGAAAUUAUUGCAACUGGUGCAUCAUAUAUAUAUAUUUUGCACUCCUAAAGUUGAUUAUAAAAACCACCAAAAUCAAAAUUUAAUUUUAUUACAUAUCCUUCAUAUGUGGCAUGUAAAGACAUAAUUUUUAAAGUAUUAUGUAUUAUUAAAAGUACACAUGUGGUCUAUGAUGCAAUUGGUGCGCCCAAUAAGUUUUCUAUGAAUUCACCAACCAUAGGGUUUCUUCUUUUCUAUGUGCAUCUCCCUUUACUUCUUUCCUGCUAACCUUUGGGCUUUUAUGACUGUAACCUGCUCCUAUUCUCUGCAGCUCCCACUGUUAAAUAAAAGAUAUAUAUAUAUAUAUAUACCCACUACAUACAUAUUACAUAUUUAUCUCUCCUCUCUCUAGCUAGUUUCUGGCCACUUCCCUUCUUUUACAGUCAUAUAUAUGGUAAGUAGGGGCAUUUUUCCUACUCAGCCCUAUAUAAAAAGAUAUAUGUGUAAUUAUUAUUAUUAUUAUUAUUAUUAUUAUUAUUUGUGGUUAGGUUCUAAUGAAUUAAUCAUAUAUAUAUAUAGUUUUACUUUUAAUGGUGUACAUGCAUGUAGGUUCCAUGUGCUCUCCGAGUUUGAUGAAGCCAAAAGGAGCUGUAGGAAGCGCUUAGCUGACCACAACCGCAGGAGGAGGAAGCCACAGGGAUCAACUCAAUCCACAGACUCUUCAAACCAAAAGAACAGCAACUGCAGCAGCUCACAGAAGAGCAAGCAAAGCACAAAGCCCACUAGAGACACUAGUAGUGAGUUUGAUCUUAAUUACUUCCUUUUUCGCGAAAUAGUUUUUCUCUAAAAGCUUAAACUACGCACUAGGCGAAGAGUUAGGGAAUUUCAUUAAUUAGGCACACAAAACAUAGACUUUUGAUUUAAAGUUUGUGUUAUUAUGUCAUCUAUAUACAGCAAUCACCACCAAGUCAACUACCACCAUAUCCAAUGCAAGUGUAAGCUUGGAGGGCCAAAACAAAGGGACUCAUUACAGGAAUGGACCAGCUUUAUCUCUUGGAGGAGUUGGAGUUGGAGUUGGAGUUGGAGUUGGAGUACUUGCAAUGGAGAGUAAGGGAGGGAAUAACAUGGACUCUGAUUUUAUGUACCAACAAAGCCAAGGGCUACACUAUGCUUCAUUUGUAGAGGAGAAGGUCUCCGAAGACGAAGAAGAAGACGACGACGAAGAAGAAGAAGAAGAGCAGCGCCACCACCAAGAGAUAUUGCAUCCUUUCUCCUCUGCGGAGUCCACCAACAACAACACCUUCUUCCACCACCACAACCUCUUCUCCUCCGCCGCCGCCGCCGCCGCCGCCGCCUCUGCCGAUGGCUCCCACUCAACCACGGAGGGCGGUGGCGGUGGCGACACGGCCACCGCCACCCUACACCAUCACCACCACCACCACAACCACCACCAAGGCCUCCACCUAGGGCAAGCCAUGUUUGAGGUGGACUUCAUGUGAUCAUCAUGUUAAUGAAGGAUAAGGAGAAAGAAAUUAAGGGUAAAAAGUUAAUGUACUAAUUAAGAGUUACCUCCCAACUAUGUUCUAUUUUGAAAUGUGCCCCUCAUCUUUAUUUAUUAUUAUUGUUAUUAUUUUCUCUAGUAUUCCUUUAACUUUGAGUUAUUCAGCUGGUCAACUAAAUUAAAAAUUUUAUUAAAUUUGAUGGCUUUAUUUAUUAGAUAAGUACUGAAAAGUGUUAAAAGCUUUCAUUAAUGUAUAAGUUAGUAAAAUUGCUAAUUUAUUCGACUAAAAUUAUUCAAAUUGUAGAUAUUAAAAGUUAAGAGCGCAUUGAUGAAGAAAUAAAAUAAAAUAAAAUUGAGGAGCUCAUUUUAAAGCUUCCUAGAGUUGAGGGGGGCUCCAUACAAUUUAACCAAAAGAAAACGUGUGGAGUGAUAUAUAUAUAUAUAUAUAUAUAUAGAGAGAGAGAGAGAGAGAGAGAGUAGGGAAGAUUGAGUUAUGAUAUACUUUAGAAGUAGCUAAUAUCUUUGUGCUUCUAAGUUUAAUAGCCCUUGAAUCUACUCCUUAAUUACUAAUAACCCCUUGAAUCAAACACUAUCCACCUACACACCAACCACCACCACUAUCAUCAACAACUACACUUCUCUAAUCCAAUAGUUAAAAACUCAAAAGCAACCACCCCCAUUGAUGCUUGAGAGUAUUCUAGCUCCAAUCUCUCUCUCUAGAGAAGAGAAGAGAGAGAAGAGAGAGAUAUAUACAUAUAUAAGAAGAGAGAGAGAGAGAGAGAGUUGAGCUAGAAUACUCUCAAAAGCACCAAGGGAUGAUGUUUUUGAGUUUUUAACCAUUGGAUGGAGAGAUGUAAGGUUGAGAUGAUGGUGGUAAGUGGUAGUAGGUGAAAUAGUAUUUGAUUUAAGGAUUAUUAGUAAUUAAUUAUAAUUAAGGAGUAAAUCCAAAGGUAGAAACUUAGUAGCACUUAAUAGUUGAAUGCAACCAAACAAAUUUUCAACUGCAUGCAACCAAACAAAUUAUUUCUAGUUGUAGUGCUUUCUACUACUUCCAACCAAACAUCAUGCAUAUAGUCGCAACUGCUAUAUUUCUAACUACAUGCACCUCUAAGGUUCGGUUUGGUUCGGGGAUAAAGCGUGGAUAAUGAAAGUUAUCCCCUCUAUUCCGCUAAACGAGAUAUUUUUUCACCGAUAUAUUUUAUUCCGGUCAAACCUUGUUAUUCCUAGCUAUUUCGGAAUAGCUUGAGAUUUACUAUUCCACCAUUUUGACAAAAUAAUACUAUUUCAAGAUUUAAUUUCAAAUUUUAUUAAAAUUAUAAAUUGAAUUAAAAUUAAAUUAUAUAGAUUUAAUAUGUUAUAUAUUAUAAUAUGUCAAUUUUAUUAUAAAAUUUUUAAUUGUACUAUAUAAAUAUUAUCUAUAUGUAAAUAUUAUAAUAAAUUUUAUAAUAAAUUAUAUUUAAAUAUUAUAAUAAAUCAUUUUUAUUAAAUCAUAAUAAAUUAUUUUUACAAUAAUUAUUUUUAUAAAAAUUAUUUAUAUUAAAUUAUAUUUUUUAUCAAAUUUAAAUAAUUGUUUUUUUUUACUACCCUCUACUAUUUCAUAAAAUUAACCAAACAUAAUUUUAAUUAUUUUUAGAAAUACCAGCAUUACAAACCAAACAUAAUUUUAUUUUUAUUCCUGACUAUUCCAGUAUAGCAAGCAAUUUCAGGGAUAAAAAAAUUUAUCCCAAUGUUCGUUAUUCCCAAACCAAACGGGGCCUAACUAUACUGCAUUUGUAAUUUCAUCAAACCAAACGGCCCCUUAGUGUUUGUAAGAUUUUCGUCGUUUGAUCAACCCCGUUAACCAUUUUUAUCUGUUAAAUCAUACCAUUCAACCAAUUACUCACUCAAUCCUAAAGAACGACUAUCGCCCUAAACGCAUAUCUCUUAAUCCAAAGAUCGAAAACAUACAAGCACCGUGACUUAGUACUUUCAAAGUCAAAGGAGUUUAAGUAAAUUAUUGGGCUCAAUCCAACUCAACUUACUAGCUAGUUACCUAAAUCUAUUAUCCCCGCGUUACAUCUAUUUUAACCAAUAAUUAAUAGUCAAUAAAUAGUUGUGGACAAUUUUCAGCUUUUUGGCUCGUAUAAUUAAAACUUAAAAUUAAUUGUGGACACACCUUCCUUUGACCACGAAACUGGUUCCACUGACCAAAUUGUGCAUCAGUUUGUCAGGAAACAGUUCAUCAGUUUGUCUUUAAAAAAAAAAAAAAAAAUUCUGAAAAUUUGGUUCAGAUGUGUUCCCCAAAAGAACCAUCAAUUCAUUAAGCAGUACUCAUGCUUUGUUCUUAUUUACUGUUCUUCUGUAAUAAUUUUAUGGUAACACUAAUUACUAAUAGAGUACGGCUUGUAUACUUUUAGAAGCACGAAAACAUCCGUGCUAUACUUUUGAAAAUAUAAAAAAGUUGGUGCUUUCGAUCUUUUUACUUUUGGAUCAAGAACCAUACGUAGAAUUAGAAUAAUAAUGAUCCUUCUUAGGGUUGAGUGAUCUCCUUAGUAUUUAGUAGCCCUCUAGAAUAAUAAUAUUACUCCAUAGACUAGAAAUGAUCAAAGAGUUUGAUUCAAGGCUUAAAAAUUUGAAAGCACCAACAACUUUUUUAUACUUUCAGAAGCGCCAUAGUUGGACUCUCUCUCUCUCUCUCUCUCUCUCUCUCUCUCUCUCUCUCUAUAUAUAUAUAUAUAGUCUGGUUGCAAUACUAUUAAUAAUAUCAAAUGCUUAGUGCUAUCAAAUUUUUUGCCGUUAAAUUUAUUUCUUUGACCAUUUUCACCUGUUAGAUCAUACUAUUCAACUAACUAUCUGUGAGAUCAUCCGGCAUAUUUUUUCAUCUAAAUAUCGAAAAUCUAAUAGCACUAAUAACUUUGUGUUAUUUUUAUUUUUCUAACCUAAUUCUAUAUAUGUGUGUAUGCAUUAUUAUAAAGUGUUGUACUAUGAAAGGGACGUUGAUAGAGAAAGAGCUACAGUGUGGGGCCUCACACCAUAAAAUUAAACCAGUUCGCCAUCUGGUGAGGAGGAAGUAUCAUAAUACAGAAAUUUAUUCAGUACAAUAUGCAUGGUAGGAGAUGUGGCCACAAAUAAGCUCGCAUCUUAAAGCAUUCUUUUCAAACACUAGUGUGAGGCAGAGUUGUUUUUUUUUCUCCUCGUGCGCCUAAGAGAGAGAGCUCAAAAUUUUAGAAAUAUUUUUUUUUAUUUUUAUUUUUUAAUAUAUUCACAAUAUAUUUUUUUAUUAUUUUAAAAUAUUUCUGCAGUUACUAUCCGUUAAGUUAACUUGGGUUAAACGUCAGUUAAAUAUCUAUUAGAGUUAAAAAAAAAAUCAAGCAAAUAAAAAAUAUUGGUGAUGGUAGAAAGUUAUAUUUGAAAAGAUCAAAAAUCAAAACACUUUUUGUACCCCUAGAGCAAAUAAAAAAAGUCGGUAAUAAUGGUGGAAGUGUAUAUUUGAAAGAGCAAAAUAGUAAUUUCAUACAGAUAACAGUUAUUAUUUACAGUUCAUUAAUAGAAUUUAACGCACUAGGGGUAUAUUUGAAAUAGAUUGGAACGUAAAAUUUUUUUUUUUAAUAUUAGCCUUCUAAGAGAAAUAAAUCAGAAAGUCGAAAAUUUUAUAGAAAUAUAUAAACAAUUAUCCCAAUAGAAAAAUAUUAAGUUAAAGAUCCAAAAGAAGUCAAAAUCCAACAUCGCUCCAUCAUUUACGAUUUUGAUAUAAUAAAAAAAAAAGAAGAGAAUCAAUAAGAGUAGUGUAAUGGCAUAUAUAGUUAAUCGUAUUAAUUUCAUCCCACAUUUUGCCUGUCUCAAAUGUGCCAAAAAAUUUUACAUAACUAAUUAAUUUGGCUAUGAAAAUUUUUAUAGGAUUAUUUAGAGCUAGGCUUGUAUAUGCUUUUAGAAGCCUGGUGAUCUCUGUGCUAUCAAGUCGUUUUUGAUACUGAAAUUUCCGAAUCGACAAUUUAUUUUGUUAGACUUAAUUUAAAGUAUUUAAAAAAUAAAUUUCAUAAUUUUUCAAUAUCAUUUACCUAAUUAUUGAAGAGGCCGAAAAUCAAUAAUUUUAAUGAUCGUGGUGAAACAUUUGCAAGUUUAAUGAUUUAGAAAAAUGAAAAUCAUAUAAUAUUUUGAUAGAAAAUUUAUUAUACUACAUAAAAUAAAAUCAAUAUUUUUGAUCUAAAAUUUUUGUAUCAUAUUAUCACUUUUUAUAAGAUUUUUUUAUUUUUAGCUAUUAAUUUUGAGUCAUUUCAAUCGCUAAGUAAAUGAUAUUGAAAAAUCACGAAAUUAAUUUUUCUAGAUACUUUCAAUAUUCUAUAUCAAGUCUAACGAAACCGACCGUUGAUUUAAAAUUCAAGUAUUAAGAGCGACUUGAUAUGCACCUCAAAACCAACUUAAAAAAAAAAAAAAAAAAAUCUUUCGUGCAUAGUCCUCUAAAAUUUGACGAGGGUACGUAAAAAUAAAGAUAAACUUUAAAUACCACCUCUAUAGUUUUGUACUUUCUCACUUUAGUACCAUGUGGUUUAAAGUGUAUCAAUUUAGUACCCCAUAGUUUCAUUUUUAUCUUUUCGUCAGCUUUUUCGUUAAUAUUUCGUUAAAUUAUAUACAAAAAACUUCAAAUACCUAUCCGGUGAUUUCACACUUUCUCACAUUAGUACCCUAUGGUUUAAAGUGUAUUAAUUUAGUAUCAUGUGGUUUAUUUUAACUUUUUAUUAUUGAUUCCACUAAUUUUUUUCGUUAAAUCAGUGACAAAGUUAAAAUUAAGAGAUACUAAAGUGAAUAUUCGAUAAACCUAGGUAGGGUAUUUGAAGUUUCCUUAAUAAUAGAAAAAACUUCAAAAACCACCCUUGUGGUUUCACACUUUCUCACAUUAGUACCCUAUGGUUUAAAGUGUAUUAAUUUAGUAUCAUGUGGUUUAUUUUAACUUUUUAUUAUUGAUUCCACUAAUUUUUUUCGUUAAAUCAGUGACAAAGUUAAAAUUAAGAGAUACUAAAGUGAAUAUUCGAUAAACCUAGGUAGGGUAUUUGAAGUUUCCUUAAUAAUAGAAAAAACUUCAAAAACCACCCUUGUGGUUUCACACUUUCUCACAUUAGUACCCUAUGGUUUAAAGUGUAUUAAUUUAGUAUCAUGUGGUUUAUUUUAACUUUUUAUUAUUGAUUCCACUAAUUUUUUUCGUUAAAUCAGUGACAAAGUUAAAAUUAAGAGAUACUAAAGUGAAUAUUCGAUAAACCUAGGUAGGGUAUUUGAAGUUUCCUUAAUAAUAGAAAAAACUUCAAAAACCACCCUUGUGGUUUCACACUUUCUCACAUUAGUACCCUAUGGUUUAAAGUGUAUCAAUUUAGUACCCCAUAGUUUCAUUUUUAUCUUUUCGUCAGCUUUUUCGUUAAUAUUUCGUUAAAUUAUAUACAAAAAAUUUCAAAUACCCCACCUAGGUUUAUCGNUUUGCAAGUUUAAUGAUUUAGAAAAAUGAAAAUCAUAUAAUAUUUUGAUAGAAAAUUUAUUAUACUACAUAAAAUAAAAUCAAUAUUUUUGAUCUAAAAUUUUUGUAUCAUAUUAUCACUUUUUAUAAGAUUUUUUUAUUUUUAGCUAUUAAUUUUGAGUCAUUUCAAUCGCUAAGUAAAUGAUAUUGAAAAAAAAAAAAAAAAAUCUUUCGUGCAUAGUCCUCUAAAAUUUGACGAGGGUACGUAAAAAUAAAGAUAAACUUUAAAUACCACCUCUAUAGUUUUGUACUUUCUCACUUUAGUACCAUGUGGUUUAAAGUGUAUCAAUUUAGCAUCCUAUUUUUUCAUUUUUCUCUUUUUAUCGGUCCCUCCAUUAACUUUUCGUUAAAUCAUAUACCAAAAACUUCAGACACUCUAUUUGUAGGUUAUCGAAUAUUCACUUUAGUGCUCUUUAGUUUUAACUUUGUCACUGAUUUAGCGAAAAAAAAAUUAAUAGAUGGGAUAACAAAAAGCGAAAAAUAAAACAACAGAGUACAAAAAUGAUACACUUUAAAGCACAUAGUACUAAAGUGAGAAAGUGCGAAACUAAAGGAAUGGUAUUUGAAGUUUUUCCUAAAAUUAAAUUUCGUGCUCCAUCUGGCCCAAUUCGAAAGCGACAACGCCCACGGCUAAAUUUUGGGCCUCGUGGGCCGGCCUACUAUCCACGCUCUCAUUCGUCAUACAUUUUAGGAGCAAUUGUUUAUAUAUCUCUGAAAAGUUUUAGACCUUUUAAUUUAUAUUUUUAGAAGACUAAUACUGAAAAUACUUUUUUUACGUUUCAACGUAUGUCAAAUAUAUCUCUAAAGUUAAAUUCUGUUAAUAAACGGUUAGCAAUAGCUGUUAUUUGUAUAAAAUUACUAUUUUGUCAUUUCAAAUAUACUCUUCUACGAUCACCUACUUUUUCUUAUUUGCCCUUAAGUUGGCACAAAAAGUAUUUUAAUUUUUGUUAUCUUUUCAAAUAUACCUUUUUAUCAUCAUCAAUAUUUUUUAUUUGUCCUUAAGUUAAGGGUAAAAGAGGUAUUUUAAUUUUUUUAAACUCUGAUAGAUAUUUAACUCACGUUUAAUUUUAGGGAUAUUUUGGAAUAACGGAGGAACAUAUAAGGGGUAUAUUGGAAAGAAAAAAAAAAGUGAGGAUAAAUGAGAUAUUUUCGAAGUUUUGAGAAGUAUAUAGGCAAUUAUUUGUAGAUUUAACGGUAAAUUUCAAAUACCACCCAUGUGGUUUCACACUUUCUCACUUUAGUACCUUGUCGUUUAAAAUAUAUCAAGUUAGUACCCUGUGGUUUUAUUUUUAUCUAUUCAUCAGCUUCUUCAUUAAUAUUUUAUUAAAUUAUAUACAAAAAAUUUCAAAUACCCCACCUAGGUUUAUCGAAUAUUCACUUUAGUAUCUCUUUGUUUUAGUUUUGUUACUGAAUUAAUAAAAAAAAUUAAUGGAAUUGAUAAUAAGAAGAGAAAAAUAAAACCACACGGUACCAAAUUGAUACACUUUAAAUCACAAAGUAGUAAAGUGAGAAAGUGCGAAACCAUAAGAAUGGUAUUUGAAGUUUUUACUAUAAUUUAUAUUGAUCGUUUCUAAAGUAAGUGACAAGAAUUUUCAAUUUUAAGUCUGUUUGGUUUUACAAAAAAGUGUAAAAAAUUUGUUUGAGAAAAAAAAAAUUUCAUAGGUAACCACUUUUUAAGUUUGCUGCCUAUUGGAUCUGAAGAAAAUGACCUUUUUUUUAAAGAUUUUUUUUUUCAAAUUUUGUGCAAAACUACUGGUUUUGUUUUCUAAUUUUUUUUUUUUUUAAGGAAAGCGAGAAAAAUUAUUUUUCAUAAGAUCCGAAAAAAAAAAAAAAAAGCUUUGCAAAGUAACUAUUUUUUUUUUUUGGGAUAACUUUUAAAACUCCCUCUGUAGUUUUGCAACUUCUAUGUGUGUAUCUGAAAGUUUUUUGUAUAUAAUUUAACGAAAUAUUAAAAAAAAGUUUGCCGAAAAAAUAAAAACAAAACAACCGGAGGACAAAUUGAUACACUUUAAAUUAUAGGAUACCAAAGUAAGAAAGAAACUAUAGGGGUUUUUUCGAAGUUUUUCUUUUUUUUUUUGAAAGCUAAACAGGUGAAAAGUUUUUUAAAGAAUUGGCCUAUAUUCGAGGGGUCUAGGUGCAUUUUUACCAAAAAGCUUCGGGAGCUCGCCCACUCUCACUCCCCGCACCAUUCCAUGAGCUCGGAUAAUAAUCCCCUCGAUCGAUCUCGUCCUCACCCUCUCCACCGAAACCCUAACGAAACCCUAAUCGCUCUCCGAAGCUCGGCUGCGGCGGCGGAGGAGGAGGGAGGGAUCCGAGCCCUCCUCUCGACCUUGGGGGCGCUCAUGGCGGCGGAGAUCCCGAUCGGCCGCGUCGCCCUCCGCCACCUCGUGCGGUUCCUCGCCGCCGUUCUCUACUUCCACUCCUCCGAGUACGCCCUCGCCGUCGCCUUCCAUGGCCGCUUCAACGUUUCCCCUGCUUGUGAGCUCUAAUUUCGAUACUGUUUCGUAUUGCAGUGUGUUCAAAUUUGAGGUUUAUCUUUUGUUUUGAUCUAUCCUGUUUCAAAUGUUGAAGGGUGAAUGAGAGCAUUAAAUUUGAGUAUUUUUGGUGGUUGGUCGGUGAGAUUUGUGCAAUUUGAGAAUUGGAGCAUUUCACAGUUUCUUUGAUGAAACCAAAUAUUUUUAUUUGUUCUGAGUUCUUUUCAUCAUUGAAUAUUGUCGAGUUACAGAUAAUUAUUGUAAAAGGUAAGGUUUCUACAGGGAUAUUGCAUCAGAUGCUAGAAUUUUUGGGGAAAAGAAGCUUAAAUUGUACAAGAAUAUGUAUUUAAUUUUCUAAAUCUAGGUAACCUAAGCAAUGGAUGACUUAAUUUUAUGCUGCAUUGAGGAACGAAACAUAAAAAUGUAGUUGUUGGGGACCAAAUCGGAGACCCCUGGUGCAACUUACCCUUUAAUUUACUAUGCGCUGUCCUAAAUAUUUAUGUCAAAAGUUCAAAUUUUAAUACUAAUGUUUCUUUUGCAGCACUUCUGAUCAGCAAACAGUAUAUUGCUGCGAUGAGUUGUGCGGUGCUUGAAUAUGUGAUAGAGAUUCUUCUCUUUCCCUCCUUGAAGGAGUAUUGGUGGGUCAGCAAUUUCGGCAUCGUGAUGAUUAUCGUCGGGGAGAUCAUCCGUAAAGCUGCUGUUCUAACAGCCGGUCGUUCCUUCACACACACCAUCAGGAUUUAUUACGAAGAUCAUCAUGAGCUGAUUACUCAUGGAAUUUAUAGGUAAUGAUCAUUCACCUGAUUUACUUAAUGAUUUAGAUCAUUCUGAAGCUGAGUUUUGAGCUAAUGUUUAAAGGAAAAUUGAGAAUUUAUUGGACAGAAUGCUAAACAUUUAGUUUGCAAAUACCAAUUUUUGACUCUUUGUUCUGCAGCUUUAGUACAUACCAGAACAAACACAUCUUGGUAAUUUAAUGUACCUAAAGUUGUUUAUCUAGGCAAUUCAAAUUGGUAAAAAUACUGUGACCCUCUUAACUGUAGUAAAUUUUAAAUUUAGAAUUUAGACCCUUUAACCUUUUUUUUUUUCUCUUUUCCGGGGUGGGGGUGGGUUGCGAACCCUAAAUUUUUGUUAUUAUUAUUAUUAUUAUUAUCAUCUUUUCUACUCGAGUCAUUUCGGUCAGUAGAAUUGCCGAUUAUGGUAAGUUUAAUGAUUUCAUUAGCUAUUAUUUUGUAAUAUUUAGUGGAACCUACUGUUUCAUAUGAUUAAUGGCGAUUAGAGUAGUAGAUUUUAACUAAUCAUCCGAAUUAAACAUAACUGCUGAUUUUACUGACAUAAGGAACUCAAAAGUGAAAGAUCAAAAGUUGAGAAGGUGUCAAUCAGAAGAAGUAAAGCUCCUUAGUUGAUUCUUAAUAGAAAGUUUCCUCAUUUUCUCGUGUCUUCCGACUCUUCAUAACCAGCCCAGCGUACUUUUGCUAGCUGUCAUAGCCAUUUUAUUCUAAAAUGCCCUUUUUUUCAUCAAACCGUACGUAAAUCUGGAUUAGCUAGAAACAAUUCUGACGGGGUUUUAUUCUAGAUCUUAAUCAAAUUGCUGGUAUUUCUUUAAUUUAUUGUGGUCUAUUGGUGUUGUCACGCAUAUUGGUGUUGGAAUGUCCUUGCUGUUGAUUUCUAUCAUUUCUUGUGGUCUAUGAUAUCACAUUUUGAUGUAUUUGUUAGCUCUUUAGGUGAAUCUAGUGGAAGAAAACUUAUCAAACCCUAUAAUCCUAUGUAAAUUCUAAUAUUCUCGGGGUACAAUGCAUAAAUUUUCUACAUUUUGGCCAAUCUUGUAACUGUACUAAUCUUUGCUUUCUAAUUAAGCAGAUUCAUGCGGCAUCCUGGUUAUUGCGGCUUCUUCAUCUGGGCAACUGGAACCCAGGUUAUGCUCUGCAACCCGGUCUGCUUCAUCGCCUUCGUCUUGGUCUUAUGGAGAUUCUUCUCUAGACGGAUACCGUAUCCUCUUAACACUAUGAUUUUGCGAUGUCAUUUACCUCAUCCUAUGAGGAGAUUCAUUCUAUUUAAAGCUCUUUGCCUGACGAUGAAACAAAGGUUAAUUUUCCGUUUCCCUUCCUCAUAGUUCAGUUCUUCGAGCUUGCUAAUCCUUUACUAAGUUACAGUUAUGAGGAGUAUUUCCUGAGGCAGUUCUUCGGACGCCAGUAUGUGGAAUACGCACGCAGAGUGCCGUCUGGCAUCCCUUUCGUAAGAUGAUAGUCUUGCUGAUUGUGUAAGUAUAUACGCGAAAUCCUAUUUGGUAUUCAGGACUUCUUUGGCGAAGCCGGAGCUUGUAGAAGUAUUGUUUGUCUAAAGCUGCUUGUACAAAGCCUACCGUAUGUCAUCAUUUUGCGUAAUACCGAACUGAAACAUCCCAUUCACCGACAGGUAAAAUAUUACCUGGCUCAACAAUGCGACAUGCAUGGGGUGGCUGCGUCAAUCCAUUGGCCAGAAGGGUUAUCAAACUUGCGCUCUUUAUGCAAAUUUGAUUACGAAGAAAUGGCGCCGCCAUGUGUAAAUUGAAGGAAUAAAGGACAUAGCAUUCCACUUGAUCAUUUGGUUGGCGCAACUGGAGAGCACUGCAAAUAACAGAGCCAUGGCCACAAAGAAAGAGAUGUAGCAUAUACUAUGCUUCAGGCUUAUUUGCAUUUGAUGCUUCAUAACUUUUAAACAAUUUGAUGUGUUUCAAAAAAAAUUGUAGGACAUUUUGGAGAUCUUUGAUCAAAUUAUCCCCGAGUUGGCCAUUUUAAUGUUUGGUACAAUGAUGUUGUUGAAAUGCCAGUGUAGAAUAUUGUAGAUCAGUUAGAUUUUUGUUCUGAUAAUAUUGUGAGUUCAUCAAUUGGUCAUUUGGAUUCAUCUGAUGCGCAAAAAGAUUUAGACAUUUGAAUAAUGUUGCUGAUAUCUAUUAAGAUGGAUAUUAUGAAAAGUGAUUCUGUGUUGGAUGAGAGAUUUAAACUUGCAAAGCACUGGAACUGAACUCGAGUUUGAUGCAAUUGGUUAGAUCUGGUUGAAUUCAUCUCGAACCCUAUGCAGUUGGGCUCGAACCGGACGUGUUUUCGGGUUCAUCAGUGGCUCGGAAACCUUAAGGGCGUGUUUGGUCGCUUCUUUUUUACCCUAGAAUCGAAAUCGGAAUGGAUGAAUCUGUUUGUAGGUGUUUGGUAUGCGGGAGUUUCAUUCCGAUUACGAUUUCCGAGUGGAAUAGGAAUUUUCCAAUCAUCUCAUUUUUCAAUCCGGCUUAAAAGGCCGAAUUGAAAGUUGAAUCCAGACGGAAUAGAUAUUUAUUCGGAUUAAAUUUAUUUUUUCAACUUUUUUAAUUAAAAUAUGAGUUAAAAUUUAAAAAUUAAAUAUAUAAUUUUAAAUUUUAAUUUGAACUUAAAUUAAAAAUUUAAAUUUAAUCAAGUAUUUCGAAUCUAACUUAUGAAUUUGAAUUUAAAUUAAAUUUUAAUUUAUAUAAAGUUUUAUUCAAAUUUUAUUUCAAACUUAAAUUAAAUUUAUGGAUUCAAAUUAAAAUUUAAAUUAUAAUUUUAGUUUGAAUUUGAAUAAAUUAAAAUUUAGUUUCAUAAUUUGAAUUAUCCACUCAACUUCAAAGUUGAAUUUUUUUUAAAAAAAAUAGAUUUAAAAUUUUGACAUUAUUUCAAAAUUUUGAUAUAAUUUUUUAAUAUUUAAUUUUUAAUUUGAAUUUAAAUUAAUAUAUUAUAAAGAUAAUGUUAAUAUAUUAAUUUGAUUACGUUUUUUAUAUCCAUCUAAACCAAAUACCGAUAGUGGGAAUGAUUAUUUCGAUUCCAAUUCAGGUGACGAACCAAACAGAAUUAGGUAAUAAGUCAUUCCGAUUCCGAUUCCAGCUUAUUUUGAUUCCGAUUCCAAUUCCAACUCCGACUUCGAACCAAACACGCCCUAAAAGUAACUUCAUUUGAGUUGAAAUGAAUCAAAUUUCAUUUUAUCAUCAAAUGAUGUCAUUAAUGAAUUACUUGCACUUUCAAUCAAAAUUCCCUCGAAAAUUAUUGUGUUGGUUGGCUCAAUUCGACCAUGCACGAAACUGGAUCAAAUCGACAACCAUUUUGAUUUGAGAACCACCGGUUCAUGUGGUGCCAACCCAACCCAACCCAAACCAAGCCAAACCAAUUUGGGUUUUUAGACAUUUUUUUAAGGGUAAAUUGCACCUUCUGCCCUCAAACUUUGAGUCGCGCGAUAUUUUAAUACUAAAAUUUCAAGUCAUUAUAAAUUUUACUUAAAAUUUUAAAUUAUUAUAACUAAAUUUGAUAGUUUAAUUUAUUUAAUUAAAUAUUAAUAGUUUAUUGGUAUAUCAGUACCGUGACAUCUUUAUAAUUAUGAGCGCAUAAUUUGAGAAAGAAGUGCAAUUUAGAAAAAUCCAAAGGGGGUAAAUGUUAAAAUAUCAUAAAAGUCUCUUUUCGCCGAGAUAAAUCGGCAGAGUUCUUCACAAGUCUCUCUCUUCCUUCCCUGAGGAAUUAGUGCAUGAACCUGGUCCACCAUUUAGUUUAUUAUAUGUUAGAGUAGAAAAGAAAUCUGAAUAUUAAAAGCAUAUAAUAAAUGCCAAUUUUCCAUAAACACAUGUUACACAGCCACUAAAUUAUGUAUUUAAAAAUUUUAACAUAUUUAUUAUCAUACACCGGGUGCGGUGUGUGAUGUAAACAUAUGCACCGGGUGCAUGCAUUGAAUGCAUCCUCUCCCCAAUUUUCGAGUUCUAUAAAUAGGCCGAGAAAGUCCCAUGUCUUUUUCGUUCCCUUUUCCAUUUUUUUCACCUAACUUUUUUUUUUUCCAUUUUUUUUUUGCCCAUCGAUUCCUCCGUCGUCGUCUUCCUCACUGCGUUCGCAGCUCCGUCGACUGCGAGAGUAGGAUUAGGGUUAGGGUUUCAACAAGCUCCACGCUCGCCGGUCUCGGGAUCGCCGCGAUGGCGGCGGCGGCGCCACUGCCAUAUGUGGAGUUGUGCAAGGGCAUCAACGGCCUCGAGAAGGUCGUGCUUCGGGAGGUCCGGGGAAGCUCCGCCGAGGUCCUCUCUCUCUCCUCUCUCUCUCUCUCUCUCUCAUGAUCCAUUUUUCCCUCUAAAUCGAUUCAUCUCGUUGUUGUUUGAAUCCUUCAUAGUAUUGGGCUAUUGUAACUGGAUUUGUUAUAGAUCUCAUACUCAUUUUCAUCUGAUCUAAUCAGUUUAAGGAUAUUCCGUAGAAAAAAAAAGUAAUGACUGCUCGAUUCUAGCAAUUGGGAUCGUCCUGAUGUUGAGAAUUAGGGUUCUUUGACCGAGCCAUUAAUCCUUGUUCGAGUCUCCGUCUGGGACACUUCACAUCUGGUGAAAUCGCCGAAGGAGAACAAAUUAGUUUAAAGUUUGAUUUUUUAUGUUUCAACAUGUUUCCUUUUCUUAGAUGUACCUAUAUUCUUUGUGGCAUGCGUUUUCAUGAGAAGGACAGCGAGAAUUGGAUAUUAGUGUGUGGAAACUUGAGGUAUGGAUUUAUAUCGUACUCCAUUAUUGGAUAUUCCACCAUUAGAUUGGUCAAAUGUUUAGCAUGCUGUUCGGCCACUAAUUUGUCAUGAGCGAGGAGAGGUUUUUUCAAAAAAAUUGUAUUUAAAGUUUUAAACAAUAAUAAUUUAGGUGGGGUCCCUAUUUGCCUUCAAUGAGCUGGCUUUGCUUGGUCUUAUCCAUGUUUAGGUUUGACAUUAGCAUUAUCUUUCUCCUUGUGCUAAUUUAACUGCCUGCAUAGUUCUUUUUUCUAUUCACAGUACUUGUUUCUUUCUAAUCUACCAUUUUUUUAAUGUAAGUAUGGCUGAUGCUGCUUACUAUAUUCACCAUUUUUUAAGAAUACAGGUCUUAUCAUCUCCGAGAUGAGAUUUUCCUAUAAAAUAUAGCUAGGUCAUUGAGUUAUCUGAUGUUGGCAAAGUCAAGUGCCAUGAGACUGGCAUAACAUGCUUUAAGGAUAAACGUUAUCUUCUGAUGCUCUCUUCUGUAAAAUAAUUUCUAACGUGACUUCCCAUUUUCUUAAUUUUCCUUAGCUUACCUAGUAAUGAUCGGUUAUUCUUACAUCUUCUUUCGAUGUUUAGGUUCUGCCUCAAAAUUUUUUGGUAGAAACCUUCAAUAACUACACAGCUUUCAUAUCUUUUGAUUACUAGGUGGUGUCAACUGCAUGAAACUAUGGUUUAUCCAUCAUAUGAAUCUUCUUAUGCCAUGUAAUCCUAGUUGGAGCUAUGUGCUCCCCUAAAUUGCAGUGCACAAUUCUUCUCUUAUCACAUCAUGCUGUGCAACAUGUGGAUUAUUAUAUCUCUUUUCGUAUUUAUCAUUUACUUGGAUAAUCUCUUUCUUACAACAAAGUUGUUGCAUCUUCGUGUUCCAUUUAGCUAUAUAAUCUCCACUGUGAUUUACUUAAUAAUUAAUGUAGGUGAUACUAAGAUGAAACACUUAAGAGUACUUUGGCCUCUUGCAUGUUCUUGUUCUUUUUAUUCAGCUGCUGUGGUUCUUGUUAUUGCUGUGUCUGUUCUUGUUUGCUGUUAUUCAUUUCCUCUUAAGGCCUUUUUCUUAGGUGUCCAUUCAUCUUCUUCGUGUAAUAGAUAGCUAAGGUGGUUUGCUUCAUGUUUGCUUGAAAUAGAUAUAAUUGCCCACCAUCCUUAUAAACUUGAAACUGGAAGAACAAUUGCUGUUUGUAUAUUAAAUACUUUUAAGCUUUUGUCCUCUGCUAUUUACACUCUUUCGUUUGCUCACAGGUUUACUUGUAUGGAGGUCAAGUAACAUCUUGGAAAAAUGAAGGGGAGGAGCUACUCUUCAUCAGUAGUAAGGUACCGAAAAUUCUCCUUCAUUCUGAAUAUCAAUGUCAUUGCAUGGGUAUUGUGCGAAGAUGACAUUUUCGAAAUGUUCUCAAGUCAUUUCUUUUUUUUUUUUUUGAGUAAAUAGAGUUACAUUGGUACUCUUAUCUCUGUUUGCAGUAUUGGUUCUGUUUACAUGAAUAUAUUAAGUUUAGACGAUUCGCUGGAGAUGUGCUCUUAGUGAAUAGGUGCUUUAUGUGGUUCACUGUGGUGGCAACUUGAAUUUCUUUCAGAGCCUGUUUGGAUGCCGAAUAUGUUAAGUUAUAACUUGUGUCUUUGGGGUUUCUUAUGGUGAUCGACUUUAGUCCGUUAAAAGGUCCUUAAAAUCAUGAUAUUAAGAUUUUUGCAUUCUACAUAUAUCAUACUCUUAAUAGUUGAGAUUAGUUAUCUUGGAAGUGACGAGAAAAAUUAGAGAGCUUAAUGCACAUUGGUAUUGUUAAUCUUUUUCUUCCCUUCAAUUCAUAUGCUUUUGAAGGCUCCUUGGGAGGGUUUUAACUUAAUUUGCUACUGUGGAUUGUUUUUAUAUUCCCCAUUUAUGGCUUUUCCUGCUCGUAUCCCUGUUUUUUCGCCCUUUAAAAAUGACUUUGCAAACUAACCAAUAAUAACAAGAAUAAAGAAGUUCAUCCCUAGGUGCCUGUAAUCGCAAGGAACUUUUGGAAUGCCAGACACCCUUACUCUUUCACUUUCAAAAUGUAGCCAAUUGCCACCUCGGUAUCAUCAUAUAGCAUCUUGUUGUUACUAGCACUCGCCAUCGAUCUGACUAUACCUUUAGGGGCUGUUUGGCUCUACGUAAAAUUGGGAAAAAGAAAAAUUUCGGUGGCGAAAAUUUUUUUUACAGCUUUUAGUGUUUGGUUCAUAGGAAAAGAAAAAAAAAAGUUUUCAACCUCACUUGUUUGCUUGAAAGGAAUUUUUUUUCUUUUAUUAUAUAUCCUAUAUAUUAUUUAUUAUAUUAAAAUUAUAUAAUAUGAUAAAUUGAUAAGCAUAUAAUAUAAUAUAUGUAAUAAUGUGCAUACAAUGCUAUAUAAUAGAAAUAUAUAAUAUUUAUAAUAAAAAUAUAAAAUAUGUAUAAUAAUUUUUCAUCCUCAUAUAUAUAUAUAUAUAUAUAUAUAUAUAUAUAUAUAUAUAUAUUACUAUAUAGACUUAGGAUGCGUAUACUAUCGGUAGCACGGAGGUCUCCGUGCUACCAAGUUGUUUUCAAUAAUGCGGCUUUUAAAUCGACAAUCAGCUCUGUUAGAUUUGAUCUACACUAUGAAAGUAUUUGGAAACUAAAUUUCAUAAUUUUUCGGUAUCAUUUACCUAUCAAAUGAGUAGGCUAAAAAUGAACGGCUAAAAAUGAAAAUCUCGUAAAAAAUGAUGAUAAAAAACUUGAAUUUAAGAUUAGAGGUACUGAUCUUACUCUAAAUAGUAAAAAGAAUUUUUUAUAAAAAUUUCAUCAGAUUUGGAUUGUUUUACACCGUGAAUUUAAAUUCACAAGCGUAUCACAUCUACCAUUAAUAUUGUCAAUUUUGAGACCUUUUGAUUACUAGUCAAAUGAUGUUGAGAAAUUAUAAAAUUUAGUUUCCAAAUACUUUUAAUGGUGUAGAUCAAGUCUAACGGAGCCGAUCGUUGAUUUGAAAGCCGCAUCAUUGAAAACAACUUGGCAGCACGGAGGCCUCCGUGCUACCGAUAGUAUANAGAGAGAGAGAGAGAGAGGGGGAGUGGAUGAGUGGUCCACAUGCGGUCCACGAGAACCAACCUUUCUCGUGGACCGCAUUUUUUGAGAGCGGCUGGGAGCAGCGUCUUUUGCUAGAGGUUUUCGUUUUCCGCCGACAGUGGGUGGAAAACGAAAACUCGUUUUUUUCGAAGAAUCCGUAAACAUUUUUUUUAUGAGCAACCAAACAACGGAAAACUACUUUUCAAGCGAAAAAAAUUUUCCGAGUAGUUUUACGGGGAACCAAACAUACCCUUACCCGUAAUGAGUCCUUUGACUGCCAAACUGCAGGAUCCUGAAUUCCUAAUUGUAUAUAGGUGCAUCUUUCUUUUUCAUCUGUACUUCACAAGCUCUAUUAUAUGCAUCUGUUAACUUUUCUGUUUCUCAGUGUUAUUCAUAACCAUGUCGAGUGCUUUUUGCCCCUCUUGUAGGCUAACUUCUGCCCUCCGAAACCAAUUCGUGGUGGUAUACCAAUAUGCUUUCCUCAAGUAAGGCUGCAUUUUGUUAGAUCAAUCAUUUCUUUAUGAUUCAUCAGACGUGUGUAUUUUGAAUACCAAGAAGUUACUCCCGAAUGCAGCUUGGGAAUCAUGGAACUCUUGAACAACAUGGAUUUGCUAGGAAUCAUCUUUGGACUGUUGAUGAGAACCCACCACCUUUUCCUGCACAUACAUCUACUAAGGCUUUUGUUGAUCUGAUUUUAAAGCCAUCAGAAGAAGAUUUGAAGAAUUGGCCUCAUAGGUCUGUUUUCUCUUAAAUGGGAUUUAGGGCUAAUCUUGUUCAUCACUGUGGGGAAAUUUAUUUAUUUAUUUAUUUUAAUUUUCUAGUUGUUACUUUACUUUCUUCUAAUUUUGUACAUAUUAAAUUUUUUCCUUUCUUUACUGAAUUCUGUUGCCAAUUCCUGGUGAUUGCAGUUAUGAAUUUCGCUUGAGAGUUGCCCUUGGACCAGGAGGAGAUCUGAUGCUCACGUCCCGCAUAAGAAACACAAGUACUGAUGGAAAACCAUUUCAGUUUACAUUCGCAUAUCACACAUACUUCUCUAUCUCAGAUAUCAGGUUUGCACAAGCUCGUUCCUUAUUUAUCACACAUAUAUUACUAUUUGGAAUCCUUAAAAAGUCCAGGAAUGAAAUACUUGCAUGAUGUGCUAAGUUUCCAUUCAUCACAAUUCAGCCAACCAGAGUUCCAACCAGAGUUCCAACCAGAGUUUCCGUGUGUAUGAAAUAUAUUUAGCCAUUGUUUAAGUACAUAUUAUGUUGUGAGCCUAUUUCUAUUUUUGAGCGUGACCUCGAAUGUUCCCUUCGUUUCUUGCUUUAGGACCUUAAUAAUAGUUGAUGUUUCAGUGAAGUUCGUGUUGAAGGACUGGAGACAUUGGAUUACCUUGAUAAUUUGAGAGAGAAACAGCGCUUCACCGAACAAGGAGAUGCAAUCAUAUUUGAAUCUGAAGUAAGUUGAGCCUGAUAUUCAAUAUGUUUGAAAUGGUUGAUAUGCAAUACUUACGCCAUUGAUGGCAUAGGUGGACAAAAUAUAUUUGGGCGCACCACCGAAGCUUGCCAUUAUUGACCAUGAAAAGAAAAGGACAUUUGUAUUGCGGAAAGAUGAUGGGCUUCCAGAUGCCAGUGAGCCUUCCCUCCUUCCCCCUCCUCUUUCCUCUUUUUUUUUUUUCUCUCUUGGUUAUUAUGGUUCUCAGUAGUCAUGCUAGACCUGAGUACAGCCUGGGUUGGUCAAGGAUCAAGAGAAAAUUGGCUGGCCCAAGUGCAACCCGCAUUGCGAACUAAAAAUUGGCUGCGCUGGGCCAACCCAAAAGUGACUGGGCUGGGCUGGCUCAACCAAAAACAUUGUAGCCCAAGUAUGACCUAAAUCUUCUCUAGCCUCUGUUUUUCAAACCUGAUCUGGUCUAAUGAACUGGAUUGGGCUGAACCCAGCUCAAAAAGCCGAGCACGGCGGUGCGGAUCUUUUUGCUCAGGUCUGGUCUUGCAGUUUCUGUUUAACCUUCAUCUUACACGACUUAUUGGUGCCUCUCUCUCUCUCUCUCUCUCUCUCUCUCUCUCUCUCUCUACAGUUGUAUGGAAUCCAUGGGACAAGAAAGCCAAGGUGAUACCAGACCUGGGGGAUGAAGACUACAAGCAUAUGAUAUGUGUGGGGGCUGCGGCGGUCGGUAAGUCGAUCACAUUGAAACCUGGUGAGGAAUGGAGAGGGAGACAGGAGCUCUCUGCCGUUCCCUCCAGUUACUGCAGUGGGCAGUUGGAUCCUCGAAAGGUUCUCGAAGGUUUAUUGUAACUCACAUCUCGCUCAGGUUACUUUUUCCCCUUAUAAUGCAUUAUAACUACAAACGUAACAAGUCGAUGAUUUAGGAUAAAUUCGGUUAUUGGCAAAAUUUCGCGAAAUUUAGUGCCCCCAGCCGUUAAGUUAAUUAUGUGGGCAAUCUACAGAUUUUUCAUAGCUUUUUAUGGUUAAUAGAUUUGUUGAAUUGCAGGGGCUCUUGCUGCGCUUUCUCUUCCUUUCUUGUCAUCGUCAUCAUUCAGUGUGUUUUGCGGGACAGCAGAUCCUCAGAGCUGGAUUAGUAAAUUCCGCGUUCUAAAGAACUUUCAUGGAGAGGGAUUUUUUUUUUUAACACCUCGCCCCGCUGGGCACAAAAUAGAGGGCUGUUGUUUGGCUCAUCUAUUUCACGCUCUUUUCGAUGCAUAUCAUCCUGUUAAUCUGAAAAUCAUCCGGGAUAAAGAAGAGGCAUUAUAAAGUGUUUUUUUUUUUUUUCCCUUUUUAUUUUAUCUGUGGAUGUAUUUCGUGUGCUUUUAAAGCCUUUUUGCUGUAAAAACUUUUAGACUGGUGUUUGAAUUUUGGUGUUGUUCAUUGGUACUAGUACAGAGUUUGGUGGUUUAUUGUGUUCUUUUAUAAAAUAGCAAGGAUGUAAAGGUCAACUUCAAAUUCGCCAGUAGAGGUCUAGUGCUUUUUCACUUUUUCAUCUUGUAAUUCAAAAUUUGCACUCAGCUACUCUGCCGUUUUGUUUUAUUUUACUGUAAACCAUGUCGUUAAUUACGGUAGUGAAGUGAUAUAUUUUGUAAACCACAAGAUAAUACAAUAAGAUAUUUUAUCGUCGUAUAAUCUGUAUAUUAUCGUUCUGCGGUCGUCAAAGAGAGUAUCAGUUUACUACUCUGCGCAGCGAUGGAUUCUUAGCCUGCAUUAUAGUUAAAUGUAACUGCUUGAACUGUAGGAUGACGAAGUCAAAAGAGCCAAAUUAAACUUUUCCCAAAAUGAGGAAACAAUAAAUCAUUUAUUCAACUAAAUUUCAAUUUUCUGGGAAAAACUACCAAAAUGACUUUCAACUAAAAGUUUCAAUGCUAGUUUGAAAUACAGUGUUCGAGCAUGACAUCUAACCAGAAUAAUAAAUAUACUUGUCCUAAAAGUUCAUGAAGUAUUUAUUUAUUUAACAUUAUUUGUUAAGCUAAGUGAUAAUCCGGAGUAUAAGUAUAACAAAAGCAAAGCAGCAGCAAGAAUAAGGCUUUGUUUAGGAUUGCGGGGAGAUUGCAUUAUGUGCGGUGAGAAAGUGUAAUAUUACGUUCCGCAUAUCGCGAUGAAUCGAUUACGAUAUAUUUUUCUGCGGUCCUACCGGAGAACGCAGAAACAUAUUCCCAUAUGCUUUUUCCUCAACUCCAUUUUAUCUAAUAGCGUUAGAUAGAUUUUAAUACCAAACUAAGAGCAAAGGUGACUGACUCUCACCCUGCAAAUAUGGCUUUUGCACAUCUGCCCUUUCUGUUUCUACAAACAGAAGUCGGCCGGCUGGAUUCAUUGCUCUCUCUCUCUUUGCUUGUUUUGGAAGAUCAAAGUGCAGACAGAAUGAGACACCCAAAUGUUACAGUCAGAAUUGGCAACCACAGCACCAGUGGCAUUAUUAGUGGAAUCCACAUCCACAUUCAUGAUUCAUUAAUGUUAGCUGUCACAUCCCACAUCUAGCUCAGAGUUUUCCUCCAUUGAUCUAAGAACAGCAAAUUUACACCAAUGCCUAGAUAAUUUGCAAAACAUCACAAAGUCACCUUUUCAUUUAAUGAUUUCUUUUUGUUAAUGAAGUUCUUCCAGAUUCGUCUGUAGAUAACUUCUGCACAAAUAGCAUUCUGUCCGGCGAUUUGUUUUUUUGAGAGAUAGAUAGCACGCUACUCGCUUCGUUUAUUUCAUUUAGAAAUAAACUUAGUUGAAAAUGUGAAUCAACUACGAUUCGAACUUGGGUUCUCAGAUACCAACCACAAAGUCCUUCGCCACUUGCUCUAGAGACGGUCUAUUGUCCGGCGAUUUGUUAAUAUACCGCUUUAUAUAUAUAUAUAUAAAGAGAGAGAGAGAGUAGGACUACUGUGCUAUUAGGAGCACAGCAGCCCUUGUGCUCCUAACUUUCUAACCACCCAUCAAGUUUGAUGGGUGGUUAGAAUGAGAGAAAAAAGAGAUAUUGAAGAGAAAUUCAAGGAGAAGAGAAAUUGAAACACCCAAUUUCUUCCCAAUAUCUCAUCUCUCUCUUGUUCUAAUCAUCCAUCAAACUUGAUGAGUGGUUAGAAAGUUAAGAGUACAAGGGCUGCUGUGCUCCUAAUAGCACAAUAGCUCAGAGGCCAGGAGAAUUUGACCUAGUUAAUUAAUGUGCUUUGCGCUUUGCAAAUAUGAGAACAUAUGGUGAUGUUAGGGAAAUUAACUUCUUAUCUUUUACUUAAUUCUUUUGACAAAAAAAGAGAUAUAGCAGGAAUUUAAACCCACAAUGGGUCAUUCAUGCUCACAAGAAAUAACCACCACUUUAACCCUCUUUUUCAGAACAAAGUCACUUUAUUUAUCUUCUUUUUAGUCCCUACAACCCCCCUUACAAAUUCAAAGAGAGGGAAAGCAUGGUUAAUUUCCCCCUUUAUGUACAUGUACAUAUGUGGAUGCCCAUGCCAUACAUCUCAACAUAAGUACCAACCUUAUUAAUUGUAGGGAGGGAGAGGUGAGGGAUGAGAUGAGCUCAAAACCUAAAGCUUAAAUAUGUUCUAGUCUCAUCAAGAUGGACCAAAUUGAUGGGAUUGGCUCAGCUCGAGUAUUUUCUAUUGGACCGCGCCCGGCGUAGACCGGUUCGACCAGGUCGACCGCCUCGGGAACAACCGCCUCCGCUGCUUCAGAUUGCGCGAGAGCUCCAUCUCCGACCGCAGUAUCUCCCACAUCACUUGCACAUCCUGAUACCCGCAAGUUUGCACGUCGUCGUGAAGCUUAAGAAUGCCACUACCUGCGCGAAAAAUUACACGAAAUUGUUUAAGAAAUAACCAGUACAGUUAAAUAACUUACAAAUGGAUUAAAUUGUAAUGAUCUACAUGACAAUCAUUUGUGCAAUUCCAUUUCAAAUAAUAAUGUCUCACAAAGUGUUAAUUAUGUUGUGACACUGAUAGGAGUUGGUUUUUAUUGCUUUACAAACAAUUCUUUUUAUCUUUUUGGGCUUCAUAACCAAUUAUAAUCUGAUAUAUAAUAACUCUUCAAUUAUAAUAUAAUAAAAGAGCAAUGUUGUAGCCAGGUAAAAAUGAACUUUUUUUUCUCUCUUUUUUUUUUUUUGUUUUUGUGAAGUUUCAGGAUUGGAAGGUCCCCAAAAAUUCAAUGUGAUGCACUAUUUUCACUUUGGAAUUAAGGAGAUAUUUAUUUGGUGAUACUAAAUUAGGUAUCACCUCUUUAAGAUAAAAAUAGAAGUAUCAUAUUUGGAGGAAUUAAACCACUAAAGCAUUGUAAUAACAGUAAAGCAAAUGAUCACUGAACCCAUUUACAGUAGGUGGAGAAAAUUAACCAAGAAGCAGACAUUAACUCAUACAUUUAAACUAGUACACUCAAUAAAUAAUAUUUAGAUAAAUUUAAAUAUGUCUAAACUCAAAUCUCUUAUAAAAGAAAGUAAAAAUAGAAAAUGUUGUGAAACUCUAUAUCUCUCUAUUUAUUAAUUGAGCUUUAAUAAACAUAAAAAUCUUUUCUUUUUCUUUAAAAACCCUCAUGAUUUCCCUUAAAAUUUCCCAUCUGUAAUUGAUAUAAAUUUCUCCAUUGAAUGAAUAAAAUUCUUAAAAGGUACAUAUCCUUAUAGAUUGACUUGGGAAAUGAGAAAACAUUAUAAUUAAUUAUGGAAAUAGGUUGAAGAUAUUGAUUUGUGUGUGUCAAAAAUAUGUGGGGAGGGAAAUAAUAAAAAUAAAAAAGAAAAGAUUUAAUAAAAAAAAGACAUAAAAGAUAUUUUAAUAGGUUUUCAAACUAACAAAGGAGAGCAUAUUACCUAAUCAAUCAAGAGGUCCUAAACAAAUGAGAUACCUAAAAAUGGAUGGUGGAUAUCAAAAGAAAGAAGAGAAAAUGCUUUGUCCAACUCCCAUCUAAUUGUAUGGACUAUGGACCAUUCACCAAUUCAUAGACUCCAUAUUUAUCCAUCCUCCUCAAAAUAAUUAAAAAUAAUUUAAUAAUAAUAAUAAUAACAACAACAACAACAACAAUAAUAAUUAGUAUUAUGAUGUUUCAUUAAAAAAAAAAGAUAUUUUAAUAUAUAAUAAAUCAUUUAAAAACCUAUAAGCAAGUAGCUUUUCAAACUAACAAAGGAGAGCAAAAAUCCUAAUUAAUAGGUUAGUAAUAUAAUUUCAUAACCAGAGAGACUUAUUAAUACAUAUUUAAUUAACCAUAGGUUUAUCUAAUUAGAUCACUAUUCGUUAACUGAAUUUAGCAAAAUUUAAUAAAAUCUAAAUUUAUUCCUUGCAAAUUUUGGCCUUUUGCGAUUUCACUCAGCUCCUACUUUCACAAAAUGGAGUGUAAAUUAAUAUAAAAAAUAAGAUAAGAUAUAAAUAAAUCCUAAGAAUUAAAUAUAUGUACCAAUUCGUAAAAUAAAUGAAAAAAAUAUUGAUUUAAAAAAAAAAAAAAGGUGGUGGUGAGUUAGGGGAGGUGAGGUUACCGUCCUUCCGGGCCUUGACCCGGGCGGCGACGGCGAGCCACGCACGCUUGACGGGGAAGACGACUUUGUUGUGCCACCACGCCAUCACCCGCGCCCCGAUCCUCCUUCGCCGUAGGGCGGCGCACCCGACCGCGACACCCCCCAAUCGCCCCGCCAGGUCCUCCGAAUCUCGUCCUCUGCCGCCGUUGCCGCCGCCUCUGCCUCUGCCGCCACUGCUGAUCCUUCGGUAACCUCACCGCAAAGUUACCCCUCUCACUCGCAAUAAUUUAUUUUUAUUUUUUGAUUAUUUUUUGCUCAUUAUUAUUGUUAUUAUUAUUAUUAUUAUUCAUCUCUCCUCCACCACUUUGUACUUUGGAGAUCUAUGAAGAGCUCUCUCUCUCUCUCUCUCUCUCUUUCUCUCUGUGGCUCUUUUAUCGGUGUAGAUUCCACAAGUUGUUGUGAUGAUACACGGUCACCACCGGUUUUUAUUUUAUUUUAUUUAUUUUAUUUUUCUUUUUUUCCUCCAAUCGAGGUUUGACACGCUCCACGCAUGUGGGGCCCGGUUUGUAAUUUUGACACGUGUGGGUUGUACUAUUCGGGCACAAAAAUCAACAGGGCCUCUAACAUGGGAGAUUUUAUUUGAGGAUCUUGGAUAUUUCAUCAAAUUUUGUUGCCCCAAAUAAGAUUAUAGUUAUGUAUUUUUUAAAAAAUUUCUUUUUUUACCAUAAUAUUAUUGUAUUACUUUUGCUUAGAUUUCUAUAAUUUUGAUGGGUUAAUUUGAUUGGUUGUAUUUGAAUUCUACGUGAAAUAAUAAAUAUAAAAAAUAUAGUUUCCUCAAGUAGUAGAUAAGCAAAUUAAAUUUUUACUCAUCGCUUCUAUCCGCAUAUUAAUAACUACUUCUAAAUAGCGACAUCAAUUCUAUAAUAUAAUAUAUUUUACCAUUCCAAUGUAUAAUAAUAAUAUAAUUAUUUUGUGCACUUUUUUAAUGAAAUCUUAACGGUAUCAUUUGUUUUGGGAAUAAUAUUAUAUAAUUAACAUUAAUAAACAUUUUAACCAUGAAGGAAUUAAAAAGAUUAGACAGUAUAAUUAAAAUUUCUAGAGAACUUAGAUAUCCAUCUCAAAAAAUGCGCCAUAGUCUUUGUAAGUUUUGCGAUAUAUAUAAAAACCACAGAACAAUAAAUUAAUUCAGCUUAAUUCUCAAAUUCUCUUACUCAAUAGUCUUAAAUAUGCUAGGAGGUCAUGGAUCUCUAUGAAUUGCGAUGAUCCAACUUCAUCACCUUUGCUAUGGUGCGUUGAUGGAGAAAUCUCGGUGAUUUUUGACCAGAAUCAAAAAAUCAUCUCCUAAAAAAUAUUCCAUCUAUUUGUCUAAAACAACAUCGAAAUAAACAUGUGAUCAUACCUCGUGAUGCAAUGAUCGAUCGACCCAAUCAUGUAGUCCUAUAUAUCGACCGUGACGUACGUGAUGACUUAGUCUAUCAUAGAGUUCCACCGACCGUGACACACUGGCAUACUUCUGUAUUGUACGUACGAAAGUGCUUUUAGUUUACCCAUCAUUUCUAUUUGAGGGCUCUCAUACAAUUUUAUUUUAAUUAUUUUUAUGCUUUUUUGAACUAUAUUAGUCCACCGGGUCACCGGUGAAAAUUUUCAAUUUAAACAAUCUAACCAAUAUGUCUAGCUGUAAAUACUUCUCAAUUUGAUUAAAUUACAGAUAAAUAGAUCUUCUGGAUUGAGAUUCUUUUUUUUAGAGAAAAAUAUAGCAUGCUAUACGCUCCAUUCAUUUUCUUUUUUUUAGAAAUGAACUUAGCCAGUAGUGCAAAGCAACUAUAUAUCGAACUUGGGAUCUCAGGUACCAACCAUCAAGUCCUUUGCCUCUUACGCCAGAGAGAAUCGAUUCUUCUUGCUGAGAUUUGGCAUGAGAUGCUAGACCGUCAGUAUCUCAAUAGCGAGGCACAUCUGGGGUGGGGAUUGGAGGAGUCAUGAGUUCGACUCUCUGAGUUCCACUCUUGGUGCGAGAACUUCGGUUAAGGUUGUAGGGCACUAAGCUCUCAAUUAUCCAAAAUAUAUGAUAAUAAAUAUAUAAAGGAAAAAAAAAAAAAAAGAAUGUAUGAGCUUGGGGGGGUCCAUGGCGUAGUCGGUGAACCGGGCUCACGCGCCGCCUCGGUCUUCCCCCCUCUGCUCGUGAGCUCCGUACGAGGGAGGCCGACCAAUCAAGCGACCGACGAGGCUAUCGACUCGACACGUGGCGGAAAUCCAUUGGCGGCCUCUCCCCGUUCCGCUUUGUUUUUUUUGACUCGUGUCGCACACGUGGCGCUCGCCGCCUCGGUGUGCGCGCGUAUCUUUCUCGUGUUCGGUCGGGGAGGGUGACCCGAAGUGGGCCCCAACCACUCCCCUCCCCCAACCCAAAAGUGGGACCCACCCCCCACAUCCCCACCACAAGUGGGACCCACGUUUUCCGCGCGAAUUCCUCGGGCGAUUAAUCGCCUCGAUCUCUCCCACGGCCCCCGAUCCGGGUCCAACGCUUGCCCCGCAAUUUCCACGCUAUUGUGUGGUUCUACGCAUGUUGUUUGAUUCAACAACGUAUGCAUGAUUAGGGAAAUAGAUGCAGCACUGGUAUAGCAAUUCGUGCAAUACGGCGGAUGAAUAAUUAAAAAAUAUAAAAAAUAUCAAUAAAAAAAAUAGCAAUAAAAAAAGUGAUGAUGAGGGGCGUGAUUUAUCUUACCGUUGAAUGAAAGGAACAGCUGAAAGAAAAAAAAAAGAAAGGACUUAAGCUGGUUUGAGGUGGAGCCCACACUCAACUAUGAAGGAAAAGUUGUCAUGCGGUAAUUUUUGGAAAAAUAAUGUAUAAGUAUAUAUAAAUUGGAGUUGAGCUAGAAUACUAUCGAUAGCAAACGGGCUUCGUUGCCACCCAUUUGUUUUUGAUGAUAGAGCCUCCAAAUCGAUGAUCGGCAUCGUUAAACAUGAUCUAUACAACUUGAAGUGUUUAGAAAUCAAAUUUCAAAUCUUUUCGACAUCAUUUGCCUAAUGAUCAAAGGGUUUCAAAAUUUGUAGUUUUAAUGGUCGAUAUGAGGUGUUUUCUCGUUUAACGGCGUGAAGAUAUCCAAAUCAAUUGAAUUUUUGUUAGAAAAUUCUUUAAACUAUUUAAAACAAGAUCUAAACUCUUGAUCUUGAUUACAAGAUUCCUAUCAUCAUUUUUUAAAGAAUAUUCAUUUUCAACCGUUCAUUUUUGUGUCCACUCGAUGAAUAAAAGAACAAUAUCGGAAAUAUAUGAAAUUUGAUUUCUAAACACUUUAAGUAGUAUAGAUUAUGUUUAACGGUGCCGAUCAUCGAUUUAGAGGCUCCAUCAUCGAAAACAAAUGGGUGUCAACGGAGCCCGUUUGCUACCCAUAGUAUUCUAGCUCAACUUAUAUAAAUUAUUGAGUCUACUUAGUGGGAAAAAAAAAAAAAGAGAGAAUGAUCAUACAUGUGGAGGCAUAAAGGGCCGGGAUUGUUCCAUGGGAAUGUUCGUAUUAGUUUGUUUUAGUUUGAUUGUUAGGUUGAAGUGUCGCGAUCAUCGUUGUUAUUGUCAUUGGCGAUUUGAUUUAUUCUUCGAUGAUGUGAUAGUCGAUUGAUCAGAUGAUCAAAUGCAAGCUAAUUAGAAGUUACAUAUGUACGUAGAUCUCAUAAGAGCCGUUGAGUGUGAGAUAAGUGAUCGAAAGUCUAGUGCCAUCUGAGCUGUCUGUAUUAUGUCAUACAAUUUUGUGGAAAAAAAGACAAAAGUUCUUAUACUGCUGUUCUUUUUUACGUGAUUCGCAGAUGUUCUUAUAUUGCUGUUGUUUUUUACGUGAUUCGCAGAGUAAAGAUAACGUAGUUCGUGAUGUGAUAUAUCAAGGAAAGUUAAAAAGUGAUCAUCAAUAUAAUUGUAACUUUUGAAUAUAUAACUUUGCGAUUUGUGGAUAAUGUUUGUUACCAAAUUAAGGAGAGGACCUACUUUUGCAAUAAAUGUUUAAGGGAGGUUAAAAAUUGGCAAUUGUUGGAGAGUAUAAAUAGAUAUCAAAUAAAUCGAGGUAUUGAGGCGUGUGUCAACACUUUCGUUAAGCUUGAUAUUUACCCGCACUCAAAAAUAUGCAGAAGGAUUAAUGAGAAAUCACCUUCAGGAUACAAUAAUACCACCGAAGCAUGCAAACGACACUUUUAAAGAUUUUUUUAUCAAAAAAUUUCUCUCUUAAGAAUCAAUAUAAAAAAAUUGGGAUAAAAAAAGAUUGGUUAUGUUGCCUUGAAGCCUUCGAAUAUCUUCUAUUUAUAAAAUAUGAAUAAUUACGAUAAAAAAUUGGUUACGAGAAAUGAUUGGUUAUAUUGCUUUUAUUAGAAGACACUGAUUAAAUAGUAUAAAAAUAUAUAAUAAAUCUCUAUGGUAGACUCAUUAUAAAUUUUUAUCAAAUUAUUUUUAAUUAUUUUUUAAUUAUUGUUUUGUAUUUUAUUAUUUUUAUAUUAAAAUGAGUUGAAUAUAUUCUCUGUCACUUUUAAUCAGUAUUUUUUUAACAGUUCUAAUAUAAGUUUAUGGAUUUGCUGUUUAUAGUGUAAAAAAAAAAAACAAAUGUACUUCUCCAAAAAAACUAGAGUGUGAGAAAUGAGUACAAUGUAAUAUAGUAUUAGUAAGCUUUAAAUGUAAAAUGUAUGUUUCAUAUGUCACAUCAGAAAAUGGAAAACCUCUCUAUGGAUGCUAGCUUGGAUGAAAAAAAAUCCUGAUGUAUGGUCUUAGGGGCCAUCUGGUUAGAUACAAUUAAAAAUAUAGUGUAAUGAUAUAUGCAUAUAAUUAAAAAUAAAAAUCUAUAACCAUAUAUAUAUAUAUAUAUAUAAAGAAUAAUUAGUGUGGUAAUCUUAUAAAUUGUUUAACGUUAAUUAUUCUUUCUAACUAUUGCAUUUUGAAAUUGCUCAAUUUGAGUAUAAUUCCAACUACAGUAGGAUUCAAAUAAAUCAAAUCAAAUUUUAGAUUUGAAUCUGAAUAUAGUUACAACUAUAUUGUAAUUACUAUUCCACGCAAUCGAACAGACAUUUACUGAGUUCCUUAACUCACCCCAUUUUAAUCCUCUAUUUAUUUAGGGAAAACUUCAAAAACCCCCCCUGUGGUUUCAUGCAUUCUCACUUUCAUACCCUGUGGUUUAAAACGUAUCAAUUUGCCCCCCUGUGGUUUCAUUUUUUUCUUUUUGUUAUCAAUUUUAUUAUUAUUUUUUUUUAAAUCAGUGACAAAAUUAAAAUUAAAGGAUACUAAAGUGAAUAUUCGAUAAAUAUAGAUGGUUAUUUGAAGUUUUUUGUAUAUAAUUUAACGAAAUAUUAACGAAAAAGCUUCUGAAAAGAUAAAAACGAAACCACAGGGGGGCAAAUUGAUACGUUUUAAACCACAGGGUACUAAAGUGAGAAUGCAUGAAACCACAGGGGGGGUUUUUGAAGUUUUCCCAUUUAUUAUUUUGUCACAGUUUAGUUUAUUCAAAUUAAUUUUGGCCUACAAAGGCUCAUCAACUGCACUUUUGCAGUAUGUCCAUAUAUACACAGCACUAAUCAAUUAUUUUUCUGAGAAAAUAUUCAUAAUAAACACAGUAAGUUGGACUUAGUCAAAUAUUUAAUGCUAUAUAAAUAUAUAAUAUAUAGCAUCAAAGUUGCCGUAGCAUCAAUCAAUUAUGCUAUCCUAUGUUCACAAACAUUUUGAUAGGCACUUGUGUGGUUCUUAAAGUUAAACGUAUAGGUUUACUAUUUCGAACUAAAUAUCACUACAUGAACACUAGAAGAUCCCUAAAAUUUGCUUAGAAGUUAUGAUUAUAGAGAAAUACUAAAGAGUGUCAAUUUUAUGCCCCCUCGACCUACGGGUUAGAAAAUUUCUAGAUUUUUAGUAUACAUAAAAAAGUUACAAGAUAAAGAACGAUCUAAUAUGGAGCAUCUGAUGAAGGAUUAUAUGAUUUAUAUAUAUUUUUUGGUGUGUAUAAAUAAUAUUGCUCAUGAUUAUAUAGGCGAUAGUUAGUAGAUAAUUUUUUUUUUUGUUUUGUUAAAAAAAUUACAGGCAUGGCACGUACAAACUCAGUAGACAUCAACUCUUAAAGGCUAAAUGUAUAUAUUCAACUGAAAAAUACCACAUGCUGUGUUAAUUCAUCAACGUUACAUUCUAGGGGACCUUUUGGGAUAUAUUGAGGAUUACUCUUUUAAACCUAGAUAGAGUUAGGAAAAGAUAAAUCGAAAAUAAAAUUACUCCAGCAAAUUAAAUUUAUUAAAUCCAACCAAAUCUAGUUGGUGAAUACUUAUAAUUUCAAUGAGUCUCUCUAUUAAUGAAAAAAAAAAACUAAUACUUAGGAUGCUCCUUACACUUGGAAAUUGAUAGUGACAAAGGUGAUUUGCUAUUGAUAGGGCAACUACAAUAUAUCGUAUCAAAAUUUGGUCAAUUUUGCGCAGCUAAUAUGAAUUUUCUUUAUAUAUGUGGCUUUUUCUUUAUAGCGCUACUAAUAUGCUUAACUUUAACAUCCGAAUUAAUCAAUGAUUGUCAUCUUUACAUAUAUAUAUAUAUAUAUAUAUAUAUAUAUAUAUAUAUAUACCAGCAACUUUUAAAAAACCGCCCUUGGGGGUACGGCAAUCAUAACACGACGAUUUUGUGCGGGUAGGACAAUCAAAGAUCGUUAUAUAUGUGGCUCUUUUAUAGCCGCAAAUACGCCGACCGUAACGUGCGAAUCAGUCACGCAAUCGAGAGCUAAGCAUGCAUGUCAGCAUAUCAACGACUUGUUUAAGAAAUGUUGCGAGGGUAUAAUGGCCAUAACAAAGUGAUGUAUUAUAUUUGAAAACAACACAACGAUUUGAAAAUGAUAGCUAUAGCACAAGGUGGUCAUGAGGUUUACUUGUUAAGUAAUGCUAGAUGACUACUGUUGCCGACAAAAUAAAGGAGAUCUAAAUCCAACUCAACCAUAUCAAAAGAUUUGGGCAAAGAUACGCGCGCGGCGACCCCUUGUCAAAAUCGCCGAGGAAUCGCCGUAGUAGUUGGAGACCGUUGGAACAAAAAUAAAAAAAAAUAGAAAAGAAAAAGAAAAAUCGAACGAAGCUAUAUACGCCUCCUCUACGCGCCAGCCGAGGUCAAAGAACCCUGUCGACUACGUUGACCGCCGACCCGACGAGAUCCGCCGUCCGUUUGGGACACGUGGGAGAAUCGGAGGACGAGUGGAUCGGAGGCACGUGCGUCUCGCGUGAGGAGUAGGGUUGCAAAUGGAUCCGAAUUGGUGGUGCGUCCCGCCCCGAUCCGUCCCGAGUGAGACUGUACGCGAGAAAUAUAGAAAAAUAUAAUUUGUUCUGAAUAUAUUUCGAUUGCUAAGAAAAAAAAAUCAAGUUCUUUGAUCAGUAAAAAAAUCUGUAAAAAAAAUUUGCUCUUGUCUUGAUCUGCUCAAAUGGAGCAGUAAAUAGGAAUAAGAUAUAAAAUAAAAUAUAAAUUAAUAUGCUUUGAUUUGAUAAAAAACGGUGCAAAAAGAGAAAAUCCCUUCAGUCCACAGAUCCGUCCCGUUUGCAUACCUAGUGAGUGAGGAGUCAUUUGUGGGCGAUGUUGGUGAUGUGGCAGAGUAUGAUCACAUGUACCUACGCCACCACCUUUUUAUGAUUAAAGAAUACGCAUAUGAUGUGAUUUUUCUAUCGGCGUAAGCAUUUUAAGAAAAUCUUAUUUAUCAGUGGCGGAAUGAAAAUGAAAGCUCUUUAAAAUAAUUUUACCAUUUAUUGGACAAGAGAAUGCAAUAAGAGCCCGUUGUACAUAGACAACAAGUUCGAAAGCGAUAUUACCCACAAAGUCAAAAUAAUACGAAUAAUUGUAUCGGACAAGUUUAGCAUUGUGAGUGCAUGGUAUAGAAUAUGUAACGCUUCAUUUCAAUAUCCUAGCAAUUUAUUUAAAUAGAAUUUAUGCAUUUUUUUUUAACUUUUGUUUUCUCAAAUCAAAACAUUGAAGCUUUUUUUUUUUUACAUCAUUGUACAAUUUUGUCAGCUAUAAUUUCUUAAAUUAAUAUAUUAUAUUUAUUUUAUUCAGAAAAAAUGAUAUAGAAAUCAUAACAGAUCAUGAAUCAACAUAUUAACCUACAACAAAAUUAUAUUAUUGAUACAAAAAUAAAAUCCUACAUUUCCACCAAAUUAAUGUUUAAGUUCUUUUGCUCGAGGAGAAGUUUAAGACUUUAUUUAAAUCAUAGAAGUCGAAAGCACAAUCUCUUUUUAUGAAAGCAUAAAAGAGGAGGGAUCGAACUCGCGGCCUCAAAGAACCACAACACUAGAUUCGUGUUGCUUUUUUUUACUCUCUCUUUUUUUUUCUUUUUUUUUUACAGUGUGAAUAGGUGACUUAUUGCCACCAUAUGAAUGUCGGCAAAGUUGUUUUUAUUAACAUCUAGAAGUUUUGGGACUCCUCUUGAGAAUAUAAUUUGGGCCCUACGUACUAAUAUUCUUAAUGAAAUAAGUACAUUAAUAAAUGGUACAAAAGUGCAACAAUUAACUCUACAAGAUGGAAAAUUAAUUAUAAAAAAAAACAACUGGUGCAUAACUUGAGAUGGAAGGUUAUAGUAAAUAUUAACAACCACACUUUUACUUGAGAAAAAUCAGAUUUAUUGAAUAUGGUAAACUUCAACUAGAAAAUAAUAAUAAGAUUAUAUAUAUAUAUAUAUAUAGUGUUUAAAUUUGUCUAAUUUUUAUUCUAAUUUGAAGAUGUGACAUUGUACCAAGAGGUUAGAAAUAAAGGCUCCACCAAUUAAUAGGUCUAGGAACAAUUUUAUAACAUGAUUUGUAUAUAAAUUAUAAGGGGCUAAACCAUUGGACCCACUAACAAGUACACUGUAGCUUAGAAUUUUUUCUGGGGCAUUUUGAUUACAUGAUUUGACACUUAAUAAGUUAAAGAUUAAACAAAAAUCCCUUUUUAAUAAAUAGAUUUGAGAAAAACAUUAAAAAUACUAUUCUCCGAUAGCUUUCGUAAAGUUCUAAUCUUGAAAGCUUUUCACAAAAUGCAGUUUUUCAAGGGUAGACGCUGUUAUCCGUUAGGUUUACAUUUUAUGUUUUGGAAGCUAUAAGAUAGAUUUUAAAAAGAGCAUGGUGGUCACGCUAUACUAGUAAUUCGAAUCUAAUUGAUAAAGAAAAUAAUAAUCGCUAAUAAUAUUCUUAAACUUCAACAAAUGAAAGAGGCUCGAAACAAUCCAAAAACUCUAACAUAAUUGCGAACAUUAAUCGAUUGAUUGAACUAAUCUUAAUUGCUUGUAAUUGUAAACAAAAGCUAUUUGACGAGAUCCGUUCGAUCGAAACAAGGUGAUCGAUCAGUCUCAAGAUGAGGGCAACCAAAAUGCCCUCAUAACAAGGUCAUACUUUUUGAUCAAAAGCACUUUUCAACAAUGAAAACUAUCCAUUUAAUCCAUCCUUUUUUUUAAAAAAAAAGGAAUUAAAACACUAAUAAUUACUAAAGUUCUUAUAUUUGAAAAGAAGAAAGAAAAUGAGCAGCUAUCAAAACAUAAGAGAGUGUUACAUGCUUUAAUUAAUGAAAGAGACCUCACAAGUGAAAAGGAGAAAAGGGUAAUUAACACUAAAGCAUCUCCCACUCUUCUCCACUAAACCAUAUUAUGAUAGAUUCAUCCAACAAUGAAGAUAUUCCAAGUGAGUGGUCUCUCUCUCUCUCUAGAAUGUUACAUCUUUUAUUUUUUCCUUGUAUAGUUUAUAUUAUUUUUCUUCUUUAAUUUCCACUAGAAAGUUCAUAAGAGAUAAACAUCACUAAGUUCCCUUUUUUUUUUUUUUGAGUGCAUGCAUGAAGUUUCCACUGUGUUGUUAUGGCCAAAAAAAACACACUUAUCAGUGGGCUAGUGCAGUGGCAAUAUAAAGAGUUACUUGGAUAUAUACUGUUGUUGGUAAAAAAAAUUAUAUAUUUACAUACUCCAAACAACAUGUUUCUAUUGCUGAAUAUAAAAUAUUAAAACACAUUCUCCUAACGGUCUAAUCUUUGUUUCAUACAAUUGAAUAUGAGAUCAGAGCACAAAGUUCUUGAGUUCGUAUUGUGGUUCAUCAAAAGUGACAACUUAAUUUCUAUUUUUCACUGUAUCAGUAAGUGCUAGAGUUUUCUAUGUUGAAAAUGGCAUGUGUUAAGUAUAAUGUGGCUGCUGGAAGAUGAAGGAGAAUAAAGCAAACCUGCAGCAACUGGGCACAGAUUUGCUGAGAAGGAAGGCCACUUGUGACAUGCUAAGAAGUGCUUAUUGAGUUGAGAAGCAAGUGUGUUUUGGGCUCACAUAAAUGCUAUUCUAUUUAUUAUACUCAAAAGCCACUCAUUUGUCCUUUCAGAUUAGGCUGUACAUGUGCGAAUAUCUUAUUCUGUGUAUUACUUUAAUUUAAAAGUUUUAAAAAUUGCGAGCAGAAUGUUGAGGUAUAAACGGGACAGAUCUUAUGGUGAUAGACUCGUUUGGUGUUCUACACUAUCGCCAUCGCCAAAUUUACCGUGCCUCCUAUCCUAUUCCUAUCUUCAUGACACAGUAAAAUAUACGUCUCACAAUCCGCCCGCCUAAAAAUUCACCUUAUGUUUGCACUACGAAUCCGCCCCACAAACCAAUUAUUUUAUUCAAAUUAAAGUUAAAUACAGUUAAAUUUGUUUAUUAAUUUAAUUAAAACCAAAGUUAAGAAAAAUAAAGGUAUCAUAAAAGCAACUCUCUCUUAAAUCACACUUAUUUUAGACAAAAAAAAGGUAAUAUAUUUAAGACGCAAGUAAUAUUCUAAAAACAUAGUUAAAUUUUGUUUUAUUUUGUAGUUUAAAUAUUUAUUCAGGGCAGAUCAUUUUUUUUCUUUUUUUCUUUUUUUCACUAUCUCCUGUCCCGAAUCCUUUUCGGGUCAGAAAAAUACCCUAUUUACCAUUCCGAAUCCAUUUAUGCCCCUUACUGACCAGUUACCACCCCAUUCGGAUCGGAUUAGGGUGGGAGCUCCACCCGACCCGAGUGAUAGAAUAGAGUAGUAGCAAAUAGGUGAAGUUAAUUAAGUUCGUUGGUGAAGGAUACAAAUGGGCCCAGAAAAAUAUAUUGGCCCAUAGGCUUCGCCAUGGGCCCACCUGUGUUUAAGCCCAUGCUCUUUUAAGCGAUCGAUCCUCCACGAAUCUCAAAGUACGUCAGAGGAACGGAGUGUCUUCGCGAAUCUUAAAGAGCUCCUUCACACUGACAUGUGGGGCCCAAACGUCAUUCAUUGUGGUAUGUAUAUAUAAAGCUCCUCCUACUCCACGUGGCCCCGCCACCGCCUCUACCCACUCCGAUGCUCCUCCGCCCCUUCAAAUCCCCUCUCCCCCGACCGAUCCCCCUCCUCUCCCCUCCCCACUCCCCUUCUCUCUCCCCUCUCUCUCCCUCUCGCUCCGCCAUGGCUCCCUCGACCCUUCCUCCCCCUCCCUCUCCCUCCGCCUCUUCCCCUCCCGCACCAAGGGCGCCUCCUUGGUCCUCCCUUCCCUCCCCCUCAAGGUCGCCAUUGAAGCCCUCCGCAUGGUCCUCGCCUCCGUCUUCGAGCCCCGCCUCGCCACCUACGCCUACGGAGGCCGCGGCCCCGCCAUCGGCCGCCACACCGCCGCGCGCUACCUCAAAUCCGCCGUGGAGAGCCCCUCCUGGUGGUUCCGCGUCGCCCUCCGCCGCGAGCCCUUUGGCCCUCGCCAUGUGCGCCGCCUCUGCGCUGCCAUUGCCGAGAAGGUCGACGACCCCGACCUCCUAGCCCUAAUUGAGCGCCUCUUCACCUCGGAGGCGCUCGCGAUCGAGCUCGGCGGGGCCCAGUUGGCGCGGGGGUUCCCCCAGGAGAGCGGCCUCGCCCCGAUCCUCCUCAACAUCUACUUCGACGCCGUAGAUCGCGAGAUUCAGAAGAUUCGAGAGGAGGUGCACAAGAGAAACCCUAGGCUUCGAUCCCUGCCGAAUGAGGAAGAUUCUAGGGUUUUCCACCGACCCAUUAGGGUUUAUGCCGUUAGGUACUUGGAUGAGAUACUGGUCGUCACCUCGGGAUCGAAACUUUUCACCAUGAACAUCAAAGAUAGAAUUUUGAAGCUUCUAGAAGGGGAAUUGGAGCUUAUAAUCGACAAAUUGGGGACGUCGAUCCACAGCGCGGUUUCGGAGAAGAUGGAGUUCAUGGGGAUGGAGCUUCAAGCAGUUCCUCCUUCGGUUCUAAACCCUCCCUUAUCCGAAAAAGCCAUUAGGGCUAGGAAGAAGUACUUAAAGAGGAAGGCGGCGAAGGCGCAAGAGUUAAAAAAUGCCCGCGAGACCAGGAGGAAGAAACUGGGGUUGAAGAUACUAAACCACUUGUUCAAGAAGCUCAAGCGCGGGCAUGCCGUUGAAUGUGGUUUCCGAAUCGAAAGUGAGGUUAGAGAUAUUUUUAGGGGUUGGGCCGAGGAUGCGGUGAAAGAAUACUUUUCGUCGAAGGAGCAUUGCUUUUAUUGGCACCGAAUGCUCACCAGAGGUGAUUUUUUGUCUUUGAAUAGAAUAAGGGAUCAGUUGCCACCGGAGCUGGUUGAAUCCUACGACCAGUUUCAAGAAAAGGUCAAUAAGUAUUUGAUGCCUGCAUGGGCUAGUAGAGCUUUCGAGGAAGAAGAAGAGAGACGAGCUGAGGAGGAAGAAGAGAGGAGAUAUGCUAAGAGGACCGUCGAUGACUUGACGGAGUUAAAGAUGAGGGUGAAUGCACCUAUUGAGCUUGUGAGAAGGGCGGUUAAAUUGGCCAAGUUCACUAAUUCGAUGGGUCGGCCUCGUCCCAUCAAGCUACUACUGUGUUUGGAUGAUUCCGAUAUCAUCAAAUGGUAUGCGGGAGUGGGGAGGAGGUGGUUGGAUUUCUUCUGCUGUUGCAAAAACUUCAAAAUGGUUAAGACCGUCGUUAAUUACCACUUGAGGUUCUCUUGCUUCUUAACGUUGGCGGAGAAGCACGAGUCGACCAAAAGACAAGCAAUUAGCCAUUAUACGAAGGAUUUAAAAGUAAUUAACGAUAAUGGAGAGGCAGAAGUGCACUUCCCGACCGAGAAGGAGAUCAAAAUGAUGGGCGAUAAGAAUCUUGCGGAUCCAAAACCUGUUGAUGGCGCUUUGUCCAUGAUUUUGGUCAGGCUCGCAGUCGACGAGCCUAAGUGCACGUGCUUGGCACAUUUCUGUACCAGAAGAGAUACCGUGCUCUAUCGAGUGCGGCUACUUCAGAACAGAUUGAAUGUGGACCCCAUGAACGAGAAGAAGUGGGUGCCGGGGAUGGGUGCGAUUCACGAGAGUCUGAAUAAGAAGUGCUUUCCGUUGUGCUCGAUGCAUGCGAGCGAUUUGCUCCUCGGCAGAAUGUCUCUUCAAGAUAUCGACUGUACUUCAUUCGUGAAUGUGGAGGAGAAUUCGCUUGUUCCAAUCCUCUCAUAGCGAUCGGAAGUUCAUAUUCGCCAUUUAUGUUUGAUGCGCAGUUAUUUAUUCAUCAAAUCCCUCUUUGAUAAUACAAUUCUUCAUUAUUUCUCUUUCUGAGGUAUUGUUGCUUUGCUCGAGAUUCUAUACAGUAACUAUUACCGAUUAUUGCCGACUAAAGACGACGAUGCCAUUCUUGGACAGGGAAACUGCUGAAGGGUUUUCAGAUUGUAACAUCAUAUAUACUGGUGAGAGAACUAAAUCUAGGACUUGGUGUGGACUAAAAUCAGGUAUAUAUCCUUUUAUUUGCACUGUUAGUUCCAAAUUAUUAGCUGCUUAGAAAUCUAGGUUCCAUUGCAUUUCAAAUAUUCGACAUUAGAGAUUAACAACAACUAGACAUACAUUUGGACAUCAUUCGACUUUAUUGGGUUAGUAAUACAACCAACUUCAAAUACAUUGGGACAUUUUUGAUGAAAAAUUCGCCCAUUAUAUGUCCAUUACUGAUCUUUUCUGUGUUAACUAACCAUCGCUUAGUUCCUAGUCAUAAUGCUAAUUCAAAAGAUAAUCCAGUUUUUGCUGCACUUAGAGAGUUGUUUCUGGUGAUUUUCUUUUAUUAUUAUUAUUAUUAUUUUACCUAUAUUGAACUCUUUGCGCGAAAGAAGAAGGUCGGAUUCAGCAUCAGAAAUGGUGGUGAAGUUUGCAAACUUUGAUUUUGAGGUUCUGAGAGUGUCUGUAUUGAUUUAUUGAUUAUUGUUGAUAGUUGAUUGAUAUAGUGACUAAAUUUUCAUGAUCUUUUAUUCGUGUAUAGCUCUUUGAUGGCCUAAAUUAUGUUACUAGACAUAUUUGUAAUAACCAAUGCAAAUGAUAAGAGAAGUCUACUCUAUUAUACUUACAUCAUAUCAUCAAUAACCAAUCAAUCAGAUUCCUUCUUUUGAGAGAAAAGUAUAAUAAAAAUAUUUUUUUUAAUAAUCAUGAUUGAACGGAUGAAUCUAAGAAAAUAAACUGAUUAGUUGAUGAUGCUACAUUAGUGAUACUGGUAUAACUAGUACAUUCUAGACUUUGCACUAAGAACAAUUUUUGCAAAUUUGUGUAUUGCCUUUAAGGCCCUAUUUGAGAAUGGAGUUUGACAUUGAUAUUUAUGAGGAUUUUGAUUAAAAAAAUAUUAUUUUUUGAAAUGUUGAACAUAAUAUUUAAUUUUAAAUAUCUAAUCGCAUCAAACUAAUGGACUAUUUGGAAACUGGCCCAUGUGCCUGGUGCAAGAGAAAUUCUAUACUGUCACCACGUCAUCAAUAAAAAGAUAAUUAUAUUUUUUUUCUUUUCAAAUAAAAAUAUAAUAAAAAUAUUUUUUUAUAAUUAUAAUGGAAUAUAUAUUUUUAAAAAUAGAUAUUUGAUUGAUUUGUGACGUCGCGUCGUCACCAAUGCAAUCGGUGCAUUCUAGAAUUUUUCCAUGUGCAGGCGCUCUGGAUGACGUGGCAACAGGUGACGGACACGCGUCAUCUCCGCAUUGGUGGAGCGCAUUCUCUCCGCGUCUAUAAAACGCUCCCUUCCCACGGGAGAGAACCCUAAAAAGCGAUGAGUUCCUCCCUCAGCCUCUCUCCGCCGCUUCCUUCGUAGGUAUCCGAUUCUGAUCUACGAUUUUUCUUUUUUUUUUUCUCAUCCCUAUUCUUCUAAUUUAUUUUCAAAUUUAUUUUCUUUUUUUUGUUGUUUGAUCUGAUUUGAUUUGAUUUGAUUUGAUUUUGGGAGUUUGAAAAAAAACAAAAAAACAAAUAUGUUGUUGCAAAAACGUGGGCUCUAAAAAAAAGAGUCAAACAGCGGGCGCCUAAUUGAUGGCGAUUAAUACACCCGACUGCCGCAUGGAGCCCAAAUUAAAAAUUUUUUUUAAAAAAAAGCCAGCGGAAGAUUGCUUGGAUAUGUUCGAUUCUAUAUCUUCCGAUAAUUCCAAUGCCACAAUACCUGGCUACAUCAUUUUUUUCCAAAAAAAAAAAUUUAAGCACAGCAUAUUUCUGAUUAUAUACAUAUGUUUAUAUACAGAAUUAUGCUACUAUUUACAUAUAUUUAUAUAUAGAAUUAUGCUACUAUACUAUCGAGUUUUCAACCGUCGGAUAAAAAAAUAUGCGAUUAGGAUGAAAAUGGUUCUUUAGAGUUGAGUGAGUGAUUAAUUGAAUAGUAUAAUCUAACGGAUAGAAAUGAUUAAAAAUUGAUCUAAUGGUAGUCCGACUGAAAUAUUAUCGAUAGCAUCAAGCACCGAGCUCAGCUCUCUCUCUCUCUCUCUCUCUCUCUCUCUCUCUCUCUCUCUAUAUAUAUAUAUAUAUAUAUAUAUAUAUAUAAGUAUUUAUGUUUAUUUAUAUUUAGUUAUAUAAUGUAAUAGAAUAAUGGCUCUACUUCAGACAACGGGCGCUUUGUUUGUUUAUUAUUAUAAAUAAACGAUGACAAGAUGCCUUUUGCAUGGAGCCUAUACAAAGAAUCCAUCCCAAUGGAAUGGUGUGAGGCUGCUACACGAUUGGAGGUCGUGCUUAUACUCAUUUUAUAGCCCCCUUCAAAUUUAAAGUUGCCACAUUCUCUCGUUUUAGUUUUUUUCUUUUCUUUUCUUUCUUGUUUUUGGAGCAUUUGGUGUUGAAUUUCUUUUUUAAAAAAAAAAAAACUUUUGUUUGAUCGGUUUCGGUGUUUGGAUUUGCAGGGUUUGAUUCAGAGUCCCAAGUUUCUCGGUGGUGAUUAUGUUGUUAGAAGAAGUGAUUAGAAGUAAUUGUCAAUUUGAGGUUGCAUUUUUAAAGUGCGCGCAUUAAUCAAUCACAAAAAAAAAAAAUUGCAUGGAAAACUCAGAUUUUAAAUCUUCAAUGCAACAUAAAGAAUUAUAACAUGCAAGGCUAUAAUAAAGGUUUUUUUUUACGCUAACUCCAGGUUAGGAGUGUAACCAACGAUACUCAAAUUCAUGGCCACUAAACAGUUUUGCGAGUGGAUCUCACAAUUAAGUUAAUACGCUGUAAAUAUUAAAUUUUUUAUUAAAGAAGGUGCGCAGAUGAAUAUGAGAAUUGGACUCGUAGCAAAACCCUCUCGAAAUAACAAGUGAUAAAGCUCAAAUUAAGCCAUUCUUAGUUGUCAUUCCACAAAUUCCCCCAUUCGAAUUAAUGAAUAAAUAAAUAAAUAAUCAUCAGCAUGAUGUGUUUCUUCUUACCUUUUUUUUUUUUUUUUUUACUCUCUUUCUGGCAGAUCAGCAUUUCAACUUACGUGUCACAUCAACACUUCACAUUGUAAAAUGUAUAACUAAUAAUUGAUAAUUAAAACUCAAUAAAAAUACAAAGAUUUCCUUGAUAUAUAUAUUAUAUAUAUAUUAUAAUAAUAAUAUAUAUUAUAUAAUAUAUAUAUAAUAAGAGAGGAGAGAGAGAGCCACAGAGAUAGAGAGAGAGAGAGAGAGAGAGACCACCCCUCUAUACUUAUCUAUAGUAACGUCCCGCGCCGCCCAGCGGUUCCGGUAUAUUCUCCUUGUUUCGAUCUUAGGGUGUUCCAAAUUAACGAUCAACACGCUAAAAUGAUAUUAGGGUAUUUUAAGUUUUUAGAAAUAAAAUUUUAUAUUUUUUUCGACAUAGUUUACUUUAUGAUCAAAUUAUUUUAAAAUUGUCAAUUUUCAAUGGCUACUAUGGCGAGUUUGGAGUUUAAUGGUGUAAAAGAAUUUAAAUUUUUUUAAUUUUUGAUAGAAAAUAUUUUAAACUAUCUAGAUUAAUGUUAAUAUUCUUGAUUUUGAAUUUAAAAGUUCUAGUAAAGAUUAUUCAAUUUUUACCGUCCAUUUUGACAUAAUUUAUUUACUAAGUAAACGAUGUCGAAAAAAAUUAAAAUUUUAUUCUUAAAAGCUUUAUAUAUCUUAGAUCAUAUUUAACGGUGUGGAUCGUUAAUUUGAACACCCUAANNNNNNNNNNNNNNNNNNNNNNNNNNNNNNNNNNNNNNNNNNNNNNNNNNNNNNNNNNNNNNNNNNNNNNNNNNNNNNNNNNNNNNNNNNNNNNNNNGGUACUAUAUAUAUAUAUAUAUAUAUAUAUAUAUAUAUAUAUAUAUAUAAUCAAUCUUAAGCACUCUCCUCUGUCUCGUUCUUAAUUGGCUCAUCGCACUCUUUCGCCCCCUUGAUUUCCUCUCUCUCCGCUUCAUCACUCUCCCCCCUCUUUUCCUCAUUCACCUCCUUUACCUCCUCUGGUUGACUAUUUUGACCAUUCUGACCACCCUUUGAUAUCUCCAUGUAUUGUUGACUUUCUUGACCCAGUUCAGCUGCAUUCACCUCAUCUUGUUCAACAACGAGUUGACCAUGGGGGUUGACCUUUGACGCCUCUUGUUCCUCUUGUUGACUCUCUUGACCUAUUUCACAACCUUUUGUGUUCUCCUCCUCGUGCUUAUGUUGUUCAAGUCGACCAUCCUUCGACUCUCUCUCUCGCUCUUGUCGCCCCUUUUGAUUGACUCUCUCGUUCUUCGUCUUCUUCUCGAUGUUUUUCGUCUCCGCCAGUUGUUGUCGACUGUCCUUGCUCGUCUUUUCAAUCUCUUCUCCUCUCUGUACUUUGAUUUCAUCAUCGUCAUAUGGUUGACCUGAUUGUCCCUCUGGCUCUUGCAACGAGAUGACGGUCUCGAAGGCUCCGACGAGAGCCUUCACUUUGCUCCUCUUCGCCGCCAGCUUGCUGGCCGUCUCCUCUAUCACUUCGUUGUACAUUGGUAGCGUCUCUUUCCCUCCCACAUCCUGUCUCUUGAGCAUCGCCUUUCUCUCUUGCUCUGGCUUUCUGUCUCCUUCCACCAUCGCCUUCAACCUCCCACCAUCGCCGUCAUUUGAUGCCGCCUUUGCGCGGUGGGUCUUCGCACUCUUUGGACUCUCACUAUGUUCAUUCUUGUGCUCUUCUCCGAAGCCCGCAUAGUGCUUGUUUUUUUUGCUGUCCUUCCGCUUCGGUGGUGACUUGAUUUCUGGAAGCUUCUGCUUUGACGACUCGACAUCCUUUUUCGGCGUAUGAUCUUGUGUCUCGCUACCAUUCGACUUUUUAGUUGAAAUAUCGGCGUUGAUAUCUCUUUUCUUUGUUAUAAACCUCGGGAGGCUUCUCGCCCUCAUGAGAGUCUUCUUGGGACUAUUUUCAAAACCGUCGUCGGAUGAGACUUUUGCUCGAUCACCGCAACUGGUUCGCAAAGCCGUAGACAAUGGCGAAGGAGACUUAUCGUCGAUAGGUUUCCGAGGAGGAAGGGUUUUUCCGGCCGUUAAUGAAACCUCCGAAGGCUGUGAGGUGCUCUUCUUCGGGUAGUGGCAGUUAUUGUGAUGGCACGAGCUUAUCGUCGGCCUGAGAUAGUUUGGUAUCGGCUUUUCCUCCGGCAUCGAAGGGUCUCGAACCAGGGAUUCGAUGGUCAGUCGUUUCGAAUGUCGAAUGUCGCCCCUUCGUGGCGUCGAGGGGGCCGAGAUGCUCUUCUCUUUGAUGAGAGCAUCUUCUUUCACCUUUGUAGCCAUGGUCUAAUGUUGUAACUGCACCUGGUGAUUGGUUAGGAUAAUGAAGUUGUAUAGCUAGAUUACUAGAAUCAUGGAGAAAAAAAGAAAAAAUUAGAUUCGAGACCAUUUAAUCAUUCAUGUCAUAUGGUUGUUGAUUAAAAUGAUCCUGAAAAACAAAAAUCUACAAGGCCUUUCCAAUUUAUACGGGGUUAAAUAUUUCAUGGUAUUAAAUCCAAAAAGCUCUUUGUUGAGAGGAACAUCAACCCUGGAAUAAAACGAAACUCACACAUGUAUUCUAGCAAAAUCCAUCAUCACCAGUGAUUUGGAUGAAAAAGAAUAAUUAUUGGCAUAGCUUUAUUAAAAUUAUUAUUGGACAUUAUAGAAUUAGGAUACAUGUUACAUGGAAGUUUCCCUUUCCAAGAGUUAAAAAGAGAAAAAUAAGAAAUUAAUCUAAGAUAUUCUUUCUUGCACAAAGGAAAUAAAACCAAUCUACUCCAUUCAAUAUUCUUUUCUUUUCUUUUCUUUUCUUUUUGAGAAGACCACAUUAUUCUUUGCUAUGACAAAGAAAGAGUAAGUAUUGAAAAAAAAAAAAAAAAAUGAAAGUGCAAUUGCUGAAAUAUGAUUGUACCUUGUAUGAAGAAACAAUAUAACUUGUUUUCUAACUUAGAGCUUCUUUGGGAAAUGGAGGCAUCUUUAAAGGCAAUAAAUUCUCUUCCUGGGAGAUCAUUUUGAAAUGUAAAGAAGGGAACUGGGAGAUUGGGUGGCUUUAGCUGGGAUGGUUAAAAGUUGGGUUGGUUAUUGAGAGGUUAAUGGAGCCAGCCAUGUUCUAAACCAAUGUAAGACCAGGUCAAUGGAGAACAACUUUGUUCCUACCUGGAAUUUGCCAUGUUUAGAAAGGAACUUACCAGAAGAUUCUGCUUGUUUAAAUGUUUGUUACGACAUUUACUCAAAAAAGAAAAAAAAAAUGGCAAAAAACGAAAACAGAAAAAACUAACAAAGGUGAGACUCUUUUGGUGCAUUUUAAGUCAUAUGGAAACAGAAGGGUUAAAGUUAUUUAUUUUUCAUAAUAUUAUAAUGCUUGGUAUAAAUCUCACGCCCUUACAUUUAAGUCCCCAAAGAAAAAAUGAUUAGACUAAAGAGUGAAUAUCUAAAUCUUACACGGAGUUUAGAAGUGUCCAAAUAGCAUUACUCGAAAAAGAAAAAAGGAAUGAUUUUAUACACCCAGGAUGAUGCAAUCCAGUCUCUCUUUGAGAAGCAACGCUUAAUGGUUAUCAAAUAAGAAAUAGGAAGCAUUUGUUUUGGUUUAGGUGAUAUAGUCUUAAGCAAUACCCAAUAUAAUAAGCAACACACCGAGUACAAUCAAUUGCAAAAUGCGAAUGUAAUCAACUUUGAUACAGUAUUUUUCUUUUUUUUCACCCGAAAACGAAAGGCUUUUACACAAGCAAAAAGAAAGAAUCUGAAAGAGACUUGAGAACACCAAAGUUGUAAACAAAGUAGAUAACCCUCCAGGUAUGUUUUACACUCUCCUGUACACAACAACUCAUUGCCUCGAUUACAUCAUACAGCAUUCACUCUCUAGGAGAAACCAUUUUUAUCUUCACAAAACAAUCAAAAAGGGGUUAAAAAAAAAAAGAGGAAAAAAAGAACAAAAUGCAAGCUCACAACCAAACCUGUGACCUUAGGACCGAAAGAAGCGAGAAAAUAGAAGAGAAAAAGAAUACCGGACCGCUAAUAGAAUGACUCAAAACAACAGGGGAAAAGAAUCGGUAAAUUCGGCGACGAUGAUAAUGUAAAGAAUCCUUUUUUGGGAGCAGAAGCAGCUAAAAAAGCACUGGCGGCUGUCCCCGUCCGAACUAUAAUUUUUGGUGGGUCUCCAGACCCCCAGUAAACAUAUUUUUUGGGGGGCAAAUAAUAACAUCGAAUAUAUCCUUUUAACCCCCUAGGAGAUUUUUUUUCUUUUUCCAUUUUCAUGGACCAAAUGGAGAAAUCUCAAGAGUAUUCGAGGACAUCAAAACAACUGAAGGGCGAGUUUAAGCCUAUUCUGCUUCCAUUUGGGUAGCUUGGAGAAAGCCUCCUUUGUCAUGCCAAACUUUCCUUUGAAGUCAGCAGAAGAUAAAUAGGUCUGCAUUUGAUCAAUAGAAAAAAAAAAAAAAGGAUCAGGUCUUAAGAGACAUGAAUUCUACAAAAGAAAAAGAAGAAUAAAAAGGUUAAAAGAGUUUCACCUCUCGCUUGGUCACGUCUAUUUCUUUGACAGGGUCAGGAGAGUUCGUCUUCAGGCGUUCGUAGGGAUAGAUAGGGAGCCCUUCGUCGUCUUCAGGUUCGCCCUCCUUUACAUCUUCCUGUAUUGUGAGAGCUUCGAUCCUACUACUCAUCAAAUGGUUUGUCUCCUUGGAAUUCACCUCCGGUUUUGGCUUGUUUGCCUCCGGACUCGCUACAAAACAAUGGAAAAUAAGUCAAAUUUUCAGUAUAAAAUAUCUUAAGAUAUUUAUAUAUGACCCUGCAAAAUUAUGCCUAUAUUUGUAUGCUAUAUCCCAUUCAAAAACUUCCGACUAACAAAAGUAUUCCUCUUUAAGAAAAAACAAAAAAGAAGUUGUAAUGCAGGGCCCCAAAUAUAUUUUCUUUGCUACAGUUAAAAAAAAAAUCAGAAAAUCUUUUCUUUCCUGCUGAUAGAAUACAGUCAGACACAAGCACAGACACACACCUUUCACCAACUUCGGUAUAAGAUUUUGCACCGGCUUCUCAAAAGAAGCAGAGAGCGUGGCUAUAGAAGACGACUUGGGGGCCAACUUGGCUGAAUCAGGUGAAAUGGAUUUUGGGUAUAGUUUUCUAACUACCGGUGGAGUAGAGAGAUUUCUUGCAUUUGGAUUCUCAAAGUUUGCGGCAAGGGCAUUGAAGGCAGGGGAUCUUCCUCUAACACGGACCCGUUCAGGACUGAAGGACAUGCUUCGCGAUCGCUGCGAUUUGUCUGGCACACUGGAUCUUCCUCCAUAUGAUGUUGGUGUUCGUCUCUUAGGUUUCUGAGAUAAUAGCAAAAAUUUAGUUGCGAAGUGAUAUUUAACAAAGCUUUUCCUUGAAGGAUUUGUAAUAAGCAGAGAAGUAACUUCACUAAGAGACAUGACUACAAAUGAAGUCGUUGAGUUUGAUCCCAAAUUGGAGCUACAUCCGUACUUUGAAUUUUUCUAAUUUAGGCAAAUUUUGUUUUGAGUGGCUGUAAAGCCCUUCCAUCAAUCUGUGGUCUGAAAUAAUGACAUUUUAGCAUCAUCAUUGAAACUAAAACCUAAAUAACAGUGUUCAGCGAACUCUGAUGCUGAUGCUGAAGUGAGUCUUUCCUUCAGACGGUAGCUAGCAGGACUAAAUUGUCACAGGGACAAACUUUAGGAGCUAAAUUGUUGAAUUUGGGGUCGACGCAUGAGGAGAAAGUGUAAUUAAUCCAAAAGGCAAGAAAACAGUAAGACACAACUUAGCUAUGCGCUUGUGAUCAAUGGAAAGGAUGUAACUUUAACCCUGACAAUUUGUUUUACACUGGAAGCUUCUCAAAGAAUUUCAGGAGUCUAUCCAUCCAAAUGUUUUACUCUUCAAUGACAAAAUUUGGAACUCGAGUAGAGAAUAUAGAGUGACAGUCUUAUACAUCAUUCUUUACAAAUUUAAAAAUGAGUACUCAACUUUUUCUUUUCCUCAAAAUGGGUACUCAAUUUUUCUUUUUCUGUUUCUAGCAUUAACAUAUACCAGAUAUAUUUUAACAGCUGCCAUUAUUUUGUCAAGAUAAUAUCCAUAUACUUGAGAACAAGAUAAUUAUAAUUUCCAAAACUUGGUUAGAAGUACAGAUAGCAUAAAUAGCAUCUUACAUCUAAUGUAGGGGUUACUCCGUUCUUCACUAUAGAUAGCUUCCUCUGGAAUGAAUUGCCAUGCAUCUGCAACCAAAAAGAAAUUUGAUCAAAUUUUUCUGAAAGACAAUCACCGAACCCAGAUUUUUCCUCUCUAAGUACUAUCGCAUAUAUCAUGCCUCUAGAACACAUAAUGAUCAAAAAAUAGGUUUUGCAGCGAAAGUUCAAUUUCACAGUAGAGAAGUUUACCGCUGAUUUUGCGGAGUCCCAGGUGAAGAACCGAGUGAAGAAGGUCGGUUCACUUCCUUCCAUGACAAUGAACAGUGGAGUUUCACGAGAUAAAUUUUCCAUAAGAAAAUCACAUUCCAGGAAUUUCUGGUCCAGAUCAGUAUAAGAAAAGGUAUCCAACAAAAAAACAAAGAAAAAAAAAAAAAAGAGAAGGUAUGAGAAACAGAAGAUUUGUAAAAUUUACAAUUGAACUAUUUGCAGCAAAACACUUCAUAACCAUUGCUUUCUUUGGAGAACAUAUCUUCCACCGAGUAAAAAUAUAUCAUAUACCUCUCCAAUGCUCAAAGCUUGCGAUCUAAUUUUUGAAUCCACCUGCUGUCCGACCCAGACAAAAAUUUCCGAAUGACUGUCUAUAAUAAAUAUAUCUUCUGUCAUCAGAUCAUCUUGGGUGAAGUUGAAUAUUUCUGUAACCUGCAAACACAAUAUAGUCAAUAUCAGACGUUUAUACUUCAUAUGCUCAUUAGUAUAGGAAAGAUCUAACAAUUUCCCAGUUACCCACCUUUAAAUUGCCUGUAUAAUCCCCACCACGUGUGUUUCAGAGUAUGGUCCAGUGAAACAGAAAGUUAAAAGGAAUCAGAUGUUUGAAUACAGACCAGAAUAAUAAAAUGAGUAAAUAAAUCCGACGAGAAUAAUGCUCGCUAUCUACCUUUCGAGAAAUUACAGGAGAAAAGGUGUGAAUCACUUUCUUGUUCUCUCACGAUCUUCUGACUUGGGUAUUCAGAUUUACCUCCAAGCAAACUCCAAAAAUGCUCUGUUUCUGCUCCUUCCCUUUGUGCUCUUGACUGUAGAUUCGGCUGCACAAAUUGAUAAGAGAGCAGGUAAGCAUAGCACAGAUCCAUUUGAGAAAAUUAUAACAAUUAAGCUAAAACACUAGUAAAAAUCAUGUACAAUUUUUAGUUCGAAUACAUGUGACUUCGAAAGGUACUAUGAAAAGAUAAUUCUUUGUUGUCAUUUAUCUUAUGCCUCUUCAUACUCUUGACCUUAUUUGUAUUCAAGUUUUCAAACAGAAUAGUAUAGUCACUUCACAAAGAGUCUUGAGACACUCUGUGAAAGGCCAAUGCAUAGACUUGUAUUUUCACAGAACUAAAGAGAACUCGGCCAUCCAAUAACUACGGCCCAGAAAAGAGCUAUAGGAAGAACAUCACAUCAAUAUAGAGAAAAAAGGUAUUAAAAGAUCGUGCUCUCAUGCACAAAAUUCUGAACUAAAAAGAAAAUUAAAUUAGAAAAUAAAUCUCCACAAAUAUCGAUCGAAUUGUGUUCGAUGAUUUUGUCACACCUUAAUCACAUCUAGCUGUCUUUCAACCAGCUCUUGGUCCCCUGUGGUGCUAAGGCUUCCAGACCAUGUAAACACAGAAUUUCCAUCAUGUAGUAUGUAACAGUAAGAUGAAUUCAAAGACGAAGCCACCUGAUUAAAGUAACAUCAAGAAUUCAUAAUGUUCAGAUAAAGUAAAAAGUUUGCUGGAUAAAGUGGUAAAACUGUGCACAAUGUUACUUGUAAAAAAUAAUAAAUUAUCUACUAUAGAUAAAUUCAAAAGAGACGUACUGGAUCAACUUGAAUAGCUUGCAUAUUAUCUGGUCCAGAACCUUGGACCCGGAAAAGAGCAACUCCAUCUUCUGAAUAUGUCUCAUCAGCAAUGCCAGUUUCAGCAAUAAAAUUCUUAUAACCAGAGCCAACACCUCCCUGUGAUUAUCCAAAACAAAAUCCUUAUAUUUUGUGCUAGAACUAGAAUACAGCUAGUAAAGCACAAAACUGAAAUGCAAAUGGAGAAAAAGUGAAGUCCUAUGGAGAAGGUUCUGAGAAUAGAAACCUUAAAUACUACAAAACUCUGGAAUAUAGAGAAGAACUGAAUGGGUUCCUUUCCUUCAUAAAAGCGAGCCUGUGAGCAAUUAAAAAAAUUGUUAAAUAAACUGAAAGGACAAAAGUUUAGUCAAAAUCAACUCACAAAUAGAACUGAUAAUUACCAUAACAGCUUGAAACUUUAAGGGUUCAUUCAUCUUGUUAGAAAGUGAGAGAGCUGCAGUUCUCUCCUCCUGUAACCAAUAGAGACACUUUAGUACAUAAUGUCCUCUUGGUCUAUAUUGCAUUCAUUCAUCGCAUUAAAAGAGUAAAUUCAGUUGGCACUUCAUUAGCUUUGAAUCUUAAUAUUUCGUUGUAUUCCUCAAGGAUCGAAGUAUCGUCAUGAAUAAAAAUGUGUCUAGUGAGCGUGCUCAUGGUAUUGUGAUGUAGUGGCGAUUUUAUUUGUUGGUAUGAUCUACCUUCUUUGAGAUAUCCAGAGAUCAAAGAAUGGCUUGUAAAUCUUUGCCACCUAAAAUCAGGUGAUCUCAAUAACAGACAUUUUUUCUGAUAAUUCAUAAAUAGAUAAAAUUUACUGUCUGAUGCAAGGAGUUUGUUUUAUUGAUAAGCACAGAAUAAUCGAGAUCAGCUCAUUAUAUGUUAUAGGGCAUCAUCAAUUGUCUAAAUCAGAAUUAAUGGCAUUGUUACAGAGCAUUGAUUUUCAAUUGAGGAAUCAUAUAAUAUUUCUCAAAAUGCUAGAUUUUUUACUGGUAUUUUUAAAUUUUCAAUAUGCACCCUCCAUUUUGGGACCCAUUAGAUAUAUAUGCUGCAGCACUAUGAUUAGGUUUCCUUAACCUAAACAAUACAGAUCAUACCUAAGGAUAUAGAUCUUCAGUAAAGAAACCACAAAAUUGAUUUAAGGCGUGGAGAUAUUGGUAGAAAAUUUUAGUUUUUAUUUGGAAUUAAACUAUAAGGGCAUAGCAAAAAGUUGGUUUUCUAUUUAAACAAGAAGAAUGUAUAUACUUUGAUAGUCUGCAAUGCGUCAUUCUUCCAAACAUCAUGUUGACUGAGACUCAAGCUUGAGUUUGGAGUUUUUCUUAAGUAGCUCAGAUAAGUGCAAAGUAAAAAUAAUAUCAGCAUAAUGAUAAGCUUAAGAUCAUGCUUCAUCCAGUUUCUAUUUAAAAUAAUUAAAAGAACAUUAACUCUACUUAGUUACUACUAUCCACCGGUGGUUUCUGAGAUCAAACACAGUACUCUGUCAAGGUCUUAAGAAUCAGAAAGUUACUAAAUAUGAGCUCAAGUUUACCUCAAUACUCUUCUUCCCAAACCAAGUUCCAAUAAGACAUUCUUCUCCAUCAUCUCCAGGAUAUGCAUAUUGAAAGAUAUAGCAAUCUCCACUGUAAAACUUAGAUUGAUCAGAUGAUGACAAAAGAGCCUUUUCCUUGCCAUUCACUCGCCAAACCUAUAACAUUCGAAGAAAGGAUAUUAGACUUUUAUAAAAUAACUGAAAUGCACACUAUAUUAGGACAUUAAUUUUAUACUUGAAAAGGGAAAUUUUGCAUCUAGACCAGUUCUGUAGUUUACACACAGAAAAUAAAAUUUUCUUUUCCUUACAUAUAAGGUCUUCAUGUGCUUUAUUCGAAAUUUAAAGUUUUGAGAAAGACAUAUAUGCUAGCUUCAAAUUUUGCAAGGAAGCAACUGCAAAUAUAAGACUUCAAGAGAAGUAUACCUUCAGUCAAUAACAUUUCGAGGGAUAAGCUUCCAAUUAAAAACAUUAAGAGGAGUGUAUAUGCAGGAAAAAGUAAAAUAAUCUGCUAAGCUACUAGUCCUCACUAUUAUGACAACACAGAUAUGAGAAGAGCACAUCACGGAAUAGUAAAAACACCUGCAAGUUGCCUGUGCAAUCAAUGUAUGGUUGAGGCUCUUCUUUGAUAGGAGCAGCCUUCAUAAGACCUUUAACAUUCAGCCCUUGGCGUUUAAGGAGUGCUAUAGAAAGAAAAUAAUAAGAUCACAUUAUAAACUCUACAAAUUGCAUUUAUUAAUUAACAAAGACACUAAUGAAAAAAAUCUAACCAGCGACUUUGCCUCUGCCCUCCUCGGAUACAGCCACAUCAGUUGUUUGUGGCCACUUAGCAAAUUUUGAUUUAAAUACUACAGUCUCAUAUCCUUCUAUUAUGCGAGUAACAUGAGAUUUUGGAUGACCAGGGUCUUGUAGUAAUUCCUGUAUAGGAUAACAACCAAUAUUAGUGUCACAUCACUGUCAAAGAUCAAUCAAGAAGUAACAGGUUUACCUCUGCUGCAGCACUAGCACUUUUUCUCUCCUCCAAUGACGUAUUUCUACCCAUCCAUACAUAAAUUUCAGCCCGACAAUCUAGCAGGAAACACUUGUUUGUGUCUAGCAACUCUCUUGUCAAAGAUUCAGCAUUAACAGGCACUGCUUGUCCUUUAUUAACGCUGAAAGGCAAAAUGGCUUUUAUCAGAAAUUACAAAUACAUAGGAUUUUUUUCCACAUAAGAUUUUGGUGAACAGAAACAUGAUUUACAUAAUUACAGUAAAUUACCAGAGCAAUUUUGUAGAAAAGGACUCAUCUUUUCCAUUUUCCUCAGAGGUUGCCUUUCUCGGAAGAGGAGCGAAGCCACCAAAGAAACCCCAAAACUCACCAGCCUCAGCAUCAGCCAUUAACUUUCCAUCCUCUAUUGGAAACACUUUCACAUGAUCAAUUCCGAAAACUUUAAAAUGAAAAAAUUGAUAAAGGUCCUUGGACUAAGUCUACUUACCAACAGCUGCCACCUCACACUUCCCUUCAUGGUAAGUGUCUUUAAUGUAUUGCACCACUUCAAGAGCUUUAGCCCUCUCCUGAAUAGAAGAAUUGGAGCCAUUGAACUGGAAAAUCUUCGACUUUGUGUCCAGUAUGAAUAUAUCAUCAUGAUUUAGGGAUGAUCUGGCAAAAGGAACCUGAUAAAACAGAAAGAUCAACUCAGGAAAUUUGAAGAAAUAUUUAUAGCUAUACAGUGAGACUGUUUGUUUCAGGGACAACAAGAGGAUAACCCCAGUUAUUGCCGUUAUUCUGCCAAACACAGCAAAAUGUGACUGUUUUGACGGAAUAUUUUGUAACCUAAUGGAAUAAUCUGUUGCUUGGCGAAUGUUCCAUAAUUAUUUGUGAUGGAAACUGUUAAGUUCUAACAGGACUAACAGAAUUGUCUGAGAUCUAAAGGGAUGCAAGGUUUCACUACAGUACAGGUAACUUCUAUAUGCUUUAUCUUAUCCUACACUAGUCCCAUUAAUCAGCUAGAGUUAUCUGUAAUCACUACAAUCGUACCUGCAAUUACUACAAGUAUCCAUCAAAUGUCAAACCAAACAUAAAAUUGAGUUUGUUCAAUUACCUAGAACUGCAGGAUAAUCAAUAUGUAAGAAAGUCCACGUCCAAUUUAUCAGUUAUCACCAACUAAACUGUCCCAUAAGGAGACAUCAUAUAAAAAAUAUACUUGCCUCUUUAACGUGGACAACAUGCUUGCCUCUGCAGACAAAUAAUCGCGUAACAUGCUCACGCUCAUUUAUUUCUGCAUGCUUGAAACCAGACACCACCCCGCCUUGUUGUGGUAUAAUGCAUGGUUUGAAAUAAGAAAGGAACUUCUCGGUUUCGUUGCCCUGUACUUCACGAUAUUGAACAGCACGGCCUCCGAGGGCUGCAUCGAGUUCUACAGUUUUAAGUGCAGCAGCCCCUGCUUCAUCCUAUAUAAAUCAAAUUUAGGAGUAAUUAGUAGUGUAUGAGCACUCUUUAUUAUAAGAUUGUCAUGCAGAAAUUUCAUGAAGGUUUUAAUAGCUUACCUGGCUGGUAUCCUUACCAAGCCAAUAGUGUAUAUCGUGCUUGAACGAACCAUUUUUUAGAGCAGUUGUCUGUUCCCAAAAAAAAAAAGAAAAAGAAAAAAAAGUAUGAAGACAUACAGGCAUAUACGUCACGAUAUUCUUCAGUGUAAAUUGUUAAAUAUCCAGCUUUAAAUUAGAUAAAGAACGCCAAUCACCUCAAUCUAUUCUUUUCAAAGUCAUUAAAGCAACACUACAAGAAUAAUUCCAUAACUGACAUGUAUGUCUGACGUUUAAUUUUGUUAAUUACCUUCAAAAUUAUAUACGAGUCUCCAGUGAAGAAUUUUCCAUAAGAAGACUUUGGCACGGGGACUGGACGGAAAUUUUCAAUACGCCAUAUCUCCAACCCACUGACUGAUGUUAAGAAUUAUAAUUAGUGCAACGCAGGGAGGAGCCGAUGAGCAUCAUAGAAACAUCAGAAAUCAGUUAUAAGAGUAGUAGAAAGGUCAAAACAAGCACUGGAUAAUUCCGACCAUAAAAAUGAGUUCCUGUGAAUCUUUCAUGCUGGUCUAAGUAAAACGGCUAGCCAAAAUAUUUCGAACUAAAUAUUUCAUAUUUCCUAAAAAAUAGUUUCAAGGUAGUAAGAAAGAUCUAACAAGUUCACAAUGGAAAAAAGAAAAAAUCAAGCUGGUUAUAGGAAAAUAGCAAUAAAAGGAUACGCCUUUUGUCCAGCCCCCUGGAACGCAGAGUCCAAAUCCCUCAUAGAAACAGCCAUGCCCUUGGACCUUGCAGUAGAACUCUUGGGCGAUUUUUGCUUCAAAAGCGAAGAAAAAGUAUGCUGCAGGAAGAUAUUCAUGGAUAAAUCAAUAACGGCCAAAGCAACCAUCAGCAGAUACGCUACAACGAUCAGUCCAAUUAAAAGAAUUUGAAAAGCUUAUUUUGCCAUGCCGACAACUUUUUGAUGUAUUUUCAUCAGAAAAGCCAGGCAAGGGAAUGCUCAAAAUAUAAUCCUCCAAUGCACACUCGGCGGCAAAAUUGCGACUAGUACAGGAAUUCUGAAUUCUAUAAACUCUCCUUUUAAUCGAAAAGGAUUAAAAUUCUGAUAAAACUAGUAACUAAAUGAAUCACAAGAGCGUUUCCCACACUCUGCCAAUCAACCUUUUCUCCAUGAAAUAAAAAACAUAACUAUUUUACCGAUCCCGAAACGAUUCACAAAUCACUCGAUCCUACUGCAUAUAAAAAGACAUUUAACAUUAGAGAUGCUUCCUUUGGAUCAAAAUCAACAUCCCGCUGCACAAAGAUGACACAUUUACGCAACCACCAGCUUAGUUUAUGGGCAAAUGGAGUCAAAUUCCCAUCUCAAACAGCUCAAAACACUUGCAUGAGCCGAUCAAAUCGAUUCCAUUCGCAUCAAACCUCAAAACGAAUCGAAUUCCCAACUCCCCCAGUCCCAAAGCAACUUCUCCGAUCACUAAACGAGAUUAAGAAACCACAAUCGAUUCCGCUCCCAUACCUUAACAACAGUUCCCGGGCUCCCCAUCUCGACUCCCACCACUAGAUCGGUCCCCCUCCACCAAUCUCGAGCUCAGCGACGACCAAGCAUAUAACUAAACCCACCCAGAUUCUCACCAUUUCAAACAAAAUAAACAAAUCCACGCCCACGACGACCGAAGCACCAUUAAACAAUUCGCAAAAGAAAAAUUGCGGGGAAAAAUUUAAAAAAAAAAAAACGGAGUUGCCCUCACCUCCGCGGGUCGGUGACGAAGAGUUGGUGACGACGAAUUCGUUCGAGGGUACCAAAAAAAACAAAAAAAAAACCCUAGAUAACACUUGUCGCGAUCGAUCUCGAACACGAGCGAGAGAGAAAGAGAGAGAGAGAGAGAGAGAGGAAAAGGUCGGGGCGGGGAAAAAGGCCUCAGUAGAAAAAAAAGAAUCAAAAAAUAAAAAAUAAAAAAUAAAGUGAGGGGCGAAUGAUGUGAGUGAGGCGUGCUUGGCACUAACGGGAACGGGAAAAGAAGGUGAUGACCCCGUAAUGGCCUAAAAAAAUUAAAUUAAAUUAGUUUUAAGCACUUUGAAAUUAAAAAAAAACUAUUUAAUUUUAAAUCUGAACUUAAUUUGGCUUUUAUUUUUUAAAAAUUUACGUGGAAUUUAAUUUAAAUUACUAUGUUUUUAACCCCAAAAAAAGAAAAAAGUUGAUAAUUUGGUGAGUGAGUGGGGCGGGGAGAGUCGGCCACCGUCCACGGUGACGAUAAAAAGCGCGAAAAGGUAGGUCGGAGAGGGAAGGGAUUCAGUGUUUCGUCCUUCUGCGCUGUAAGAUUGACACGUGUCCAUAGUACACGCAAAUUUCGACUCCAGUGACGUGGCGAACGGAGAAGCGAGGAGGAUUCGUGUUCGCUGUUCGCAACGCUUAGACGCUUCGCUGUCGCGGGGGCCGCUGGAUCGCCGAAAGGUGCCAGCUCAGAAUCAGUUGCCGUCGCAGAAACCGAGAACGUGUAUAUGCGCGACACGUGUUUGACUGCGUACGUGUCGUGAAAUCAUUGGAUGGUUUGGGUGUUUGGUGGUUGGCGUUGUACGUUGCGAUGGGUACGUGACCCAGCUGGAAAGAUGAAACGGGUAGGUGUGGCGGGAACAGGUUGGAAAUUCCCUGCACGUAAAAAAUAUAUAUAAAUUAAAAUUAAAAUUAAAAUUUUAUUAAUUAAUUUUAAUUAAUGCUAAGUUAAUGGGUAUUAUUAUUAAGGGGGGAGAGGAUUAUCCUGGGAAUCUGGAGAAUCCGUGUUGAAUAUCAAACACGAAACAGCAUUAUGCGAUGACGUGUGAGGCUGUGAUUGGUUGGAUGGUGGGCCCGCGCGAGUCUUAACGGAGUUUGGUGGUGGGCACCCCGUAAGCGAUGCGAUUCGACAAAGGCGAGUGAACACGUGCCACGUGGCCGGGAAUGGUUUUGAGGUGGCGAGAAAUGGUAGAAACACAGGGGGACCCAAAUAGUGACUCGCCAAUGGACCAAAGUGGGACCCACUCAUUACUAUUGGGUAAGAGCCGUGGGGCCCGUUCGGUGUUUGACUUCCGGUCCGUUUUACUUGUGGAGAUCAAUUUGAAGGUACGGUGAAGCCACAAUCGCGGGUACUCUCUGUUCCCGGUGCACGACGAGCGACGCGCAUCAAAAUUCGCGCCGCUAAAUCCCCGCGCUCAUUGGCCCACGUGUCAUACAGAUUGUGUAUGACACAGAAGAACAGUAACAAAGGUCAAAUAUAUGGUCUUAUAAUUUUUAAAAUUUUAUUUGUAUACUUUUGUACAAUAUUUCUCAUUUAAAAAAUAUUUAAUGUUUAUGCUUUUCCUAAUAACUGAUGAGUACAAAUAUAAUUGAUUCUUCUUUUGUACGUAGAAAAAUAACAUCUAUAUCUAUAUCUUAUCUUAUCUAUACAUUAAUAUUCAUCAAUAAGUUCUAUAUGUACCCAUCCAUUUAAUUUGAGAAGAAGUGGGGCUUUUUUUUAUUAUUCUUUUUUCUUUUCUUUAGAUUCACUAAAGCCUAAAGAGUUUUUUUAUCCUUUCUUAUACCUUUUGGUCUUCCACCAUUUUUCUUAAAUUUGCAAAUUUGAAUCUUUGUUGUGUUUCAUAUUCGAAGUUAAUUAAUUGAUUAAAAGUGAUAUAUAUAUAUAUAAUAUUUGUAAAUUAUCUUGCAUAUUAUUGUGAGUUUUUUUUUUAGUCAUAUCAAUUACAAUAUAAUAUUUUAUUUGAUUAUUGUGUUAUAAAAAUAAUUUUAAUCAUCCAUUUGUAUGAUAUGUAAUCUUUUUUAAACAAGAUUGAAUAAUUUUGUUAGAUGAUUGAUUCUUUUUCAUUAUAGUUUUAUUUUUUUUCAAAAUGUUUGUCUGUAGUAUAAACUAUAUUUACUAUUUUUUAUACUAAACAGAUAUUUUUUUUUAUUAAUUUUUACUUUGAUAUUAUCUAUCCGUUGUAACGCGCGGGUCACUACACUAGUAUAUAUUAAAUAUGAUCAAACUUAGUUACUAAAUAAUAAUUAAAUUAUACGAAUUUGUGUGGUAAUAUUAUCAACUCUGUUAAUAAUAAAACCAUCCUUAAAAAUAACCUUCACUUUUAAAGUAAUGUAAAAAAGAAGAAAUUAAUCACAUCAUCAAAACGACCAUUAUUCAUUGUAUCAUAAAGAAAUUACUAAUAAUUAUAACCUUUUUUACAUGCAUAUAAUUUUAGGUACUGUAAAUUACACUCCAUAAAACAAAAAUUUUACUUUUAAUGAGACAAAAUGGUCCUGGAAAUAGUAUCUCCAAGGAGUGGGGAUCCACAAACUAAUCCCUUCUCUUCACAGAAAAAUUUUGGGGUUUUCUAGUGUUCUCACAUGUUUUUUAUUUUUUUAUUGAAAAUAAAACUCAGAUAUUUUAAACUGAUCCUUUUUCUUUACAUUUUGGCCUUCUACCUUUUUCAUUAAAUUAGCAAAUUCGAAUCUUUGUUAUGUUUCAUAUUCGGAGUCAAAUAAUUGAUUCAAAGUGAUAUAUAUAUAUAUAUAUAUAUAUAUAUANCAUAUCAACUGCAAUAUGACAUUUUAUUUGAUUAUUAUAUUAUAAAAAUAAUUUUAAUCAUCUAUUUACAUGAUAUGCGAUUUUUUUUUAACAAUAUUGAAUAAUUUUAUUGGAACGAUUGAUUCUUUUUCAUCACAGUUUUUUUUUUUUAAGUGUUUGUUUAUAAUAUAGACUAUAUUUACUAUAUUUACUAUAUUUUGUACUAAGCUUAUAUUUUAUUCUUUACAAAUUUUUACUUUAACAGUAUCUGCCAACCGUAACGCGCGAGUCACUAUACUAGUAUUCACAUGAAUUGAAUAAUAAAUUAGAAAAAAAUGUAAUAAUUAGAAUUAGACUAUAUAUUUAUACACACACAUGUGUUUAGAAUAAGAUUUUGUGCGGAUUACAAUGCAUAAGCUACACAAUAUGUGUACUUAUCUAGACAAAUUCUAGCCAACAUUAUUAGCACAAAUGGCCACCAAGUAUGCUAAUUAAUAAUUAGAAAAAAAAACACAUUUUUUUUUCUUUUCAUAAAACAUAGAAUUAUUUUAUUUUUUUGGUAAAAGCACGUUACAAGAGAAAAAAUAUAAGGACGAAAAAAAAGAAUACACGAAAAAUUAAUUCUUCUGAAAAAACAAAAAAUAUCAUCAAUUAAUUCUAAAAAAACUUAUUACAUUAAUAGAAUAGCAUGUCUAUACAUAGGGCCGAUAUUUGAAUCAUACUAUAAACGAAGAUAAUAAAUUCUUAUAUAUCUCUAAACCUAUUCCAAUAAAAUAUAACCAAAUUAUUGAACUCAAAUAGAAAAAAAUACAAAAGUUUUCGAAAAUAAACUAAAAAUAUAAAAUCGGAGGCCGGAAUAAUUGAAUUUAAGUCUCAAACUCGGCCUAAACAGUUUCGCAGUUCAACGUGUUGAUUUUUUAAAAAAUAUUUUUUUAGUCGGGAUAAUCGCAUACUAAAAUCGUACACAUGAACGAAAAGUUAAGAUUAUUUAAAAAAAAUUUAUAUUAAUUGUAAAAAUUAUCAAACUCAAUAAACUUUCAGGCUCAGUUUGGUUGAGUCUCAAACCAGAUUUACGGUGCAAUAUAAAGAGAAAAAGGCUUUCUCCCACGCAUAAAGAAUUUUGUUGUUAGCUAUAUACUUUGGGCAGAAAAUGGGAGCAAAUAAAAAUAAAAAUAAAAAUAUUUCCUUCGCAUGAGUUAUGUUUGAAUUUACUUAUAUAUAUGGUAUUAAAUAUUUUGUUUUGUUCUCAAAAGUUAAUUUGAUUAUAACUGUUCUCUGCAUCUUUUACAAUAAAUAAAUUUCUUUUUAACUAAAAAUAUAGAGAAUUAAGUUUUUUUUUCUGUUUUUAUAUUAAUUAUUUUGUAUGAAAUCAUAGAAUUUAAGAUAGGAUCAACACUUUGUGUGUGUGUGUGUGUGUGUGUGUGUGUGUGUGUAAUUUUUUGUAUUAUGCAGAGUUGUUGUGGACACGACUUUAAUAAUAAGUGGAGGAGGGAGCGGUUAGUUUAUGGAUCGAUGAUUUUAUUAGAUGAGAGGUCUAAAAAGAAAAUAAAAAUUCGAAUGCGAAAGGACAUGGCAUCCUCAAUUUGUCAAAUAUAAAAACCUACCAGGUUGACCGACCGUUUCUAGCGCAGAUGACAAAUGGCUCAGAGUGUAUUUGUUUCAUCGAAAGUUAAGAGGAAAAUGAAAUAAUUUUUUAUUGUAAAUGUUUAUUUUCGUUGUUUAGCUUAUCAUAACUUUAACUUUUAAUAGAAAGAUGGUAUUCAUUAAAAUAUUCCGGCUUAACUCUCUCUCUCUCUCUCUGCAUAUAUAUACAUAUAUGAAUUGAGCUCUUGUGCUUUUAAAAUACUAAGUCAUUGGUAGUUGUAAGUUUUCGACCCUUGGAUUAAGAAAUGAACGGCUUGGAUGAUAAUGGUCUUUAAGGGUUGAGUGGGUGGUUAGUUAAAUAGUAUGAUCUAAUAAGUGAAAAUGGUCAAAAAUGUAGAUCCAACGGUGAAAAACUUACAAGCACCAAGUGGUUUAGAUCAUGCUCAAUAGUGCCGAUCGUCGAUUUAGAGGCUCGAUCAUCGAAAACAAAUAGUGACAACAGAGUCAAUUUGCUAACGAUAGUAUUCAAGUUCAACUAUAUAUAUAUAUAUAUAUAGAGAGAGAGAGAGAGAGAGAGAGAGAGAGAGAGAGAGAGAGAGAGAGAGAGAGAGAGAGAGAGAGAGAAGGCUACUAUUAGUAGUAAACGACUCAGUUUACUACCAAUUUAUUUUCGAUGAUAGACCUUCCAAAUCGACGAUUGGUAUAGUUGAAUAUGAUUUUAAAUCAUUUAAGCUAUCUGUAAAUCAAAUUUUAUAUUUUUUUUAUAUCACUAAUUGAACAAUCAAUCAAGUUUAAUGAUACAGAAGAAUCCAAAUCAAUAAAGUUUUAUUAGAAAAUUCUUUACACUAUUUAAAAUAAAAUUUAGAUUAUAGAUUUAAAUACAAAAUCGUAUCACCACUUUUUAUAGGAUAUUUAUUUUCAAUUAUUUAUUUUUCAUUCACUUGAUGGACAAGAGAAUAAUAUAAAAAAAAAAUGUGAAAUUUGAUUUUUAGAUAAUUUAAAUAGUUUAAAUCAUGUUUAAUAGUAACCAUCGUCGAUUUGUAAGUUUUAUCAUCGAAAACACAUCAGUAGCAAACAAAGCAAUUUACUAUCGAUAGUAUUCUAGUAAAACUCUUUCUCUUUCUCUCUCUCUUUAUAUAUAUAUAUAUAUAUUCAAUCGUGAAAUUCAAUUAUAUAUUUUAUGAAUUUGAAUUUUGAAGUAUGAAACAGUAAUCAAGCUUAGCGUGACAACAUUCGAGAUUAGUGUGAUCAAAUCUAAUUUUAAUUAUUCACGUCCUCGUAAAUCCUACAAUAAAAAUAUAAUUAUUAAUUUAGAUAUACCGUAGCUCGAGUGAAUAUUAAUUUUUCCCAAAAAAACACAUUUGCCUAAUACGUAACAAUAUUAAAAUAUAUUUUAGAUAUUCAUAUAGAAUACUUUUAGUGGGAUUCUUAAUUCUUCCUAAACAUGUCGACGCUAAUAAAUAUGAUCUACAAUGUAUAAAUUUUAAAAAUUAAAUUUUAAAAUUUUUAAUAUUAUAUAUCUGGUAAUAUAAUAAUAUACGUGCACUAUCGAAAUUCAUUAAUUUUAAUAUUAAUUAAAUAGUAAAUAAAAAUAGUAAAAAAUUAAAAAAUUUAGUUUUCAGAAAAAUUUAUAACUGUAAAAGAAAAUUUCAGCCAGGUCCUGCUAAUUUAAUUUUUGAAGGGCUGGAGAAUAUGAAUAGGAAGUUAACAAGGGACAAAACUGUAAAAGUAGAUUUCUUUAAAGGUGAGGGGUAAAACUGUAAAAGAGGUUUUUACCGUCCCCUUUUCACACUCACCACCUCCUCCUCCUCCUCCCUCUUCGUCGUCGUCGUCGUCGUCGUCGUGCUCCUCCAAGCUCCUCCCAUGGCGCCUCUCCUCUCCCUCCCCCUCCUCCUCUCCCGCCACAGCCAUUCCCGUGCUCUCCUCCUCCUCCUCCUCGCUUCGCUCCCCUUCCUCGCCCUCUCCCUCUUCCUCCUCCUCCUCUCCCCGCUCCUCGCCCGAUCCAUCCUCCCCCACCCCUUCUUCUCCCUCUCCCUCCCCCCUCCUCCUCUUCCUCAUCCGCCUACGCCACCGCCUCCGGCGCCGUCGCCCCGUCCGGUGUCGGAGGCGGCGGCGCCGGAGGCGGAGGAGGAGGAGGAGGAGCUGCAACGGUGCGAUCUGUACGAGGGGGGGUGGGCGAGGGACGCGACGCGCCCGAUCUACGAGCCCGGCGCGUGCCCGUACGUGGACGAGGCCUUCGCGUGCCGCGAGAACGGGAGGAGCGAUCGCGGGUACCUGCAUUGGCGGUGGGAGCCCCGCGGUUGUCGCCUCCCGAGGUAGUCGAUGCAUCGAACCCUAACGCGUUCCCCUUUCGCGAUCUUUCGUUUGUUUGGAUUUCCUCAAACUAAUAGAAAAAGGUGAAUUUGGUGGGGGCUAGGGAUCGGUGAUACGAGGAUCUAAUAACUGUUUCUAAGGUGGUAGUUUUUGGUGUUUGGAUUGUUUUGGAAAGGUUGAUUAAAUUUAAAAAGGGGGGUAGAGAAUCUAGGACUAGGUUUCCCAAGGUUGAAACUUUGGGAAGUAAACAAAGAGUAUUUUGGACAUUAGUGCUUAAAUAAAUAAAGGAUUGGUGACAAACUACUAAGAAGAUAUGCAGGUUAGAGUAAUAAAAUGGAUCAUAACUUAAUAUUAUAUUUAACUAUUCUUGGCUUUAUUAUGCUUUACUUUGGAAGUUUAAGCCAAUGAAUCAUAUGUGCUACAAAGUCAUUGUUUUGCUCCAAAGGCUGUUACCUUUUGCACAUAAGCAUUUAAUAUGUUACCAAUGUCCCUUUUUGAAAAUUAUGAUAUUCUAUAUUCUCGAACUCUUCGAAAUUUCGGCAUUUCGUUAUACUGUAUUAAGUGUUUUAUUUAUUUAUUUUUGAGAGAAAUGUAUUGUAUUAAGUAUAUUUCUCACUUUCCCGCAUACCUGCUACAUACCGUUAUGGUAGUUGAUUCAGUUGCUAUGUCGUUCCAAAGCUAUAACUUGUUCUACAAUAACAUUCAACAUGUUACCAAUGUUCCUUUUUGGAAAUUAUGAUAUUUUAUUAGUCUUCUCGAACUCUUCAAAAUUUAGGCAUUUUGUUAUACUGUAUUAAGUGUUUUAUUUAUCUAUUUUUGAGAGAAAUGUAAUGUAUUAAGCGUAUUUCUCAUUUUCCCGCAUACCUGCUACAUACCAUUAUGGUAGUUGAUUCAGUUGCUAUGUAGUUCCAAAGCUAUAGCUUGUUCUACACUAACAUUCAACAUGUUACCAAUGUCCCUUUUUGAAAAGUAUGAUAUCUUAUUAUUCUUCUCGAACUCUUCAAAAUCUAGGCAUUUCGUUAUACUGUAUUACGUGUUUUAUUUAUCUAUUUUUGAGAGAAAUGUAAUGUAUUAAGUGUAUUUCUCAUUUUCCUGUAUACCUGCUACAUACUAUUAUGGUAGUUGAUUCAGUUGCUAUGUUGUUCCAAAGCUAUAACCUGUUCUACACUAACAUUUGAUAUGUUACCAUGGUUCCAUUUUGAAAAUUAACAUAUUCUAUUAUUCUCAAACUCUUCGAAAUUUAGGCAUUUCGUUAUACUGUUUUAUGUGUUUUUUUUUUUGAGAGAGAAAUGUACUGUAUUAAGUGUAUUUCUUAUUUUCCUUCAUACCGACUUCAUACUAUUAUGGUUUCUAUAUUAAAAAUUCUUUUCAACAUUUGUAAAAUAUAGCAUCCGUGUGCUCCAUCAUUGUAGAAGCUACUGUGGUAAUCAUUAAAUGAGGAAUGGAUUAAGCCAUAUACCCUUCUCUGUCUGCUAAUAAAUGGCCCUUUGAUUUCUUCUUAUUACUGAUUUCGUUGUUAUUCACUCAUUCUUUUUAUGGAUGAGUAUCUUACUAUCUUUCUAUUUUACGUGAAUCCUUGAGGAAUUUAUAAUCCCAUGCUGCAACUCUGACAUUAUUCAUAGGUUCAAUGCGACAGAUUUUUUGGAGCGACUGAGAGGUAAAAGACUGAUGCUUAUCGGAGAUUCAAUGAACAGGAACCAGUUCGAAUCAAUGCUGUGUAUCCUGCGUGAAGCGUUGCCCGACAAGACCAAAAUGUACGAGACCCGGGGGCAUAAAAUAACCAAAGGACGUGGCCAGUUUGUGUUCAAGUUUGUGGUGAGAUAAAAGAUUAACUUCCGUAUCUUCCUUUCUUUGUGAUGCUGUACUAAGAUCGUGAUCUAUUGAGCUUUUUUUCCUUGCUUUCAUUUUUUUGAGGAUAAAGUUCAAAUUCUAAGUCAUUUCAGCUGAUUCAGUUCGGUUUUAUUAGAAAAUCCGUUCCUUUUGGUUCAGCUUUGUGAAUUGCAAAUUGAGUUUACAGGGAAAAGAAAGAACAUAAUCAUCCAAAGCACAUCUCUAAUUGAAUAUAUUAUCGGUCGAGUGUAAUUGGCUUAGUUCCCUGAAUUUGGGCAGGAUUACGAUUGUACUGUAGAGUUUGUUCGCUCCCAUUUUCUCGUUCGAGAAGGGACACGGGUCAACCGACAGGGAAGCUCGAACCCGACUCUCUCGAUCGAUCGUAUCGACAAGUCUGCAAAUCGGUGGAAGGGUGCCGACAUUCUUGUCUUCAACACCGGCCAUUGGUGGACUCAUGGAAAGACGGCGAGGGGGUAAAUGUGAUUAUUUGCUUCCACCAUCUCUCUCUCUCUCUCUCUCUUUUUCCAUUUUUCUUUUCCGUUAAUUGUUUUGCUUCCUUAAAUAAAUAGUAUAUAAUAAAUUGAUAGAUGGAUUUGAACGGUUAGGAAGAAUUAUUAUCAAGAAGGUGGUGUACUGUAUCCUCGGUUUGAUGCAAUUGAGGCUUAUAGGAGAGCCAUAAGAACUUGGGGAAGGUGGGUGGACAAAAACAUGGAUCCCAGGAAGCAUUUGGUGUUUUAUCGCGGAUAUUCGACCGCACAUUUCAGGUACUAACACCAUUUAUAACUAACAUGGUGAAUCAUCGCUACAUAUUUUCAAAAUAAUUCACUACUAAUUCGCGACCUUUCUUAGAGUUGGGUGGUGAAUAGUUCAAAAUAUGUAAAUGCUCAUGCAAGCUUUCAAAGAAUCUGAGACCUCUAUGAGUUUAAAUGUAUAUUGUAAUAGGAAAAUGUUACAAACUUCCUCUUUUAAGUUUUUUUUUUUUUUCAAAAUUGUGUUUCGGAGCUUCAUGAUUCUCAAACUCUUUGAUCAGGGGCGGAGAUUGGGAUUCCGGCGGGACGUGCAACGGUGAGACCGAGCCAAUUCUCACCGGCGGACCGCUGGUCGACAGUUAUCCUCUGAAAAUGAGGAUAGUGGAGGAAGUAAUUGGCAAAAUGCGCUUCCCGGUUAUUCUACUGAAUGUAACGAAGCUGACCAACUUCCGCAAAGACGGCCAUCCUUCCGUCUAUGGAAAGAACGCGACGCGGGGCCAGAAGGUCUCGAGAAGGAAGCAGGAUUGUAGUCAUUGGUGUCUCCCCGGGGUUCCGGAUUCAUGGAACGAGUUGAUCUACGCCACUCUUGUUUUACAGCCCAAACCCAUUCCGCAGAAACAGAGGUGAAGUAGAUUUGAUUGGCCUGGUUUGACUUGUAGUAAGCAUUGAGAACAAGUCGAAAGAAGGGUUUUUUUUUGGGGGGGAUUUCAUGAUACGUGGGAUGCUGCUUUUAAUUUUUCACGAGUAUUAUGUAAUGUUAUCUAAUAUAAUUCAUGUUGACGUAUUCUUUUGUAACAUCAAUAUCUCUAUCUAUUAUGUUUUGUUGCCUGUGAUGAUGCCAGGAAUUUUAUGUUGGACCGUGAAUGUUAAACAGAAUUCAUGAAGAGCACCUCGUUAAGUGAUAGAGAUGUCGUAACCAGUCGGAGUCUCCAUGAAACUCGAAAGAUCAGUUCCCAUCUCAAAGCUCAGGUCUGAAUCUCAAAGCGAUGUCAGGUGGCGGAUCUAGGUAACCCCAAAACGAAACACUCCAUCAAUCUUUUUAAUUGUUUUCUUCCCUGGACGGGAGACUUGUUCUGAGUCCUGACACUACAGAUGAGAUGAACCUCGGCUAUGUGCAGAUUUCAUGCUAAACAUUUUCAGGAUGUGCAGAUUUCAUGUUAAGCAUCUCCAGGAUGUGCAGGUAUGAUAUUCAGAAAGUUCGCCGACCUCUAGUUUAGACUCCUAACGAUGGCCUAGGACUUUCUGUAAGAGUCAUCAAGAAGCAGCAGGUUGGUGUGACUUUCUGUAAGAGUCAUCAAGAAGCAGCAGGUUGUUGUGCGCCAUCGUCAUCUGGUAAAUCAAUGGAGCUCUUGAAGAAGAGCAGCGUAGAUAACGCUCUCUAUUUUAGUUUCUACUACCUAUCCCCCACCAGUGGUGUUAAUGCUGAAACCUGGCCUACUAUGGACUCUCUUUCAAAAAAUAAAGAAAAAGUUAUUAGAGCGACCACAUCUGAUCGAAUUGCAGUUGAGUUCAAUAGCAUUUCUAAUUAAAUCAACUUCAAUCAGAAAAAGGUGGAACAAAAUGAAGUUGAGGGGGCCCAUUUCAAAAUGGCCUCUAGUUGAAGGAUUCUCCGUAUAUUUUCAUCAUUUCUUUCAAUAGGUGCCAAAUUUUCCCCAAAAGACCACUCUAUAACCGGCUCUUCAUUCAUUCAUUAAAUGGCGUUAGUGAAAAAAACAAAUGAUUACGGUAAAAAGGAGGAAACCCAAACAAACAAACAAACAAAAAACGAAAAACCAAUCUUACUGAAUAUUUGAUGAAUCUUGCAAUUCUUGUUGCUUCUCCAAAUAGUGGAGAAACCUCGACAGACAAAGCCAAAAUUUUUCCAGUACCUUACUCCGGGAAUGGAUUGCGAAUGCGGUAAAAACAUCGAAAAGAAAUUUAUGUACCUCGCGCCUCAGCAACAUCCGUAUUAGCAUCGCAGUCCACACUUCUGGAGCUGACCUAACGGCUUGCCGUAUAGAGUGGAAACCAUUCACUAGUCUGGUUAUCACCGCACUCUGGGCACAGCAAAGAAUUUGAACAAGAAAUAAUAAAAAAUAAAAGUUACGAGUUUCAUCACAGAAAAUAUACAGAGGAGCAUUUCUUUUUGAAGUACAAGGAUGUAAGGAUAAUUUAAAGAACAUAUAAAGAAUUCAAAAUUAGCGAGGAUAUAAAUGUAAACAUCUCAAAUAAAGAUUUGAACUUAUUUGGAUUAUAUUCAACUACUGUUGCAUUUAAUCUUCCAAUUUGAUUAAUACCAGUCCAACGGAUAAUCCAUGCUAACAAUACCAUCCAUUAACUACUAGAGAAAUAUAAGUUAUUAAAAAGGUAAAAACAUAUAAAACUUACGUGAACUAUGAAUCAUUUUGAUUGGCUACUCAUUUGAUUUUACUAUCUAACAUUUUAAUUUGUUUGAACUGAGUACGUCAACAGCAUUUUGCCUUCAAAGUUUAAAUGCGUUAUUUAUCUUUACAGGUUUACUUAGUAUAUUUCAUGCAAUUCUCGCAACUAUAAAUUCAUUAAAGUAAUAGCUUAAAUUUUCAAGUCCAAGUAUAGUUGAAUAACUCAAAUCAAACAAAUUCAAAUAUUGGAUAGUGAAAUUAAAAAUUUGAAAAGUUGGAUAGCCAAUUCAAAAUGGCUCACAAUUCAGAUAAGUUUUUGUACCAUUUUACCUAUUAAUAACUUACACAAUUUACUAAGUUCACCCGUUAGACAACUUUGAAAUUCUAAGCAACUAAAACAAAAGAAAAAGGUUUAAGCAUACCUCAGGAUCAGGUGUCUCCAUAGUUUCUUGUGCCUCGAAUAUGCAUGGAAAGGCUUCUUCUUGGAAAGCAUCUGAAGCCUUCAGGAUGUCCUGAAUGAGAAAAACCCGGACCCUCCAGCCUUUAUCUGAGAAAAUGAAACAAAGAAGAUCCUCUGUGGCAGCAACAACUGAACGCAUGUCGAAGGAUUUCCAUCCGGGUGCCUCACUAGACUUCACCCCGGGAUCGCUAGCAGUUUCAUUCGUUGAUUCUGAGGACUCCUCAGAAAUAGCUGCGAUCUGAAAGGAUUGAAGAGCACCAGAACCAAAAAUAACUUAAGCAUGCAGUAUAUAAAAGUAAAUGAUGGGAUGCUAGAAUUGUGGGUUGUAGUGGCGAAAAAUUUAGGAGCCAUAUUAUUUUUGGGCUGUUACAUAUACAGUCUUGCACAAUCACGGACAUAUGUAUGUGUACGUGUAAAAUAAAAAUUUUGCAUAUACAGUUAUAUAUGUACAUACAGUUCCUUUCGCCCCAAACCAAAAAAGAUACCCUAUUCUAAGCUGACAAGUUACCAAGUUCAUGGGGGGAAGUGGCUUUCAAUUAUUAUUAUUAUUAUUUCAAAAAGCAGGGGCAUCAGAAUUAAUAAUAAAAAAAGAGGAUGAAAUGUAAGGGUCCAACAAAAUUGAAAGUUACACACCAGUCUCUCAAGGCGAUUCCAUCGGAUGGAACCAUCAUUACGAAUAAGGAGCUCACGCAGUAUUUUCCUCAUAUCAGGGUUAGGGUCCGCAAGAAGCCUCCCAAUGACAAAAGGAUAUGCACUCUCGAUGACCUUGAAAUCAGGAUCCAAUGCUUUAGCAGUUCCUUCUAAGGAUCCCAGUGCUCUUAUCACCAGUGCAUAAUCAGGAGGCAGGGAGAAGUUAAAUUCAUACAUAACAUCGUAAAACUGCCUCAUUACGCCCUGCAUUAAAACGCAGCAAGUCUUUAUAGGUAUAAUAGGAACUUGUAUUAGUUUUAAAUAUUAUAUAAUUGCAAAGAAAAACUGCUUAUUAGCAUAUAGGAUCAAUCAACUGUCGCACACACCUGACAAACAUUCAUUAUCCAUAGUCCAAGUUGCAAAAAAGUAUAAUUAGGGUACUACAGUAAGUUGCUCAAGUUAAUCCCAGAAGGCUGCCAACUUAGCUACCUUUUCCUUUUCAAUUUGUUUCUAAUUUAUUGAAAGUAAUAGGAUUUUGUCUUUUAAGCAAUUUACACCUAUUAAGAAGGUUACAAUUAUCCUUCUAUAAUGAUUGAGUUCAGUAACUAGAAAAGCCGUACAAAAUGACAAAAAUAACUACUUUUACUUAUUCCUAGAUUGACUUUCUGAAUAUAUCAACAUUAGACUCGAACCAGAACCUUUUAUAGAGAAACAAAAUGAAUCAGAAUUUGAGCUCUGCUUAAGCCAACUAAACAGAUGCUACAGUACUACCGAAUUGGCUAGUCUUACUAAAAUAAACUUCAUGUUAUUUCCAUAUUGGAAUAGUACCAUACUCAACAUUGAUAUAAUGAUCAAUCAGCAAAAGGUAUAUAUUAUACGAAUAAACUAAAUAAUAAGCAAACCUGAAAGUCAUUUGAUUGUCUGCUCCGAGCAGAAAAGGAUGUGCUUAAGGCAUCUGCCACUGACUGUAAAUCUGUUCCGUCAGGAAUAAAUCCCAAAGAAUGGAAGUCGUUUGCUAAAGACAAUGAAUCACGAUUAACAUAGUGUACAAGCUGAAAUAAAUAUGACAGCAAGUUAGUUCACCAAGAAAUGACAGCCAACACAACCGUAUGAUCUAUGAAUAAAGUAGAAUCACAGUAGCUUUGCUACAUUUUUAAAUCUGAUAAUAUUUUCUACCAGAAAUGGAUCGUUAUUGAUUUGUGAUGAAUAUUGGAUUGGCUCAGACAUUUUUUAUUUACUAAUUAAAUAAUUUUAGGUCUACAAAUUUCUAUUUAUGACUUGCUAGUUCAUUCAUAAACAACUUCAACAACUAUCACAGCAUACUGUCCUUUUCUAAACAAUUUUGUUCAUAAUUCAGAUCCAGAUAGUUUACUAACCAUCUCUUUUGACUACACUAAUAAUCAAGUCUUUCCAACCUUGGCUUCUUUAAAUGCUUACUAUGACAAGAGGUUUGAACUAGACCUGUUUUGGUGGCAAAUGGAACAUAACUAAUGAAAACACAAGUGAAUAGCAACCUCAUUUUGUUCCUUCCAGAUAUGGAAAGUUAGUGCUCAAAGACUUUAAUUGUCCUCCCAAGAAGUUACAAUGCAACAGCUAGAAUUGAAACAUCUAAUCACAAUAAAGAUUUAUCACUUCAAACCCUGAAAGUUUUGGAGCAUAUUUAACAAUCAACAUAUUAAAAGGCAAUUUCAAAGGGACUUCAUUACAAAACUAAGUAACGUAUAUAAGAGCGUCUAUUUCAUUCUUCUGGGGCAAUAUGAUAUAAUUAAGCAACAAAGGAUCCACUCACCACUGUCAUAAAUACAAAAGAAGUUGCACAAAAAUACCACAAAAGAUAAGGAUCUUUUGGAGGACAUUUUCCAGAUUAUUGGACUACCAUAGCAACUUCCUCAAGACAGAAUCAUUAACACCAUGGAUAUCUUCAGACACGACAUAACAGCAUUGCUAUACACUAUAAAGAGCAGCAAGUUAUGGUGAAAAGAAAGCUGACCACUUGGAUAAGUCCAACACGAUAAUGCCGGGGAAUAUCUCCCAUCAUACCAAAGUCAAAGUAUGCAAGAGAUCCAUCAAGUGUAACAACAAGAUUUCCAGGAUGUGGGUCAGCAUGAAAGAACCCCUCUUCAAGAAGUUGCCUCAAUGAGCAAUAGAGUCCCUGAAAGAGUUUAAAGUACGCAAAACCUCAAAUAGGCUAAGGGACUCUCUUACAAAGUACAAAUUGUCCCAGAGACCCUAAUAUAUAGCUAGUAAGAAAGACGGAAGAUCAACAAAGAGAGCUGGAAUACAAUCCAUCAAAUCAAUAAAGGAAACAGAUAGAAAGAGUACGCGAAGAAAAAAGCUUAUCACUCCAGCACUCAACAUUAAAUCAAUACCAAUUUAUUUCACAAUAAAAGACAAUUAUUUCAACUCUUAAUGUAAUAAACAGGAUUAACUAUAAAAAUACCUCCAAGAUUGAUAAGUUUAUCAUGCUGCAACAUUCAUUAUAUGAAAGACAACAUAAUGAAAGAAAGCAUUCAGACAAGUCAAUUCUGCCUAGAAAGGAGCAACAACUCAAACAUACCUGGUCAAUUAACCGUUUCCGAUCUAAACGGACUUCAUUGAUACGAUCUGUGUCGGUUAAUUUAAUCCCAUCUAUCCAUUCCAUGGUAAGCACAGCUUUACGUGUGUACUUCCAAUAUAUCUUUGGGACUUUGACGGCCGUCCCUCUUCUAGACUUGCCCUCGGCGCCUAUUAAGAUAAACCUAAUAACAGUCAUCCAAAUGGCAUGUAAAAGACUAAUUCAAACUCUUGACUACAAAAAGGGGAGAUCCAAUAGACUGAAAAAGUAGGAAUUCUGUCAUAUUAAAAGUUAACCAUAUAAUAUUAAUAUAAAGAUGAAACUUAAGCUGCAUUAACAAAUAUGGCUCUAAAACAAAACCACCAGUAGCUGGACAAUGUCACAAAUAAACAAGCACAUAGUAUAAACCAUAGAAAAAAUUCAAACAUAACAAAAGUAAAGAAAACUUACUGGCAGAAUUAGAAUAGAGAGUAGCGAAUCUUUCUGCAUUUCGUCCUUCUAGAAUAUAGUCAAUCUCAUCAAACAUGUGUCUAACCUGCCAACAAUAUAGCUAUAAGAGCAAGGCACAAAAGCAGCAGGAAAAAUUAACCCGACAAGAACAAAGUACAAUUAUAGAAUAUAUAACAAUAAGAUGAUAGUAACCUUGACACCAUGGUGUUAAAAUAUUGAUUUCAAUGGUUGUGACUGUCUUAAGAUCAACAUCUCAACAACAAUCAUAUCAUGAAACAUGAAUAGAUUAUUGUGACCAGUAAUUGACUUCACAUGUGUUGGAGAUGGUAGACCAUAAACACAGUUGGGACACAAAUUCAUGAUAAAAAAACACACAGUAGCUGAAAGAGUGUUUCAUUCAUGCAAUAAUUGGGGUGUGAAAGGCCACUGGACAUUAUGGAUUCAUUUGGCUUUGAAAUCCAAGUUUAGCCAAAUAUGCUAAAAAAUGUUAUAAGUACCUUGAUAAUACGCAGCCCUAGUUUUUUUGAACCCUUUCAAUCGCUGAUUUAUUCAUUCAAAAUAUUCCCUUAUGAUGUGGUGUAUCUGUGUGGACGAUUUAAGAUUUAAGUUUAUAUCUAUAAACAGAAAUAUGGAACACGCAUAUACUAUACUUAUCCCCGUCCACAGUAGAAACACAAAUGCAUACGCACAAACACAAUCGGUAAAUCCUGCUAAUCUUCCAUUGGUAAGGAGAAGCAGAAAACUCUCCCCCCCCCCCAGUGUCUAACUCAAUUUUCAGCCUUAAGUAUAAUUGACGGACAUGGGCAUGGGUUAUAAGAGGCGAAAUUCUUUAUUGCCUAAUCUAAGCAAAAGAAUGAUGCAAUUUCAAAGAACAUUUCUUUAUACUUUUUUUUUACAAAAAACAGAUAGAUUUACGUAGAUGAUGCUAAAAAGAGAGAUUAGGAAAAGACAAAAAAUUAAGCAAUCUAGGGAAAUGAGAACAUCAAUGCAUAAUAAGAAGCGCACCAUCUCAUUGACGGCUCCCAACAAAUCUUUGCGAGCCUUAGCAAACCUUUUCAGCUGCCCUCCAAUCAUAUCAAACAAUAGUGCAUCGAGGGUCAGAGAGACUGUCAUACCAGGUCUCUGCACUUUCACAGCGACGAGCUCUCCAGUGUGUAGAUGAGCUGCAUGACUUGAAAUAUCAAAGCAAUGCAUUUUAACUUGGGAGAACUGAGUUCAAUAUAUUUAUAGUUAUAAAAAGAUGCAAAGGGUGAAAAAUAUAGCAAUUACUCAUAUCUUACCUUUGUAUACUUGCCCCAAGGAUGCUGCAGCAAUGGGCUCUCUGCUAAUAUCCACAAAUAAUUCAGAAAUUGGAGAGCCCAAUUGAGACUCAAUAGACUUGAUCGCAACACGGGUAGGAAAUGGCGGUAUUUGAUCCUAAGUGAAAUUUACUUGUUAGCGAACACAAAGAGACAAUCAUAAGUAAAAUAAGAACAUCACAUCAGUAUGAACAAUGAGUAGAUAAUCCAUAUAACCACUAUUAGCUUGCUUCCCAAAUGUCUCAGUGGCAAUAUGCUUAUCCUCAGAAGCUCAAGCAAACGACGAUGGUAAAUUUUCUACUCGGAUAUGUUAAAUUUGAUAUUUGCAUUGCAUAUGGAACACAUAAAGUACCUGUAAUUUGGAGAGCUCUCGACAAUAAGCACUAGGUAAUAUAUCAGGACGCGUGCUUAGAGCCUGCCCGAGCUGCAAAAGAGAACUCAAGUUAUAGUUGUGCGUUAUGAUAAAUAAAACCUAAAUAGAAAAUGUCAAUAAUAUGAGAAGAUACAUAAAAAUAUAUACACCGACACUCAGAACUUAUGCAAAUGAUUUUUAAAAGCUUUAUGAUUAAAGAAGCUAAAAAAAACCGCAGAUGAAAAUGGUACUAAUUAUAGCUUGUACGAUGAUUACACCAAAAUCAGUAACAUGACAAACCUUUGUCUAAGUUAUGUAUCAUAUUAACUUAAUUACCUUGAUAUAAAAAGGGCCCAAGCGUAUCAAAGUCUCCCGGAACUGAAAUAAGCGAAACAACAAGCAAAUCAACGAAAUUUGCAUAAAACCCAAUAUAACACUUCUCUUAUAGUUAUAAUGCAUUACGUGAUACUCAAACACACACAUUAAUCAAGCUAAGCUGUAUAAGAUCUCAUACAUGCCUAAGAAGAGCUCAUUAGGCGAGAUCGAUACCUUCUCAGCGCGCUUGCGCACGUCCUGGAGGACGAAGUGCCACACGGUCAGCUUGGCGACCUGGAAGGAGAUUAUCGCGGCGCGGUAGAGGGCGAGGAAGGGCCCGAAGCGGUGGAAGGCGAAGAUCGUCCUCGAGCGGGCGCCGAGGAUGUGGCCGAACUCGCUCUCCAGCGCCUCCUUGCGCAGCCUCGCGUACUCCGCCGAGGGCCUCUCGCCAUGGACGCUCGUGAACCCCGCCGAGUACCUACGAGGUCGAGGAGAGGUCGUCGGAUCAGCGGAUCCCGGUCCCGUCAAUGGAGGAGGAGGGGCAAGGGGGGAGGGGGCGAACUCACCGGCGAAGGAGGGGGUUGGUGAUUAGGGCUUCGAUCGGGGCGGGGUUGGAGGGGAGGAGAUGGGAUCGGGGGAGAGGAGGAGAGAGGAUGCGGCGGCGGUGGCGGCGGAGGAGUCUCGGGAGCGCGUUCGCCAUGGGAAGGGGUUCGAACACACACACACACAGAAGAAGAAGCGGCGAGAGGUGGGAGAGGAGCGGCGACACGUAGCCCGCUCCGUUUCGAGAGGAGCAGUCGAGUUGAGUAUGCGGCGAAUUUAUUUAUUGAGUUAAUUUCAUACAGGUCCCCAAAAACAUAGCAAAUUACAAAUUUUUCUUUACAAAGUUUAAUUUUUAUAUAUUAUUCAUGUAAAAAUCUUAAAAUUUAUAAAUAUGUUUCUUCCGUUAGAAUCCGUUAGAAAACUUUAAUUAACCAUAGGUUAAAUUCUUAACUCUGGUUAAUUUAUGAGAUAAUUUGAUAUUUUUAUCCUUCUUAUAUUAUACUGUUGUGCUUUUUGAAAGAACAUAUUUAUGAUGGUAAAAUUGACAUCUCACUUAAAAUAUGUUUUAUAACGGUAACAAAUCGAAAUGAUAUAUUUGAAAAUAUUAGAACUUUUACAAAAAUAACAUAUAAAAGUUGAACUUUGUAGGGACAGAUUUGCAAUUCACUAUAUUUACAGGAACAUAAAUGCAUUUAAUCCUUAUUUAUUUUUGAGAAAACUUCAAAUAGGAUUUCACGUUUUUUUCACUUUAAUAUUCUGUAAUUCAAAGUGUAUCACUUUAAUAUUCUAUAAAAUUUUCGUUAUUUUUUUCAUUAAUUUUUUAUUAAAUUAGUCAAAAAAUAAAUUACGGGUACUAAAGUAAAAAUUACUUCUUGUAUACUCCAAAAAAGGGAUGUACAUCUUACAUCCGCGUUCUAGAGUGAAUAAAAAUCAAAUUAAUUUUUAGUAAAAUUUUAAAAAAUUGAUGUAACAAGAAUAACCUUAGGAUGAAGUAGGUGUAAAAUAUACACCUCACUUUAGGAUGUACCUGUAGUAUUGCUCAUAAAUAUUUGAUAAACUAUAGAUAAGGAGGUAUCAAAAGAUUUUUUUCUAUAUUAUUUAACGGAGAGUUAACGGAAGUGCUGAUUUAAAAAAAAAAACCGAAACCACAGGAUUAAAGUGUACACUCUUACAAAACCACAGGAUUAAAGUGUACACUCUAACUCACAUAGUACUAAAAUUAGAAAGCGUGAAACUACAGGAGUGGUUUGUGAAGUUUUCGUUUUCUUUUUUUUUUUUCUUUUUUUUUUUUGGUACACGGUUAGUGAGGGGGCUACCGCAUUAGAUGUUGGGCAUAUAAUGGGCCGAGCCUAUAGAGAAGCCCAGCUAUAUAAUUGGCCCCUUUGGAUUGGACCAAAACUCGACUCGGCCCACACGUGAUACAAGGCCGUGGCCCGUGGAAGUAAAUUUAUCGGUGGACUUGGUGCACCACGUCAGGCAUGGACCCGAAUGUAGGGUAAAUAAAUUACGCACUUAGCAAACUAAUUAACAUUUCCUACAAUUUAUGCGCCUCACUCGGUAUGCGCUUAAUUAAAUUGGGUUUAAUCUAUAUUUUAAAUUUUUCUGGCAAAUUGGAUCGUUAUAGUAGAAUUUAGUUCGAAACGUUGGAUCGACAAACAAAGUCCCCAUUUUACGUUUAAAUUUUCGAUCGAAAUUUUAACACAAAUUCUAAAAGAUGGAAUGUGCCAAGCCUCAAACUAUAUAGACUCCGUUUGAAAUUGCGGGGACGAAAGUGCUACAUACAAUAAGAACAAUGCACAAUAAAACGAGUAUUACAAUGACCCAGUUAAGAUACAAUUUCAUACAAUAUCAUUAGACCUAUGAAGAGACCCAAAUUUGAACUUCAGAAAACAGCAAAAAGCAGUUCAAAUUCGAACUUAAAAGACUCAAAUAGACCACAUUAAUCUCCAAGAAAACACUCUAAACUCAUCCUAGAAUCCUAAGGAAAUCUAAAAACUACAUAAUUUAGCGAUCCAAGAGGCUCCAACUAGCGGGCCACGAAUGCAUGUAGAGAGAAACAUGAAGACGAGAAAUCAGAAAAGAGCUGAAGCUCACAAGUGGUGAAGUAGACCUUUCACGAGUGAUUCUUCGAUACAACAAAGAAUAGCUUUGCAAGUUGCAACCUAAGAUGUAUACAUGAAGCAUAAAAUUACGGUGAACCAAACAACGGAAGUGGUCAGUUUUCACCGAAAAUUACUUUCUCCUUCCCACUUCCACUCCACUUCCGUGCAAACAAACAGGCCCUUAGAUGAAGCUCACUUCCAGUUGUCUAUUACCCAUGCUAUUCAAACACGAUGCAAGAGGAACAAGGAGUGAAAAGCUCUUCAGCAAACAGAAUUAUCAGACAUCAAUUAACUACCUUUUCACCUGAAUAUGCAUGCUUCGAUGGUCGCUUACAACAUAAUAUCAUAAAUUUCAGAUUAUAGUCGUGUUUCAUUCAGACCAUUCCAAUAUGUGGAUAUCAGAGAGUGCUACAUUGAAUAUGGAGUAAAUACUUGAGAGUAAAUACAUUGGAGCCUAGGGACACCAAAUCAGUGAAUGAAUUUAUCAAUAGUACGAUUCUCUAAAGAAGUCGGUUCUCGUGAUAUCUUAUAUCUGAACAAACUUGAACUUGUUGAAAGUCUAUCAAAUCAGAAAAUCAUGUUAGAGUUAGAAUACGCUUUAGUCCAAUCAGUAAUAAGCUGAUCGAUUCGAAAAUAAUAGAAUUAUGGUGCUUCCAAGAUAAUUAAAUAGUCAUGCGAAGAACUAAGCCCUCUUGGCAGCACACUCUGUUACAUUCGGAGAAGGUUAAAACAGAACACGGCGUUGCAUCUGCAUGUCGGUGGCAAUCCAACCGCAUAAGAAGUUUCGAAAUAUACAAACUUUUUUCAGAAUGCAUUCAACUGCCCAUCUCUUUCGUAUAUUUCAUCCGAACAAACUACCAUGAGAUGAGGCCAACUUUCGCAUCGAUUUUUUAUCAUGUUUUAUGACAAUAGACUCCAAUAAAUUAGCCCGUUAUUCUACUUCCGCUCGGCACUUGACAGUUGAAACUUGAGAUUGAGUCAUCGAAAGAUAAUGAACUAAUACCUUGUUUUAUGGGCUAACAAAUACCUUCAUAAACAAAUGGUGACAUAGUAACUUUUUCUAAAGUAGGUGACGAAGUAUCUGAUUCUUUGCCCACCCAAACUGCUUCAACUACUACACUGCUUUAUUAACCCAUAAAACAAGUAUAAAAACAACACAAACAAAUCCAAGUCAUAUACCAAUCAAACAAGAAGAUAAUUUGAUGGCACACGCGACACAAAUUAACAAAGUAAAUCUUAGCAGCAGCAGCAGCAGCACGAAAAUUAAAGCGUCAUUGUUUACACGACCAGGAAUUUUCAAGUGACCAUGCCACAAAAUUUCACCUUUCUAAUUCCAUCAUCAUAUAUGUACAAAGCAUCUUUACACCGAAAAUUAUAUAUAUAUAUAAUAUGUAAAAGGAAUAAGACAAAUUGUAGCAUAAUAUCUAUAUGUUGAAGAGGCCGUACUCAAGCACGAAGUCGCUUCCUUAUACGGGGGGGAUGUUGGAAAAGGAGAAGCCUUUGUACCCUUUAUACGCAUAAUACGCGAUCCUCGUGUAGUAGAACCCCGGGAUGAACAUGAUCGCCCCCAAAACCGCAAAGAAAACCCCUAACGCAACCCAAAUUUAAGAAUUAUUCGAAGUGAAUUGGGAAGGAAAUCCACAAAAAACCCUAAAAAUUUCCUUACCGUGGGCUCGAUCGCCCCCGACGCGAUUGAAGGCCAUGAGGAGACCGGCGAGGACGCCGAGGGAGCCAAAGACGAGGAGGGAGACGGCGAAGGCGAUCUCCUUCACCGGGGGGCGGCUGUCGACGGCGCGGGGGCCGGAGCCGUCGCCGCCGAAGAGGAUGUCGUCGUCCUCGGAUAUGGAGAAGGCGUGGUCGACGUACGCCAUGGGAUCGUAGAACUUCUUGGCCUAGGGUUAGGGUUUCGGAUUAGAGGAGAGGGAGAGGGAGAGGAAGAGGAAGAGUGUGGUGGGAGAUUUGAACAAGGAAAAGAACGAUGUUGCGUGCGGGGUAAAUAAUAAAGAGGGCGACCGGGUCUAUUAAGCCUAGAAGUUUUGACCCGACACCAUUGGGUCUAAACCCGACCCGACCCGUUUUGGGUCAGCCCGUUUAUACAGUCGGAAGUAAUUAAAAAUAUAGUGUAAUUAAAAAUAUAUACAGUUAAAAAUAUGAAUAAGAAAUACUACAAGUAUAAAUAAUUUAGUUGAUUAGUGUAUUCUUAAAGUUUUAUCAUUUUACAUAUGUGAUGAUUAAUUAGAUUAUUCUCAAUUUCGAAAAAAAAUAAUUUAAUGAGUGAUUAGAAAAGUAACCUUAUUUUUUAUUUAAAAUUAGUAUCUCCGCAUACUGUAUUUGAACCUUAGUUUUAUUUCUAAAAAUUGAAUUCAAGUGUAUUAAACUAAACAUCAAAUUUGAAUAUGUAUAAAGUUAUAAUUACAUGCACUAUAGUUAUAACAAUAUAGAAUCAAACAAAUCUAAAAAUAUGUGCCUCGAAUUUAAGCUCAUUUAAUGAUACAGAGGUUCGAACCAAGAUAUUUAAUUUGGUAGAUAGUUUGAUGGAUUGAAUUGUGUAAGACGAUUUGUAAACGGGCCAGGUAGGGUUCGAAUGAGAAAAACAAGUACUAACAACUUUAGGAUUGACUAAUUAUCACCAUUAUUAUUAUUAUCUUAUGUUAAAUCAAUUCGAAACCAAUCUGAUUUGACCUAUUUGUCACUCUCCUUAAUUAGCUACAUAAUGAGCCUCAAUUAUUAUUAUGUCACUCUUUGUUGUAAGUGUAAAAAUUUAAUAUUGGAUAACGAUGUGCGAACCCGAUCCACUAGUCCAAGAACGAUGAGCCCAAUAGCCGAAGUCAAUUUUUUGGCCCAGUUUGUACAGUGUUGGGCCUGGCCCAAUUCAAUUAUUAAAUCGUUUUACUUUCCCUUCUAAUCAACGUGUACUUUGGAGAAUGACUUGAAUCUAAAACUCAAUGCUCGGGGAAAAAGUUACCGACCAAUCAGUCUCUUGGUGGUUGUGGAUACGUAUGUAAUAUAGAAUCUAGGCAGAGCUAGAUCUGUACUUUACGAUCCAACUCAAGCUUGUUUUCGAACAUGACUCGGCUCACAUGGCCUCCCGCCACAAGGCGGGAUGCUGGCGCAUUUAAGCCAACAAUCCCCCCUCCAGCACGUGCACACAUUUGCAGCAUGCGGGAAUCGAACCCGUGACCUCUGGCUCUGAUACCACUUGUCGGAUCGUUGGCGCUAACCAUUAAUCCCAAAAGCUCGAGCUGUUAGAAAUACGCAACCAAUUCACUUAAAGCGUAUAGAAACAGCGCCCACAGAUCUCGAUUGUGACUCGGCCCACCUGGCCUCACGCCACUUCGAACAUGACUCGGCCCAACCCAGUCUCACGUCAUUUCGAACAUGACUCGGCCCACAUGGCCUCCCGCCACAAGGCAGGAUGCUGGCGCAUUUAAGCCAACAAAGCUCAGCUUGUUUGUACUAAGCUUCGAGCUCGGGCCAGUCGGAUGGACUAUCCGGCACAUGAUUAGGCCUUAGUCUCAACCGAUUAGUGUGAUUCGACAAGGACACUAGUUGUAAUUGUGUCGUGAACCUAAUUUAGGGCAUUUUUUAGCUCAAUUGAAACUUCUACGAAAAGUAUCGUGAUAUUUCCAUUACAAAAGCCACCAACAACUUCUUCGCCAAAAUUUUCUCGGUAACUUGAUGCAGUAAGCUUCUCCUUUCGGGGCCCCGCCCUGACCUAAUCAAUUACUGGGGUUGAAUUUGAAUCCGAAGUUCUAACUGUAAUUAGGGAUCUUAUUAUACUAUAAACAAACUUUACUUUCUUCUACAUAAAACCUAGAGAAAGAUUUGCUGGACUUGGCAAAAGGUGUGAGAAUCCAAAGACACAAGAAUUAAAGGGAUUGUGUCUCUCCCUUUGCUUGUAAGCCAAGUUGUAAUGAGUAGAGAUGUAGAUACAUGUGGGCCAUCAAUUUAUUCAUAUACCCCACUCCAUCUUAUACUCACACUUUCAUAUAUCUCAUCUACUUUUCAAUGCAAAUUAACCAUGUGAGAACCUGGUUAAACCACAUUAGAAUUUGGAAUGUAGAUCACAAUAAGUUUAAAUAUCGAUCAAUGGAGCCUGCUAUUGUUCAAGCUAUAACUCGAAAACUAAUUUUGAGCAUUUUGAGCAUAGGUUUGUGAUCGAGCUCGACUUAAUAUCCCUCCGCAGGAGCGUUAAUCAAGCUAAAUUUCAAGCCAAGUUGAGAUCUUACGCUAAACAUUGUUUCGAAAGCUCGAGCUGAAAAGAAAGAAUGAUUGUUUCACCUGAAGCGUACAGACACUUAGUAAGUGAAAAUGUAAAUUGAAAGCUUCAAUUUAUGCGACCAUUUAAGUUCACAUUUGAGGGCCCAAACAGUAAAUGGAGGGGAAUGAGAGCAUGGAUUAGUCAAUUAAGAAGCUUAAAAAAGAAAAAUGCAUUUGAAUUAAAGUGGCUAAUGAAUAGGAUUAAGUAAGAAGUAUGGUUCCUUGCAAUAAUUAGAUAUUGUACAACCACCUAUUUAACCUAUCAAGUGAGGCUCUUUUCUUUUGUUGCACUUUGUUUCAACUCACAUGCCUUUGCCUCCUCUUCAGGGAUCUACUCCCUUAACUCUCUCUCUCUCUCUCUCUCAAAAAAAAAAAAAAAAAAAAAACUCUCUCUCUUCUGGGGAAAAAAAAAAAUGUAAUGAGACCCCUGAGUUUCUUUUGAUAUAAGUUGUUUUUAUUAAUUAGUUGAGAAAAUUUAAUUUCCACAAUAUUCUGUUAAACUUUGCUAAUCCAAGUACUUUUUUUAGAGGAUGUAAUUAAUUCUGAAUUUCAUCAAUUAAUGAUUAGUAAUAACUAACAGCUACGUACCAAGUCAUUAAUAUUUUAAAUAAAUCCCACACAUUUAUUUUUUUAAAGGAGAUCAUGCAUCAUGUUCCAUCAUUUCGACCCCCAUUCAAUUGAGUAAAAUAAUUAACUUAAUUAGAUCACAUACAAAUACAAAUCGUUAAAAAUUUAAAAAUAUUUAUAUUUAUAUAUAUAAAAGUGUAUAAUAAAUUAAUUAAGUUGGAGGCCCUAGCUACUUUAAAAAAAAAAAAUAGCCUAUAUAUUUUUGAAAGAAAACAAAGUACUAAAAAGUUCAUAAAAUUCAUACUUCUCAGGAUCAAACAUAUUUGAGAAUUCGCGCGAUCACAAUUCGAAUGAAAUUCACGCGUAAAAUAAAAUAAAAUGACAACUUAAAUUAAUUUCUAUCUACAUAUAGAUGAUAUAUACACAUUAGCUAGUUACUAUAAAUUUAAGCAAUUCCCAUGUUAUAUAUAUAUAUAUAACUCAAACCACUCGUAUUAAUUCAUUAUUUGCAGUACAAGAGAAACAUGCAUGCAUCGAUCCAGAAACAAAAAUAUUUAUCAUCCAAAGCUGGUCGUGAAACACCCCCCACCCAAAAAAAAAAAAAAAAAAAAAAAAAAAGAAAAAAAUUAAAGAGAGGAUAUUACAAAUGAUCGAAGCUGGGGUUUUCAAAUUGUUCGAAUUUGAAAUCAAUCAACCUACACGGAUUCUCUUGCUGGGCGGGCGCCGGAGGGCGACGAACACUGCGUCGAGAUCGCGGGGGACGGGGCAGAAGCCCUGCGGGUGCGGGGGCGGGGGCGGGGGGCGGAGCUUCGGUCUGGCGGGGGGGGNGAGGGGCUGCCGCCUUUUUCUGGGCGGGGGAGGACAGGCGGACGCUGGCUUGAGCACGUGCUCCGCCGACUUCGGCGUGACGCAGCUCUGAUCAUCGCUGCUGCAGUCACUGCCGUCGCCUACUUUCACGUCGGCAUGAGGGCCUGCUGGUGCAGCAGCUGCUGCUGCUGCUGCUGUCUUGAUGGAUGGGAGCGAGGGGAAUUCGCCGAAGACGGCGAGUUCUAAGCCCAUCGGAAAGAAGAAAGAUCGAGAUCAGGUGCAGUGGUAGAGAGAGAGAGAGAGAGAGAGAGAGAGAGAGAGAGAGAGAGACUGCUAAGUAGGCGUGGAGAGACACAUGAGAUGGUGGUGAUGAUGAUGGAGUUUUGAGGCAAGAGGAGAGGAAUAAGUUGUGUGUGUGUGUGUGUGUGUGUGUGAGAGAGAGAGAGAGAGAGAGAGCGCGAGAGAGAGAGAGAGAGAGAGAGAGCGCGAGAGAGAGAGAGAGAGAGAGAGAGCGCGAGAGAGAGAGAGAGAGAGAGAGAGCGCGAGAGAGAGAGAGAGAGAGAGAGAGCGCGAGAGAGAGAGAGAGAGAGAGAGAGCGAGAGAGAGAGAAGAGGAACAGAAUUAUAUGGAGAGGCAGUGCAAUUUGGGAGGAGUUAAAAUAUAUUUAUAAGGAGGAUCUCCUUUAGAGAGAGAGAGAGAGAGAGAGAGAGAGAGAGAGUGAGUGAGGGUUUACAAUGCAAAUGAUUGUAAGGAAUGAGAGGUACAAUGCAAAUGAUUGUAAAGAAAGAGAGAGAAAGAGAGAGAGAGAGAAAGAGGAGAGAGAGGCAUAAUUGGAAGAGAGGUUCAAAAAGUGUGGAUAAGCACCCCCAACUAGUAAGCUAUUUAGAAAAAGGAAUGCUACCUGUAUAUCUAUAAUAUAAGUGUGUUAUAUUCUUGAUUUAUGAUAUAAUUGUGUAAGGCGUAUACUUUAUAAUAAGGCGUACAGGUAUGUAGUAUUUUUUUUUUAUUUUGAAAAAAAUAUUCAAAUAAUUUUGUUACGUCUAACUUCUACUUUUCCGUUAAGUCAAAAUAAUCGUAAAUUUCAUCAAUUGUGGAUUUAAAUUAAGAAAUUUAUAAACUUUGCAAGAUUCAACAGCUCCAUCUCUUUUUAACUAGAAAAAUAUAUAAAUUCCAUCAGAUAACAUAUAAAAGUUAAAUCAGAAUAGAUAAAAGUCGAGUAUAUUAAUGUCAGAAAAGAAACAAAAAAUAAGGGACUAUCAACAACAAUGACCUAUAUUUUAGGGGGUUCUUCACACAUUCUUACAAUUUGGAGGUGGAAGGUACAUGGAAGAAGAAGAAGAAGAAGAAGAGGAGGAGAUAAGGAAAUAGGAGUUAUAAUUAGGUAGCUUUAAUUGUGGACCUAGUUGCUUCAUGUGUCAUGUGUGUGGUGUUACAAUGUACAUGCAUGGAGUGUAAUCUACUCCUCUGCCAAUAUUAUGGGGCCCACAUUGGAGUGAAUGGGACCCACAUCUCUUGUAGGCAUAGUGGGCUACACAAUGGUUUGAGUGGGCCCUAUGUUCCCUUGUGUGGCCCAUCUAGACCCAUCAAUCAAUCUCCACCAUUCAUUCACCCUUAUUACUAAUUAUUAUCAUAUAUAUAUUUCAUUAUCUUGUAGCCAAAAAAAAUUUUUAAAAAAUAAAAAAGGUUAAUUAUUUAUUUUCUCUCUAUGAAAUGAAAAGCCACUUGUCUUUUGGAGAGAUCCAAAAGAAUGGUAUAGAAGCUCAUGGAGCCUUCUUUUUUUUACCCAUAGAAUUUAUUGAAUAUUUGGGCACAACUUGGUCAAAUUUGGCCACUUAAUAAGAGAGUAAUUCAGACUACCCAAAAUAUCAAUUUGGCUAUUUAACACCGUCGCAUACGUAUAUAAUAGAUAUAAAUGAUACGUAAAAUUAGCUGGUGAAGAAUUUAAUCCGACAACCUUAUGAAAUGAAAAAAAUUAUAAUUGGCUCUGGUAUCAUCAUAUUAUUUACAAAAUUGAUAUGAUGGGAAAUGAAUCCAUAAAUAUAUUUAACACUAGAGCAUUAAAAGUAGAUCUACUAUGGCAUUUAAUAUAGGGGUAGCCCAUGUUUGGCCCUCAUUCCAUUCCACUCAAAACUCAUGUAACAAAGAUGAUAAGUGGACAGAAUAUUCUUUAAUGCAUGUCUCUCCCAAAAUGGACUUAGCUGCAAAUUAAAAACCCCUUUAAUUUUUUGAGAAAUUACAAGGGUGCCAUCCCAAUGCUACAUGGUGAAAAGUUUCAUAACCCAGAGGCUAGAUCUCAUAUUCUCUCUCUCUUCCUCUCCCCCCCCUCCUUUUUUCUCUCCAUAGACAAAAGCUGUUGAUAUCACAUGGCAUUUAUUGGGUAUGGAGGGUUUAACUUUCCCUUUAAAUAUGAUUAAUUAAGCAAAGUAACUUAGCAUAUAUAUAGUCAUAUGAUUAAUAUAGUUCCAAAUCAAUAAGAAUACCAUACUUAUAUAUGUUAUUUUUUUUUGUGAAUAUAACAUUGAUUUCUGAUAUAUAGUUGGCCACUACUAAUUAUGAAAGAUCAAUUGACAAAGAAUUAUGUCUUCUUAAUUUCUUAUAUAUAUAUAUAUCCCUAACUUGUUGAAUUUUUCCUUUUUUUUGUUUCUUUUUUUGGAUGAUUAAUGUGUAAAUAAAUGCUUUAAUUGCUGUAAUAAAAUGGCCCCAGAGAAACUAAAUUCACCAGACCAACAACCUAAUUAAAGCAACAUGGUUGAUAAAGGGAGCACAUUGUAUUUUUGGGAGAUCCUAGGACCACUAAAUAAAAGGUGUAGCUCAGAAGCUUCAUCUCUAAGUGCACAAUCACAUUGCUGUUCUAGUUUGGGUACACUCACUGGAGGAGUUUAUAUAUUCCUGUACCAGUUUAAUUAAUUUGGAUCAUGAUGUGAUGUUAAUUUGAGCAUUUGUACAGUCUCAGAAGAAGCACUAUAUUGAAAUUUGUCGAUAACUUCUCUCAAUUUAUAGUAGAAUCAGAAGCUUUGGAAUGGACCUUUUGCUUUCGCCCGUCACAUGCAGUAAAUGCUCCAGACAUUUUUAUUUGUCAAAUGCUCUAACAGAGAAGAAAAGCAAUAGCAGAGCCAAACAUGCCCUUUUUACUGGCGAUCGAAGAGUUUGUAAGAGCACAGCUAAUACAGUAGUCGAAAUGAAUCGCAAUAUGGAAUGCAUUAGUGGACUACUUAAUUGGUCUAUGCCAUGACAAAUUAAGAGAGCUAAUUUUAGUGAACAUGUAUUGAAUUGGAUGUAGAUAAUAAGAAACUAUACUAUGUAUAGAGAGGGGUAUGUAUACAUUUGAGAAAGAAGUUAUUUUGUGACAUAUUACAUGAUUUUCUUGCAUCAUUUUGUUGGUGGUUACUUAUUGCUCUUAGAUCCCAAUGAUCCUUCUCCAAUAAAUGCUAUUUACAUGCCUACAAUAAUAGAGAAGGCACUCAUUAAUUAGUUUCCAUGGAAGGAAAAUAAUUAGGUUCCCCCCAUUUUGUCCUCUUCUUUUUGAAGGAAAAAUUUUCCCCAAAAUUUUCAAGCUUUAAUUAAGGCUCACUUAUUAGCCUAUUAGGGAAGAUUGUAAAAGGAGAAUUUACAUCCUACCUAAUAAUAGACAUAUAUAGUUGGCUUUGUGCAUGUGGGGCUGCAAUAGGUUAGGUGAAAGAUGCUGUUCCCCUAAUGGGUCACCUUGUUUUCAGAGAAUAUACAAGAGUUAGAACAAUUUAAAAACUAUACAAGAAUUAGUGAGAAUUUAAUGGUUAUUAGGGAACAUAAUUUGUAUGGUAAUUAUAUGAGGUGGAAACACUAGUAGGAGUAUGGAGUAAGGAAGGUAUAUAAUGUACCAUGUAUAAGAGUGUUUGAAAAGGAUUGCCACCCAAUAAAGAGUUUCAUGGAGCUGUCUUUAGUUGGCAACUUUGGCAUGCAUCCAUAUGACCAUAUGCUUUUUCCAAUAUGGUUGACUUUAGAAUUUUCAGAGAUGAGAUAAGACAUAGGGAUUAGGGUUGGUGUGUGGGAGAAGACACUUUUUUUUUUUUUUUUUUUUUUUAACUAUUCAUCAAUCUUAGUGGUAUAGAACCUGCCAAUUCUAAGUUAUGUCAUAAAUUAAGCACAUCCUAAAUUGAACAAAAUAAAGUAUUAUAGUGUUUGAAUAGUAGAUUCAGAUAUUUGAUCUGUCGAUGACUUUUUAUACUGUUAAUGUGGUCAUCCCACAGUGACCAAACACAUGAUAAUAUGGGACUAUUGGGAUGUUACAAAAUCUCUUACUUAAACCUUGACAUAUUCAUCUUGCUCUAGCUUAAUAUUAUUACGUGAUCCAUCUCAUACUUUUAGCUGAUAAACUGAUUAUGAUACCAAAUGUAAUAACUCAACCUUGUGAGCACUACUAACUCGUUGUGCCAAACAACUAGCUCAAAAUGAUUAAGUCUAGUCAUUAUUAUUUAGAACCCUUAGUCCUUAUAUUUUUAUGUAUAUAUAUAUAUAUUUUUCAUUCGAUACGAGACUAUUAAAGCAGUUGCCAUAGGUGGAGGAAUCAUGGGAGAAGUGUGGUGCAACAAAGGAAGUAGAUACAUGAGAGAGAGAGAGAGAGAGAGAGAGAGAAUCUCAUUGGGCAUUGGAAAAAAGAGAAGCAUGAAAUUGAGUGAGUGGGGAUAACUAGCUAAUAAAUCCAAAUAUUUUAGGGCUUAAUGAAUCCAAAGAUAACAAGGGAAGGUCAACUGCAUAAGAUCCAAUGAGAGAAAAGAGAGUGAGAAGAGAAAAAAUAUUAUUGCCUGCAGCUGGUGCACCGUUAGCUCAUGCACCGACACCCCCUGUUAUGUGUUGCUUCGAUCCUACCAUCAAGUAAGUUACAUUUCUUUUCUCUAUUUAACACUUAAAAAUAGUUCGAUUAGAAGUGUGAGACGAGAUAAAUGACUCAUGAAUAUAUAGGUGGUAACUAUUAAACUAACAUGUGUUUUCGCAGAGCAUGGGCAAUAAUCAAGAGAGCGAGAGAGCGCGAAAGAGAGAGAGAGAAUAAGUUUGUACUUAAGGCUUGUUUGGCUACGUUGCAUUCGACUCAAUACUUUAGCAAACAGUUUAUAUUUGUGAUUAUGGGCUAAUGUCACAAUUCGAUCGACUACGCCAAGUAGUCUAUUUAGCUCGAAACUGCAGUAUGUAAAAGCAAAAGCUAGACCAAACAAGUUGUUACUUUGUAAACCUAACAAAGUUUUCAUAGCAAAUUAACCAGCUGUAGUUACAUCAAUGACCCUUAAAAUUAACUAUAUAUAAAAAUCACAUACUUUUAAAAGAGUAGCGAGGUGAACUCAUCCUCCACAUGCAUGCAUAGUCAUGAUGCACAUGGGUUCAAUAAGUAAAAAAGAAAAGCAUUAAAAGAAUUAGAAGAGCACAUUACACUCUAUUGGGUCAAUUAAGUUAAUUUGGAUUAAGCCACUCUUCCUCUACUCUUAAUCUUUUAUUAUAUACAAUUAGAAGACAUUUAUUCUCGUCUUAUGCUCCUGAUCAAGAGAGAUCUACAGAGAGAGAGAGAGAGAGAGAGAGUAACACCUUAAUUAAGACAUGGGAAUAUAUGGUGUGAGAUAUAUAAAAAUAAUUUAUAAUGUACAAUAUAAGCUCAAAGGCACGUGAAAGGAAGUGGGGGUGAGUAGUGAGGUGACCUUAAAAUGUAUAAAAUAGGGAGAGUUAGGUGGUGUGUCAACGUAUCAUGUCUCAUGUAUGUGGAGAAUAUGUACUAUUCAUUUAUUUUAAUUUGAGUACAUUGUAUAUAAAUAUGUAAAGAAGGGUAAUCUUUCUUAGUAGCUUAAGAUGCAAUGAAACCACAUUGGACUUCUUUAUUUUCUUAAUUUUAAUAGAUCUAGAUCUAUAAAUAAUGGUUAAAAGAUCGAAUGCGCGGACUUGUUAUAUAUUGAUGACUAGCUCGAUUUUCUAAUAUAACAGCUAACUAGUAUUUUAGCUUUGUGAACUUGAUUUUUAAGUCAAAAUGUUAAUUAAGCAAGGGUAAGUGAUAACAUAUAUCUUUAUUAAGAUCAUUGAAAAGGGAGUGUGAUAUAUAUAUAUCAUCAAAUAUUAUUUUAAAUAUAAUGAAAUUAAACUUUUUAUUGACUUUUACUACACAAAUUGAAAUGUUGUGGUGCAUAAAUCCCUCUACCUAUUAAUUACUAGCUCCCCAUGGGAUUCUUUUUACUUUCCUUUCACUCCCCAUUUCCAAUGUCUUAUACUAUGAAUUCUUUCGCUUUUGUCCCUUUUCUCUUCUCAUAUAUGUCCCAUUUACUAGCCUAACCUAUAAUUCCAUUUUUAUUUGAUUGCUAAGUUGAAUUUGAAAAAAAAAAAAAAAUGGAAUCACUUAAUAUUUUAGGCACAAAAGCCACCAAAUCCACAUAAAGUUCCAAAUCUAGUUAGAUUAAUUAUAUGUAUAUAGGAUUUUGUCCUCUUGUUUAUGUUGUUACCAACUCAUCAAUAGCAUAAAAUAAUUAAGUAGAGUGAGAUGGGUAUCAAUUUCGAAUAUAUCUACAUUGGAUGCCUUAUUUUGAUAGUGAUACUUAUGGUGGUUAUACAUGACACAACUUGAUAUUUAUUGUGGCCUAAGUAUUGAUAAAUUAAAACUUAGAUAUAUUUGAGAAGAGGUACUAUUGUUUAAAAAUAUUUCACACGAGACAAAAUGAAAUUGUUUGAGCACAAACUUCUCUGUCCCAUAGAAUAUAGAUCUUGAAGAAGCUCAAACCUUGUUCACUAUUAUUGUACAAACCUUGUUCACUAUUAUUGUCAUUUUCUUGUUUUUUUGUUUUUAACAAUGGAAUAUGUGAGUAGAUGUUGGAGUACUUGCAACUCUAUAUAUCUAAGAGUUUAUUUGACAAUAAGAAAUAGAGAAAUAAAUUUUUUUUACUUAGUUGAUUCUGUAAAAAAAAAAAAAAACUGUCUUUUUAUACUUAACCAGAUGCAUUACAAGCUAACCAAUAAUAACAAGCAUAGAGAAGUUCAUCCAUCGACACGUCUUACAGUAUUAAAUUCCCAUUUAUAGCAAAAAAACCAAAAUAAUACCAAAUUUCUUCUUUUAGUGAGUCAUUUUUUUCUUUGUUCUUUUUUGAAAAAAAAAAAAGGAAGGAAGAAUUAAGCAAAAGCAACUCAGUAAGCCUAAUUAGCACUAUUUUUUGACAUUUUGAUUUUGCCUCCAAAUUAAAUUGCACAUCUAUUAUGUUGGGAAUUAAACUCUCCUUUUUUUAAAAAAAAAAAACUUCAAGGUUUCCUUUAAAUUUCCUCCUUUGCAGAGUUACCAAAACAUAACUUAAUUUCUAACACAAUAUCCAAAUUUUUUAAGCUAAGCAAAUUAAUGUUCCUAAUCAGACACUUUCUCAUGUUUCGAAUUAAAUUUUAUGACUUAAAAAGGAAAAAAAAAAAAAAGAGCACAAGAGGAGUAUAAGCAUUAGAUUACAACAAUCUUAUGAUUAUUAACUUAGUUUUUUUGCCCGCUUGUGGUUUAGUGUAUUUUCUCAUUAAUUACCAUCAUGGUUCAAAAAAUUUUACUUAGUUAUCUUGUGAUUUUAUUUUUGUUUCUCCGUAAGAAGCUACUAUUAAAUAGAAUAAUAAAGAAAUAUUUUUUUUUUGAAAACCAUAAGACAUUACAGUAUAGUUUUAUACAUUCUCUAAUCUACAUUUAACUACAUCUGUGAUUUCUAAACAGUAUUGCUUUACUACGCCGUUUUAGUGAAAAAUUUUACAGCGACGUAAAAAUAAAACCACAGAAUUGUUCUUUCUUUUAUGACUAUUAAUUGUAAAGUUGCAUCGUGGUCAGAUUUCUCCGUUUUAAAGUAGGAGCCUUAGUGGAGGCGAAUUCGGACGAGGGGGACGUACGACAGCUUUGGACACAGUUCUCGGACAUCCCCGAGGCUGUAACGAGAUAAAAAAUCUUAACCAAGUUGGCGGCAAUUUGGUGGGUUGUCUGGACGGAGCGUAACGGCAUUUGCUUCCGCGACGUGCCUCUUAAUAUUUCCCGGGCUCUCGAACGUGUCGCCGUUUUGAUCGAAGCCUGGAACGAAGCACUUUGAUUCUCUCCUGUGCUCUGCGUUUUGCCCUCUGUUUUCCCAUUUUUGUUUAGUUGGGUUUUCACUUGUUUCCUGGGUCGCUCGGACCUGGUUUUGUUCUCUUGUUUUUCCCUCGUUCUCUCCGCUCGGAGGCCCUAGCUGCUUCCAGCUUGUAUGCUAAAUUCAUGUUUCUUAAUGAAUGAAGCAGGUAGCUUGCUAUCUAUUUCUCAAAAAAAAAAGUUGCAUGGUGAGUAUAGUACUUUUUUGGCACUGAAGCAUGUCCUGAUGCAAGGAAGCACACAUAUGCAAUGGUGUAAGAUCCCAAGAUCAUUGUUUAUUACACAAAUUUGUUAAAUCACACAUUGUUUAUUACACAAAUUUGUUAAAUCAUACAUUAGUUUAUUUGAUUUGUUCACCCAAAUCUCACCUACUUACACUGCAUCUUAAUUAAACCAUGCACUCCUGCUCCCACUUAAAAAGCUCAUAAUUUUUAAUAGUGUGGCUAUGUACUAAAAAGGAUGUGACAUGCAAAAAGAAAAUCAUGAAUUGAGCUAAGGCAUGUGCACUACUUAUAGCUUGGGUAACAUGCUUGCAAUAUUACAUGAAUAUGAGAGAGAGAGAGAGAGAGAUCCACAAGAAAGAAAAUGAAAGGAUUGAGCCACUGAAUAAUUAGUUGUAUAAGAGUAACGCAAUCAUCUACUACAGUUAAUGAGCCAGAUUUUAUUUUAGAUAAUAUACAUGAGGCUGAUCAAGUACGAAAAAUUGACCAACUACCUAGAGCAAUAUGUUAAAUUCAAGAUAAAUGACGCAAAACACACACAAAAAAAAACUUAAUUAUUCUUGUAUUCUUAUACAAGAAGUAAAGAGUAAAUUAUAUACUAAUACAUAUACUCUCUUACACAAGAUUGACUCAUUAACUAUAUUACAAAUACAUUCUACUCUGUGUGAUGAUUUUUCUAAGUCACAAACCACGUAUCAGGAAAAGCAUUUAUAACUUUUUUGGCAGAAUCUGAAUCCAUGUUGAAUACAUUUGUGAAAACAAAAUGAUCAAGCUUAAAGUAGUAGUUAAUAAGCCCCUCUUAAAGUGUCAUAGACAAAAGUUGUUGAAAAGAUUUUAAUUUUAAAAAGAAAAUAUUUGAGCAACUUACAUUUAAAUAAUACAUAUGCAGAAGCUCCAAACAAUAAUUCAUCAUUGAAAAAUACGAAUCCGCAAUGUUUUGGGGCCCAUUUGGAAGGAUAGUUUUAUGCUAAGAACAGUGGGGCCUAAACUAAGUUAUUAUCAAAUAAUUAAACGCCGAUGUCGACGGCGCGAAACCUAAUGGACAAUUUUGAUUAAUUACGCUUCAUUAUUUCUAGUUGACACGCAUUUUGUGAUUGGACAAGGUUAUUUGACUCGUAUUCCUAAUUAUUCGUCAAAUAUAUUAUAUAAUAACUAAUCAAUGUUAAAUCACUUUGAAAUCGAUAUGGAUUAGGUCAAAUGUGGAAGUCACAUUGGGACCAAGGUAAUCCACCAACAAUUCAAAGUGAGUAAAUGUUAUGCUGUGUCCAUUUCUAAGAGUAGAUAUGAAUAGAAUCUCCUUUUAUAAAAAUAAUGUUCGAAACCCUUACAUAAUUUGUGAUUGAUUUCUUGUUUGAGUCGAUUCCAUAAUUACUCAUUACAAGUUAAUAAACCCUAUAGCAGAAAUUGCGACUGAUUUCUUGUUUGAAACCCUGACAGAGCGAUUUUUAGGAUGACUCACUCUGAUCCAAUCCGUGGUUGUUAUAAGAUUAAACACCUGACGUCCCCGUGAGAGAAACUUUGUCCCGUAGAGAAAUACUGAUUUUUUUUUUCUUUUUUUCGUCCGACUCGUUUUUUGUCACGUUUAAGGCCUUACUGUCUUACCCAUAUAACUAAGUUCAUCUUCUAAAUGAAUGAAAUGGGUUUAUUUAAAAAAGUUAAUAAACCCUAUUUCUUUCUCGCAUGCAUGUAGUAAUGGUACGAGAGUUCGAAGCCCAACUUUGGCCCAUUGGGCCGAGAGAAGUAUAUUCUUGCAGCCCACUAGAGCCCAACUCCCGUGGGCCGCAAGGACCGUUAACACUUUUUUAUCAUUUUGUACGUCACGCGCAAGUAAGGGUGCAAAUGGAUCUGAAUUGGUCGAGCUCCGACCCUGAUCCGCUACAAAUGAGGUAGUACAUGGGGACUAAGAUUCAGGUACCUGUAAUGGAUUCGGAGCGGCCCGAGUUUAAUUAAUUUGAGUAAGUUUAUUUGUAAUUUUGUUAGAUUCUAUUUUACGGUUCGGAACAAAAUAUGCACACUAAUAGUUAUAUAAUGGGAAAACUUUAAAAACCCCUCCUGUGGUUUCGCACUUUCUUACUUUAGUACCCUCUGAUUUAAAGUGUAUUAAUUUGUCCCCUGUGGUUUCGUUUUUCUCUUUUUAGUAUCAAUUUUAGUAUUAUUUUUUUCUUAAAUCAGUGACAAAGUUAAAAUUAAAGGAUACUAAAGUAAAUAUUUGAUAAAUCUAGGUGGGUAUUUGAAAUUUUUUGUAUAUAAUUUAAUGAAAUAUUACAAAAAAAAAACUACCGAAAAGAUAAAAACAAAAUCCCAGGAGGGCAAAUUGAUACACUUUAAACUAUAGGGUAUUAAAGUGAGAAAGUGUAAAAUCAUGGAUUUUUUUUGAAGUUUUUUCUUAUAUAAUUAUUCAUCUUUUUGUUCAAAUUGAAUAAAUUAAUCGAACCGAACAAAAUUAUUGCAUAUUGGUUCAACUGUAUUCAUCUCUAUAAAAUCAAUUUGGCUGUUUUUUUUUUUUUUUGGACAAUGGGAACACAAGUAAGACGGCCGAUCCUACGGUUCGAAAUAAGCCAAUUGUCCCAAUCCAACGGUCCAAUCAAUCACACUAUUUCUUGUUUGACUUUUGGCUUUUCUUUGUUUUGGGGAAUUAAAAAUCCAAAACCUCUUUUCUCAUUCUUUCCACGUGUCAAAAAAUGUCGUCCACUAGCUGUUUUAGUCAACCCCUCCUUUCUCCCCAAACCGUCCGAUCCACAUUGACUUAAUCUAACGGGUAUGAGACAUUCCCAAGUCAACUUCCUCAUUCAAAGCGAAAAAAAACCCAAAAAAGUUAUUAUAUAAUAUAAAAAUCGAUCCCAAAGAUUUUCAUAAAUAAAAGCAAUUUAUAUUUUUUUAAAUAGCAAUUAAUUAUUGCUAUAAGCAAAUUUCGAAGGUUGACUAUUAACCCAAGCGCACGUCGUUCCGGAUUUUUAAAAUAUUUUCAUCGAAAAGUCCAAGCAUCCGACGGCACAGAUUGCGUUGACCGUGGUGAUUGUCACGUGAUUUAAUCCUAGCCGUUGGAUCGUCGCCUAGCCGUUUCUGUUCUCGGCUAUAUGUAAAGCGCAACCGGUGUGAAGAGAGAGAGAGAGAGAGAGAGAGAGAGAGGGGAGGAUACAUACCGGGGAGGAGGGGGUGAUUGGACACGUGGAGCGUCGAUGACCGUCGAUCUGAUGGGGUACGCGAAGAUGGACGAGCAGAUGGCGAUCCAGGAGGCGGCGGCGGCGGGUCUACGGAGCCUGGAGCGCCUGGUGCACCAGCUGUCGCGGCGGGGGCCGUCGGAGCCGUUCGAUUGCAAGGAGAUCGCCGAUCAGACGGUGUCCAAGUUCCGGAAGGUGAUCUCCAUCCUGGACCGGACCGGCCACGCCCGGUUCCGCCGCGGACCGGUCCCGGUCCGGGUCCCGGUCCAGCAGCAAACCCUGGACGAGCCUCGAUCCCAAUCCCAACCGCAACCACAAACCCCAACCCUAGCUCCGCCCCCGUCGAUCGCUCCUCCCCCUCCGCCUCCGCCGCCGCCGCCGCCGCAAACCCUAACCCUAGAUUUCACGAAACCGAGCCCCGCCGCGGCGAGGAGUGGCCACGCGAAGGAGGGGUUCAGCAUCUCGGCGCCGAUUUCGUCGGCGACCUCCUCGUUCUUCUCCUCGCUCAGCGCCGGCGACCCCAGCGUCACCAAAGGGAACGGGAACCCCCCCCUCGGCGCCGCCGCCGCCGCCGCCGCCGGAAAACCGCCUCCGCCGCCGCCGCCGUACAAGAGGAAGUGCCCCGACCACUCCGCCGCCGCCUCCGCGGGGGCGACGAAGCCCUCCGCCUCCGCAUCCCGAUGCCACUGCUCCAAUAAAAGGUACGCCAUCCCACAACAAAAAACGGUCGAAACCCUAGCGGCGCACGAUAGCCCGCACCGAGCUUCCCCCGCUAACGCGCGCGCGCCCGUUACGAUGCGCAGGAAAAAUCGGGUAAAGAAGACGAUACGCGUGCCCGUGACGAGCUCCAAAAUUUCGGAUAUACCCCCCGACGAGUACUCGUGGCGCAAGUACGGUCAAAAGCCGAUCAAGGGAUCCCCUCACCCGCGGUAAACUCUCCGCUAAACAAAUCACCGCCCUCCGAUCUCGCCACGCGGCGCGCCGCUGACCGUCCGUUCUUUGUCUUGUGUGUGUGUGUGUGUGCGCGUUUACAGGAACUACUACAAGUGCAGCAGCGUGCGGGGGUGCCCGGCGCGGAAGCACGUGGAGAGGGCGAUGGACGAUCCGACGGUGCUCGUCGUCACGUACGAGUGGGAGCACCGCCACACGCCGAACCCCGCCGCGCCGGCGCAGUCUCAGCCGUCCAUCCCCUGAUCGACGGUCCACCACGAUUGAUUCUCAUGGAGCUGCACCGGCGCAGCAACCUCGGCCGUUCAUCUCGUGAUCGACGACCACCACGACAAAGACGACGAUGUAACUGCUAUUUUAAAACUAAUGUUUUUUUUUUCUUUUUUCACUUUUCUGGUGCUAAUUCGGUGUAAUUAAACUGAAAUUCGAGGGGUAAGAAGGUAAAUUAGAGCGAUCAAUUGACUUUUUUUCUUUCUCUCUCUUUUUUUUUUUUUUUUUGGAAAAACUUCAAAAACCCCCCCUGUGGUUUCGUGCAUUCUCACUUUGCUACCCUGUGGUUUAAAACGUAUCAAUUUGCCCCCCUGUGGUUUCGUUUUUAUCUUUUUAUUAUCAAUUUUAUUAUUAUUUUUUUUUAAAAUCAGUGACAAAGUUAAAAUUAAAGGAUACUAAAGUGACUAUUCGAUAAAUAUAGAUGNUUUUUUCACUUUUCUGGUGCUAAUUCGGUGUACUUAAACUGAAAUUCGAGGGGUAAGAAGGUAAAUUAGAGCGAUCAAUUGACUUUUUUUUUUCUCUCUCUUUUUUUUUUUUGGCCUUUUUUGGAUUGUGGGGUCUACUGAGUGGGUGCGGUGGUGGUGGUCAAAGGAGACGUUUUUAGCGGGUCCCAAUCGUCGCGUUGACCAGCGUGGACCGUUCGUUUCCUCGUGAUUCACGCUGUAAGAUGUUAGAUGCCCGAUGCCGCUCGCGAGAUUCGGAGGAAUUAGGCCAUGGACCGAGUGUACCACGUCAUCCGUGGACCAGGUUAUUUGGGUUACAGAAAAAUUCUAUGCACUGCGAUCUUGCCACUUAUUAUUGGCGGAUUUAUAGACCAAGUUAUUCGGGUGCGAUCACGUGUAUAGAAAAAUCCUAUGCACAAUGAUUUUGCCGUUUAUUAGUGGCGAAUUCGUGGAUCAGGUUAUUGGCCACGUGUGUAAAAAAAAAUUUUAUGCACAAUGAUCUUGUUACUCACUGUUGAUAAGCGGUAGAAUUAUUCUGUGCUUAGAAUUUUUCUAUUCGCAAGAUUAUUGAGAUUUUAAUUAUUAUCAUAUUAUUUUUUAAAAAAAAAUAUUAUAUUUUUGCGGCUAAUCUAUGCUAGGGUUGUCAAUGGAUAUGAAUACCCGGCAUUUUAUCAGAAUCCGAACGAGAUAGGCCUACCUGAUGUUAAAUAGGUAUAGUUUCGGCAAUCGAUGUGAAAUACGAGAACCCGACGGAUUCGAGUUCUGGUAUAGUUUUCACCUAUCUUCCAUUCGAACUCAAACCCGGCUCCAAAAUUUGACUCGAACAAAAACUGAUUUUAUAUUAUAAUAUAUAUAAAAGUUUGAAUUUGUAUUUUGAAAAUUCUGACUAGAAUAUGAUAUAUUUUGAAACCGGUUAUAAAGCAAUGAUUGCUUUCGGGUUCGGAUUUUUAAGUUCAGUUUCAGGAUUCGGUAUUUUUUUUUAGGGUUUAGUUUUGGUUAUGGAUUUUCAAAACCGAAUAGAUUUGGAUUCGGAUACAACUUUUUAAACUUUGCUCUGGAUCCGAGCCGUUUACAUCCCCAAUCAAUGCACACACUCUAUUUCUAUUUAAAGCUGGAUUCGAACUGCCUAAGUACUUCAAAUGCAUAAAUAAUUGUAAUUUAUUUAUGAGUUGGGAACUUUUUAUAUUUAUAAUUAGGAAAUGGUUGUUGAAACAAGUAAAAUCAAAGUAUUUUUAAAUUCAUUCUUUAAUAAGUUGCCAGAAAACAAUAAAUUAAAAAUUUUAAUAGGCUUAAAAAUAUUUAUUUUUUGAACAAGUUAGGCGUAGCGAACAUAAUAAUAAAAUUCAAAUUCAAAACGUGGUGCUUUAAUGAUAUAUAUAUAUAUAAAAAGAAUCGUUGUAGACGGGAAGAGCCACGUGCCCAAAAUUAGANCCCCCCUGUGGUUUCGUGCAUUCUCACUUUGCUACCCUGUGGUUUAAAACGUAUCAAUUUACCCCCCUGUGGUUUCAUUUUUAUCUUUUCGAAAGCUUUUUCGUUAAUAUUUCGUUAAAUUAUAUACAAAAAACUUCAGAUAACCAUCUAUAUUUAUCGAAUAGUCACUUUAGUAUCCUUUAAUUUUAACUUUGUCACUGAUUUUAAAAAAAAAUAAUAAUAAAAUUGAUAACAAAAAGAUAAAAACGAAACCACAGGGGGGCAAAUUGAUACGUUUUAAACCACAGGGUAGCAAAGUGAGAAUGCAUGAAACCACAGGGGGGGUUUUUGAAGUUUUCCCAAUUUUUUUUUUUAUUUUCAAUCACAACACACACAAAAGUGGUGAUAUAAUCAUUCAUUACCAAAUCUAUUAAACUAGGUUUCUAAGAGGGUUUGGUAAUUUGAAUUAAUACUAAUCAAAUCUUAAAUAUGAGUUGAUCUGUUUCUCCGUGGCGGCUAAUCUAAUCCAUCAUCUAUGGAAGUAAAUUUUAAUUAGAGAGAGAGAGUCUCAAUAUAAUUAAUCAUAAUAAAAAAAAGGCUAAAUUACAUAAAAUCUUCCCGUCAAAACCCAAUUUUUCACUUUUCCCUCUCUAUCAUUUAAAAACCUACACUUUACCCCCUUAUAAAAUAAAAAAUAUUCACAGCGACGUACGGUGUAAACUGUGAUGACAAAAUAACCAUUUUGCCCCUCAUCAUUUUUGGCAACAAGAAAAAAGGCUGAGGACAUUUUUUGCAUAAAAAAUAUAUAAUAAUAAUUUAUAAAUGAAACCCUAACGGAUUACUAACGGCAGGGGGUGAAGUGAAUAUUUUUUGUUUUAUAAGGGGGUAAAGUGUAGAUUUUUAAAUGAUGGGGGGAAAGUAAAAAAUAAAAUUUUGACAAAAAAAUUUUCUGUAAUUUAGCCUAAAGAAAUAUAUAAUUAAUCA
Molecule: long non-coding RNA, 180716 nt
Filed under: Ananas comosus (pineapple)
Lineage: Eukaryota; Viridiplantae; Streptophyta; Magnoliopsida; Poales; Bromeliaceae
Description: long non-coding RNA (ACOM_LNC028554)
Source: RNAcentral